UUUUUUUUUACAUUUUGGGCUGUCAUUGGUAGGCACUAGUAUACAAAAAAAUUUAAAAAAAAAAUUUGGUGGUGGCCUGCCAAUGGCUGGCACCAUCUUUAUGGGAAAAAAAAAUUUCGAGUGCCAUCAAAAUGAGAGUGUCUUGUAGUAUAUCAUCAAAUAAGUUUUUUUGGAGUGGAUUGUAUAUGGAGUUUUUUGUAGUGUACAAUCAAAUUUCGGGGUUGAAUUAUAUACUGUCAAGUCCACCCUAAAGGUUAUGCUAUUAAGGGUUGGAUGAUUCUUUACACCAUAGAUGGCUAAUCGAGUUGUCCAAUAUGCAGAUGGACAUUAUCUAUGGUGCAAUAGUGUUUAUUCUGCAACUAGGUUCUAAUUGGAAUCGGUUGAUAGAAUCUCCAUGCAAAGGUAUCUCAUGGGACCUCAUAGGACAAUGGAGGAAGAAAAGGUCUAGAGCAGAAGACGAUUAAUUGUGAAGAAACUAGUGCCGGUGCCACGUAGACCUGAUUCAAGCAGAAGACGAUUAAUUGUGAAGAAACUAGUAUUGAAAAUAAUUGUAUUAUUUCUUAAGAAUGUUAUAUUUAUCGUUUUAAAAAUAAUUUAAAAGAAUAUUUAAUAUUAAUUAGGACAUUUUAUUUCUCGGUUACCUUGUACACAAUGCUUGCAAUGUGGUCGUUGUCAUUUAAAAGAACAUUUGGAUUAGGAUCCACGGAGUGAUCGGCGGUCGUCGGCGAUGGUUAAGCAUGAACAGCGGCGGUCGUCGACAGUGGUUGAGGGUGGCGGUGGACGGAAUGGCCUAUUUAUAGUGGGGGACCAUUUUAAAAGGAGGCAAAAUUGGAAAAAAAAUUUAAUACUUCUGACACACUUUUAUUUUUCAGUCAAUUUGGUUUAUUUCAUUUAAUUUUAAUCAUUCAAUUUUAUGACACACUUUUUUUUUCUACCAAUCUGAUUUAUUUCAUUCAAUCUGACACACUUUGUUUUUUUUUCAUUCAAUUUUAAGCAUGCCAACAUCUGACACACUUUUUUUAUCAUUCAUUUCAAUUUUUUAUUUCUACAUCUAACACCCCUUUUUUUCAUUCAAUCUCAUUUAUUUCAAUUUUAUUUUUCUAUAUCUAACACCCUUUUUUUCAUUCAAUCUCAUUUAUUUCAGUUUUAUUUUUCUACAUCUAACACCCUUUUUUUCAUUCAAUGUCAUUUAUUUUAACUUCUUGAAUUUUUUUUUACAUAAAGGUGGUGUCGACCAUUGCCAAGCCACCACCAAAAUUUUUUUUUUGAAUUUUUUCAUAUACUGUUGCCGGCAAAUUACAGCCAAAAUGUAAAAAAAAAUUUACAUAAAGGUGGUGUCGGCCAUUGCCAGGCCACCACAAAAAAAUUGUUUUUUUAUUUUUUCGUAUACUGGUGCCGGCCUAUGAUAGCCAAAAUGUAAAAAAAAAAUGGUGGUGGCCUGGUAAUGGCCGACACCACGUUUAUGUAAUUUUUUUUUUUACACUUUGGGCUGUCAUUGGCAGGCACUAGUAUACAAAAAAAUAAAUAAAAAUUUUGUUGGUGGCCUGCCAAUGGCUGGCACCAACUUUAUGGGAAAAAAAAAUUUCGGGUGCAAUCAAAAUGAGAGUGUUUUGUAGUAUAUCAUCAAAUAAGUUUUUUUGGAAUGGAUUGUAUAUGGAGUUUUUUGUAGUGUACAAUCAAAUUUCGGGGUUCAAUUAUAUACUGUCAUAUUUUAUUUGAGUUGAAUUAUAUACUGUCAAGUCCACCCUAAAGGUUAUGCUAUUAAGGGUUGGAUGAUUCUUUGCACCAUAGAUGGCUAAUCGAGUUGUACAAUAUGCAGAUGGACAUUAUCUAUGGUGCAAUAGUGUUUAUGCUACAACUAGGUUCUGAUUGGAAUCGGUUGAUAGAGUCUCCAUGCAAAGGUAUCUCAUGGGACCUCAUGGGACAAUGGAGGAAGAAAAGGUCUAGAGCAGAAGACGAUUAACUGUGAAGAAACUAGUACCGAUGCCAUGUAGACCUGAUUCAAGCAGAAGACGAUUAAUUGUGAAGAAACUAGUAUUGAAAAUAAUUGUAUUAUUUCUUAAGAAUGUUAUAUUUAUCGUUUUAAAAAUUAUUUAAAAGAAUAUUUAAUAUUAAAUAGGACAUUUUAUUUCUCGGUUACCUUGUACACAAUGCUUGCAAUGUGGUCGUUGUCAUUUAAAAGAACAUUUGGAUUAGGAUCCAUGGAGUGAUCGGCGGUCAUUGGCGAUGGUUAAGCAUGAACAGCGGCGGUCGUCGACAGUGGUUGAGGGUGGCGGUGGACGGAAUGGCCUAUUUAUAGUGGGGGACCAUUUUAAAAGGAGGCAAAAUUGGAAAAAAGAAUUUAAUACUUCUGACACACUUUUAUUUUUCAUUCAAUUUGGUUUAUUUCAUUUAAUUUUAAUCAUUCAAUUUUAUGACACACUUUUUUUUUCUACCAAUCUGAUUUAUUUCAUUCAAUCUGACACACUUUGUUUUUUUUCAUUCAAUUUUAAGCAUGCCAACAUCUGACACACUUUUUUUAUCAUUCAUUUCAAUUUUUUAUUUCUACAUCUAACACGCUUUUUUUCAUUCAAUCUCAUUUAUUUCAAUUUUAUUUUUCUAUAUAUAACACCCUUUUUUUCUUUCAAUCUCAUUUAUUUAAGUAUUAUUUUUCUACAUCUAACACCCUUUUUUUUCAUUCAAUGUCAUUUAUUUUAACUUCUUAAAAUUUUUUUUACAUAAAGGUGGUGUCGGCCAUUGCCAAGCCACCACCAAAAAAAAUAUUUGAAUUUUUUCGUAUACUGUUGCCAGCAAAUGACAGCCAAAAUGUAAAAAAAAAAUUUACAUAAAGGUGAUGCCGGCCAUUGCCAGGCCACCACCAAAAAAAAAUUGUUUUUGAAUUUUUUCGUAUACUGGUGCCGGCCUAUGACAAAAAAAAUGUAAAAAAAAAUUGGUGGUGGCCUGGUAAUGGCCAACACCACCUUUAUGUAAUUUUUUUUUUACAUUUUGGGCUGUCAUUGGCAGGCACUAGUAUACAAAAAAAUAAAAAAAAUUUUGUUGGUGGCUUGCCAAUGGCUGGCACCAACUUUAUGGGAAAAAAAAAUUUCGGGUGCCAUCAAAAUGAGAGUGUUUUGUAGUAUAUCAUCAAAUAAGUUUUUUUGGAGUGGAUUGUAUAUGGAGUUUUUUGUAGUGUACAAUCAAAUUUCGGGGUUGAAUUAUAUACUGUCAUAUUUUAUUGGAGUUGAAUUAUAUACUGUCAAGUCCACCCUAAAGGUUAUGCUAUUAAGGGUUGGAUGAUUCUUUGCACCAUAGAUGGCUAAUCGAGUUGUCCAAUAUGUAGAUGGACAUUAUCUAUGGUGCAAUAGUGUUUAUUCUGCAACUAGGUUCUGAUUGGAAUCGGUUGAUAGAGUCUCCAUGCAAAGGUAUCUCAUGGGACCUCAUGGGACAAUGGAGGAAGAAAAGGUCUAGAGCGGAAGACGAUUAAUUGUGAAGAAACUUGUACCGAUGCCACGUAGACCUGAUUCAAGCAGAAGACGAUUAAUUGUGAAGAAACUAGUAUUGAAAAUAAUUGUAUUAUUUCUUAAGAAUGUUAUAUUUAUCGUUUUAAAAAUUAUUUAAAAUAAUGUUAUAUUUCUCGGUUACCUUGUGCACAAUGCUUGCAAUGUGGUUGUUGUCAUUUAAAAGAACAUUCGGAUUAGGAUCCAUGGAGUCAUCGGCGGUCAUCGGCGAUGGUUAAGCGUGAAUAGCGGCGGUCGUCAGUAGUGGUUGACGGUGGCGGUGGACGGAAUGGCCUGUUUAUAGUGGGGGACCAUUUGAAAGGGGGGCAAAAUUGAAAAAAAAAUUUAAUACUUCUGACACAUUUUUUUUUUCUUUCAAUCUGAUUUAUUUCAUUUAAUUUUAAGCAUUCAAUUUUAUGACACUUUUUUUUUCUACCAAUCUGAUUUAUUUCAUUUAAUCUGACACACUUUUUUUUUCAUUCAAUUUUAAGCAUGCCAACAUCUGAAACACUUUUUUUUUCAUUCAUUUCAAUUUUUUUCUACAUCUAACACCUUUUUUUUCAUUCAAUCUCAUUUAUUUCAAUUUUAUUUUUUUACAUCUAAUUUCCUUUUAUUUUCAUUCAAUUUUAUUUUUCUACAUCUAACACCCUUUUUUUUUCAUUCAAUCUCAUUUAUUUUAAUUUUAUUUUUCUACAUCUAACACCCUUUUUUUUCAUUCAAACUCAUUUAUUUCAGUUUUAUUUUUCUACAUCUAACACCCUUUUUUUGGUUUUUUAGGCGUGAAACCCUAUUCAGAUAAUUAAAUUUCUUAAAAUAAAUCUAAUUUCAUUUUUUUAUUUUAAUAUUUUAUUUAAAUAUUUUAAUUUAUUUAUUAUUUUUGUCAAUUGAAAAUUUAAACUUAUUAAAAAAUAUUUGGUUUUGUUUUCUAGAUUUUUUGAGCCUGACACCACAUUUAUCAGGCCUGAUAACAUUUAUUUUAACCUCAUUUCAUUUUAUAUUUAAAAUUUCUAUUUUCAAUGCAAAUUUAUUUUUACAAGAAUAUGCACUCAAUAAUAUAUUAGUCGUCAUCUUGGAGUCCAGCAUUACGAGACGAUUAGCUAGAAACGUAGACACGAUGUGGGCAUGUUGAUCGGUUGUGUCCGGAUGUUCGACACACAGUGCACAAUUUGGGUUCACCCGUCUACCUAACGUCCAUGUCAUUUCGAAUUCUCGUCGAUUGUGGUCGACCUUUAGGAUGUCUACGGAGACUAGGUCAGGCACCAUCUCGAAAGCAGGCGGUGGAACUUCUCAGUUUGAGACAUCGGGCAUUACAGGAAAUUCGUUCCCCCAUAUGCGUAAUGUGCGUUGCAACGUGUAGAUCUCGUCUGAGAAUUGUUCAACAUUUAAGUUUGCUCUCGCACACGCUGCAUGAACAUGCGCACACAGAUAUCGAAGAGUCUGAAAUAUCCUGCACUCGCAUCGCCUGUUUCGGAGAUCAACUGCGCACACGGUACCAAUUGUUGUGCGAAAGCCUGUAAAAGAGUAAAGUUAUUGUACUAAAAAAUCACACUAAGUUCAAUUCCCAAGAAAGAGAGGUGGAUCACAAAGAUCGCUUAAGUACCAGGUCUUGCCUAGCCAGAAUAUCCCUCAAUCGUAAUUUAAUAGCACAAUAAAUCACUACAAUCACACUCACAAUUUAUACAGAAUAAUACAAUAAAGAGCACAAGAAUUUAACGAGGUUCAGCAAAAUUUUUCCUACGUCCUCAGGCACUACCAAAUAUAUUUCACUCUAAAAUACAUGUGAGAAUUUAUAAAGAGAGAGAGAGAUGGUUAUGCCUAUUUAUAGUUGAGGUCCAGGGAUCAACUUGCAAAGUCACUUUACAAUUAGGGACCAAAUAUUGCAAAUAUCUCAGAUUUCUUAUGCCAAUAUCUCGAUACCCAUAUCUUUGACUUUCCAUAAAUAUGGAUGAUUACCAAUAAUCUCUACCUUGAAGAUUUAAUUCGAAUAAUCUUAUCAUCACACAAUUCUCUCUGCCUUUGUCAACAACACUUGAUAGUGCCUUCUUCAACUGUUAAAUAUGUAGAAUAUUGAUCAAGUUCAAACAAUGUUCGAACUUGAUUGUUGUUACCACCUUGGUCAUCAUAUCUGCGAGAUUAUCUACAGUCUUAAUCUUUUGAAGGUGAAUUUUCCCCUCAUCAAUAAUUUCCCGCACAGAAUGGAAACGUGCAUCGAUAUGCUUUGUACGUGCAUGAUAGACUUGAUUCUUUGCUAAAUGAAUAGCACUUUGACUAUCACAAUACACAAUAAUAUGCUCCUGAACCAAUCCCAAGGUUUUAACCAUACCUUAUAACCAAAUAGCUUCCUUUACAGCCUCUGUUACAGCCAUGUAUUCAGCUUUUGUGGUUGACAACGCAACUGUAGACUGCAGUAUAAACUUCCAACUUAUUGGUCCUCCAGCAAGUGUAAGCACAUAACCAGUGGUUGAUCUUCGUUUUUCCAAAUCACCGGCAUAAUCAGAAUCAACGUACCCAAUAACACCUUUACCAAGUGUAGUAUCCUACUUGAACAGUAAUCCAAUUCCAUAGUAUUCUGAUUAUACCGUAGAAUCCAUUUCAUAGCUUGCCAAUGUCCUUUUCCAGGAUUAUGCAUAUACCUGCUCACUAUACUAACUGCCUAUGAAAUGUCGGGUCUUUACACACCAUUGCAUACAUCAAGCUACCUACUGCAUUAGAAUACAAAACUUGUAACAUGUAUUCUUAUUCUGUAUUCGUCGAAGGAGAUAGUUGUGCAGAAAGCUUGAAAUGAGAAGCCAACGGGGUAUUUACAACUUUUUUUUGCUCGUUUAUUCCAAACUUCUGUAGUACCUUUUUCAAAUAUUGCUUCUGAGACAAACUAACUCUGCCAUGAGCUUUAUCUCUACAUACUUCCAUGCCAAGAAUCUUCUUAGCUUCACCUAGAUCUUUCAUCUCAAACUCAAGGUUGAGUUGAGUCUUCAAUCCCUCAACUUCAACUUUACUCUUAGAUGCUAUCAACAUAUCAUCAACAUAUAAGAGCAAGUACACGAAAAAUCCUUCUUGUAGCUUCUGAAAAUACAUGCAAUGAUCAAAUUUACUUCUUGUGUACCUUUGCCCUUUCAUGAACUGAUCAAAUCGCUUGUACCAUUGCCUCGGAGAUUGUUUCAAUCCAUAAAGUGACUUUGUCAGUUUACAAACCCAAUUUUCUUUAUCAGCAACCUUGAAUCCAUCUGGCUGAGUCAUAUAGAUUUUCUCUUCCAAAUCACCGUGUAAAAAUGCAGUCUUCACAUCGAGCUAAACUAGUUCAAGAUCGUAUUGCACAACCAAGGCUAGCAAAAUCUGAAUAAACGAAUGCUUCACAACUGGAGAAAACACUUCAUUGUAGUCUAUUCCUUCUUUCUGAGCAUAACCCUUUGCUACCAAUCUAGCCUUGUAUCGAACUUCAUUUUUACCAAGAAAUCCUUCCUUUUUUGUAUAUACCCAUUUGCAUCCAAUUGCCUUCAUUCUUUUGGGUAGUCUCACCAACUUCCAAGUCCUAUUUUUAUAAAGAGACUUCAUUUCUUCAUUCAUAGCUUGCUUCCACUUUACACCAUCAGGGUUACUUCUUGCUUCUGUUUAAGUAGAAGGAACAUCAUCAUCUGCGAUUGGAAAUGCAUAGGCCACCAUAUCAUCAAAGCGAGCAGGCAUAUGAAUCUCUCUUCUUAGUCUCCUAUAUGCAAUUGAAUCAUGUUACUGUUAAAGUUCUUGGGUCGAAACUUCUUCAUUAUUUGUUCCUUCAAUAUUAGCUGGAUCAUCAUUAACCUUUUCAAGCUCCACUUGUGCAAAGUGCCCUAGUAUUGUUAUCCUUUUGUGAAUCUUUGUUCUUCAUCAUGGUUGAUUCAUCAAAAGUCACAUCUCAACUGAAAACAAUCUUCCUUGUAUCACGACACCAGAUACGGUAUCCUUUUACUGCACCAGUUAUACCCAUGAAUAAUGCUUUCUUUGCUCUUGGGUCUAACUUAGAUUCUUUUACAUGAUAAUAUGCAGUGGAACCAAAAACAUGUAAAGAAUCAUAAUCAGUAGCAGGUUUACCAGCCCACCUCUCCAUAAGAGUUUUUCCAUUUAUUGCAGCUGAUGGCAACCGGUUAAUUAGAUGGCACGCAUAUGUAACCGCCUCAGCCCAAAAUUCCUUGCCCAAUCCAGCAUUGGACAAAAUACAUCAAACUUUCUCUAGUAUAGUCCGAUUCAUACGUUCUACCACCCCAUUCUGUUAUGGUGUAUCUCGAAUAGUGAAGUGUCGCACAAUGCCCUCAUCUUGACAUACUUGUAGAAAUUGAUCAUUCUUGUACUCAGCACCAUUGUCUAAUCGAAGUCGUUUGACCUUUCGACUAGUCUGGGUCUCCAUCAUCUUCUUCCAUUUCAAAAAUGCAUCCAAAACUUUAUUUUUUCUUUUCAUUAGAUACAGCCAUACUUUUCUUGAAUAAUCAUCAACAAAAGUAACAAAAUAGUGCAUACCUCCCAAAGAAUCCACUUUAGUAGGUCCCCACACAUCACUAUGAACGUAGUCCAGAAUUCUUUUUGUAUUGUGAAUUGCUAAACCAAAUUUUAUCCUCGUCUAUUUGCCCAGAACACAAUGUUGAUAGAAUUCCAAUUUGCAAGAAUUUGCACUUUUCAACAAGCCUUGCUUCGCCAAACUCUGCAAAGCUUUUUCACCAGCAUGUCCCAAUCGCAUAUGCCAUAACCUGGUAGCCUCUGAAUCUGCAUAUUUCGCAGAAGCUGUUGAUGUUGACCCAAUAACUGUACUUCCAUUUAAAUAGUACAGAUUAUUCCUUCUUGUGCCUUUCAUCACCGUCAAUACCCCAGUUACUACCUUUAGUAAUCCAUCUCUCAAAGUGAUUGUGAGCCCUUUAGAUUCUAGGACCCCUAAUGAGAUGAGAUUUUUCUUCAAGCUAGGUAUGUAGCGAACAUCUAUCGAGACUUGAAUUGAGCCGUCACGAUUCUUCAAUUUGAUUAUACCUUCUCCCAUUGUCUUAAAAGCACUGUCAUUUCCCAUAAAAACAACUCCACCUUCUAGUUCUUUAAGACUAGAAAACCAGUCCUUAUUAGGACACAUAUGGUAAGUACAUCCCGAAUCUAAAAUCCACUUAUCUGUAUGACAUGCCAUUGCCAUGCCAACCAAGCUAAAGUCUGACUCCUCAUCAUGUUCCACUACACAUGCAUCAGAAAUAGCCUUGCCCUUUUGUAACUUAGGACAAUUCUUUUUCCAAUGCCCUUUUUCAUGAAAAAAAGCACAUUCAUCUUUGGACUUACUCCUUCUACCAGAUUUGUUACUGUGCGAACGACCUCUUACUGUUAAGACUUCUGUAGUUGUAUCUCUAUGAUAUUUUUUAUCUUUCUUUCGAGUCUAAGAUCUAUACAACACACUACAGACUGCAUCAGAUGUGAUCAUAUCCUUCCCAUGAAGCAAUGUGGUGGUAAGAUAAUCAUAUUCAUCAGGAAGAGAAUUCAACAUCAGUAAUGCCUUGUCUUCAUCUUCAAAUUUCUAAUCCAAAUUUAGCAAGCCUGCUAAAAUUUUAUUGAAUGAGUUCACAUGGUCAUUCAUUGACAUACCGGGUGUAUAAAUGAAUCGAUAAAGUUUCUUUUUCAUAUAAAGCCUAUUUUCAAGACUUUUUGUUAGAAACUUUUCUUCCAGUGUAUCCCACAAUUCGCUGAUGUCUCCCUCAUGACAGAGUACUUCUGCUCUUUGGCCAAACAUAGGCGAAUUGUUCCACAUGCUUGUCUAUUGAUCUUAGCCCGCUCCUUGUCAUCCAUUUUGUCAGGUUUUUCUUCAAGGGCUAUAUCCAGCUCUUACUGACAUAAGACAUCUAGGAUCUCACAUUGCCACAUACCAAAAUUUUUGGUACUAUCAAAUUUCUCUACUUCAAAAUUUUGCAUUAGUCACAGUAGUCUUUGCUGAUGACGAUACCUUUUCCAUUUUUCUCUUCAAUCCCAACUACUGUACGUGAACAAUGCCAUGAACGAUUGUACUCCCUAAGUACGAAUCUAACUCUGAUACCAAUUUUUGUGCGAAAGCGUGUAAAAGAGUAAAAUUAUUGUACUAAAAAUCACACUAAGUUUAAUUCUUAGGAAAGAGAGGUGGAUCACAAGGAUCACUUAAGUACCAGGUCUUGCCUAGCCAGAAUAUCCCUCAAUCGUAAUUUAAUAGCACAAUAAAUCACUACAAUCACACACACAAUUUAUGCAGAAUAAUACAAUAAAGAACACAAGAAUUUAGUGAGGUUCAGCAAAUUUUGCCUAAGUCCUCGGGCACUACCAAAUAUAUUUCACUCCAAAAUACAAAUGAGAAUUUACAUAGAGAGAGAGAGAAAACAAUGCCUUAAGUAGAGAAUGGCAAAUAUGGGAUACAGAAUGAGAGAUGGUUAUGCCUAUUUAUAGUUGAGGUUCAGGGAUCAACUUGCAAAGUCACUUUACAAUUAGGGACCAAAUAUUGCAAAUAUCUCAGAUUUCUUAUGCUAAUAUCUCGAUACCCAUAUCUUUGACUUUCCAAUAUUUGAUACCUAUAUCUUUGACUUUCCAUUAUUUGAUACCCAUAUCUUUGACUUUCCAUAAAUAUUGAUGAUUACCAAUGCUUACUUUAAGAAAUAACACCAAAAUUUUUUGAAAUGUCUUAUGCGACAUUGUAACUAUCAUAUGUAUAACUUUAGAACUUUGUUCCGUUGUCCUCAGGAAGCGGCUUGAUUCAUCUCUUCAAGAAGAGAAACAACACAGCAAGAGAGAAGCGGUUGGUGUUCUUCUUCUUUUUUAUGUGCCUUAGUUCUCUUUUAUGCUAUAUAAGACAUUUCUAUAUAACGUUAAACAACAGUAGUGGAACAUGUUUCUGUUCUACUUUUUGCAAACUAAUACUAUUGUUACUUGUUAAACAAUUGAAUAGUGUAGACAAUCAUUAGAAAGAAUGCCUAUUUGUGACACAUGGAAGAGCUAUGAUUGAGAUUGUUUGUUAGUAUGGUUCAACCUGCUACUAAAGCUGCACAUAAUUGUUUGUUAUAUUUUUUUUUAGCCUUAAUGGCUAUAUAUAUAUAUUUUAUUUUUAACAUCUCUCUUGUUUACCAAGUUUGUUGGUUUAUCUGAUCAUUUGGUUUUGCAUCAUUUAGAUAUUGAAGGUGUAACAGAGGAUUCAAUCUCUUCAAGCUAGAAAAGCCAAGGCUUAGCACUUCUUCAAGUGGAAUGUUAUUUAAUGUUGCAUUCCAUGGUCGUUUAUCUUAGUCGGAACUUGAAUUUGGUGUUAUUGAAACAAGGUUUUAUAGCUACCUUGUGUACUAGCUUCUUUAACCAUGAUUUUUAACUAUUACGUGUUUUGUAGCUUCUUUUAUAAUGGGCUGAGUUAAUAUAGAUCAGGUGAGCUGUGAGGUAGAUUGCUCAUUUAUUUAAACAUAAUAUUGAAAUUCUAAAUUUAAAUUCAUUAAUUUUUAUAUUUAGUUUUAAAGUUAAAAUUUUAAUAGAAAAUUUAAUUUAAUUAAUAUUUUUAUCCUUAAAAGUAUAUAGUUUAAAGUUUAAAUUUAAAAAAUAAAACAUAAUAUAAUAUUUAUCAUCGAAAUAAAUAUUAUUUAAUUAAAAUAUUUUUUAAAGUUUUCUUUAGCGGCAUUUCUGAAAAAGUGCCGCUUAAGGUCAUGUUCUUUAGUGGCGUUUAUGAUGAAUGCGUCACUAAAUGUCAUGUUCUUUAGCGGCGUUUGUGAUGAACGCGCCGCUAAAGGUCAUAUUCUUUAGUAACAUUUGUGAAAAAAUGUCGUUAAAAUUAGCGACAUUGUCUAUAGUGGCAUUUUGCAAGCGCCGCAAAUACUUUUAGCGGUGCUUCUAAAAAAAGGCCGCUAAAAGCCUGUUUUGCUGCAGUGAUUUCCUAAAAACUUAUAAUUUUGCAGAGGAACUCUUUAAAAGUUAUAUUUUUGAAAACACAAUUUGUUAUUUGAAACCUCUUGGUUUUGCAGAAAACAAUCGUUGUAGAUAAAUCGUUUAAACAAUUUAAUAUGGAAAACGGAAAAUAACGUUCAAAACCCAAAACAGUCCAAAAAGUCCAGUCAGUCCAAAAUUUACAAAAACACUUUAACCCAAAUUAAAUUAAUUAUAAUAAUCAACCUGAACGAAAAACUUUUUAUAACCGAUCACCUUCGCACCAACCUGUCUAAGUCUGAGGAUUAACUGAAAAUAUCAGACAAAUGGAAUGUGAGUUUUCAAAACUCAAGGUGUAACAAAUAACUUAACCAUAAAUUUAUACAAGAUAGAUUUUACAGAAACAGAAUCAUAACAGAGCAGACAUGCUUUCCUACCACCAUCCGCUACACACCAUCUCCGACCAUCCCAACACACCAUAUGGGGUAUGCAACACCCAUCCAACCCUACACACCACUUAGUGACAUUAAGAAACUUUUCAAAAUCUUUGCAACUGUGCUGCCAGUAUAAUGGGCGAGAUUUUGCCUCUCACAGAAACACUUCCUCCACAUAAUAUAACCCGUCCCCAAUGCAAAUAUAAUCAGAACAGAAAAUUAUACAUGUUACAGUUAUACAUGCAUGUCAUAACAGAUAACCUAUUACAAGGUUAACAUAUCAUAUUUUAUCUCAAAUACACAUACAUAUAAUAGAAGCAUGCUAAUAAAUGACUAGAUUCCAUGUUUUAUAGAUUAUUUUUAAAAUUAUUCAUGCAUCGAUUAGUAUACAACAUUUUGAUCGAUAUGAUUGAAAUUUGUCGGAAUAAAUUGGUGCAAUUAAUAUAAGUAAAAAUUUUCAUCGUUGCGAAAUAGAGACUAAAUUAAAACUUUUUUAAAAAUAAUUAAAAAAUUAAAGCUCUUUUAAAUAGAAAUUUGAGAGGAAUUUGAAAGGAAUUUGAGAGAAUAUUAGAGAGAGAUUGAGAGAAAGGAUUUAGUUGUGAAAAAAAAUGAAAUGGGGGUUUAUAGUUUUUUUUUACAGUUGGGGGGUCACCAACGGUCAAAAAAGUAUUCGUUGCUACUGUUCACGCGCGGGCAAAACACGUCCCCAAGGGAGCGCUUACAUGGCAGGAAAACGCAUCCUUGAGAGCGCGCUUUUUGUCCACGUAGGUAAAAUGCUUCCUCAGGGACACGUUUUCCUACCACGUCCCCUGACAUCGCGCUGACGUGGACGCGCUUUCGAGGAAUAGGGCCGUUCCUAUAAAUAAUUAUUUACCGGAACCAUUUCAAUAAUUUUUUUAAAAAAGGGGCAUUUAUAUGUAAUUUGCCCCAUAACAACUGUAUAUAGAUAGCCAGGGUGUCCAAGAUUCUCAAAAGCCAAAAUUCUUGAACAUGGCAGAAAUAAGCUUAGAACGAGCUCAAGAAUCCAUUGUGAAUCGACGACAGGAAUUGAAAGCUUUCGAUGAAACAAAAUCAGGAGUGAAAGGGCUGGUAGAUUCGGGCUUGUCAAAGAUUCCAACGAUUUUCAUCGACGAACAGUACAAGCUUGAGAGAAACAACGUCCAUAACCAGAAACCUGGAAGCCCCACCAACAAUGACGGAAUCCCAAUCAUAAACUUGACCGGCGUCGACGAUGAUCCAAAUUUACGUCGCGAAAUAGUGAAGAAAAUUGGAGAAGCUUGCGAGAAAUGGGGUUUCUUUCAAGUUAUCAACCAUGGGAUUCCGUUGCCGACUACGGAUGAAAUGAUAAAUGGGGUUCGCAGGUUUCAUGAGGAUGACGAAGCUAAGAAAGAGAUUUAUUCUCGAGAUUAUUCCAAGAAAGUGUAUUAUAACAGUAACAUCGAUCUUUACAAGGCGGAAGCAACCAAUUGGAGGGAUACUUUAUGUUGUGUUAUGGCACCUCGCCACCCUCUUCCUCAAGAACUGCCUGCGGUUUGCAGGUAAGUAGUAAAUAUAACCUCUAUUAUCAAUGUCCGCAAUGAAUAAAUUAAGUUUAAUUGGAGCAAAUGUUGCUAGGAAUAUAGAUCAGUCACGUAUGAAAUGAAGGAAAUUAAAACGUAAAUAGCUACUUAUAUGAAACAUAUUUUGAUACGAUAAUAUUUUUGCAAAAAUCAUAUCUGAAGCUAACUUCAUCCGCAGAGAUAUAAUGAUAGAAUAUUCAAGCAAAAUGAUGAAAUUAGGGCAGACUUUGUUAGAAUUGAUGUCGGAAGCUCUGGGUCUGAAUAGGAGUUAUUUGGAAGAUAUUGGGUGCGGUGAGGGAAUGUUUGUGAAAGGCCAUUACUAUCCAUCGUGCCCUGAACCGGACUUGACAUUGGGCACCAGCAGUCACACCGAUACCGACUUCUGCACCGUAGUUUUACAAGAUGAAAUCGGCGGACUUCAAAUCCUCCAUCAAAAUCAAUGGCUUGAUAUUAAUCCUGUCCAUGGAGCUCUUGUUGUAAAUUUGGGUGAUAUGAUGCAGGCAAGCUCACCUUAACUUUAACCCUAAUAUCAUAAUUUAGGUAUUUUAUUGCUAUAUAUAUUAUAUUAUAUUAUAUUAUAUUAUAUUAUAUUAUAAAGUCUAAGAUCGAGCAUAACAUAUUUAUAUUAUUGACAUCUCACUUAUUAAAUUUAUACUUUUUUAAAAAUAUAUAAUAAAUUGUCUCAGUAAUUUUUAAUUUUAAUUACUUAAUAUUUUGUUAAUAAGUUCAGUUUAAAUCAUCUCAAUAGUUAACCAUUUUAAAAAUAAAAUUUAAAAUAAGCAUGAUAUAUGUACAAGCCCAAAUAUGCCCGGGCCCAUACAAAAUAAAAACAUAGCAGGCCUAAUUACUUAUCUACAGACUAAACCCAAAAAUUCAGCCCAAUUACAUUAACCCUAGCCCAGUCCAGAAGCCUUAGCCCUUUCUGCUUCAGUGCCGCAGCAAUCUGGCGCCGCAACUGCUCCCGCGCACCACGCUUGUCGAUCCCGCACAUCGCGCCCCUCGCUGCCGCGAAUCUGGCAGCACGACCCGCGCCUUCCCCACGUUUGUACCUGCAACAGCAAACAUCAACAAAGAAAAGGAAGCCAAAUAGAAUAGCAAAAAUCGGGCAAUAUAAUGCCAACAAAUAACAGAAUAGAUUUGGUGGGAUUUUCUAUUUCGGCUAUAAAAGCCCGAUUUUAAUCUGUAAAAGGGGGGAAUUUUUCGGUGUAAAAAAGAUACAAAAGUAGAAGCAAAAAACACAGAGAAAUUUUUAAAAUACAAAGGUGAAUCGGGUUUCUCUUUUUUGUAUAUUUUCUAUUAUUAUUAUUGUUUUUUUUGUAAACAAAAGUCAAAAAAGGAGAAGGAAAACUCACCUAAUCGCCGGAGCCAACGUGCCGUCGCGGUGACCCCUCUCCGUCGUAAUCGGAGGCUGGGGUGUCGUCGGAGGCCAAGGGGGCGGCCUAGUGACGGCGGCGCAAAAGGGCAGGGUAUAAACCCUAGCAGAGAACACAUGAGUUUUUUUUUGUUUUUUUUUUCUUUACAUUUUGUUAUAAAUGAUUUUUAGGGAAAAUUUUGAUUUAAAUAACAUUAGCAAAAUGGCGUCGUUUUGAGGGGAGGGGAUCCGCGUGUUGACCCGACCCGACCCGGGGAGGAUCCGCGCGUUCUUGCCUUUGGGGAAAUUUGCACAAUUGGCCCCCUAUUUUUGCACUGCAUUUAAGUCGCAUUUCUGAUUUCUUUUAAAUUUUGCUAUGAAUUUUAUUCAAUUGCGAAUUAGUCCCAGUUGCUGCGCACCGAUUACAGGGAAAUGGAUUAUUUCCAUCUAGGCCCCUCAUGCAAUGCGCACAUCACAAUUUGCCCCUCCGUUUUGUUUUAAUUACGUUUUUCUUUGUAAUUCAUUUGUUUUUUAUUUUUAUUUUUAUUAUUAUUAUUAUUAUUAUUAUUAUUAUUAUUAUUACUAUACAUAUACACGCAUGUUUUAGAUAAUAUACAUACAUAUAUUUUUAAAAGAUUUUAAAUAUAUAUAUUUUUGUACAUACAAACGUUCUUUUUAUAUACAUACUUUUGUUUUCAAAUUAUUUUUUCUGUAAAUACGAAUAUAUUUGUAUAUUUCUAUUUUAUAUGUACAUAUGCAUAUCUUUUAUCCAUACGUUUUUUUAUAUUUUUUUAACUUUAUAUACUUUAUAUUUUAUAUAUAUACUUGUACAUUUUUUUUUGUAAAUAUAUAUACAUAUACAUAUAUAUUUUUUUAAAAUCUUAUUUUCAUAAUUUUCAUGUACAUAAAUACAUACUUUUUUUAUAAAUUAUUACAAGGUUUUUGUUUAUAUAUUUCAUUCCUUUUCUCUCACAUGUAUACUUAUAUGUUUUUUUUUGAAAAAGAUACAUGCACACUCAUAUUUUUAAUUUACUUGUAAAUUGUUCUUGUAUAUAUAUUUUGUAAAUACAUGUACAUAUAUAUUUUAAAUUAAGGUAUUUGUUUCAUGUUGUACAUUAACCUUUUAACACGCCUUUUAGAAAACACAUAUUUUGGUUCUUAAAGUAUUUAAAUCAUCCUAUUUUAUAAAUUUCAAAAUAUUUGGCAUUCAUGAUUCUCGUGAAAGAUCGUGUCCUAACUUACUGGAUUGCGAUUAUUUUUCGAUGAAUUUAGAAAGCCAAGUAUUUGUUUUGCAAUAAAUCCACAAAUUUCAAAUAAAAGCUUAUUCUCGGGAAUUCAAAAAUGUUGGGUCCUAACUUACUAGUCAUGACAUUUUAUUAUCUCGAAAUAAGGAUUUCAAAAACAAAAGGUAAUAUUUAGAAUUUUGAAGAUUUAAAAAUAUUGUGCCCUAACUUACUGGGUGUGGUGUUUUAUUUCUUUGAAAUAAGAAUAUUUUUUUGACUCGUUUGCGAGUUAAAAUUUCUCUUUUAAAAUCUUUUUAAAUUUUUGACACCAAGACAUUAAAUAAUCAAUUUGGUACUGAUUUUGGGCAUUACGGGGGUGCUAAUCCUUCCUCGUGCGUAACUGACUCCCGGACUCAUUUUCUCAAAUUUCGUAGACCAAAAUCAUUUUAAGGUGAGCCGAUCACACCUUAAUAAAGGAUCGAUGGCGACUCCAAUUUUAUUUUUAAAAGUCGACAACAAAAUUUUUGUUUUCAAAAAACGGUUUCGACAGCUUGGCGACUCCACUGGGACUUUGAGAGUCGAGCCAUGAAUUGAUUAUGCUUUGUCUUUUUGUCGAAAGUCAAAAGUUUUUUUUAAAAAAAUCAUGAGUUCUCUUCGCAUUCAUGGAUUUUUCAUCUUGGUAUGUUGGCAACUUUGCAUUUUGCAUUGUAUGGUUAGUUUUACCCCCUUAAGUGGGAGCGAGAAACUAGUCCUUCGUGAGGUUUUCACCUCCGUGCAGGGUAGUGGACCGCUUCCGGGAUACAUCCGUACCUAUGUCUUCGUGAGAUUUUCAUCUCCGUGCAGCCAUAGGGAAAUGUAUCCCCCUGAACUGAACUCGAUCCACAUGAGCCUAUAAUGGGUGAGGAUCGAGGAAUCUGCUGGUUCGGGUACCCUUACUCUAGAAACUAAGCCUCAUAUAGUGAGCUUUAGGAACUUUCCCUAGGUAGAGCUAUACCAAACCCUAGUGGAUUCCUGAAUAAAUGUUCUUACUAUUUCUUAUUCGUGUUGAAUUAUAUAUUUUUGGUGUGAUAUUGACUUGGGUUUAUUUUGUUUUGAUUGCAUGACAUCAUGAUUACAUUGCAUUUGCAUUUAAGAAAAGAAAUGUUGAUUUGAGUUCGAUUACUAGAUUAGAAAGCUUGUUAUGGAAUACGGGUUUCUUGAUAAGGUGGAAGAUAAUACAGUGGUCCGAAAAAACAUGGCACGAAAACCCUAACAAGAGGAGUAUACGACUUUACUGCAUGACCUGAGGAUCCAAAUUGUCAAAGUUUAUUCAAAAGUCAUCAAAGGUCCCAAUCUCAUAAAGAAGCUAAUAAACGUGAAUGAGCAAGGAUUUACGACCUAGAUCAAACAAAAAGGAGAUCAAAUUCGUGAGAUGUAUCUUAUUAUCUGAAGGGUUGAUGUCUUCUCUUGGAGUAUGAGGGCAAAGCCGUAUAUAUAUGUCCGCUUUGUGUAAAGAGAUUUGUUUUCUAGUAAAGUUUUCUAGUAAAAAAUUGAACAUGAAUCAACGUCUCUUUUCGCAUUCAAUUCAUGCAUUUGCAUUACAUUACAUCAUAUGCAUCAAAGAUUAUUAAAAGAUCCUAAUUAACUAAAAUCAUUGCUCAGUUAACCUGGAAACCAACCAACCAACCAAACAUCGUUACGGUACUCGAGCAAAGAUUAAGGACAUGGAUCAGAGAUUGGAAAAACUCGAACAGUUUCAAAAGGAGAUGCAAGACCGACUUCAGCUACAGGUGCAGGAGUGGUUAGACAAGAUGAAACAAGAGAUGUCAGAGAAGAUGCGAGAAUCCCAAGAAGAUAUAGUUGAAAAGUUAACCCAACUGAUAACUAGGGGAAGUGAUAAAGGAAAGGGCCCCAUGGCAAAUGUCGAUGAGGGAAAUGAUGAUGAACCUCUCUAUCCUUCAGGUUUCACCCCUCCACAUGUGCGAACUCAAGCUAAAUACCCUCACAAAUCUACUGUCACCAUUAUGCCGCAGUGGUUUCGAGCUGGUGUUUCGAGCUUUCAAGCUGGACCGGGAUCUAAUCCCGAAAAUAAUCCUGCCAUUCCUGACUUUGAUGAAGUGGUUGAGAAGGAAAGAGUGAAGGAGGAGUUACCGAAACAGUUAGAGGAAAGAUGCAAGUGGCUCGAGGAGAAGUUUAAGGCAAUGGAGGUUGCUGAAAGUUAUCGAGGCACUGAUGCCAAAGAACUGAGCUUAGUUCCGGACUUGGUACUCCCUCAUAAGUUUAAGAUGCCGGAGUUCGAAAAGUACAAUGGGACAACUUGCCCAGAAGUUCAUAUCACCAUGUUCUGCAGGCGAAUGGCUGGAUAUGUUAACAAUGACCAGUUAUUGGUAUACUAUUUCCAAGAUAGCCUCACAGGGGCAGCAUCUAAAUGGUACAAUCAAUUGAGUCGUACCACGAUUGGUUCAUGGAAGGACUUGGCACAAGCAUUCAUGAAACAAUAUAGUCAUGUGACAGAAAUGGCUCCUGAUAGAAUCACCCUUCAAAACAUGGAGAAGAAGCCGAGUGAAAGCUUUAGGCAGUACGCGCAGAGAUGGAGGGAGGUCGCAGUCCAAGUUCAGCCACCGCUCCUGGAAAAGGAAAUGACCAUGUUGUUCAUUAACACCCUGAAGGCACCGUUCUUUACACAUACGUUAGGAAGUGCCACAAAAAGCUUCCCUGACAUAGUCAUGAAUGGCGAGAUGAUUGAGAAUGCCAUCAGGAGUGGGAAGAUCGAUGCUGGAGAGAGUAACAGAAGAUCGGCUUCGAGGAGGAAGGAAAACGAGGUGAACAGCGCGAGCAUGUACAACAAGGGUUACCCGAAGUCAGUAACAGUGAGUCAGCCAGGAAAAGUGGCUGCCAAUCAGCAAAGCUCGUCGAGGCAAGAGGUCGGUACAAGGCGAAAUACUGAGAGGCCCCAAUUCACGCCAAUUCCUAUGUCGUACAGGGAACUAUACCGAAAUUUAUUUGACGCACACGUAGUUCCCCUUUCUAUUUGAAGCCCUUGCAACCCCCGUAUCCCAAAUGGUACGAUGCGAAUGCACAGUGCGACUAUCAUGUGGGAACAACAGGCAUUCCAUAGAAAACUGUACGGCCUUUAAGAAGUUGGUUGAAAGGCUCAUUGGUAUGGGUGUCGUUAAAUUUGAUGACUCGACCAAGGCAGAAAACCCAUUACCAAACCACACUGAUGGUGGGGUAAAUAUGAUGGGCGAAGACAAAAAAAUCAAGGCGGACAUUGCGGACGUGAAAACUCCUUUGAGAUAGGUCUGGAAGGAGAUGGUGAAAAGGGGACUAAUCGUCUCAGAAGGAAGUUGUGAAAAGAGGGGGAACUACUGUGAGUUCCACCAUGAAGUGGGGCAUGAAAUUCAAGAGUGUAUGGAGUUUAGGGCCAUGAUACAAGGUAUGAUGGAUAAUAGGGAGAUGGAAUUCUGUGAAUGAGUUCAAGAGGAGAAUCAUGUAUGCGCGUCAGAGUUGGCAUUGGGAGUUUCGAAGGCUAACCAUCCUGUGGUCAUCAUUUCACGACCUCAGAACAGUGAGGUUGGGGCACGUAUAACGCCAAAAGUAAUCAUUCAAAAACUGGCUGUGUUUGCAUAUAAGGAUAAUAGGAGGGUUCCUUGGAAUUACGAUUGUAAUGUGACAAUCCCGGGGAAGGAGGAUAUAAUCAGUAAAGAGGAUCAGGAUGUAGAAAGGAACUGUGAACAGAUGAAAGAUCGAGUAGAGCCAAUAAGAGAAGAAACUUCGGUUGGAAGGAAGAAGAAGGCGGUCGAACCUGAAUUAUUAGUCAAUGAACCAAUCAACGAGGAGGAAGCUAGAGAGUUCUUGAAGUUCAUAAAGCAUAGCGAGUACAGCGUUGUGGAACAGCUGCACAAACAACCAGCUCGCAUAUCUGUGCUAGCUUUACUCCUGAACUCGGAGGGAUAUCGAAAUGCACUACUGAAGGUGCUAAAUGAAACUUAUGUGGCCGACGAUAUCUCUGUUAACAAGUUGGAUCGACUGGUCGGCAAUAUAAGCGCUGAUAAUUUCAUCUCCUUUAGCGAUGAUGAAAUACCACCUGGGGGUAUGGGAUCUACUAGGGCUUUACACAUCACUGCAAGGUGUAAAGGGUGCAUAUUACCGGGAGUUCUGGUAGACAACAGGUCAGCACUGAAUGUAUUGCCUCUAUCCACGCUCAACAGGCUAUCUAUGGAUAUUUCACAUAUGAAGUCGUGCCAGAAUAUGGUGAGAGCGUUUGAUGGCACCGAGAGGAAGGUCAUGGGAAGAAUUGACAUACCCUUGUUAAUUGGCCCAACUAUCUAUGAGGUAGACUUCUUGGUUAUGGACAUCAAGCCUUCCUACAGUUGCCUAUUAGGAAGGCCAUGGAUUCAUUCAGCAAGUGCGGUACCGUCAUCGUUACAUCAAAAACUGAAGUUGGUAGCAGAAGGCCGGGUAGUGACGAUAAAUGCUGAAGAAGAUAUCAUUACAUCUGUGACCAAUGAUGUACCUUAUUUGGAAACAAGUGAUGAUGCAAUCGAGUGCUCUUUCCGUUCCUUGGAGUUCGUAAAUGCAACAUUCAUCCGUGAGGGAAACAAGAUCCCGAUACCGAGAAUAUCAAAGACCACAAAGGUGGGUUUGCAAUUGACAGUUGGAAAGAGAGCUUUGCCGAGAAAAGGAUUGGGGAAGUAUCUUCAGGGCCGAGUUGAGACUCCAGUGUUGAAAGACAAACAAGACCGUUUUGGCUUAGGAUACAAGCCAGAUGCUAGGCAGAAGAGGAUAGAGCAAGAAAAGAAGCGAGAGAGAAGAAGGGCUCGUUUGACAGGUGAUGACGUCAAAUGGGAGCCCAUGACCUUUCCUCACCUAUCCAAGACUUUUGUAUCGAGAGGAUUCAUCUAUCAGGGAAUGCUAGAAGUUGGAAGUAUUAACACGGAGUUAGAAAGUAUUCAUGCCGUGUAUGAAGAAGCGACGGGAGGAAGAAAUUUGCCGGAUAUUCACCCUUAUGAGUCGGGAAGUGCGCUAAAUAACUGGACUGCAGAAGAAAUACCUAUAGUUUUUAGGAUUUCCUCAGAGUAAUGUCCCGAACACCCUUAUUGCUUUUAGCCUAGAAGUGAUAAGGAUUCCUUUGUGAAAUAGGCUCAUGUCCAAAUCGCUAUUUUAAUAAAGUUCAUUUUUGCAGUCAUUUUUGGAGCAAAUCUUUCUUUCCAUAAGAGCAGUUAUUUUGAAUUUCUCCCGAACUACACUUGCAUUUCAUUCAUGACCAUAUUGCACCAAACAAAUUCCUGAAUCCAUAUUGUUUUUCAUAACAGGUCCUACGAUAUCAAUGAUACGAAUGUAACUCUUACAAAGUUAGAGUCUCCUUUUGAACGAAACAUGUGUUUAGAGGGAUCGCAUGAUUUUGAGGAUGACGAAGACUGUGGUUUGUCUCCUGACUUGUUGAAAAUGGUAGAAAGGGCUGAGAAGCAAAUCCUACCUCACAGGGAGUCAAUAGAAAUUGUGAGCUUAGAGGAAGGUAAAGAAGUGAAGAUCGGAUCGGAUAUCUCUGCAAAGACAAGACAAGACCUCAUCGAAUUACUCCGAGAGUUCAAUGACGUGUUUGCAUGGUCAUACCAGGAUAUGCCGGGGUUGAGUACUGACAUUGUAGUCCAUCGUCUCCCUAUAAUAAAAGAUUGCAAGCCAGUGCAGCAAAAGCUCAGAAGGAUGAGGCCUGAUAUCGUGUUGAAGAUAAAUGAGGAGGUUCAAAAGUAGUUUGAUGCCGGAUUUCUGCAAGAAGUCAAGUAUUCUGAGUGGGUGGCUAACAUCGUACCAGUUUCAAAGAAAGAUGGAAAAGUACGAAUGUGUGUGGAUUAUCGGGAUUUGAACAAGGCUAGUCCAAAGGAUAAUUUCCCAUUGCCCCACAUCGACACAUUGGUAGACAAUACUGCGGGCUUUUCAUUGUUUUCCUUCAUGGAUGGUUUUUCUGGGUAUAAUCAGAUAAAGAUGCAUCCUGAAGACAUGAGAAAGACUAUGUUCAUUACGUUAUGGGGGACGUUUUGUUAUAAAGUGAUGCCGUUUGGAUUGAAGAAUGCAGGAGCGACAUACCAAAGAGUCAUGGUAGCCUUGUUCCAUGACGUGAUGCACAGGGAAAUCGAGGUUUACGUUGAUGAUAUGAUCGCGAAAUCUAGAAUGGAGGGCGAACAUGUGCGGGUCUUGAGAAAGUUAUUCUUAAGAUUGAGAAAGUUCNNNNNNNNNNNNNNNNNNNNNNNNNNNNNNNNNNNNNNNNNNNNNNNNNNNNNNNNNNNNNNNNNNNNNNNNNNNNNNNNNNNNNNNNNNNNNNNNNNNNAGCUUAAUCCAGCGAAGUGCACUUUUGAGGCCAGGUCAGGAAAGUUGCUAGGCUUCAUAGUCAGUGAAAAGGGAAUCGAGAUUGACCUAGACAAAGUCAAGGCAAUACGAGAUUUACCUCCACCUCGCACUCAGAAAGAAGUUCGAGGUUUCCUCGGAAGACUGAAUUACAUCGCUAGGUUCAUUUCACAACUGACUGAGAAAUGUGACCCUAUAUUUCGUCUUUUGAAGAAACAUGAUCCUGGUACUUGGGAUGAAGAAUGUGAAGAAGCUUUUAACAAGGUGAAGCAGUAUUUGUCUAACACUCCAGUGCUGUCACCACCUAGCCCGGAUAGGCCGCUGAUAUUGUAUCUGACAGUAUUUGAUAAUUCCAUGGGGUGUGUGCUAGGCCAACAUGAUGAAACGGGGAGAAAAGAAAGGGCAAUAUAUUAUCUCAGCAAGAAAUCUAUUGACUGUGAAAUGAGAUAUUCGCCUAUUGAAAAGUUAUGUUGUGCCUUGAUUUGGACAACCCGAAGAUUAAGGCAGUACAUGUUAUACCAUACGACUUGGCUAAUCUCAAAGUUAGACCCGUUAAAGUAUAUGAUAGAGUCAACUGCUUUGAGUGGGAGGAUGGCCCGAUGGCAGAUCUUACUGUCUGAAUUCGAUAUUGUCUACGUGAGCCAAAAGGCUGUGAAAGGGAGUGCAAUUGCUGACUUUCUAGCUACGAGCCGUUGAGUUUUGAUUUUCCAAAUGAAGAUUUGAUGUGUAUAGCGGCUAUGGAAGAAAAUUCAUAAGAAGGUUACAGUUGGAGGCUAAACUUUGAUGGAGCCUCGAAUGCUGUGGGCAAUGGAAUUGGGGCAGUCCUAGUGUCCCCGAAUGGUGAUCAUUAUCCUUUCACUUGCAAAUUUGAUUUUGAUUGUACAGACAACAUGGCAGAAUACGAAGCAUGCAUCAUGGGUAUUCUUGCGGCUAUAGAGCGAAGAAUCAAAGUGUUAGAGGUUUAUGGAGAUUCAGCAUUGGUGAUAUAUCAGCUCAAGGGUGAGUGGGAAACGAGAGAUCCCAAAUUAAUCAGUUAUCGAAAGUUGGUCCUUGAAUUGAUUAAAGAGUUUGAGAAUGUCACUUUUUGCUAUCUCCCACGAGAUGAAAACCAGAUGGCCGAUGCACUAGCUACUUUAGCCUCCAUGAUUAAGGUGAACAGACAUGAGGAUAUAAAGCCUAUCCAAAUGAGUAUCCAUGAAGACCCGGCUCAUUGUUGCAAUAUUGAAGAAGGGGAAAUCGAUGAUAGUCCUUAGUAUCAAGAUAUACUACGAUAUGUAAAAAAUCGUGAGUAUCCUGGCCAGGCAACGAAGAAUGAAAAGAGAACUCUGAGAAGGCUAGCCAUUGAUUACGUCUUAGAUGGGGAGAUCUUAUACAAUAGGGGAAAAGAUCAGGUACUGUUAAGAUGUGUGGAUGCCGUGGAAGCAAAGAAAAUCCUAGAAGAAGUCCACGAGGGCAUCUGUGGAACGCAUGCCAGUGGGUUCACAAUGGCUAGACAAAUUAUGAGAUUCGGGUAUUACUGGUCCACCAUGGAAGGGGAUUGCAUCAAUUAUUCCAGAAAGUGCCAUAAAUGUCAAAUCUAUAGUGAUAAAAUGCAUGCACCUCCUUCGCCUCUUCAUGUCAUGACUUCUCCAUGGCCUUUCUCCAUGUGGGGUAUGGAUGUCAUCGGGCCAAUAUCGCCGAAGGCUUCAAAUGGGCAUCGUUUCAUAUUUGUGGUUAUUGACUACUUCACCAAAUGGGUAGAAGCUGCUUCGUAUGCCAACGUUACGAAGUCAUCAGUCAGUAAGUUGUUGAAAAGGGAGAUCAUAUGUCGGUAUGGAAUGCCUGAAAGAAUCAUAUCUGACAAUGCGCUGAACCUAAACAAUAGCUCAAUAGCAGAAGUCUACAAUCAAUUCAAGAUCAGACAUCACAAUUCAUCGCCGUAUCGCCCAAAAAUGAAUGGUGCAGUGGAACCGGCUAAUAAAAAUAUAAAGAAGAUUGUGGGGAAGAUGACUGAGACCUACAGGGACUGGCACGAGAAACUACCGUUUGCCCUUCUUGCUUAUCGAACGUCAAUCAGGACCUCCACUGGGGCAACGCCCUUCUCCUUAGUUUAUGGCAUGGAGGCAGUCUUGCCCAUCGAAGUUGAAAUUCCUUCUCUCUGGGUUUUGACUGAGCUACAAUUGGAUGAAGCAGAAUGGGUUCAAUCUCGAUAUGAUAAGUUGAAUCUGAUAGAGGGAAAAAGGCUAAAGGUUAUUCAGCAUGGUUAGAUGUACCAGAAAAGAAUGAUGCGAGCCUACAACAAGAAGGUCUGACCCAGAGACUUUCACGAGGGGGACCUGGUGUUGAGAAAAAUUCUUCCUCUACAAAAAGAUUUUAGGGGGAAAUGGAUGCCAAAUUGGGAAGGUCCUUAUGUUGUAAAAAAGGCCUUUUCUGGAGGAGCCCUGAUUCUGGCUGAAAUGGAUGGAAGAAACUUGCCUAAUCCAGUAAAUUUAGAUUCGGUCAAGAGAUACUUUACUUGAAGAGGGGAAGGAACCGAGGUGAAAACCCACAAAGGGCGCUUUGAUUCCAAAAAAAAAAUAGAGAGGCUAGGGUGAAAACCCGCAAAGGGCACCUUAAGACCAAAGGGGUUUGAGUUGAAAACCUGAAAAGGGCGGCUCAAAUUUUGACUGUCACGUGGUAGCCGUGUUGUACCUAAAUCGGUAGAAAGGAAUAGACGACAUCUUGGGGCAUCAACAAAAUACUGUGAAUCUCCUAAACGCGUGUUGAAUUUAGAAGGGUCUUCGAAAAGUUGUAUAGAGAAAUUCAAGCAGAGAUAUCUGGGGCACCUGUUCAUAGUAUUUGUAUUGAAUUCAUUUUUUUAGAAUGUUUCAUUCUUUUUCAAUAUAAAUGUCCCCAGACAAUUCCUCUAUCAUUGACAACCCAUUGCGAACUAUGCUCCCAAAUUAAUUUUGUUUAUUUUAUCGUUAUGAUCUUUUCGCAAGCAUGUUGCAUUAGAAUGACGAUUAAUGGACUAGUAAAACUUUCACAAGGGAAGUUUUUCAUACUACUAUAGAAAUUUCUAAAUAACACAGGAGCCUGAAGCAGGACUAUUGUUUAGACUUCACCGGGUUAAAAGGUCGAAGAUAUCUAGGGGUCAAGAGUCAAGAUAUAGAUUUCCAAGUUUUGACGAAGCGUUAUUGUCACAAAGGAAGCCUUAAUGAGCAAUAAUGACUUUAAACAUUCAAUAUUCAUUUUUCAUGACAUAACAUUCAAAUGUCAUUCAUACACGUCUAGUUAGGAGCAUUUGAUUCAUUUGAUCAUGACAUCCUAAUCACUAGGCAUAAUUAGGCUCAUCAUACAGGUCAUGUUCCACAGAGAACAAGUCGGUGGAAUCAUAAAACCUUAUCUCCCUGAGCAGCAGUGGAGCAGGUUGAAAGAAAGCAGAUCUUGUCUUCAUGUACUAGUGGCGAAGCAGAUCAAAGAAACAGAUCUUGUCUCCCCAUACUGGUGGUGGAGUAGAUCGAAGAAAACAGAUCUUGUCUUCAUGUACUGCCGUGAAGUAGAUCAAAGAUACCAGAUCUUGCCUUCCCAUACUGGUGGCGAAGCAGAUCAAAGAAACAGAUCUUGUCUCCCCAUACUGGUGGUGGAGUAGAUCGAAGAAAACAUAUAUUGUCUUCAUGUAUUGGCGUGAAGUAGAUCAAAGGUACCAGAUCUUGCCUUCCCAUACUGGUGGCGAAGCAGAUCAAAGAAACAGAUCUUGUCUCCCCAUACUGGUGGUGGAGUAGAUCGAAGAAAAUAGAUCUUAUCUUCAUGUACUGACGUGAAGUAAAUCAAAGAUAGCAGGUCCUGUCUUCCUAUAUCGGUAGCGAAUUGGAUCGAAUAUAUAGAUUUUAUCUUCCCAUACUGGUGGCGAAGUAGAUUGAAGAUUACAGAUCGUAUCUCCCUAAGCAGAGGUGGAGCAGAUCAAAGAUGGCAGAUUUUACCUCCCUGAAGUUGCAGUGGAGUAUAUUGAAGCCAGUAAUUCUAUUCCCCUGGUCGACAGUGGAAUCGAUCGGAAAAAGCAGAUCUUGUCUUCAUGUAUUGGCGUGAAGUAGAUCGAAAAAAGCAGAUCUUGUCUUCCCAUACUGGUGGUGAAGUAAAUCGAAGAUACAAGUCUUAUCUUCCUGAAAUUGCGGUGGAGCAGACAAAAGUAACCAAUCCUAUCUCCUUGAAGUUGCAAUGGAGUGGAUUAAAACCGCAGAUCUCAUCUCUCUGAAGUUGCAGUAGAGCAGAUCACAUCAGAUUUACCCUUAAGUUGUAACAGAACAAGUUGAAGCUAUAAGUCUUAUCUCCCUGAAGUUGCAAUGGAGCAGAUUAAAGAUAGCAGAUUUUGUUCUUUUGAGAACCUACAACAUAUGAAUCCUAUCUCCCCAACAUUCCAGUGGAGUAGAUUGGAGCACCAGUUCCUGUACCUCUGAAGAUGCAGUAGGAAAGAACGAGGUUACUUAAAAUAGAGAAGCAUUAAAGAAGCUGAGGCUCAAUAAGACUGGGCACCAUUGGGCCCUGUAGUCUUUGCUCUAUUCCCGUUACACGACAAUGAGCAAAGAGGGGCAGCUGUAAUAGGGCCCAAUCGACCCAGGCCCAAACAUAAAAAACAACCCAAAAUAGUCCCUAGCCCAGCAACUAAAGAAAACCUAAGGGAGAAAUAAACCCUAGCCGCAUGUCUGCCCCGACGCCGCCAGCAAGCAUCCAACCGCCGCACACCUCGGGGCCACUCCUCCACGAACGCUCCGUGAUACCUGCAAACACGGACUCAAAGAGUUCGGAGGAGAAAAACAAGCAAAAUAUAUAAUUUAUUUAUUUUAUUUUUUUCUUUUCGGCCUAUAAAAGGCCAUUAAAUCUGUAAAAUAAGGGGACGAAUAUUGUAUUGACGGAGAAAUACACAGGGAAAUUGAAAGAAAAUACAGAUAUUAAACUUGUUUUUCAAAGGUGAUUUUUGCUUUUUAUUUUGCAGCGUUUGUUUUAUUUUGUUUUCAAAAUUUUUCUGGUUUUUUUUCUUUUAUUUUCAUCAUUAUUUUGUUUAAAAUAACAAAGGAAAAGGAGGGAUCUUACCUCUGUCGUCGAAGCUGCCGGACCGUCGCCGUACCCGUCGCGAUUGGAGCACCGGCAUGGGACGUGGGGUGGCGCGAGGACGCUAGGGUUUAAACCCUAGCAGAGCACCAGAGAAACUUUUUAUUUUAGUUUGUUUUAUUUUAUUAUUAUUUUUUCAUUCGGUUUCAAAUGAUUUUGAAGGGCAAAAAUUUGGUAUUAAAUAACGUUCAAAACGGCACCGUUUUGUCAAGACCCUGACCCGCGCGGUGACCCGGCCCGAAGGGGAGGAUCCGCGCGCUCUAACGUCACAUAGUCUAUUUGCGCAAUUGGCCCUUCCUUUUUUGCGAUGCACUUCAAUUAAACUCAUUUUGUUUUUUUAAAUUUAGCCGCAUCUUUCAUUUCUGUUUCAAUUCGGUCUUUCGUUACGCAGUGUUUUGGAGGGUGGGAUUAAUUUCCCUUUUAGUCCCCUAUAGUUGCUCGCGUGUUCAAGUUUGUCGUCUUUUAUUUAUUUUCGAAUCUACCCCAUUUUUUUGUUUUUAAGUUCAAUUUAGUCCAUUUUAGUUUUUUUCUAUUUUUUUAAAAUAUUUAUCAUUAUACCAUUAUUUAUUAUUGUUAUAUUAUUUAUUAUUAUGGUUAUUAUCAUUAUUUCUAUAUUCAUGCACGCAUGGUUUUUACAAUAUAUAUAUAUAUAUGCAUUUUUUUAUGUAUUAAACACACAUAUUUUUAUAUAUAAUAUAUACGCAUUUUUUUAAAUAUAUAUAUUUUUUAAAGCUUUUAUGAAUACAUGCAUACCUACAUAUUUUAAUACAUUCAUUUUCUAUAGUAUAAAUAUAUAUUUUUUUGGUUUUUUAAAUUAUUAUAUUAUUUUAUAUAUGCUCCAUUAUUUUAUAUACAUAUUUUACAUAUUUUUUUAUAUUUUUACUUUAUUUACACAAUUCUCAUAUACAUAUAUACAUGCAUUUUUAGAAAUUAUUAUAAGUUUUUAUGUAUUUUAUUCCCUUUUUAUAUGUAUACUUAUAUAUGUGUUUUAUAUAUGCAUUAAUAUUUUAUCAUGUUUUUAAAGAAAAUACAUUUUGGUUUCGUCAAAGCAUUAAAAUCGUUUUUUUAAAUAUUUUUUAAAUAUUUGGCAAUCAUGAUUCUCGAGAAAGAUCGUGUCCUAACUUACUGGAUUGCGGUUUUUUUUGAUGAAUUUAGAAAGUUAAAUAUUUAUUUUGCAAUAAAUUUACAAAUUUCAAAUAAAGCUUAUUCUCAGGAAUUCAAAAAUGUUGGGUCCUAACUUACUGGUCCUGAUAUUUUGAUUACUUGAAAUAAGAAUUUUCAAAAGCAAAAGGCAAUAUUCAGGUAUUUUGAAGAUUUAAAAAUAUUGUGCCCUAACUCACUGGGUGUGGUGUUUUAUUUCUUUGAAAUAAGAAUGUCUUAUUAUUUUGAUUCAUUCAUGGGAUAAAAAGUCUCUUCUAAAAUCAUUUCAAAUUUUUGACACUAAGACAUUAAAUAAUCAAUUUGGUACCGAUUUUGGGCGUUACGAGGGUGCUAAUCCUUCCUCGUGCGUAACUGACUCCCGAACUCGUUUUCUAAAAAUUCGUGGACCAAAAUAAUUUUAAGGUGAGCCGAUCACACCUUAAUAAAGGAUCGGUGACGACUCCAGUUUUUGUUUUUUUUAAAUCGACAACUAAAUUUUUGUUUUCAAAAAAACGGUUUCGACAAUAUACAACUAAAAACAGACCUCAAUUCAUAUAAAACACGGAAGAUAUUUACAUUAUAAAAAACACACUCGAUUAAAUAUUUAAAAACACACACAAAUUUUAUUUACUUCUAUUAUUUUAAAAAAAUAGAAAGUAAUUGAAUCUCAUGAUAAUUUGAUAUUAAUUCUUUCUUUAUUAAAUUCAAAAAUUCGAAAUAGAGUAAUAAGAAAAUUAAGAAUAAAGUAAGAUAAUAAAGAAAUGGAUUAUCUUAUCAUAUACACGAUUUAGAAAGAUGUGCUACUUUGAGAUAAAUAUAAAAUAUUCAAAGAAAAAACAAAUGUGAUCUCUAUAUAAGAUUUUAAAUUAUAUUUGUUUUAAAUAUAUACAAAAUGACUCCGUUUUUUAAAUUUUUUAUAUAUAUCCCAAUUUAUUUAAUUUUCGAUUUUUUAAAAAUAUCAUUAUAAUUUGACCUCCUUAAAAAGAUUUUCUACCUUAUCCUUUAUGAAAAUCCAUAAGUAUUUGGGUGAUGAUGGAUGGGGCUUUCUCGUCUCCCGCCUUUUCUCAUUAAAACGAAAAGAAAAAAGAAAAACCCAAAUCUAUUGCCAUUUGUGAGCCUGAACAUGGAGACAUUUGAAGUAUAGCAAUUACUGUCUCUUCCGGUGGAGAUUCCAGACAGGACACAUUCAAAACAAAACCCAUCAAAACCUAAUAUUAAAAAUAUUUUUAAUGUUCGUCAUAAAAAAUAAAUAUUUAUUUCAUAAUUAUAGUUAUUAAAUAUAUCUGAAAUCUAACUUCAUAUAUCUUUUUUAUUAUACUGCAUUUAAUUGUGUUUAAUAUCAAAUAAAUUUUAUUUAUUUAUUUUCCCUCAAAAUUGGUUUUUUAAAUUUUUAAAAACUGUUAUGCAUUUUAAUUUAUUUUAUGUAAUAAUUUUUAAAUAUUUCACUUCUACUUAAAACACUAUUGUGAUUUAUUUUUUUAUUUUUUAAAUAAGUCAAAUAUAUGAUUUUAUGUUAUUUAAAACUUUAUUUUGAACCAUCAAAAUAUAUUAUUUAAAAUUUUAUUUCUAAAAUUAAAAAUUAUUAGGUACAUAUAAUAUGAUUUCUAAGAUUAAAAUUUUAAAAAUAAUAAUUAUUUUAAACUUUAUUCAAAUUUCCUUCCUCCAUAAGUUAUAUUCAUAACCUUACAAAUAUAUUAUAUUUUAAAAAAUUAAGUAUAUUUUUUAAUUUGGUUAUAUAUUUUAAAUAUUGUUUUAUUAAUAAUUUUAUUUAAUAUAUCGUUAUUUAAAUAAAAAAAUUAUAAAAACAUAUAUAUGAGUAACCUGUGCAUCACACGGGAUAAAAAAUUAGUAUAUUAUAUUUCAAAAACUUAAGUAUUUUUUAAUAUCUUUUAAAUAUUAUUUUAUCAAUAAUUUUAUUUAAUAUAUUGUUAUUUAAAUAAUAAUUUUAUAAAACACACAAGCAACCCGUAAAUCACACGAGAUAGAAAACUAAUAUAUUAUAUAUUUUAAAUUUUGAUUAUAUCUUUUAAAUAUUGUUUAAUCAAUAAUUUUAUUUAAUAUAUCAUUAUUUAAAUAAUAAUUUUAUAAAAUAAACUAACAACAUCACACGGGAUAAAAAAUUAAUUAUUUAUAUUUGAAGCUUUGAAUAUUCAUUUUUUUUUUCUGAAAUGUUUGCCGGACAUACAUAUAUAAGAUGUGAUUUUCAGGGGUACUAACUGCAUAAAAAGCUUAGAAAGUUUAAUCAUAUCCAUGUUGAACACAUCUAUAUCCAUCUUUUACACUCAAGAAGCAAUAUAGGUUUAAGUUAAUCAUGUUUGUGUAUACUUUUUCAUGUUAUACUAUAUAGGUUUUGAGAUGUUAUGUUUUCAUUAUCUUUUUCAAGUUGUGUUCAAUAAUGCUUUUAUUAAAUCUGAUUAAUUAUCAGCUUUGACAUAAUUAUAUGAUGUGAGUCGUAUUAGUUUGUAAUGUUAGUAAUCUCACACUACUAACAAAUAUAUAGUAUAAUAAAUUUAAAAUAACCAAUUUUUUAUAAUUUGGGUAAUUAAAUUUGUUAGAGUUGUAUAAUCUAAAUUAUAAGAGAUUGUUUGUAAGUCAAAAUAAACAAAAUAUAUUUUCUUUCUAGAAGAUUUAGUAUUUAUUAGCAUAAUAUAUUUGACAUUGAUUAAAAUUAGGUUUUUUUAACCUGUAAAUAGAUGUAGUCGAAACUCCCCUUCUAUCAUUCGAAUUCGACAUUAGUGAAUUUUCUUCUCCUCUGUUUUUUGAUUUUUUCCCGAAAAGAUUUUCACGUAAAAUAUGUGUGUUAUAUAUUUUUUUUCUUUACAUUCUUUUUACCUCUUCAUUAUCAACAUUCAAAUUUUUAAUAAAAUUGGAUGCUUAACUCACUAAAUAGGUGAGCUUGCUUAUUGAACUUUAUAAAUUUAUGGUUAAAAAUAGACAUUAGAGUUUGAGUUUGGUGUUGUGAUAAUUUUUUUUUUAUAUAUAAUUCAACUACUUGAAUAAUCUAAGCAUUAAAAUGUUUGAAUUUGGUUAGCUCCAUGUUUCGAAUUACUCAAACUUCGUCUAACAAUGUCUAAAUUAAUUUAUAAAUUUCUUAUUCCUUCUUCAUAGUCGGUGAUUAUGGGUUAUUUUGAGUUUUUUUUUUUAACAUUUAAUGCAUUGAUUUUAUUAAACUAAUAGUUUUUUUUUAUCAUAUUCUAACAUUUAAUGUAUUGAUUCUAUUCAAUUUUUUUAAAAAAAAUUGUUAAUUGUAAUUUUCUUUUAACAUUUAAUUGAUGGAUAAAUAUCUUAUAUAAGUAAAUAAUAAUUAAAAAUGACAUUUGACAUCAUUUUAGAUCAGUUUAUGGAGUUUUUAACUUCACUAGGGACAAAAUAAUUACUCUUAAUUGAUUAUGGAUUAAUUUCCGUCUAAGAAGUUUUUUUUUUUAACAUUUUUCAAAUAUCUAUUAUAAUCUUUUUUUUUUAAUUUUUAUGCAGUUAAUAACUAAUGACAAAAUUUGUAAGUAUUGAGCAUAGAGUGCUUGCUACUAAAAAAGGUCCAAGAAUUUCAGUAGCAAGUUUCUUUAGAACACAACUUCCACCAGAGAAUACCUCGAGGCUUUAUGGACCAAUCAAGGAGUUGGCAUCUCAAGAAAACCCUCCACUUUAUAAGGAGACUACUAUGAAAGACUUUGUGUCAAACUACUGCUCGAAAGCAAUUCAUUGCAAAUCUCUCCAAUACCUUAGGUUAUGAGUUGUUGGUGAACUUAAUCCAACUACUUUCAAGUGCCAAAUUGUUUUGGAACUAUUUGAGUCCAAAAUUUUACUUCUGAAAUGAAUUAUGUAUUUGUAGAUUAUUGUGUUGCUUGUAAACUUAAUCGAACUAUUUUUAAGUUUAUUUCCAUCUUUCAAGUGUCAAAUCGUUUUGGAACUAUUCGAGUCCAAAACUGUACUUCAAUAAGGCAAUGAAAUGAUUUAUGUAUUUAUAGAUUAUUGUGUUGCUUGUGAUCUUAAUUAUAUUUUUAGUUCAUUUUCAACCUUUAAGAGCCAAAUUUUAUAUUUCAAAGUUACAAUUACUUGGACUUCUUUUUAGUCUUGGUUACAUAAUUUAAAAGCUUGUUAGGGCAAAUACAAAUUGCCAUCUUACACGUAAGCGAACAGGGACAAAGGCAAACGGAGUAAGCAGGGAUCUUAGUCCUCUUAAAAUGUAAAAUAUAAAAUUUAAUUCUAUAAUUAAUGAUUUAAAAAAUUGAGUAAAUAUAUAGUAAAAUUAUAAUUUGCGUCCUCAAACGAUAAUAUUUUUGAGUUCAUCCUGGACGCAGAGGGUGGAACAUAUUCAAACUCUUUUGAAAACCAUUUUACUAUAGUACUUUUUAAAAGAACUAAAAGGUUUGAAAAGAGGACCAUCUCAUGCAUAAGCAAAGGUUUUAAGUUUGGGGUCAAACAUACUCUUGAAAAUCAUUUUAUCAUAAUAACUUGUUUUUAAAAUGUGAAAAUUGACCACCUCACAUAUAUGCAAAGGUUUUCGUUCUAAGGUCAAAUAUACUCGAACCCUUUUUGAAAAAUAAUUUUAGGCAUAAAUAUAAUUGUAGCCCUUAACGUUAAUCUUUUUGUCUCUUUAACACUAAUUAUUUCUAUUGGAUCACUUUGAUCUUUGAUCUUUGAUCUUUAAUCUUCAAAAUUUAGUCAUAUUGUUUAGUUUUAGAUGAAAAAGUUGACUAGAUCACUAAAAUUUUUAUGACAUUAAAGUGACAACCUACUUGAUAGUCCAAUUAUACUUCAUUGCUAUCAUGAAUAUUUUUAAAAUUAUAUAUAUGAUUUUUUUUUGUUAUUUGUUGAAUUUUUUAUUAACUUCUAUUUUUUUUUGAAUUUUUAUGAAUUACUGGUGGACUACCACACGAGUUGUCACAUUAGUUUCGUUAAAAAUUUCAUAGUCCAUUCAACUUUUCCAUAUGAUAAAAUGUAAUUUAACAAAAAUUUGAAGGUUGAAGGCCAAAAUAAAAAAAAAGUAAGCGUUAGGGGUUAAAUUUAUUAGUAUGCCAUAAUUUUAUUAUAAUUUAGAAAAACAAAACCUAAAACAUUUGAAAAUUUAAUAAAUGGAUAAUAUAUAUAUUUUUGCUUUGAACUUGACAACUAGACUCACUUUGGUACCUACACUUUUUUAAGUCCACUUUGACACUCCAACUUCACAACUUGGUUCAUUUUGAUUAAGGAUGGCAACGGAUUGUUUAUUUGCAAAUUUUAGAUUAUCUGAAUCCAAAUCCACAAAUCUACCAAAAAUCUGAAUAUGCAAAUUAUUUGACUUUUAGUAACCAAAUCUAAAUUUGAAUUAGAUCUCAUUAUUCGCUGGAUAUCCGACUCAACAUUGAUUAAAAUAUAUAAAGUUUUACUUCUUGCAAGAUUUAGACGCAUAACCUUUAACAACUAAAGCUAUGUUUUAACUAUAAAAAAUAAUCCUCAAAUUUGUUUAAAGUUUACACAAACCAAUGAAUAACAUAUAAAUAUUAAUAAUUAAAUAUAAUAAUUAAUAAUACAUUUAAAUAUAAUAAUUAAUAAUAAAUUUAAAUAUGUCUAAAAAAUUUUAUCAGAAAAUUAUAUCCCAAUUAACAUAUUAUUCUCUUAAAUCUCAUGUAGCUUUUUUGAUGUCCACGCAACCAACUAAAAAAUUGAAUAAGGCAAGUACACCUAUCAAUUAAUAGUAUAGCUACGGUGAGUAAAGAUAUCGUUCCCACGAAGACUGAAAGUACAAGUAAUUACUGUCUUUCUAUUAUUUAACCGAAUAAUUUGAGUGUUUGAUUAAAAACUAAAAUUAACUAACAAACCUAACAAAGAAUAAUUCAGAAAAAUUAUUGAAUAAUAACCAUGAAGCGAAACAAUACCCAAGAAAGAAUCUGCCUAGAUUUCAUCUGUCACUAUCAAUCUAAAUUAUGCAAUUUCUUUACUUAGUAUCUUUAUCCGUAGAAAUCCCUAAAUUAUGCUAAUAUCUCUUUCGAGAGUAAGAGCAACUGACUCUAGGUUGAUUACACUACACCAUAACAGGUUUUUAGCGGCGUUUUUUUAGGCCUUUAGCGGCGCUUCUACAAGCGCCACAAAAAAUGCCGCUAAUGACAACGUCGCUAACGUUUGCAGCGUUUACAGAAAAAAACGCCGCUAAAGGUCAUGUUCUUUAGCGGCGGUUAAAAAAAAGACGCCGCUAAAGAUCAUGUUCUUAAGCAGCGCUUAAAAAAAAGACACCGCUAAAGAUCUUGUUCUUUAGCGGCGCAUGGAGAAAAAUGCCACUAAAGAUCAUCUUCUUUAGCGGUGCUUAGACAAAAACGCCGCUAAAAAUCAUAUUCUUUAGCGGCACUUGGUAAAAAACGCCACUAUAGAUCAUGUUCUUUAGCGGCGCUUUCUUCACAAACGCCGCGAAAAGAAAUGUUCUUUAGCGGCACUUUCUUAAAAAACGCCACUAAUUUUGGGAUUUUUGUAAAAUAAAAUUUUCCAUUUUUUCAACCCUCCUGUAGCAACAAAUCAAAAGCAACCAGAUCUAAACCAUCCAAAAGCAAUAAAUUUAUAUAAUAUUUCAAAUUAAACGAAUAAAAUAAUAUUAAUAUCAAUAAAUAAAAGUGAAUUCAUACUUUUCUUUACAAAAAUGUUAAAAGUUAAAAUGAUAAAAAUAUUUAUGCAAUACACUAUGACGGCGAAAGUUGCGACUGCUGAAACAUCUUCAUCAUAAUCUGAAGCUGCUAUUGAAGUUCGUCGUACUUUUUGCUCUGCUCUGCUUCUCUCGAUGCCGCAUCUGCUUUAAUUGUAGCUGGAGUUCUUCAUAUUUCUUUUGAACCUCUACUUCUCUUGCUGCAGCCUCUGCUUCUCUCGCUGUAGCCUCUGCUUCCCUUACUGUCGCCUCUGCUUUAAGUUGUAGCUGGAGUUCUUCAUAUUUCCUUUGAACCUCAAAUGUGGUCGCUUGCAUCUGAGCCAUCUGGUCUUUUAACCUUUGAACUUCAGCUUGAGCCUGACUCCCCGAAGCCAUGUAUUGCUGCGAGCUGGAUCCAAAAUAUUGGGUUGGGCUAACAAAAGAUCCUUGAAAUCGAACCCGACCAUACCUUUCAGGACCAAAAACUUCAAUAAUAAUCCGGUUAUCAAUGUCUUCAGGAUGAACAGAACUAUCAGUAGAAGCAAUCGCUUCGUACUCCGCCUUUUUAUCCUUUAAUUUUUCCUAAUAAAUAAAUCACAUAGUUAGGAACACAAUAUAUAUUAAAAAAACAAAUGCAACAUAACAAUAGUCGCAUUACAAGCAAUGAAUUAAACCAUUAGAAAAUAAACACUAUAAAUAACUAAAACAAGUCAAAUCGUAUUAAGUAAACGUACCAUAAUUUCACCAGGUUCAGGAGUCAUAACAAAUCCAUCUUUCUUCCUAUGUGUAAUUUCAAAAAGUUGAAGGCGUCCAACUUUUUGACCGGACAACCGUUCCUACAAUAUAGUAGUAAAAAUAUUAUUUAAUGGAAAGUUAUACAUAUGUGACAAUAUUAAAAAAUUAAAAAUACCUCUGCCUCAGCUACACAUGCAAAACUUCUCGACCCGGCUGUGUGAGUGAAUUUUUGUUUCUGCCUACUGCUUUUUCCAACUCGUUCACGAUCCUACGUUAUGAAAUUUUUAGUACGUAAAUAGUAAAUACUAUAAACCAAAAUAAUUACAAUAGUUUGGAAGUACGUCAUACCUCGCCUUUCUUCAAAUGCCAAAAUCUAACCACAUCUUCCCAUUGGUACCUCAGCAUACCCNNNNNNNNNNNNNNNNNNNNNNNNNNNNNNNNNNNNNNNNNNNNNNNNNNNNNNNNNNNNNNNNNNNNNNNNNNNNNNNNNNNNNNNNNNNNNNNNNNNNGUCUUAUAAUAAUAUUUCUUCAAAGUACUUUUAUGGUCUCUCCAUCUUUUUCCCAAUGCCUUCUUUACAUAAGCAUCCGAGACCUCUAAAGCAAACCUCGCCUACAAAAAACACAAGUUAAUAAAGUAAAUAUAAAUGAAACUAUUUCCCAAGUAUUACAGAUGACAUUAACAUUUUGUUACCUUAAUAUUAUCGAGGGCUUGAUUUUUGUUGCUAUCGGGCAUUUGAUUCCAUGAAUCGUAGUUGAUAGGUAACAUAUUCGCAUUUCGUGCUAAAAUGCCCAUGUAUCCUGCUAAAAGUCGAGCUUCUGAUCCAACAGGCUGACCAAAACUAUUUCUGCAUACCUUGACACGCUCGACUGGAUCUAACUCGUAGAAAUCUUUAAGUAGCGUACGUCCUCGACCUCUGCGCGUCCCACCAUUUUCAGCUGCAAAUGGUAUAUUACAAUAUAAGAAUUUGAAAAAUAAAUCAAUUAUAAGUCAACACGCAUGUAAAUUAAAUGUAAAAUUACUUUGAACUUCUGUAGGAUCCUCAGGUGUAAUCGGAACAUUCGAAGAUCCAAUUACUGUCUGUUGUUCAGUACUAUUUGUUUCUGUCGAGUUUGGAUCAUUUUGAACAAUGCUUCCCCUUGGAAUUUUUCUUCUAGACAUUUUAUCUGCAAUACACAUAAAAUAGUUGAAAACUUAAUAACUAAUUACAACAAUAACAACACAUAUAAAAUAGUUGAAAUAUAUAAUAAGACCAAGAUUUAAAUUAUGAUAUUACAUAUAAUUAAACAAUCGUAAAAUCUUACUACGUCAUUAUUCGUAAAUAUCUUCAUCCGUAUGCUGACGAACCCAUUGAAAUUGUGUACUAGUGCUAGGGAUAUUAUCGUUUAAGUUUUGUUCUGGAAAGGGCAAAGUUUCUGAUCUAUGGUCGAUGUUAUCUCUACUUCCACUACCCAUGUCAAACAAGUCUCUAGGGAUGUUACGGAGUACAUCCAACCCUCAUCAGUUGGAUCUUUUGAGUAAAAAACUUGUUUGACUUGAGAUGAGAAUACAUACGGCUCAUUUAUCAGUUGUUGUCCUGUGUGAAUCAAUCGAGCGAAGUUCACCAUUGUAAAACCAAAUUGAUCUUGCUUAAUUCCACGAGCAGUAUUAACAUCGACCCAAUCACCUCGAAAUAAGACAACUUUCCAUUUGCCGUAGUAAUCCAACUCAAUUAUGUCAGUAAGAAUCUGAAAUAUUCCACAUUUCCCUCGACAGGAUUCUUGUCCCUAGCACUAGCAUAACUUGUAAUUGAGGAAUUAACAACUAUUCCACAAUUUUGCGUUCUCCUCAACCUCUCGCGAUAUUUUGUAUGAAAUCUGAAUCCGUUGAUGAUGAACACACUAUAUCUUUUAACCACUCGAUUUGGACCUUGGGAGAGCCAUUUAACUUUGUCGUUUACGUUCUUCCCACUCCAAACCUAUUGAAUGGAAAGUAAACUGAGUAAUUAAAAAUGUUAUGAGAAAAAAGUUAAAAGUAAGCGAAAGCUCCAACUGCAUACCGUUUGGCUUAACCAUUCAUGAAAAGAUUCUGUAAACAACUUAUUGAUAUCUCGAUGUUGUGUUCUUCAGGGAGCGCGAACGAGAUCUCAAUAUUUGUUUGUACUCACUAUGUUAAAAAAAUGUUCACUUUGUUAAAAGAUAAACAAUUUUUAAUUUGAUAAAUAUUUAUCAAAUUUGUAGAACUUACUUCCGUAAAGGUUCCAUUGAUUCAUGGUGAAACAGAACAUAUCGAUGUGCUUGUACCCACGAUAAAUGAUCUAAUUUUGCAAUUUCAACUUUGCCGAUUGGUUCUCUAAAACUUUGGAACAAAUAAGUAUCGGCGAAGUUAUGCUCCGUGAUUCCAGCAUUCCUAUUUGGUCUAUUCAACCUUGUUUCAACAUCUUCCAAAUAUCUUGAGCAGAAGGUCAUACAUUCCUCUGCCAAGUAGCCUUCAGCAAUCGAUCCUUCUGGAUAUCGCUUGUUACGGCAGUAAGACUUUAAUUUGGAUAGGAACCUAAACACGAUAUACAACAUUAUUAAAAGUUGUAACUAAAGGCAUAGAGAUGAAUGAAGGAAAAUUUUAAAAAUUUUAAUUAACACCUUUUUAUGGGAUACAUCCAUCGAUAGAAAACGGGUCCGCCAAGAAUUGCUUCGUGAGGGAGAUGGAUUAUCAAGUGAACCAUAAUGGUGAAGAAGGAAGGUGGGAAGAUUUUCUCCAUGUUGCAUAAAGUCAAAGCGGCUCGAUCCUGUACCUUCUGAAGUUCUUGAACAUCCAAAACUUUGCCACAAAUGGCUUUCAUUAUAUUGGAUAGUUCAAUUAUACAAGACGUCACCUUCUUGGACAUACAACAUCGUAGAGUAACUGGCAGUAAAUCUUGCAUCAAGAUGUGAUAGUCAUGUGAUUUUAGCAAAUAUAAUCUUUGAUCUUUAACACUAACACAUCGAGAUAUAUUUGAUGCAUACGCAUCUGGAACCUUUAUAUCCUUCAAAACCAUGCAGAAUACUUCUUUUUCCGUCUUCAACAUUGAAAAAAUAGAAGGCGGCAACCGAUAUUUCCCAUUCAGAAGUGGAUUGGGAUGAAGAUCAGACCGAAUUCCCAUUUGAACUAAAUCAAGUCGACUCUGAAGAUUGUCUUUUGAUUUUUCGUCGACAUUCAAAAUUGUACCCACAAUGUUCUCGCAGGCAUUUUUCUCAAUGUGCAUGACAUCAAGAUUGUGUCGUAAAAGGUGAUGCUCCCAAUAAGGCAACUCAAAAAAAAUACUUCUUUUUUUCCACAAGUCCGCCUCAUUAGGAUCGUCCUCUUCAUUAGAGUCAUUAUCAGCUUCAACAUUUGAUCUUCUAUUUCUUUACGUGUUUGGCGGUUGGUUCAUCUUCCCAUAAAUGAAAUUCAUAUCUUCCAACAUGAACAAGAUUUCAGAGCCACUGGUCUGUGAAGGAGCUUCUCUGAACUCUUCAGUAUCGUCAAAUACAAAACUCUGAAAUCUAAAUCUAUGAUUUUCCGGUAACCACCGACGAUGCCCCAUGUAAGAGAAUUUCUUCCCAUUGUACAACCAUUGUGAACAUGUUUGUGCAGUACAACAAGGACACACAUAACGACCCUUGGUACUCCAACCGGAUAAAUUGGCAUAAGUGGGGAAGUCAUUAAUGGUCCACAUCAAAGCUGCACGUAAAUUAAAGUUCUCCUUUCUCAGCACAUCGUAUGUCUCGACACCAGCCCAUAAUUGUUUGAACUCUUCAAUAAGUGGCUGUAAAUAAAUGUCGAUAUCAUUUCCGAGCCCUUUCUCUCUAGGGAUAAUCAUAGAUAAGAUAAGGGAAGAUUGCUUCAUGCAAAUCCAAGGAGGCAGAUUGUAAGGAACAAGCACUACUGGCCAAGUACUGUACGCAGUGCUCAUGAUCUUGAAAGGAUUAAAUCCAUCAGAUACUAGCCCAAGCCUCACAUUCCUAGGAUCGCUUGCAAAGCUUGGAAAUUUAUUGUCAAAUGAUUUCCAAGCUAAAAAAUUUUCUGAAUGCCUUAAUAAUCCAUCAUCGAUUCGUCCAUCAUGGUGCCACGUCAUAGACUCCACUGUCUUGGAUGACAUGAAAAGCCUUUGAAGCCUCGGUAUCAGGGGAAAAUACCGCAAAAUCUUGACUGGCUUCUUCCUCAACUGUGCAUCAUUUUCAUCGUCAUUCUCAUCCUCUGUGUUUCUAUUUAUCCAACGGGAUUGGCCGCAUACAUGACAGCACUGUUGGUUUUUCCGAUCGCCCCAAUACAACAUGCAGUCAUUUGGGCAACUAUGGAUUUUAUUAUACCCAAGGCCUAAAUCUUUUAUCAUUUUCUUCAUAUCUUUGCAUGACUGAGGGAUUUUUGCAAACGGAAACAUUUCUCUCAAAAACUCUAACAGCAUUGUCAACGAGUUUCCGAUCCACCCUCCCAAACAUUUUAAUUGAAAAAGACGAACACAGAAGGACAUUUUUGAAAAUUUUGAUCCCUCAUACAGUUCUUCGUUCAUGUCAUUAAGUAGAGCGUAGAACUUUGCCGCUUCUCCAUUCGGCUCUUCAUGAGGUACACUACUUCCCAGUUCGGUAAAAGCAGUUCCACCAAUAUUACAAUCAUCAGAUGCCACAAAAUCUACUGGGAACGACUGCACACCAUGAUUGUGCAUAUUAAAUGCAUCCCGCAACAUACCUUCAUGUCAUCCCCUCUAUCAGACUGAUGGUAAGCAGUACCAGGAUAAGAUACAUCCAUCGUUGAAGAUGAAGUACUAGGCGGGCAUUCUCCAUGAAAUAACCACUGUUUAUAACCCCGAACAAACCCAUCAACAAUUAGAUGCUCGUAUACAACCUCACGAUAAUGCCAGUUUAUGUUGACACACUUCUUACACGGGCAAAGAAUCAUGUUCUCUUGGCUUGCAUAUUGAAAUGAAAAAUUUAAAAAAGUCUGUACUCCAUUUCGAUAACUGUUGCUAACCCUUGACAAAUUCAUCCAAGACCGGUCCAUUUCUUAAUUCUUGAAGUCUGACGUUGACAAUAAUUUGCAUGGGUAAGUUAAAACGCCAGUUAUUAUGUAAGUUAUGUAAGUUAUUUAAGUUAUGUAAGUUAUGUAAGUUAUUUAAUUUAUGUAAGUUAUGUAAGUUAUGUAAGUUAUUUAAUUUAUGUAAGUUAUGUAAGUUAUUUAAUUUAUAUAAGUUAUGUAAGUUAUGUAAGUUAUUUAAUUUAUGUAAGUUAUGUAGGCAAUGUAUUAUGUAAAUAAUGUAAGUUAGGAAGGUUAUGUAUUAUGUAAGUUAUUUAAGUUAUGUAAGUUAUUUAAUUUAUGUAAGUUAUGUAAGUUAUGUAGGUUAUGUAUUAUGUUAGUUAUUAUGUUAUUAUAUAAGUUAUGCAAGUUUCUAUAUAUAUAUGUAUUAUGUAAGUUUAUAUAUAAGUUAUGAUAUAUAUUAUUGAUAAAUUUGAGUUAUGUAAGUUAUGAUAUGAUUGAUAAAUUUUGAAAAAAAUAUAGAUUUUAAAAAUAUAUACAUUAAAAAUGUUAUAAAUAUGUAAGUUAUUAUAUUGAAUUUAAUUGAAAAACAAAUAAAUAUAUGUUUUAAUUUUUACAUAUUUACGUCAAUGUUUUUAACUUUUUUUUUAUGUUUUAUUUGUGUUGUGUAAUUUACAUAUUAAAAUUAUGUAAAUUAAAGAGGUGAGUAGAAAUGAUGAAAAAGAGAGGUUUAUAUAUAUAUAUAUAUAUAUAUAUAUAUAUGAUUUGCUUGCAUUGUGGUAAGCAUUCUUUUAUUUUUUUAUUAUUUUGAUUUGAUUUAUAAUGAAAUGAAAAAGAAAAUACAUGAAAAAGAAAAAUCAUAUAUAUAUAAUACUAUUAAAUUUAUCCUAUUCUUUUGAAAAAUUAUUUUGUGAAACCGUCCCAUCAUAUUAUUCAUGGCCCUUUUUCAAUUAUUUAAUAAUAUUACAAUAAUUUUUCAAUGUCAUUGGUAUAUAAUUUUGGUUUUUUUUUACCUUGAACCCAGAAUCAUGAACCUCAAACCCCAAACCUUAAACCUGAACUCGAAUAUUAAACCCCGAACUCUAACCUUAGACCCCAAACUCGAACUCUAAAUCUCGAAUCCAAGUUUAGGGUUCAAGGUUCGGGGUUCAAGUUCAAGGUUUGGGUUUAGGGUUCAGGUUUAAGAUUUAGGUUUUGGGUUUAAAAGUUCAAGGUUCAGGAUUUAGGUUCGAGGUUCAUGGUUCAGGGUAAAAAAAAGUACCAAAAUUAUGUGUCAAUGACGUGAAAAAAAAUCAUCGAAAUGUCAUUAAAUAAUUGGAAAGAGAUCAUAAAUUAUCAUGAACAAAAAAAGAAUGGGGCUUAUUUCGGGGCUGUUUUGAUUUCUUUUUAUUUAUGCAUCAGGAAUUGUUGAUUAAAAAAAAUGGAGCUUAUUUAGGUAAAAAGAAAAAUUAUGAGAACUUAUUUAAAUAAUAUAUUAUAAUUUAAUUUCUUUUUUAAAUAUCCAAGUGUUAUUUAUUUAUAAAAAAUAAUAUAAAAACUCAUGAAAUAUAUAAAAUAAAUUAAAAAAUAAAAAAAACAUGACAUGGCAUGAAGACAUUAUAAAUACACAAAUGUGUCAAAAUUUACAUAUAAAAAUUAUUAACAUGAAAAAGAAAAGCUCAAACAUGAUAUGGAUAUAUGAUUUUUCUUUGAAUUCAAACACUACUAAAUUAUACAAAUAUGAAAUAAGUUUAGAUAGACAAAUUAUUCCUAAAUAGCCUACGCAAAACACGAUUUAAAAUAAAAAUAAAAAUCUAUAUAAAACAAAUUAUUAACAAUAUGUUUAUAUUACUCUAAACUCACCAAAAAAAAAGACAUGUUAUAAAAAAUUACGAGUUAAUUACAGAGCUAAUUACAGAGUGCUGGAAAAUCGAUUACAUUCUAAGAAAAUUACUUUCAACAAUUUUUACUGCAACAUUCCGAAAAAUUUAAAAAUAUAUAACGAAUGAAGAGCAGCUUACCUAAAUACGAGCAGUGACAAAUGCACCAAAAAUACCAAGCCAUUCAAAUGUUGAUAAAAAUAAAAUCAGCAAACUUACCUAAAUACGAGCAGUAACAAAUGGUUAAUCCACAAUUUUCAGUUCUCCUUUCUUUAACAGUUGGGCAAAUGCAGUGUUACUCCUGGGGAACAAAACAUGAACAUAAGAACACUAUAAAUAUUUUUGGGGGCCCUUCAACAAUUAGAAGAACAAACUAGAAAACAAACACACAAGAUCGGAACUUCUUCCCAAACCCUAGACACGCAAAAAUUCCCAAAUUCCCCUAAUUCCCAAACAAACUGGUACAAGCUUGGUGAUUGAACUUGGACCCUAAACCCCAAAUUCCUAAAUUACACUGAACCAAAACCCUAAAUCAAGAUACAAUAUUUCCAAAGAAAAAAAGCUUACCUUUUAACCACAAAUUCUGCAGCUUUGAUAGUAUCCUCUCAAGAUUGACUCGUACGUUAUGCUUCGUUUCUGAUGAUUUCUGAGUUCUCCUCUCCCUUUUUUCCUUCGUUUUUUCUCUUUCAUUUUUACCCCUUUCGUUUUCUCCUCUGUUCUGUUUCUGUUUGUCUUUCUGCCUACUGAGAUAUAGAGAAAAUUAUAAGUUAAAACACAGUACAGAAACGAUGUUGUUUCGCCGAAAGUUUAAGAAACAUUUGCGGCAUUUUUUUGAAAAACGCCACUAAAAAUUAAAGUUCAAACCGAAACGGCACCGUUCAAUUAUGCUUUAAUGCACAGUUCUGGCGUUUUCUGUAAAAAUGCCAGUAAAAAUUAAUUUGCUUAAGCUAUAUGGGGUCGUUUAGACAAUAUUUUAAGUCAUUUUGCGGCGUUUUGUGCAAAAACGCCAUUAUAAAUUAAGAGAAACGGCGCCGUUGGAUUAAUUUAGAGAAAAUGCUAAGUUAAAAACUAGUACAGAAACGACGUCGUUUAGACAAAAUUUUAAGACAAUUUUGCAGCGCAUCCUGAACAAACGCCGCUAUUGCUUGUACGUUUACGGCGUUUUCUAAAAAGCGCCACUAAAAUUUAAAGUUCUAAUCCAAAACGACGCCAUUUUAUUAAGCUGUAAAGCACAUUUUUGGCGUUUUCUGAUUAAACGCUAGUAAAAAUUAAUUUGCUUAAGCUAAACGAAGCCGUUUAGGCAAUAUUUUAUGUCACUUUUGUGGCGUUUGGUUUAAAAACGCUACAAAAAUUAACAGAAACGGUGUCGUUGAAUUAAUAUAGAGAAAAUGCUAAGUAUAAAAGCAUGUACAGAGACGGCGCCGUUUAGCAAAAAUUUUAAGACACUUUCGCUGCUUUUAUUGAACAAACGCCACUAUAGCUUGUGUAUUUGCAGCGUUUCUAGACCAGAGCCACAAAGAAUGAAGGUUCUAAUCCGAAACGGUGCCGUUUUGUUAAGAUUUAAUGCACAUUUCUGGCGUUUUCCGUUAAAGCACCACUAAAAAUUAAUUUGCUUAAGUUAGACGUCGACGUUUAGCCAAUAUUUCAAGUCACUUUUGCGGCGUUUCCUGAACAAACGCCACGAAAAAUUAUCAUAAAUGGCGCCGUUUUGUUAAUAUAGAGAAAAUGCUAAGUUAAAAAUCGUGGACAGAAACAGCGUCGUUCAACCAAAAUUUUAAGUCACUUUUGCGGCGUUUCUUGCACAAACGCCGCUAUUGCUUAAGCAUUAGCGGUGUUUUUAAUAAAAACGCCACUAAUUGUUAAAGUUCUAAUCGAAAACUGCGCCGUUUUAUUAAGCUUCAAUGCACAGUUCUGUCCUUUUUUUGAAAAACGCCACAAAAUAAUUAUUUUACUUAAACCAAACGGUGAUGUUUUAAAUAAUUAAUUCUAAACUUUUUAAGUAAUAUUUAUAAGAAUUAUAUAAAAUUAUAAAGUUUAGGUUUUCUUGUCUUUUUUGUUUGUAUUUUUAUUUCAUUUCUUAUAAUUUGGUCCUAUAUAUAUAUAUAUAUAUAUCCAAAAUAAUUAAUUAUACCUAUAUAUAUAUAUCCAUCCAUAUAUAUAUCAAUACUUUUUUUAACUUAUUUAUUAAUUCUAUUUAAACUAAUAUUAAUUAAAUACAUCAAUUGGUUUAGAUUAAAUUUUUAAAAUAUAUUUUAAAAAAACUAAUUACUCUAAACCCAAAACCCUGAUCUAACCCCAAAAUCCCUAAACCUUAAAUCCCUAACUCUCAACUUCUAACCCUAACCCUUAAACCUUAAAUCCCCAACCCUAAAUCCAUACAAGUGUCCACCAAGCAUUGUUAUUCCAUUAACAUAUGUAAGUGUUUCCACCAAGCUCUGUUUUUUAUUCUAUUUAUUGGUUUUUUUCUAUUUCUUUAAGAAUUAUUGUUUUAUCGUGCUUUAAUGUGGUGUUUUAUUAAUUAUUUCAGAUUUGGUUGGUUAAUGAUUUUUAUUUAAGUUCAAAAAUAUAAGAACAUAUUUAAAAUAUAAAUUAAAAAAACUAAUUAUCAUCUAAACCCUAAGUCCCUAACUGCUAACUUCUAACCCCUAACCCUAACCCUAACCCCUAAACCUUAAAUCCCAAACCCUAAAUCCAUACAAGUGUCCACCAAGCUUUGUUAUUCCAUUUACAUAUGUAAGAUCUAAACCCAAUACCCUAACCCGACCCGCCUAAAUCCCUGGCUAAACCAUAAAUCCCUAACUCCUAACCCCUAAUGUCUAACCCAGCCCCUGACCCCUAAGCAUUAAAUCUGAUCAACUUUUAAACCAUAAUCCCUAAAUCCAUAUAUAUACACUCCUAAUCAAUUACUAUAACCUUAAAAUAGUAACCCGGCCCUAAAUCUGACCUAGCUAAAAUCUUAAAUUAAUAAUCAUAUAUAUUAUACCCUAAACCUAAAACCCUAAAUUAACUAUAGUGACAAUUAAUUAAUUCAAUAUUUUAAAUUUAAAUUAAUACUAUCUCUUUUAUGAUUAUAUAAGAAAUUUUUUAUGAUUAUAAAUUAAAAAAAUCAGUAAUCAUGUACCUAAAAAACUUUAAAAUUCUUUUAAAAAUAGCAUUUUAAUUUUUCCAUGUGUUUUUAUUUCAAAUUGUUUCUACGUGUUAUUUUUUUUCUGAAGAUUUUAAAUAUUCAAUUAGAAAUAAGUUCAAUUUUAUUUAAUAAAUAUAAAUAAUAAACAAAUUAAGAUAAAAUGAUUUUUGUGGCGCUUUGUCAAACACACCGCUAAAAACCAGAGCAUUAGCGGCACUUACCCAUAAACGCCACUAAAUCCCCCGAAAGCUCAGAAAACGGCGUCGUUGGGCUUAGGUAUUUUUGCGGCGCUUUCUCAAAAACGCCGCUAAAGCCCUGGGCAUUAGAGGUGCUUAAUUAAAAAUGCCACUAAAUCCCCGAAAGCUCCAAAAAUGGUGUCGUUGGGCUUAGGUAUUUUUGCGGCGCUUUCUCAAAAACGCCACUAAAGCCCUUGGCAUUUGCAGUGCUUACAUAAAAACACCACUAAAUCGCCAAAAGCUCAAAAAACGGCGUCGUUAGGCUGAGGUAUUUUUACGGCGCUUAACUAAAAACGCCACUAAAUCCGCGAAAAGCUUAGAAAACAGUGUCGUUGGGCUUAUGUUUCUUUGCGGCGCUUUACCGUAAAUGCCGCUAAAGCCCUUAGCGUUAGCGGUGCUUACCUAAAAACGCCGCUAAAUCUCUGAAAGCUCAGAAACGGCGUCGUUAGGCUUACGUUUUUUUAUUCCUGAGCCUUAGCAGCGCUUUCUUAAAAAACGCCGCUAAAUCCUCGAAAGCUCGGAAAACGACGUCGUUGGGAUUAGGUAUUUUGCGGCGCUUUAUGGAAAACGCCGCUAAUGCUUAUUUUCAGCGGCGUUUCCAUGAUGCGCCGCUAAUGAUCGAUCUUUAUCGGUGUUUUUUAUCCAACCGCUGCUAAAAACGCCGCUAAAAGCCUGUUUUGGUGUAGUGAAAAAAUAUUUAUAUAUAGGGAAGAAGAAAAAAUAGAACUGGGCAUGGAGUUAAAAGUUUUAAAGAACGGUGUGUUUGUAAAGUUGGGAGUUUCAAGGGGGGAAAUUAGGGAUUUCAGGGGGGAAAGAUUUCAGGGGGAAAAAUUUAUAAAUGGUGCCAUUUUUUAAGUAAAAUUAUUUUUUGUGGCGUUUUUUGUAAAAAAGCCUCUAUUUCUUACCUUUUGCGGCGUUUUUCAUAAAAACGCCGCAAAAAAAAUUUCAUUUUGAACAAAACGAUGCUGUUUUGCUCUGCUAAAAAUCCUUUAUUUUGUCUGUUAAAAAUUAUUAGUUAAGUGAUUUUAUAAAACAUUUAUUAUUUUUUUAUAAAUUAAAUUUUUAUAAAAAAAUCAAGUACUCUCGAAAUAAAUAUAGUAUAUUUUAAUAAGAAAAAAUGAUUAAAUGGCUGUAAUUAAUUAUUAAGUUAUAAUUAUCCAAUGUAAGCAAUUAAUCUCUCACAUAUCAAAUUUAUAUUAAAGAUUGAGACGUUAAUCAUGAUUUUAUAUUAUUCAUUUCCGAUCUAAUCUCCAUUUUAUUAGAGAUAUUUCUUCCUAACUAAAUUAUAACUAUUUUGCUUGAUGUUCGAUGUGGAAUGAUUUUAGUUUUUGUAUUUCAUUUUAAUUUAUUUGUUAUAAUUUGGUCCUAUAUAUCCAAAAUAGAUAGUUACCUAUCCGUAUCAAUUUGUUACAUUUUUUGUAUUUUUGUAUUAUUUUUAAAAUCUAAUAAUUAAAUAUAUCAAAUUGUUUAGAUUAAAUAUUUUUUAAUAUAAAAGCAUUAAUUAAUUAUAUAAAAUUUCAUCAUUUAACAAAUUUAAAGUAAACCUUAAAUCCUAAACCAUUUAAUAUAUAUAAAGUUUAUCUAUUACCUCUUAAAUAAUUUAAACUAUAAUCAUAAUUUUAAUAUAUUAAAAUUAAUAUUAUCUCUUUUACAAUUAAAUUAGAAAAUAUUUAAUAUAUAAAUUAAAAACACCAAUUAAUCUAAACCCUAAAUCCCUAACCCCUAUCUUUUAAACUCUAAAUCAUAAAACAUAAUCCUUAACCCCUAGACCCCUAACCCUUAACCCCCAACCCUUAAACCAUAAACCAUAAUCCAUAAUCCCUAAACACAUAAUCCCUAAACCUUAAAAUUUGGAUAUUCUUCUACUUGGAUCUAAGGUAUAUUCUUCUACUUGACGAUGGGUAUUGAUCCACCAUACUAAUUAUCAAAUCAUUACUUGGAACUCACUAGCCAGACUUUAUAAAGGAAAAAAACUUAAUACUCUAGUGAUUUGCAUGAAAACUUUCGAAUAGUUAAGUGGCUAUUUUGUAAAUUUUUGCAGUUGAGUGAUCAAAAUGUAAAUUCACUAAUAGUAUAGUGACAUUGGGUGUAGUUUACCCUUAUUUUUAUUUCAAUGAAUUUAAUUAUUCUAUUACAAUUUUUUUGUCAAUAUUUCUUUGUUAUAUGUCUACAAAAUGAAGUUUUUUUUUAAUUUCAAAAUAUCAAACUAAUAAACCAUAACCCCUAAACCCAUAAUCCAUAAACCUUAAAAUGGUAACACCUAAACCUUAAACUCUAAACCAUAUACCCUAAACCAAAAACCCUAAACUCUAGUGAUAAUUAAUUCAAUAUUUUAAAAUUAAUAUUAUCUCUUUUACGAUUAUAUAAGAAAUUAUUUAAUAUAUAAAUUAAAAAAAUCAGUAAUGUACCCAAAAAACUUUAAAAUUAUUUUAAAUAAUAGUAUUUUAAUUUUUCCAUUUUUAUCAAAUAUUUUAAAUUAUUUUAAAUCCUUGAGCAUUAGCGGCGCUUUAUCAAAAACGCCACUAAAGCCCCGAGCAUUAGCGGCGCUUUUCCAAAAACUCCGCUAAAGCCAGGAGCAUUAGCGGCGCUUUCCCAAAAACGCCGUUAAAAGCCUGAGCAUUAGCGGCACUUUCCCAAAAACGCCGCUAAAGCCUUGAGCAUUAGCGGCGCUUUCACAGAAACGUCGCUAAAUCCCUGGGCAUUAGUGGCGCUUUCCCAAAAAUGCCGCUAAAGCCUCGAAAGCUCAGAAAAUGGUGUCGUUGGGUUUAGGUUUUUUGCGGCGCUUUCUGGAAAACGCCACUAAUGCUUAUUUUUAGUGGUGUUUUCCUUAAAGCGCCGCAAAUGCUCGAUCUUUAGCGGCAUUUUUUAUCCAAGCGCCGCUAAAAAUGCCGCUAAAAGCCUGUUUUGGUGUAGUGUUAAUUGAAAUUUCUUUCUAAUUAAAACCCCUAUUAUCACAUUAACCGUAUUAUGGAUUCGCCUAUCAGAUUUGACUCUAAUCUGGUAGAUUUAUGUCGUCCUAUUUAUAGGAUUGCAUACAAUUCCACUCAAUUACGCUAGAUCUACUCUUAAACAUGGUCUAUUCCUCCUCUGAUUUAAACACAUCACACGUGGAUCAAUAAUCUAGAAAUAUCAAACCAAGAAUUAAGCACACAUAAUUGAGAACAAAAUCUAAGUAUUUAUUGCGUAAAAUAAAAAUUAAAUGACAGAAUUCAUCAUAGGGUUCAUCUCCUUAGGUAUUUAGAAAAAUAGUUCAUGCUUGAAAAUAAAAACAUCCCAAAGACAAUAUAUCCGAAAGAAAUAAAGAAACUCAUUAUAAUCUCCUGAGAAAUCAACUGGGAGUCUUUAAUCUUGACAGAAGUUUGCUUUAGAAUCAUCUUCAAUGGUGUUUUUUGGGUUGUUUUCUUGAGUUAUUCUAUGACAGCUCUCUCAUAUCUUCUUAUUUUUGUCAUAUAUAUGUCUUAGAAUGCCUAAAUAACCUAAAAAAUGUGAUUUCCUGCAGUUUAGGGUGCAAAUUUAUGCAAUCGACAUGGCCUACCACAUGGCCGUAUGGUAACCCAUAUGGGUAAGCCGAUCGUGUGGCCAGGCCAUGUGAAAGGGGCUAGCCUAUGUGGCUACUGUACCUUGCUCCGAUUUUUCAAUUUUCGCUCAUUUUUCACUCCCAAAUACUCUCCUAAGUAUAAAAACAUGAAUUUAAAGGAUUAGGAGCAUAAAAUUCACCAUUAACAUCGAAUAAUUACCCAAAAAUGCAUUAAGAAUGAGAUUAAAACAUGUUACUUUUAACACUUAUCAUUUUCUUAAAUCAUAUUCUUUUCUAUUUGUAAACCUAACUGAACAAUAAGAUGGGAUCAUUUGAAGUUCUAGAUUUGUGAUUAUCUCUUUUAUUAUUUGAUCAACUCAAUUAGUUAACAUUUUUUAAAGAAAAAAUUAAUUAAUAUUUAUAUAAUUAAAAAAUAUUAUGAUAUUAAUUAUUUUGUAUUGUGACAUAAUUAUAUUUAGUACAUAUUAUUUUAUAUAAAAUAGUAUCCAUACACAUUUAAGGACAUAUAAUAUAUUAAUUGUUAUAUAAUUAAAUUAUGAAUGUAAAAUAAUUAUUAUAACAUUGUGAUAUUACAAUGUGUAUUCUUCUAUUAACAAUAUGCAACUUAAACCUUAAAUAUGCAAAUACUUGUAUAUAGGCUACACUUCUCUAUUACAUCAACUAGACUCACUCCCACAAAAAAGAUCUUUUUACUAGCCAAUCCUAAUUUCAAAUAGAUCAGUUUUCCUCAUUUGUUUCUCUUUUAUUGUCUUUCUUAUUAGUGAAGGGGAUUCUUAAGAAAGCUUUUUGGCCAAUCAAGAAGAAUUUGGUACAUGGCAAUGUUAAUUCCAGCCAACAAGACAAAUGGAAUUUAAUAUGUAACCCUGUGAUAAAGAAUGAGUGCGAAACAUGAUCAUAAGUUUGUCCAAGUUGCAGAUUAGGCCUAUAGACGAUCGAAAAUAAACUUGAAUUUUGACACAACAUGAAACGUAAGCAAAUUCAAGUUAGAUCUAAGAAUUUAAAAAUUAAAGGAAGCAAUUAAAAUAGAUAAUUAAGAUAGAUAAAAAUAAUUAAAUAAAUCAAAUAUUUAAAUAAUUAAAUAGGAACAAAAUAGAAUAAAGAUGAAAAUAAAUAAGAUAGAUAGAAAAGAUGAAGAUGACGUGUAGAAGUUUUAAGGAGCCUUGGAAACAAGAUGAAUCCACAACCCCCUUCAAACGACUCCAAUUUCCCCUCCAAUAAAGAAAACCUGGCAAGAAAAAGCUUGAAGAUGAUCCCCAUAAUCUGAAAUGAUUGUCAACUCUUGUAAAAGAAAACUAAAGAAAAAUUCUUAAAAAGAAAAUUGAAAGAGAAUUUUAUUAACUCAAAGUGAAUAAUGAAUGAAUUUAUUAUGUACAGCGAAGAGGCAUUUAUAUAGGUUAGCUAAGUAAAUCCAAAUAAAACUUUUAAGUAUAUUGAAACUCUAAUUACCCUAAACAAUUAAACUUUCUUGUUGACAUAAAACCCCUAAAUAACUUAAAAUACUUAAAAAUUAUCCAAAAUUUGGAAUAAAUAAAUAAUAAAAUAAUAAAAAGUAAUAAAUACAAUAUUGUGCUAGUAUAUAAUAAAAAUUAAGCUUGAAACUCAAACCAAUAUGAUUUAAACUCAAACAAAAAAGCCCAAAAACUCGUAAUUUUCGUAAUAGUCUCAUACAGAAAUUCUGCACGCACAGUCUUCACUAAAACAGUCAUAAAUUGAGUUCCCAAACUCGAAAUUGAGUGAUUCAAAGUGCAUUGUGAAGCUAAGAGAUAGAUAUUCAAACUCUAUGUAGACAUCUAAGACCAUAAAUACCUGGAUGCUAUCCAAAAAUUUGUUGCAAUUUGACUAUUCUUUUCAGCUUGAAAAUUGACAGUUUGGUUGAAUUAACUUUAAUAAAUUUCACCUAUUUCGUGCAUGUAUCAUUCCCCCUUUCCUCAAAAAGAUUCAUCCUCCCGUAUUGUCUUUGAUCGAAUCUUAGUUUGAUAUGCUUGACCUUUGGCAUUGGUUUUGGGCCUAGAGGUAGUGUAAGCCCAUCGCAUCUAUGGGCUUGAAAUUGAGCCCUGAGAAUCGCAUCACCCAAUAUACAUAAAACACCCUAUUACCCGACUUGAUCAUCGAGUCCGAGUUACAAGAUGCCACAUUCAUUUCUGAAGCAACUACAUUCAUUUACAAUCAAUUUAUACUAUUAGCUGAUUAAAUUCAACCAAAACAUGUAUUUAAUACGAUAUACAAUCAUUUAUAAGUUUUACACAAGCCUAAUAAAGCCCUAAAGCUAACCCGAGAUAGAAAUAAGACCAAAUUGUAAGGAAUUCAAAAUAUAGGAUUGACGUUGUGACUUGAGAUAGUUCCUUGUCGCGACAUAACAAACUAUUUUUGCCUCAUUGAUAUGACGGGGUCUCUCGUCUCGCCGUGACAUUAUACAUCAUUUCUUGUUGUGACAUCAAGAGCAUGUCAUCGUGACGUGACAUACUGUCUCUACAAAUUUCUUUUUUUUAACAACCUGCAAACUUCCAAACCAAACUCUAAGAACAUUCAAACAUUAACCAACCAACAUAUGCAAUUAUAUAGCAUCAAUUCAUGCAAUUUAAUACCUUAUCCAACACUAGGCCAACACCUUAACGCUUACAAGCUAUCUAUCCAAUAUAAGUCAUUCAAAUCAUUUACACUUUUAUCUAAAUCACCUAAUUCCUUUAUAUUUGGUUUAUCUACAAUUUUGUUCUGACAGCUUGAUUGCAAUAUAGUGGCUUGUCCACAUGUAUCUGAUAUGACAGUUUUAACAAAUUCAGGUGGCACUGUCCACAGUUAUCUGUUGGUGUGAUUUGGUUGGACGAGUUCUGGGAAAACUCUAUUUUGGUGUGUAGUGAAGUUGGGUAGGAUUUUUUCUGAUAAAUCUGCACUCUAAUUGGUUUCAAAAUAAUACUGCAUCAACAUCCACAUGCAUUUACUAUUCUGUUCUGUUUUGAUUUUAUUUAUUCUACUCUGUUUUAUUUUGUUCUACUAUGUUGUAGUACCGCUGUCAAAAUCUUUGUGAUAUUCUAGAUUUGUUUCGUACUGGUUAUAUAACUGUUAUUAAGUUCUCUACGUUACUAUGAUUUAUAUAUUAUGAUAUGUUUAUUUUAUUUGAGUUUAGUUAUACACGGUGCUUGGUAGCUCACCCUUUGUCUUAUUUAUAUCUAUUCAGUUAAACAUCUGACUUAGGAUCGAACGAUGUACGAGAGCUAGGAUUGUUUUGCACUGAUGUAACUAUGAUUUAAUCUUUCAGGUUUAUAAUUUGAUUUUUAGACUUGCCUUUUUUAUAAUCUUAUCAGUAUUUGACAAUUUCUAACGCGAAACUACAAAAUCACUUAAGUCGACUAAACAGAUUGUGGGUUCAAAAUUAAACCCCAAAAAGAUUUUCCAUUACCAAUCAACCAAUCAAGUAACAUUUUGAAAGUUUUCUGAAUAUUUACUGAAAUCAAUUUUCAAUACAUUAGGGUAACUCUUCUCGAUUCGGCUUAAAAUUCUAAGCUAAGUUUGGGGAGUUAGAUUUAGUGAUAUCAGAGCCAGGUUUGUAAAACUCAAACUGUGGUUUUUAGGUUCAAAACGUUUCCAAAAAAAUGCUUUAAGCAAGUGGAACUUCUAUCUGACUUCGAGAUUUAAGGUUUUUGAAAGUACGUGUUCAUAUUUUGAUUAUUUUUGAGUCUGUAAACAAAGAAUCUGAGACUCCGAUGUCGAUCCUUUAAGUAACUCUACUUUAGCUAUAUUAACUGAACUAACACAAACCGUAGUGUUUUGGUUACUCUAUCCUAACUAAACUAUGGAGAAUUCUAUGAAAACCUUUGUUAAAACUUCAUAUUUAGGGUUCUCAAUGAACCUAAGCUAACUCAUAAAAUUUCUGGAAUUAUAAACUAGCAUAAUGAGUACCCGUAGCCUUGUUGGGCGAGGGCAUGUUAAAUAUAGACAAGCGACUCGAGUUGAGACCUCUUUUUGGGGCAUGAGCCCAAGUUGAGAAUUUAUGAAUUUGUUAGGACACUUGGAUCUAAGGUCAAUGAUCAAGGGGCGUAGGGCACUGUGGUGCCUGGGUUGUAUUUGGUGAUUUGCGGGAGUCAAUGAGACUUAAUUUGAAACUAUGGGUCAAGGGUCUGUGAUUAAAGAACUCUAGAAUACGAGAGGAGUACGAGUUCUAUUGAUUCGAAUCUACGACCUAGUUUAAUUAGUGAUUUUUGUGAUGUGUUUUUGUGAUAAAUUACGUUGAUGAAUAGAAAUUUGCUGGAAAUAUUGUUUGGUUUUGUAUGGAAUUUGAUUUGCGCUGCGACAAUGUGGUGGUUUGUAUAAAUGAGAACAAUUCUGAUUUUACGGUUUAAAGACUGAUGAGACUCUAGGAAUUUAGGAAUGAAAUUCUUUUAAGGGGGAGAGAGUUGUAACAUCCCAAAAAUCAGGUUAGAAGAAAUUAAGUUUUGAAACCAAUCAUGGUUACUUUUGAUUUUGAUUCUAGAUUUGGAAUUUUUUUUACAACGAAAUUAAUCAGGUUUAGUGGUUAAGUGUUAAGUUUGUGUGUGCGAGGUUUUGGGUUCAAAUCGCAUCUCUUGAAAUUUUGUUAUUUUGACUAAAUCCCAUCUUUGGACAUAUAGGUUAUAAGUUAUUUUCGAUCAAAUGAUGACAAGAAUGAGCUUGCUAGUUUAAUGGUUAAGCUUUUGUAUACUCUCUAGUCUGAUGUUUGAAUAUCUGCGAAAGCAAUAUGAAAAUGUUUUUAUUUUGCUACCUCGUGAGGUAGUUUUGGCUGGUUUUAAAUUAACCAAUUCUCUCAACUUUUUUUUUCUAUUACAGUCUUUCUAUUCUUUUUGUUCUUGACUAUCGUCUUGGCCCUUUCUCUUUUUAUUUAUCAAUUCUUCCUUCAAUGAUUAUCCGUUGAAUCCAUGUAACAUCUAUCCUUCUAAUUUUUGUGCGUUGUUCAUCUGUAAUCAAUCCUGUAAGUAUUCUCUGUCAUGUUCCUGCGUGAGUUUGUUGUUAGACGAGGUUGUAAUUCCUUUUCUGUUAUGAAAAUGUUGACUUGCGUAAUUUUUGUUAGGCGAAGGUCUCGAGUUCAAUGUUCUCUCGAUAGCUUAAGGUCUAUGAAAUUGCAGUUCCAUUAUCAGUAAGUGUGUAGUCUGAUUUGGAGUUUUUGUGCCAAAGUUCUUCGACAUAGUUUCAGUUUGAAUGCUAGUUAGCGCAUUGGUUCGAUUAAUUCAAUUGAAUAGUUAAUUGAAUGUUGUGAUUAGAUGUCAGGAUUAUUUUGGUUGCUCCUAUGUCAGAACCGUAUCAGGUGGGAACAAAAAAAACCUGAAUUUGUCUGAUUCAUGGAUGUAAAAAACAUGGCCUUCGACGCCACACGGUUAUGUGCCAGGCUAUGUGGUAGGCCAUGUGUGCCACAUGACCAUGUGUGAGGUCGUGUGGUAGACCGUGUGAGGCACUGUUUGAGUCACACGGGUCAGAGACACGAACAUGUGUCCUGGCCAUGUAACUUACUAUUUUGGAAAUAGGGUCACCCGGGCUAGAGACAUGGGUGCAUGUCCAUGUUGUGGGGACCGCACGGGCCAGCUGUCCAAUCCAUGUGAAUCCACAUGGACGUGUGGGCCAAAAAUUAAAAAAUUUCCCUAAGGCCGUAAAUAUGUUUUGAAGUGAGCAUAGGCCUUCUGUAGGGUCCGUAUGAUCUGUAUUAAGCUAUAAAACUCGAUAUUUGUUAAUCUAUUAGUAUAUAACCUAUUAUUUAUAUAUAUGUCUAAAUUGAUAUAUAAGUUAAGUAAUAAUGACUUGAUAAUGCAUAAUGUACCUCUGUUUGGAUGCGUUAGAGUAUGCAUUUUGGUUCAGGUACGAUUCGUAUUAUGUUAAGUUUGCUGGUACGCCUCUGUGUUACUCUAUUGUUUAAGAAUAUGUGAUAUGUGAAUAUGAUGAAUUGAUUGGUACUGAUUCUGAUUUGUAGCCAUGCAAAUAACUUUAUGGAAAAUCUGAUAAAUCUGUUUUACUAGUUUGGACUUACAUGUUCACUGAUUCAGUCAUUUUUCGACAACAUGACCUUCAUGCUUAUCUCUCUGAUUCUUUAUAUGCAUGCCAUGACAUAUUGCAUGGGAUUUGGGAUGAUGUGAAAGAAGGAAUUUUUUGGCAUUUCAAUGAUCUGUACUAUCUGGUGGUUUAUCCACAAUUUUUGUUCUAACAACUUAACUACAAUACAGUGGUUUGUCCACAUGUAUCUGAUCUGGUAGUUUAACUGCUAAUUCAGGUGGCACUGCCCACAGUUAUCUGUUGGUAUGAUUUGGUUGGACGAGUUUUGGGAAAACUCUAUUUUGGUGUGUAACAGAGUUAGGUAGGAUGUUUUUUUGAUAAAUCUGCACUCUGAUUGGUUCUGCAAUAAUACCGCAUCGACAUCCGCAUACAUUUACUGUUAUGUUCUACUUUAUUCUGGUCUGCUCUAUUCGGUCCUGUUUUAUUUUGAUUUGGUUUGUUCUACUUUGUUCCGUUUUGUUUUGUUAUGUUGUACUACUGUUGUCGAAAACUUUGUGUUACUGAAAAUCUAUUUUGUACUGGUUAUAUAACCACUAUUAAGUUCUCUGCGUUACUAUGAGUUAUAUAUUAUGAUCUUUUUAUUUGUAUUUGAGUUUGGUUAUAUGCGAUGCUUAGUAGCUCACCCUUUUUCUUAUCUGCAUCUGUUCAGGUAAACAUUUGACUUAGGAUUGGAUGACUUAUGGGAGCUCAGAUUGUUUUGAACUGAUAUAACUAUGAUUUGAUCUUUUGGGAUUGCAAUUUAUUUUUGGACUUGCCUUGUUUUUUUAUAAUCUCAUUAGUAUAGGACAAUUUCUAACAUGAAACUAUAAAAUCACUUAAGUUGACCAAAUGGAUUUAGAUUUCAAAAUUAAACCCCAAAAAUAUUUUUUGUUACCAAUCAAGUAACAAUUUGAGUGUAUUCUGAAUAUUUAAUAAAAUUAGUUUUCAAUACAUUGGGGUUACUCUUCCAGAUUCGGCUUAAACUUCUAGGCUGUGUUUAGGGUGUUACACCGACACAAUUGAAAAAUGGGCUAUUACAUCUCAACCUCUAUCUAAUUAACUAAUCCACCAAUACGUGCUUAUCUCUUGACCUCACUAUCUUGAAUGGGAUAAGUUAUUAUUUACUUGCUAAACUUAUCUUUUAACCUCGUUUAUCCUAAAUUACUUAUUAGGGUUUAAUCGCAAUAAUUUAAACCAACUAUGUCACACCCCAAAAUAGGGCCAAGAAGUUUUGAGGGUAUUUUAGAAAUUUUUGCUUCUAAGUGCUCAAAAUUUUGUAAGUUUGGUAAUCGAUAAUGUUUUCGAAAAAGGCUAUUAGGAUAUUAAACCAAUUUCUGAAAUUGAGUUUUAAAUACCUUUAAUUUUAGAAAAAAGGAUUGAUUUGUAACAGAAUCAAAACAGUGAGCAUUUAUGUUGCAGUUUAACCCAUUCUUGAAAUUGAACCUAAUAAACCCUCAUUCCUAGGUCUAUUUUAAGAUAGUUGCUCUCCAAAGUUUUCUAUUACCGACCUUUGCUAUCCUCUUGAUCUUUCAAUUGAUUUUUGAUUCACAAACCAUAAUAAUUUGAUUUCCUAUCAUUCCCAAGUCAAUUACCUUCAUAAAUCUCCAAGAAAAACACUCAAAAACUCUACAGAUUUCAUCUUCUUCUACAAUUGUGGGUUUCUCAAAUUUGCAUCGAAACUCGUUUAAUCUUCUGUCAAAGGUAACCAUUCACUUUCCCAUUAGAUCCUAAUGUUAUCUAGACUUUAAAAUUGAGUUUUUAGUUAUGAAAUUGCAUGUUUUAAUUAAAACCCAAAAAUUGGGUCAUUAAUGGUGGGUUUUCAUCUUGUUUUAACUUGAUUAGAAGGUUUGUAAAAUUACUUCAAAGUUUUGUUAAGGAUUUCUCGUGUUUUAAUGAACUUUCAUUAGAAUGGCCAAAACUUGUUGAAAAAUUUUGGUACCUUGAAACGUGUAGUUUUAUAUAGUUUAAAGGUUGAGAAUUAGUUGUAAAUGAAUAUGUAGAUGAGUGGAACUUGUUUCAUGCGAAAAGGUUAAGUGUAGAUCGAGAUGUUUGCAUUUUAAGUCCGUCAUACUAAAGGGUUUGGUUACAGAAGAAAGUAGCUUAGGCUUGUGUUUCGGUUGGUUUAAGUGGGUCCUUGGCUGUCAUUUAACUGUGUGUAUUAUGUGAUUAUCAUGUGUGAAGCCUCAGAUUCAUUAGAGCCUCAUACGAGUUAGAGGAAGAGCUUGUUCGAGCUCUCAGUUUUUAACAAAUGUUAGUUUUGGUGAGUGUUUUAGGAUCGCUACUCAUAGAUAAUUUGUUGUGUAAUUGGGAAUUUAGAGGAAGCCUAAACCCCUAAUCUAAAUUUUGAGUGUAAGUUUUCUCACACCUAUGAUUAAAUGUGAUGUAAAUGUGUUUGUGCUAUUGAGGAAUUGUGAACAUGAAUGAGAUGCAAUGACAGGUGUUAUAAGUUUGUGAUGACUGUUGUGAUAGUGAACAUGUGGGUAUGUUACUUAUGCCACGUGACAGUGAACAUUUUGUGCUAACAAUGUGAAUAUGUAGUGAAUGUGUGCGGAAAAUUGAUAAGUAAAUAUAUGAUAAUAAUAUGGAUAUUUUGGCUUUGUGACCUUAUGAGAUCGUUGGAUAUAGUUCGCAGGCCAUAGGAUUGUGAGUACUCACCUAUAUAUGUGUUGUGAUGUUUCUGCAUUGAGGCCCAUGAUAGUUUUUGGAUAGAUAAGGGAAUGUGAACUAAGCUCCAUUCAUUGGGAUAUGUGUGAUUGGUGUGUUGGAGAGUGUUAGCUAAAAGCUUCACUUAUGGGAUAUGUUCGACUCUAUGAGUCUAAGUGAUGUGCUGGAGAUCUAUGUAUCCAAUGAAUGGCGGUAGAGUCCACUUCUCGUUUCAUAAUCUCAAGAGCCCAAACUAUCAUUAAAAGUACCUCAUGUGUUUUAAUAUAUGCGCUUGAAUAAUCAUGUGAACAAUAAGUAAAUGAAUGUAUGAAAGAUGGUUAAACAUGUAAAAUAUGAUAUAGAACUAGGGAUGCCAUCAAUACGUUAUAUGACUGUUUCAUUGUUGGAUAAUGACUUGUUUGCAUAGUGGUUGUUUCCAAGCAUUCACUGAGCUUGUUAAGCUCACCCACUCCAUUUUAUCCUUUGCAGAGUAGUUGCAUUUCGGGUGUGAGCGAUGUGGCAAUCAAGGGGGUUGAUCAAAGCCAUACUUUUAGUUGCUAUAGUAGGUGUUAUAUGCUUAAUUAUGAUUUGGAAACAAAGGUAAUGUGAUAGUCCAAUGUUGUAGAUUUUACUUCGAUUUUGAUAAGUCAAUUUUUGGGUUGUUUGCAUCUAUUUAUGUUUGAAAGUAUGUGGACUUGAUUAUGAUAUUGGGACUACUAUUUCGAAUAUUUUGAUGUUUCUCUAACUAGGUGAAUGAAACAUGUUGUUUGGGAUUAAGUUUGAAUGAUAUUAUUACUGACACAUGCCAAAAUUUGGUAGUCUAGAGCAGAGGUGUCGAUAUGUGGGUUUUAAAAAUGAUACCUCUGUAAUUUCGAAAGUGCAGUAAAACAAAAUAUAGAAUUGGUAUCGAUACCUUGGCCCGAGUAUCGAUACUCGAGGUAAAUUUAUCGGUACCUAGUGAAAGAUACCAAUAGUUUUCGAUGUUUGAGAAUUUUGCUGAGAAACAGAAUGCAAGUUUGGUAUUGAUUUUUCAAGUGGUAUCGAUACCACUUAAAUAAAAUAUCGAUACCACUCUUUUAGUAUUGAUACCUAGGUAAAAUUUUUAGGAAAAUUUGCUAAGUGGUCACAAUGCUCGAUGUAUGUCCAUUUUAUGUUUAUUUGUCGUAAGUUAGCAUGGUUAAACAAUAAUUUCAGUUUGCAUGUCUUAAUAUUCGCAUGAUAGCUGUAGUAAAAAAGGAAAAUAAAAAUGCUUGUAUACUAAAUGUGAUGAUUACGAUGAAAUCAAUGUGAGACAAUGAUGUAGCAUCGUAGAACUCGGGCUCAACGACCGAGCCGAGUAUAGGGUGUUACAAGAUAACUCAUAUUUAAACCCUAAUUCAUCUAUUAAUUAUUCACACAUUCAUUCGUUAAUCUCCCUAAGAAAACUAGCCACUCAUGGAUCUAAAUGCAAUAACCCUUAAAUUCAUAUUCAAUAUACAAACAGUAAAUUAAAUAAGAAAAUAGAAUAAAAAAUAAAUCUGUUUCUAUGUUGAUUUGAGCACGAAAGCCAGAUUUCCUUUAACAGUUGCGAAGAUAACUCCAAUUGGGAUUGAAAAACAAAAAGAAAUAAAUGAAAACUAUUUAAUUGGAAGCUUGAAUCGGAAUUGAAUUCAAGUUAAACAAGAAAAAAAUUGUUUAGGACUAAAUUGAAAGAGAAUAAAAACUGAAAAUAAAAACCCUAAAACGAAACCCUAAAAUGAACUAAGUGGCUCACUUGGCGAAGCCACUUAAAAUGAGGCUAUACACUACUAUUUAUAGACAAAUUUGUGUGACCUAAUUAGGUUAAAUUAACAACAUAAUACUAAUAAAAAUACAUUGCGCAAACUAAUUUGCCCCUGAUUAAUUUUGACUUGUUAGUCAAUCGAUGUCGUGACAUCAUAGGACUGGUGUCGCGACAUGAAUUAUUUAGCUUUGAAGGUUGAUGUUGCAACACCAUAUUUGGUGUCAUGACCCUGACGUCAUCUUUCGCGUUCUAAGCCUAAAAUUAGUGUUCUUCACACUAAAGUAGCUCAUUAGUUCAGCCCUAGGCCUGUAUAGGCCCAUUAGGUCAUUAAUUGGCUAAAAAUUGCAUAAAAAUGCUUAUUUUUCAUAAAUUAAACCUAAAAUAAUAAAAAAACAUAAUAAAAACAUAUUAAAAAAUUAGAAAAUAAGCUGGUUAAGUGCCAGAAAGACUCUAAUUUGCCACAACGAAUUGUGACACAUCAAACUCCCCCACAUUUAAGUCGUUGCUUAUCCUCAAGCAACAAAGUAAAAACACACAAGAACAAGAAAAUAAAAUAACUAAAUAGUGCACGAGCAUGCUAAAUACACGAGAUUAGUUCGAAAUAAUAUAAACAAGAUAAUGUAAUUAAAAACGUAAUUUUAGCACGAUAUAUAAUCGACUUCUGAUUUUCAAUAUCAGACACGUUAGUUCACUAGGUUACAAGGUAAACAAAUUCAAGAAUGUUAAGCAUAGCAUUCCAUUGAAACAAGUACACAAAAUUUACAUUUAUGUUCAAAUAAACAAGUGGUCAAAUGUGUUAAUACUUAGUUUUAUUUUGAUCCAUGAAUUGUUUCACUUAGGUCACAUAGGACUUUUCAACUUAUAAUGUUUUACGGCUUAGAUAGUUUGGCACAUUCUCAUCACCUUAUAUCCACUUCUCUCGCCUUCCUUUUCUAUUCAUUUACUAAGGUGCUUUAUAACAUUGGUGAAUACAAUAAUCUUAGCGAGUCUUAUGUACAAAACUGAGUAUUUUUCCUUCUUUUUUCUCUUUUUGAAUUCUUUCUUUCUUUUUUAUUCACUUUGCUUUUUACAUUCGAGAUUUUCUCACUUGGCUUUGGCCUUUUCAAAGUUUUUCUUCUACUCUAUUUUUCUUUACUAAUCAUAACUUUGCAAGAAUCUUAUACUCACUAUACUAUACUAUCCCUUAGUUUUCACUCUCGAUUAUUUUGAAAUCUUUGUGAUAUAUCUUCCUAACCCUCAAUUUUAAUGGCUGGAUGUCUAGGUUCGUGUUGGGACCAAAGAGAAAAAGGAUUAAGAAUUUAUACAUUAGGCUUGUGGUUUCAUUUGAGGUUAAUCAAAAAGUGGACUUAGGCUAAAAAGUUAUGUACUAGGGAAUUUUUGUAUAGGGAUUUUUGGCUCUAGUGGUGACCAAACAAUGCCUUAGGUCAUCCUUAAGUGUCUCAAUUUAUGGAAUCAAUUAACUAAAUCUUAACAAUCUAACAAUUUAUAAAUCAAACAAACAUAUAUGCUUUUCAUGCACUUAUUUAUCAUUUGGUACACUUAACAUGUUUUUACCUAUUUACAGUGUAACAAAGUGAAGUAAUUAGUCUAAUACUAAACAACCUAAAAUUGAUUACUAUCAGACUAAGUUUAUAAUUUAAACACAAAAUCUUAUUUACGUGCUCUUAACCAAUCACUUGUAUUUCUACAAGCUCUCGCACAAAUAAGCCCACAAAAUUAAAAUUAAACUACGAAAGUAAUUAAAAACAAACAGAAAUUUUGAAAAUUUUGAAAAAAAUUGAAAAAUUCUAUGUUAUCCCUUCCAAAAAUUAUUUGGCACAUUGUCCCUAAUGUGCAACUAAAAAGAUAAGAGAAAGAGACUACCCAGGUUAGCAUUGAAGUUCCUCGAAUGUGGUUGGGUGGUCCUUCUCGUAUCGGUUUAGCUCCAAAUUUUAGUGCCUCAUAAUUUGUGGGGUUCCUACACAGAAUAAACAAGAAUUUUUUUGCAUUUAAUUAAUUAAUAAAAACUAAAUAAAAUAAUUAAAAAUAAAAAUCAUCCAAAUUAAAAUUAUACAAUCUAAAUAAAUUAAACUAAGUAAAAUUUCAAAAUAUUUAAUCAAAAUCAGAUUCCAAUUGAUCCCAUACAAUGAUCGAGUCUAUCCCACGACCCGCAACCUCCUCGGUGGCUUACCUCCUCGCGGAUUGGGUCUGGUUGCUUUGGCUCGGGUUGCAAAAUUGGAUGCCUCUGAUGGAUGGUUGUUUCGGUAGGAACACGUUGUCAAAGUUGUGGUCUAACUCUUCUCCUUCUUCCUUAGCAUCCAAUUCUCCUUCCUCCUCCCCUUCCUCAUAUUUGGCUUGCACGAAAAAUCGCGUGGAAGGGUAUCAGUUCGGUGACGGAUUAGGUACGUAGAUACCAUACCUCUGAGCGUAGUCAAUGCCCACCGGUGUCAUUACUUUUAUCCAUUGGAUUACCCACUCUAUGUCAAUCAUAUCACUAGACCCAUGGCUCGGUUCCUCUUCUCCUUACUCUUCCGCUUCAAAGAUUUCGAGACAUCCAUUUUGUUUUUUUGAUUUUUUUAAUUCUUUGAUUUGCUUCCUUUGAAGCUUGAUGUAUUGAGUGUAGAGUAAUUACUGAUGAGGAUCCUCAUCAGCUUUACAAACUGCUCCGUUGAGGAAAUGGGAACCUUCGCCUCUUUGCAUAGGGAAGUCACUAGGUACGGUAAAAAUAUCCCAACCUUCCUGUCGCUAAUACACAUGAGAAUGGAUUGAUAAAUUCACUUACCCAUGCAAGCCUGUCUCUGCUGUAAAAUACAAUAAGGAAGAAAAAGUCAGAAAGUAUUAACAUUGGAAACAUUCAGGGCCGAUGAUAUACAAGUGCAGAUAAAUUGCAUCCACAUUUCUGCAUCUGGAAACAUAAUUGCCUGAUUGAAUAAUAAUGGAAUAUUGGUUCUUGGUUGGCAUUUCCAAACGCCUCUCCACUCAGUUAAGUAGUUAAUAAUAGUGUCCAUAUCAAUGUCUCAGAAAUAGUAAGUAUCUAAAUCAACGAGAGUGUUCGAAACAUAAUACGAAGCAUCGUAAAAAUUACAGAUAUCAUAGAGAGUAACGGGGACCUAUUUUCCCCCAACCCUAAAAUGUCAAUAUUCGACAUUUGGGACCUUAUUAUUUUCCCCUGCUUUAAGGGAUGCAUAAAAUUUGUACACCACAAAGUUGAUCCCGACUCUUUUAGCGUGAGGUAAAAAUCGAUCCAAUGGCUCGCCUGGAGCAAAUCACAUAUAUCAUCAUUCAAAUUGAAUGACAUGUUGAACUCGUGUUCUUGAAUAAAAGUCUUGCCUUGGAGUUCUAAUAAGUUCUUUUCGACUUCUUGGCUCCAAAAUCGGGUGGAAUCGAAUUCCCCCAUGUCUCUCAAUUGCAUGGUGUGGUGUACUUUCUGGGGAGCCAUUUAAAGAUAAUAUAGAUAUUCAAAUAAAAUCUAAAACAACAAAAAUGAUGAAAUAAAAUAAAAUAAAAGUUGAGAACAUUUCACCGGAGUUAUUUGUGGACAUGUGGUUUUCAAUUGGAGGGGGAGAGACUCGUGAAAAACAACAAAAAAAAAGCAAGGAAGGAAAUGAGGGGAUCGAUUGUUGUUGGAAGAGCUUAGGGAAGUGUCUAAAGUAUGUUUAAGUUGAAGAUUAAGGUAAAAAUGGGUUAGGUUAUUUAUAAGGACAGAUUGGGUUGUGUAAAAAAUGGGUCGGAUUAUUGCAAACCCAACGUUGAUGUCGCGACAUAGGGUUUUGGUGUCACAACACCACACUUCAAAUACCCUAGAUUUUAGGUUCCAAGUUUUGUGUCGCGACAUGAUUACACGGUGUUGCAACAAAGACCCAAAAUUUCAAAUUAUUUUGAAAUGAUUUUAGGUUCGAGGUACGGUGUCGCGACAUGGUUCUAGAUUUUAAAAUGAUUUUAGGUUCGAAGUGUUAUGUUGUGACAUGGAGAAGUGGUGUUGCAACAUGACCUCCAUUUUGAAAAUUUUAGAGGUUUGAAGUUUAGUGUUUUUGAAAUUCCUUGACCCUCGUUUCUGAAUUUCCUCAUUUUUUUGGUGUUUUGGGCCUUUCAUUUUCUCCUGAUUCUAAAUAAGUCCCUAUUAUCCCUUUUGCAGCUUCGUACAACCAAAAUCCUGUCCUAAUUAAAAUUUCUAACCUAAUAAAAUUUCAAAUUUUGAAAACAAGAUUUAUUUUACACUAUUUUGACAACAAAUAUUAAUUUUUUUGGUGAUUAAUUAAGUGUGGCUAUCGGAACGUGAAGUCCAUCCACCAAAUUAUUGUUCUGUUAUCGAUCUUCAAGGCCCGUUCAAUAUAUGCCCUUCCAUUUGGGUUCUUUCCACUUGUCCUGCUCCCUCGAUCCUUGUUUUCCUACACACAUUGAACUGAGACCAUACCUCCGACCAAGGUUGUUAAGGGUAAUAUAAGAAAUUAUAUAACAAUCCUCCUUUAGUUUGUUUCCUCAUUCCUCAUUUUGGGAAUCGUGGCCACAUUUGAACACCUCUAUUUCGCCAUCAAUUUUCAUAAUCAAAUCAUUUUUCUUAGGAUCGAUAGUCGACCUAGAAGUGGCCAAAAAUUGUCUACCCAACUUACUGGGAAUAUCUUGGUCCUCGUAAAAGUUAGGGACCAAGAACUUCAAGUACACAUUAGGGAUGUACAAGACACCUAUCGACUAAUUGUAGCGCGAUCGUCGUGUUUUUCAGCUCCCUUAAUCUGAGUUUUAAAUAAGUCGAUAGGGGCAUCAAAUUAAUACUGGCCUCGAAAUCACAAAGGGGCUUACUAAAAUAUAAAUUGUAAAAUUGCCCAAAUCUUUAAAUUUUGGGGGUAUUUAUCAAGAAAUGAUCUCACAUCAAGAGGCAUCGAUAUUAAUUUGUUCAUGUUUCUUUAGUUUAUUAUGUCUAUACAUUAUUUCCUUUAAAUACUUGGCAUAUUUUGGUAUAUUCUCUAUUAGUUCUAGCAGUGUAAAAUUUACAUUAAAAGAUUUAAACAAAUAGAGAAAACUUAUGAUUUUUGCCUCAUCCCUUCAGUUUUUGUCCUCUAACCUCGAUGGAAAUGGUAUGUGUUUGGACAUUAGGUCCGAGUGUUGAGCGAUUUUCAGUUCAACUACCAGUGCGGGUAAUUCUCCGCUUUUUUUAUGAGUCUGGGCUCAUCAAGGGUGUUGUCAACCAUCUUGAAUUUGUCAUCCACAUUAGUCAUAGCCAUAUUUUGGCUUACCAAAGCUUUUCCCGAAUGAAUUGUGAUUGCAUUCACAUGAUUUUUUUCAUACUUUUAGGGAUUAUUUUUCGUAUUACUCAGAAUACCCGUACCCAUUUGCUUUCACAUUUCAUUCAAUGUGCUUACGAUGUGGCGUAUCAUUUCCUUUAGUUUGGCCAUAUUAGCACGAGUUUGAUCUACUCGGUCUGGACUUGUUGCAUGUCAAAUCUCAUUAAUUGCAUCUUAGAUUUGAUUCAGUCCAAUCAUUGACCAUAAUCAACAUGAUCGUUACUAAUGGACCUUUCUUGAGAUCACUAAAUAUGCAAAGGUUGAUAUGAAGGAUUUUAUUGAUUUGGAAUUGGUUUUCGCUACCUUGAUUGCCUCCCCACUUUAGAUUUGGAUGUUCCUUCCAAUUGGGGUUGUAAGUGUUUUAAUAGGUAUUUUCGUCCCUAUUGCCCAAAUAAUUCACUUCUUCUAAUUGGGUUUCUGAGUAUGUCACGUAGUUUCAAGGGGCAUCGUGCAUGGAGGACUUAACAAUGGUCCCGAGAUGAUGUAGCUUUAGCAAAAUCUAUUGAUAAUUAUCGUCUUUCUUGACUACUUUAGCUGUUGACAACUUCGUGUUAUAUGAUAAGUGCUUGUUGGGCCACAUGUACGAGUUCAUAGCCAUGUACUCGAUCAAUUGAUAGGCUUGUUUGUAUGUAUUGUUCGUAAAGGCCCCAUUGGAUGCACCAUCUAAUCCGGCUAUUAAGCUACAAUCCAAUCCAUGGUAGAAAAUUUACUGCUAUAGCCAUUCUUGCAUUUCAUGAUGUGGGCACUUCCUUAGCAGUAAUUUAAAGCGUUCCCAUGCUUUUUAUAACUUUUUGCUUUCUAAUUGCUUAAAAUUGGCAAUGUCACACCUCAAUUGAAUGGUUUGACUAAUGUGGAAAAACUUGUGUAAAAAGUUCCCUACUACUUCAUCCCACAUCGUGAUAGAACCAAGCUCUUGUGAAUCCAACCAUUCAUACGCAUUGUCGCAAAGUGAUAAGGGGAACAAUAGAAGACGAAUGAUGACAUCGGUAACCCCGUUAUACUUGAAAGUAUCAUUUGGAUGGCGACUGUCUUGAUUUUGAAAUUAUUGGUGUUGAUUGUCGGCCUCUCGAUACUACCUCGGACUACAUCUAAGGUGGGUAGCGCGUAUUCGCGCAAGGUUCACUCUUGUCGAGCUAUCAAAUGCUCUCUUCAGAACUAUGCUUCCGGUUCUAGUGAUUCAUCAAAUGGAGGUUUUUCUUGAGGUAAGUCAACUACCACAGAUGGAUUGUUUUGCAUUUGUUGACGGGUUCGCCUUAGAAUUCUCUCUGGUUUAGGAUUUCGCUUGAUUGGAAUGGCUCUGCUAUGAGUCAUACAUAGAAAUCAAAGAGAAAUUGAAAUAAAAUUAAUAAUCAAAAAAUGAAAUAAAAUAAAAUAUGUAUCUAUAAUUCUAAAAAUUCCUAUUUUUCCUAUUAAAAUUUAGAAAAUAAAAUUUUAGUUUAAUGUCGAAACCUCGCGGCAACGGCACUAACCACUUGACCACCGCAAGACAUGCGAACGGUAGGAUUGGAAAUACUGCAGUAAAAACAUAAUAAAUAAAACAACAGUGUCUUCAAGUAUACAUGUCAAAUUGUAAUAUAGUAAAGAAUGUUACAACGAAACACUCUGAGAAGCAUUCCAAGAAUCGUACCCAAUGGAGGUUGAAAGUACUAAUCUAAAAUUAUAUUAAGAGCUACCAAAUUAAAAUUGAUCAAAAAAAAUAAUUUAUCUAUAAUUAAGACAACCAAAUAACAAUAAAAAAUAAUUCCAAUUAAAUAGGCAAAAGAUUAACUCACUUCAGUGUUCCUAAUUACCUUCAAAACUCAGGUUCUAUCGACUUGGCUAUUAAUUAACUAGUUAUACUUCUCGACCUCUAACUGAUUAACUAACCAACCAAUGCACGCUUAUUUCUUGACCUCACUUUCUUGACCGGGAUAAAUUAUGAUUUACUCAGUAAACUUAUCUCUCGAUCUUGUCUAUUAUAAAUUACUUCCUAGGGUCGUCACUUCCUACGGCUUAAUCGCACAUAAUGUAAACCAACUAUAACUGUCUGCCUCUAGACAUACUAACAUCUAAAGUGUGAAUACUACAACCAAAAUAUAAGUGUUAGACGAUUUCCUUAAGUAUACGAUUCAGGUUGUAAUAUAGUUUUACAACGAAGUAUUGAAGUGCUCUGAGGAUCAUACCCAAGGGAGGCGAGACUAAACUAACCCUAACUUCUAAGCUAAUAGGUCUAAUUAGCAAUUUAAUUUAACUAUAUUACAAUUAAUCCUAAGAUGGUGAAAAAAAAUAACUUAUGAAAUACUAAAAGAACAUAAAAACAAAUAUUGAAGACAAAUUGUAUAUUUUAUCAUAUCUAAUCAAUAGAAGACAAACUCACUUCGGCGUUCAUAACUAUCUUCUAUUUCGGGUCCUAUACAAUCAACUAGUCAUUAACCUAGCAGGGCCUCUCGGCCUUCCACUAACCUAAUGAGUCGGCAAAAACUACUUAUCUUUCGACCUAACAAUCCAAACCAGAUUUGGGUUAGGUUUUCACAUAUAGGGAAUACCAAUUUUGGGUUGAUUCCCAGCUAUUAGACUUCCUAGGGUCGUCAAGCCUAUCUCUCAUUAACGAAUUAGUUCCCUAUGGAUUUAACAAACAUCGUAAACUUGAGUAAAAAGAUAAAAAACUAAAAAGACAAAUAUUAGAAAUAAAUCAAGAAGAGAGUUUAGAAAAAUUAUGAUAUAUUAAUAGUAGUGCGAACAAUAAUUAGCCAAAUAGUUUAGUGAAUCGACAAUCUGAAUUCCACGAAGAACGAAAUAAACUAACUAGAAUCACAAUUAAAUAGAAACAGGAAUUACAAAUAGAGAAUAAAACUAAGUAGGAAACAAAAAAUAAAUAUUAAGUAAAAUUGUUCAUAAACUAAGCAGAGCAAUCCAAUUUAUAGCCCUAGGGUUGUCCAUCGGUCCUUGACCUAAUUUGGCUGACUAUUUCUUGCUAAAAUUUGUUGUGUGGACGAAAACACCUUUGACUCAUUAAUUGGCCUCGUCACAUCGGUGUCGAAACACCCUAUAGCCUAUUUUGCUACACUGAUUGCAGUAUACUAGUCUUGGGCGUGUCUUCAGGGCUUUUUCGCAACACUCUCUGGCUAUGUUGCGACAUCGAAGGUAGUCUGCUCCUUUUGAAUACUUUGUUCACUAGGUUACGACAUCGAAACUCCUUAUUGUAACAUCGUGGGCAGUCUACUAUUUAAAAUAAAUAGUUCAAUGUCUGAUUUGAUGCUUUGCAUGUCAGGUCUAGUCUUAGUUAUGAGGGUUACCUAAACUGUAUAAGACAAAAGGAGUGAGCUUAUGAAAGCUCAGUGUGAGUCAACUUAAGAUACAAUCAGAAAAAUAAUCAAAAGCGUAUAACAAUCAUCAAAAUCAUUUUAGAUUAGUACAUGGAAAAACAAAUCAGUGUAUGAGCAUGUAAUAUGUAUGAUGCGAUGCAAAAAGAUUCCUACCCAACCAUCCGCUACACACCACAAGUUCCCCAAAACCCGUCUACAAAACUCCAAAUAGUGGGAGACAAAGCUUGACGUGGAUAAACCACCAAUCAUUAAUGUAGAUAAGCUGACAGUAAAAUACAGACAAGCUGCCGGUAAUGUGGACUUGCCACCAAUGUCAGCAAUGCAGUUAAACUGCCAAUAAUGUGAUUAAAUCACUCAAUCUUUCGAUACUCUAGGUGCAGUAUACUGACUCAAUAUUGCAGACUUUAAUUACUAUCAGCACUGAACAGAACUCCUCUGUCAUCAACAAAACCAAACCCAAUGCAAAUGCAAAAUUUCAUAUUAUUAAAACCAGUGGAAUAUGAACAUGCUUUCAAUAAAUUUAGUGCCAUGCAUAAAAUGUAACAUAAACACCCACAUAACAAUAUCAGUCAUGGCUACUUCACAAGCACAUCAAAAAGUAUCUCAAUUUUUAGCAUGUUUUCCAUGCGUCCAAUGAUUAAUAUUCAUCACGCGUUAAACAAUAUGGAGUAUUUCACAACAUACAUAAAAUCGACCAAAAUAAUGGCACAUACUCAUGCAGUGUAUACAUCUUAUACACAAUCAUACAAUCACAAAUAGGGCCUCUAACAAUCAGCUUUACCAUUUAAGUACAUACCUUGCUCGAUAAUUUUUUUAUAUGUUUUUAGGCCAUUCGACCAUGCCACAUCCAGCAAGCAUAUAUUACCAAUUUUUAAUCAUAAAAUAUUAAUCUAAGGCUAAUUACACAAAAGAAAGACCUACACCUUAGUUUCGAAGCCCACAGCACUAAACUGUAAAAUCCGCACUUUCGCUUUUAAGCCUUAAAUGAACCUAAAUAUAGAAAAAAGCAUUUAGCACUUCAAAAUAAGGUUAAUGAACAACCUUGAAACACCCCUAAAGGUUCGACCAAAGAGGUGUUAGGAGCACAAAUUUUUAGAUUUUAAAUAUUGAGCGUACUUACACUGAUUUGAUGCGAAACGGAUAUGCGAACGAGAUCCGACUUCACUACUGCUCCAGGAUGUUUCGAUCAGCACCUAUGAUUAAAAUAUUACUCAAAAUAAGUAACCGAUAACCAAUUAAAGACCUUAGAUCAAUUGGCCAAAACAACGACCAUUAACAAAAUAAAAUUGACAUAAGAGUUCGCUUAAAUCCGUAUUUUCACUUGAACAUUAAUGUUCUCACUGUUACUAUACUUGAGAUGUCGAUUGAACAAGACCGGAUGCACUUUCAAUUGGCAAGGUUAGGGGUUGUUUUAACAGUGGAAAAAGUGAGGAAAACCAAUAAUGUGGUGCAGCAAAAGGAACAAAUAAAUAAUAACACAAAAUUAGUGUUCAAAGGGACAACACACCUCUACAAAAGGCAGCAAUAAGAGGUUGAUUUAGGUGGGUUAAAGAGAGAUUUUUGGGAAGCAAUGGGAUGGUUUAAAUGCCUGAAAUAAAAAUGAAGUGGUUAGAAAAAUAGUAGCAAGAAUCGUCAAUCACAGACUAAAGGAGAAGUGAAUAAAAAAGAUCAAAAUGACACCACCACAAGUAGAAGGGAUUAGACGACAAUGGAGGUUAAAUUGGCAGCAAGGUGGAGCAAUUUUUGGUAACAAAAAAAUAGUAUAAUGGCUUGAAAAAUGGUAGCAAAACUGUAGGAAUAAAAGAGAAAAUGGAUGACACAAGGAAACUAACGAAGAAAAAAAAUGAGAAAUAUUGAGAAAGGAAAGGGGUUAGGCAGCAAGAGUAAGAAGAAAAAUGUGAAAUGGCUGUAUAAUGAAUGAAAAUUUUGUAUUUAAACCUAGAUUUUCUUACUCGUUUGGACGACACAACAUAGGGGAGUGGGAGAAAAAAUAGAAAAUUAAUUUAUUUGUUUGGGAACGGACUUGAACUUGGGUCUCUAAGCAAAUUACACUAUCUCCUUAUUUUCCUUUAACCAUUAAGCCAAUAGCUUAUUCUUGAAAUAAUUUUACAAAAUUUAAACUAAAAAUUUGAGAUGUUACACCAACUAACUCAAAUUUAAACCCUAAUUCAUCUGUUAAUUAGUCAAACAUCCAUUCGUUAAUCUCCCUAAGAAAACUAGCCACUUAUGGAUCUAAAUGCAAUAAUCCCUAAAUUCAUAUUCAACAAACAAACAAUAAAUUAAAUAAGGAAAUAAAUUUGUUCCGAUGUCGAUUUGCAUACCAAAAGCUAGAUUUCCUUUAAUAAUUGUGAAGAUAUCUACGAUUGCGAUUGGAAACCAAAAAGAAAUAAAUAAAAAAUAUUUAAUUGAAAGCUUGGAUUGAAAUCGAAUCCACGUUUAAAAAGAACAAAAAUUGUUUAGCAUUAAAGUGAAAGAAAAUAAAAAAUAAAAAUCCUAAAACUAAGAGGCUAAACACUACUAUUUAUUGCCAAACUUUUGUGACCUAAUUAUGUAAAAUUAACAGUCUAAUAAUAAUAAUCCAAUGUGCAAACCAAUUUGCCCCUGAUUAAUUCUGGUAUUUUUGUCACUCGAUGUCGUGACACUACAGGACCACUGUCGUGGUACUGUAUUUAAAAUCUUAAUUAUUUGGCUUUGAAGUUCGGUGUUCUAACACAACAGCCUGAUGUCGCGACAUUAUCAUCGUCCUUCGCAUUUUAAAUCAUAAAUCAGUGUUCUGCAAACUCAAAUAGCUCAUUAAUUCAUCCCUAGGCCUGUAUAGGCCCAUUAGGUCAUCAAUUGGUUAAAAAUUGCGUAAAAAUGCUUAUUUUGCAUAAAUUAAAUGUAAAGUAAUAAAUAUUGAGAAUGUAAUAAAAACAAUGGAAAAUAAGGUCAUUAAGUGCCAGAAAGGCCCUAACUUUCCAUAACGAAUUCUAGCUGAUCAACAAGCAAUAUAUUUAUCAAAGUGAAGCACAAGAAAAAUUUUAGAAAAGCUUUCACCUUUCUUGAAAGAACUUGAAGUACAUAACAAUGGCAACAAUGGUGGUGUAAAUAAACACAAAAGAUCAAUUUUUUAUAAGAAUAAGUGAAACAAAGUUGAGCUUUAUUAGGUUUAAUGAUUAAACUGAAAAUACAAUAAUGUUUAAAGGACUAAAAAGCAAAUAGAACCAAGAUACAAUGUUAACUAACUAACUAUUGAUUUAACUUAAAAAAAUAAAAAAAGUCUAAACCCUAGAAGUUGAAGAGGACAAAUCAAAUAAACUAAGCUAAAAAGAUGCUAAAAGGUGAUAAAAAUGAAAGCCUAUUCUCUUAUCAGCCAAAAAUAGGAUUUUCAUCUGAUUACGACCCAAUUUUUGUGACCAAAAUACCACAAAUUGUCUAAUUUUGAUUGAUGUUGAGGUUGGACAAGGACUACCUCUGCAGUAAUCUUUUGUGUCCUGAUAGUAUUAGAAGAACAUAUGUUUUCUCCCUACUUAUUGGUUAAUUUGUCCCUAUUUAAUUAUCUUUAGCACAUAUUUUAGCCUUUUCAAUUUAGUAAAUUACAUUUUAUAACUCAGUGGAUCUUAGCCUAUUUAUCCUUAAUUUUGUCAUGUUUUGGUCCUGAUGUAGCAACAUGACUAUUUCCAAAUUGCACCUAGAAUUGUCGUUGCACCUGACAGCUAUUCGGAUAAGAAAAAAAAUGUGUGCUCUGUCUAGUCUGGUAUAAAUAACUUGCACGUACAGAGGCAGCAUGAUUCUAAUGAAAGGACACCUAGACUAUUUGGAAGAAUAUAAAUAUUCACAUGAAAAAAGUGAGGUUUUUUUUAGUAGGAUAUCAUCUUCUUCAACCUAUUUUUUUAAAGCUUUUUUACUAUGGCGACUUAUGCCUCCUAUGGGGAGCCGAAGUGAAAGGGAUGCAGAUUAGCUCUUGACGAGGAGCCUUGAGUGUGACACAAAAGGGAGUUGAGAGAUCAAGUCGACAUUUUCUAAGAAUAGUACUCUCCACUUGUUUCUUUUAUAUUUCUUUUCUAAACGCUGGUGUUUACUUUCUAUUUCAUGUUUGUACGAAAGCAUACAUGAUUUUUGUUUUAUAUGUUAUUUUAUUCAUCUUACAUCUACUGUUUAAUAUUUCUGUUUGAAUGGUUUUAGCAUGAAAGUGUUAUUUCGAUCAUUGACACUAGAAAGUGCAGCGACAGUUCAAGCUAACAAGCAUGACAGCGGAAGUUACUUGAGGAUUAAAGGAAUUUAAUCCACUUGUUCUUAAUUGUGUUCCAUUUCCAUUAUCGGAAGGAGUGGCUAAUGUGCAUGUUUAAGUCUUUAAUUAAAUACAGAAGUUAAGCUUCGUAAGAUAUUGAUUGCAAUUUAAUGCAUCGACAAUCACCUAUCCUUUUAUACCUUGUAAGCACUUAGUAUUGUGUUGAAUAUUCACGUUGGGGAUCCCAGUUUAUCAGUAUCAUAUUUUAACUUAUUGUUUUCAAGUUAUUUCUUCUACAACUACUCUCACAAUUUAUCUCGUUUCUAUCGAUUUAUUGCAUUAACAUUGAUAGACAAAAGACAAUCGUCCUCGUGGGAUCGAUAUCCAACAGACUCAUAUUUGUCUACUAUACUUGCAUCGACAGUGUAUGCUUGCACAUUACUGUUGUGACGUUAAACGGUCGAUCAAUUUUUAGCACCGUUACCAGGAAUGACGUUUGUUUGAUGUUUAUUUUUGUUUUUUUUUAUUUCAUAAUAUUUAGUUGUUACUAUUUUUCUUUUUGUCGCUAUUUUCACAUUUUAUUUUAGGUGUUGUAUGACCCGAAACAAUUUAGAUUUUAUUAUUGAUUUUGAUCCAGAAAUUGAAAAAACUGUUCAGAGGAGACUUAGAGAACAAAGGAAUAUGGCUUUACCAAUAAACUAUGAAGUCAUACAUCUGAUGCAGUACCAAAAUGCUAAUGACCCACCAUUGCCACGAGAUGCUCAAAUACAAAUCGGACUAUACGAGAUUUUGUAGUACCUGUCUUGGAUGACUUACAACUGGGAUUUAUUAGGCCAGUAAUCCAAGCAUGAAAUUUUGAACUCAAGCCAGUGAUGUUUCAAAUGUUGAAUUCUAAUGGGCAAUAUGUUGGACUGCCACAUGAUGAUGCACGAGAGCAUCUUAAGUCAUUUUUAAUGAUUUUUGCUUCCUUUAGUCACUAAGGUGUUCUUGAUGAUGCUUUGAAGAUGAAAUUAUUUCCUUAUUCCUUACAGGGAAGAGCUCAUACCUGGUUCCUUAGGCUACCUACCGAAUCAAUUACUUCUUGGAACGCACUAGCAAUACAAUUUAUUUUGCGAUUUAACCGACUGAUAAUGAAUGCUCAUCUCUGAAAUGAUAUUACAGCUUAUCAUCAGCUGGAUGAUGAGAAUCUUCACACCAUAUGGGAACAUUAUAAAUGUUUGCUUCGACGUUAUCCCAUGCACGACGUUCAACAGGAAACAAAAAUUGAGAUUUUCUAUAAUAAGCUGAAUUCACACACGAGGAAUCUUGUUGACGCAUCCGCCAAUGGUCUUUUUUUAAGAACAUUGACGAAAACAGUACACAUAAGCUUCUCCUUCUGAUCGGUUAGUAGCUCUUGAGGCUUUAAUGCAGGAGCGUAUGACCUGCACAGAAGCUAUUGUGCAAGGGAAUUCAUCUUCUAUUCGGGUGUUAGAGCCACAAUUAGGACAACUAGCUUCGAAUCUGAAUACUCGUCCACUGGGCACACUCUCUAGUGACACAAAAAAUUCCAAUCUUAGGGGGAAAGAACACUACAAGGCUAUCACUAUCAAGAGUGGUAAAAAAACUGGGAAGCCGACUACAGACUCUACUGUAGCACCUCAAGAUACUAGUGAAGUGAUCCCUGGUGAGAAGGUUUAAUCUUAAGAGCUUGUCGAUGUACUAGAGAAAGAAGUUCCACAAAUUGUCACUCAGAUGCCUAAUGUCUGACCCUCAAAACUGUCAACGCAAUCAAAGGUGUCGACGCAAUCAGAAUUAUCUCUACUUUUACCUUUUCUACAAACAUUCAAAGAAAAGGAGCAAGAUAAGCAGUACCAACAGUUCCCGAACACACUGAAACAACUUUAGGUCAAUAUCCCUUGAGUAGACACUAUUGUGUAAAUUCUAAAUUAUGGGAAGUUUAUGAAGGAGAUCUUGUCCAAGAAGAAGAAGCUUAUUGAUAUGGAAACUAUUACACUCACAGAAGGCUGUAGUACUAUUUUGACAAAUAAGUUACCCCCCAAAAUGAAAGAUGUUGGGAUCUUUACUAUCCCAUGUUCAAUUGACAACCAUUAUUUGGGUAAGGCUUUAUGCGACUUGAGAGCUAGCAUCAACCUAAUGCCAUUAUCUACUUUCAGAAAUUUGGGAAUUAGUCACAUGAAACCUACUGUAGUGACAUUGCAACUAGUUGAUCGAUUCUUGGCUCAACCUGAAGGGCAAAUCAAAGAUAUCUUAGUUCGUGUGGAUAAAAUCAUUUUUUCGGCUGAUUUUAUCAUAAUUGUGAGGCAGACAAGGAGAUUCUGAUAAUCUUGGGACGACCAUUUUUAGCGACCGGACGAACUCUUAUUGAUGUCUACAAAGGUGAACUGACCAUGCAGCUUAAUGAUGAGCACGUUACCUUCAGUGUUUUCGAAUCUAUUCAAUAUAAGAAUAAAGAAGAAUGCCAUACUGUCGACGUGCUAGAUGAUUUAUUUGAGGAAGAAUUUAAUGACCAAAACACAAUACUUUCUGAGGAGUUUGCAGUGACAUUUAAUGAUGAAUUCUAAGAUAAUUGUGACACCAUGGUUGAAGCUAAAAAUAUUGAACUUAAGCAUGGAUGACAGAUUAAAUCCUUAGACUUAGCCAACAGAAUAACUCCAAUGUUCAAGCCAUCUAUCGAUGAAGCUCCUACUCUGGAAUUGAAGCCACUACCUACUCAUCUUAAAUACGUCUUCCUUGGUGAUAACAAUAAUCUUCUAGUUAUUGUCUCUGCAACACUAGAUGUAACUUAAGAAGAUAAAUUGGUCCAUAUUCUUAAGCAAUAUAAACGAGCUAUUUCUUGGAGUAUUGUCGAUAUCCCAGGCAUUAGUCCAUCUUUUUGCAUGCACAAGAUCGUGUUGGAAGAUGAAGGCAAGUAAUCAAUUGAGCAACAAAGAAGGUUAAACGAGAAGAUGAAGGAAGUUGUUAAGAAAGAAAUUAUAAAAUGGCUUGAUGCUGGAAUUAUUUACCCUAUUUUUUAUAGCAAUAAGUCUACUGUAAUGCAUUCCUAAAGAGAGUGGCACCACUAUAGUUAGCAACGAAAAACACAAAUUAAUUCCUACACGCAUUCCAAUGGGAUGGCGAGUCUGUAUGGAUUAUUGCAAACCUAAUGCUGCCACAAGGAUGGACCACUUUCCACUUUUUUUCAUUGACCAAAUGUUAGAUAGGCUGACUUGAAGAGCCUAUUACUACUUCUUAGACAGUUAUUCUGGGUACAACCAAAUUGCUAUUGUACUAGAGGAUCAAGAGAAAACAACUUUCACCUGUCCCUUUGGUACUUUUGCUUUUCGCCAUAUGCCUUUCAGUCUUUGCAACACACCAGCCACAUUUCAAAGGUGCAUGAUGACAAUAUUCUUGGAUAUGAUUAAAGAUUCUUUAAAGGUUUUUAUGGAUGAUUUCUCAGUCUAUGAGAAUGACUUUGAUCAUUGCGCUGACAAUUUGGAUAAAGUAUUGCAAUGAUGUGAAGACACACAUCUUGUUCUAAAUUGGGAAAAAUGUCAUUUUUUGGAAACUGAAGGCAUUGUGUUAGGUCAUUGCAUCUCUAGUCAAGGCAUUAAAGUAGACAAAGCUAAAGUGGAAAUCAUUGACAAAUUACCUCCACCAAAAAAUGUGAAAAGUAUUCAUAGUUUUCUUGGGCAUACUAGGUUCUACCAAAGAUUUAUUAAAGAUUUAUCAAAAAUUGCAAAACCCUUAUGCUCAUUACUAGAACAGAAUAAAAAAUUCUUCUUUGACGAUGCAUGUUUAGAGGCAUUCAUUGAUUAAAAGACGCAACUACUAAAUGCACCCAUUAUCGUUGCACCAGAUUGGUUUUAAACUUUUGAAGUUAUGUACGAUGCAAAUGACUUUAGUGUGAGUGUUGUUCAAGGACAGCGUAAGGGAAAAAUAUUUCAUGUCAUCUAUUAUGCUAGCAAGAAUCUUACAGAGGCUCAAAUCAAUUAUACCAUUACAGAGAAAGAAUUGUUGGCUAUAGUCUUUGCUUUUGAAAAGUUUCAUUCUUAUCUUGUCAGUGCAAAGGUUACCGUAUUUACUGAUCACUCGGUGUUGAGAUAUCUUUUUGGGAAUAAGUAUGCAAAACAAAGACUGAUUUGCUAGAUCUUACUGUUGCAAGAAUUUGACAUCGAGAUAAAAGACCGCAAGGGUUCAAAAAAUCAAGUUGCAGACCAUCUGUCUCGAUUGGAAGUUGGUAGCGAAGAUAGAAACAUACUUCAAAUUGUUGAUGCAUUCCCAGAUGAGAAGUUAUUUGCUGUAGAUGCUACCCUUUGGUAUGCAGAUUUGGUUAAUUAUCUAGUGUGUGAAAAACUCCCAUUUGGUGUCACAGGCCAUAAAAAAAGAAAGAUUUCUUCGUGAAGUAGUGAAGUAUCAUUGGAACGAGCCAUAUUUAUUCAAGGUAUGCAAUAAUAACAUUAUUCGACGUUGUGUUCUGGAAGAGGAGAUGGUUUCAAUCCUAAAGCACUAUCAUAAUGCUCCUUAUGGAGGUCAUUUCGAUGGCAUGUGAACUACUGCUAAGGUUCUCUGAUCAGGAUUCUACUGGCCUCCAUUAUUCAAUGACGGCCACAAUUUUGUGAAUAAAUGCGAUAGGUGUCAGCGCACUAGUUCUAUAUCUCAACACAAUGAAAUGUUGUAGCAUCCAAUUAUAGAGGUUAAAUUAUUCAAUGCUUAGGGUAGGGAUUUUAUAGGAUCAUUUUCAAGUUCAUUUGGAAAUCUUUAUAAUAUAGUAGUUGUUCAUUACAUCUCGAAGUGAGUUGAAGUUGUUGUACUCCCAAAGGAUAAUUCAAAGACAGUGCUUAAAUUUUUUCACAAGCAUAUACUCACCCGCUUUGGCACACCAAAGGCAUUCAUUAGUGAUCAGGGUACACAUUUUCAUUGCAACCAAGUGGCAACCACAUUGAAAGAUAUGGAUUUAAUCAUAGAAUGGCUACUACUUAUCAUCUGCAAACUAAUGGACAAGCCGAAGUAUCAAAUCGACAAAUUAGAAACAUUCUUGAGAAGGUUGUGAACCCUUCAAGGAAAGAUUGGUCUUCCAGAAUGGAUGAUGCUUUAUGGGACAGCAUAAAAAACUCCAUUAGGGAUAUCACCGUAUCAAUUGGUUUUUGGGAAAGCAUGUCACUUGCCAGUUGAACUGGAGCACAAAGUAAUGUGCGCAAUUAAUUAAGUGAACAUGAACUAUGAAGCUGCUGGAAAGAAAAUGUUGUUGGAUAUCACUGAACUAGAGGAGAUUAAGUGAAAUGCCUAAAAAAACGUUGCAAUUUACAGGGAAAAGACCAAACGAUGGCAUGAAAAAAUUAUUUUGUAGCGACAAUUUAUUGCGAGUCGUCAAGUUUUAUUAUUCAAGUUGUCGAAGUAUUUCCUCAUGGUUCGGUCACAAUCAGAGAUUUACAUGAUGGAUACCAGCGCAAAGUGAAUGGCCAACGAUUGAAACAUUAUUUUGGGUAUACUGAUCAAAAGUAGGCAGAGACCAUUAAAUUGGUCGAGAAUUUUUAAUUUUUAUGGGAUUUAUUAUUACGUAAUUUUAUUUUAUUUUUGAUUCUGCUUAAGUUUGUUUUCCUUUUUUUAUUCUUGCAGAAUAAUUAGUUACAAUUGUCGACGCACUUGGGUUUUAUUGCCAACACAAUUCGUACUAUUGUACUGUUACGUAUGACUCACCACGAAUGAAGGGCAGAUCAUAAUUUUUAGAUCCCACCGUUUGAUCAAAAGUGACCUAGCCAUUUGAUCUAUCUAAGCGGGCGGAAUUCUUAUUGGACAUAUUUAUUCUCGUCAGCUUUAUAUCCCUUCACAAAAGUCACCCAUUUCCAUCUUCUUCUUUCACACGCUAUAAACCCCAUUCACUGUGCCAACUAUAACAACUACAAAGCAACCAUUUUUAUUCACUUUAUCUUCCCUAAGCUCGUACCUUUACAACUUUAAACCAUCUUCACUCCACAAAACAAACAAAAUAUGGCAAGAACGAGAGGAUCAGUCAAGAGAGACACCAAGCUUGUUGAAGAACACUCAUCCUCUGCAACUGUAGUUUGUGAAUCGAAAUCCUCCAUGCCAAUGGAGAAAAAAGGAGCCAAUGAUAUUUUUAAAGAAAACGGCCAAGGACCGGUUUCAAGACAUCAUUUUGAAGUGAAAUUUCCACCUAGAACAGGACAUUGUCCUUUCACAACAUCAAGACUUGGGCAAUCAAUUCUACAAAACCAUCUCCAAGCUAAAGUGGGAGACUUUCUGCACUCAUCCUGGAAGUUAUUCUCUUUCAUUGGUACGUGAGGUUUACGCUAACCUUUAUGACCAUAAGUUAAAAUUUAUCUUUGUUUGAGAAGGCUUAAUCCUAUGGGAUGCUAAAAAAAUCAAUGAGCUGUACAACACUAAAGUGGAUGUAGAUGAACAUUCUAAUUUAUUAAGGAUGUCACAGACAAAAAAAGGGACAUGUUGGUGAAGGAUUUAUGUGCUAAAGGAGUAUUGUGGAUGAGUUCACAUCAAAAGAAUUAUACGAUGGACCGCCAGUUCCUCACAUUGUGAAGCAAAAUCUGGUUUCAUUUUGUCAACUACAGGCUACUACCCUCUACUCACAACACCACAGUCAACCCCGAUAGAAUGUGUCUGGUACAUUAAAUUGUGAAGGGCAGAAAGAUUGAUGUCGGUGCAAUACUCCACCAGGAAAUUGCUGACUACGCCACAAGGCAAACUGGGAUUUUGGUUUUCCCAUCGUUGGUGAUACUAUUGUGCCAGUAGAAAGGGACUGUGCCCCAUGAUGGUGAAAAGUUCCUGGAGAAUAAGGGUCCGAUAAAUGAAGCCUCUAUUUAAAGAAUGACUCGUGGCAAAGAUAAACAGACAAUGAAGGGGAUAGAGACCAGCAAGAAAAGGAAGGGUAAAACCAAGGAAAAAACCAAGGGAACAAACCUAACUGCAGAGACAUCAUUGUUGCGUAAAAUGUAUGAUCUCAAGAAGUUAGCCAAUUCUAUCAGCAAUAAGCAGAUCAGGCUUGUCGCUACAAUGGAGGAUAUAGACAGAUCACAAAAUUUGUUCUAUGCUUAUACCAAGGCCUAUAACAACUCUAUUGUAACUGAAUUAAGUCAGUUAAGCUCGGCCCCACUCCCAGAAUUUCCAGUGUUCCCACCGAUCAACCAAGAUUUUGAACCCGCAUCAAAGAAAGAUGAAUUAGGGGACCGAGACAGAUCGAUGGAAUCCCCUCCCAUUAUGCAUGUCUCCAAGUUUGUGGGUACAACUACUGAUAAUUUGGAACGAGAUGGACCUAGACCAACAGAUGUUGCAGAGGUACCCAAUGAGCAGCAAUAACUCAUUAGCAAUAGUGGUCUAUACCGGACCACUCAAGGUGACCCCUCCUACACAAAAAGUAGCCGAUGAUGCUGGGGUAGCGCUAAAAAUUGAGCAAUCUAAGGAUCGUGCGAAUCCCAAAGAAAAUAAGAGAAAGCGCUCUAAAGAUAGAAAGCGCAAGAAGGAGGAGAAAAAGAGGAGAAAGAAGAAACAUCGUGCAACCACAUUGAUGGCCGAAGAAAACUAAGUUAGUUUAUUUUAAGUUUCAGCUCUAGUAUUCAUACAUUGUAUGUAGUUGGAAUUUUCAUUUUGUUCGUGCACAUUGCCGUUGCGGUUUUAUUGUCAUUGCAUUUUAAUGUUAGUGCAUUCGGGACAAUGCAGACUUUAAGUUUGGGGGAAUGCAUAUAGGGUUCGAAAAUAUAGCCACAUUUCAAAAAUACAAAUUUGAGUUUAAUGAAGCAUGCAAGGUUUAUUUGUGGCUAAUGCAAAUAUGUUUGAAUUUUUUUUUUACAUUUGAUGCUUAAUUCUUGAAUCAUGUGAAUUAUCGAUGAAUGUGUUGGAUAUAUUUGACUCAAUGUUGUAUUUUUAAUUCUUUAAGGAAUGAUUUAGGUUGCAUUAGUAAUGGAUUUCUAGUAGCAUUCCUUGAAUCCUGAAUGAAUCUACGUUUUACAGCUGCUUAUAUAUAUAGUUAUGAAUAAGAGACACUCCAAAGUAGGUGUAUUGUGAAAUUUUAAAGAGGGAACACUCUAAUGCAAGCGUUAGAGAAAUGAAUCUAGCCCAAGGCUAUCACUGUAUGAAUGUGUGUCAGCGUAAUUACGUACUGCCUAGGGGUUUGUUACACUCCAUCGUUACUUCUCAGGAACAAGGGUACAGUAAUGCCACGAUAUCCUUUAUUCACCAAAAAAAAGAGACAUAUUGUAAAUGUUGUAUUGGUAGAUAGAAUUUAGGAUUUAAAGCAUGAUGUUGGUUUUGAUGAAGUUGCAAUCUUAUUCAUUCUUACUCAUGUAUUGUCGAUGCAAUAUUUUGUCAUCUGAAUGUGACUUAUUCAUUGGGAUUUUAGAUGAUUCAAGUUGCUAGAAUGAUCAUUUGCCUUAGUGAAUUCUUGUGUAGCCUUGCUAGUUUCUGUUUUACUUGAGGACAAGUAAAUACUCAAGUUUAGGGACGUGAUAGUACUAGAAAGAACAUAUGUUUUCUCCCUACUUAUUGGUUAAUUUGUCCCCAUUUAGUUAUCUUUAGCACAUAUUUUAGCAUUUUCAAUUUAGUAACUUGCAUUUUAUAACUCAGUGGAUCUUAGCCUAUUUAUCCUUAAUUUUGUCAUGUUUUGGUCCUGAUGUUGUUCCAUGAGUAUUUCCAGAUUGUGCCCAGAAUUAUCGUCGUACCUGACAGCUAUCUGAAUAAGAACAAAUAUCCGUGCACUGUCUAGUCUAGUAUAACUAACUUGUACGUACAGAGGGAGCAUGAUUCUGAUGAAAUGACACCUAGGCUAUUUGGCAGAAUAUAAAUAUUCACUUGAAAAUAAACAAAAAGAGGUUUUUUAAGGGGAUAUCAUCUUCUUCAACCUAUCUUUUGAAGCUUUUUGACUACGGCGGCUUAAGCUUCCUACGAGGAGCUGACGUGAAAGGGAUACAAAUUAGCUUUUUACGAGGAGCCCUAAGUGCAACACAAGAGGGAGUUGAGAGAUUAAGUUGAUAUUUUUAAGAAUAGUACUCUCCACUUGUUUCUUUUAUAUUUCUUUCUUGAACGCUAGUGUUUACUUUCAAUUUCAUGUUUGUACGGUUCUAUUUUUCUAUUAAUAGGAGUUUUGGGUCUCGGUUUAUACGGAUCUAAUGAACCGACAUUAAAUUUUGAAACAUUAGCUAAUCAGUCAUAUCCUGUCGCACUGGAAAUAAUAUUCUAUAUUGGAUUUCUUAAUUCUUUUGCUGUCAAAUCGCCGAUUAUAGCCUUACAUACGUGGUUACCGGAUACCCACGGGGAGGCCCAUUACAGUACUUGUAUGCUUCUAGCCAUAAUUUUAUUAAAAAUGGGAGCAUAUGGAUUAGUUCGGAUCAAUAUGGAAUUAUUACCCCAUGAGCAUUCCAUAUUUUCUCCCUGGUUGAUAAUAGUGGGUACAAUGCAAAUAAUUUAUGCAGCUUCAACAUCUCUUGGUCAACAGAAUUUUAAACAAAAAUAGCCUAUUCCUCUGUAUCUCAUAUGCGUUUCAUAAUUAUAGGAAUUCGUUCGAUAACUGAUACGGACUCAACGGAGCUAUUUUACAAAUAAUAUCUCAUGGCUUUAUUGGUGCUGCACUUUUUUUCUUAGCAGGAACGAGUUAUGAUAGAAUGCGUCUUGUUUAUCUCGAUGAAAUGGGAGGAAUGGCCGUUUCGAUUCCCAAAAUAUUUACGAUGUUUAGUAUCUUAUCCAUGGCUUCUCUUGCAUUAUCGGGCAUGAGUGGUUUUGUUGUAGAAUUGAUAGUCCUUUUUGGAAUAAUUACCAGCCAAAAAUAUUUUUUAAUGCCAAAAAUACUAAUUACUUUCGUAAUGGCAAUUGGAAUGAUAUUAACUCCUAUUUAUUCAUUAUCUAUGUCAGGUCAAAUGUUCUAUGGAUACAAGCUAUUUAAUGCUCCAAGUUCUUAUUUUUUUUAUUCUGGACCACGAAAGUUAUUUGUUUCGAUCUCUAUCUUUCUACCAGUAAUAGGUAUUGGUAUUUAUCCGAAUUUCAUCCUCUCAUUAUCAGGUGAGAAGGUCGAAACUAUUCUAUAUAAUUAUUUUUAUAGAUAGUUUUCAUGAAUAAAAAAAUCAAAAAGGAAUCCUAUUAUUUUUAAAAUUGGUCGUUGUACAAUGAAAAAGAAAAAAAGAAGAAGUCUUUAUUCAAUUCAAUUAGAUGUUAAUUUAAUUUAAAUGAACCAUAACUAUGUAAACCUAUUCCUAAUAGAUUGACCCCAAAAUAACAUAUCCAAAAUUAUAAGAAAUCCCAUAGAAGCCACAAGUGUGGAAUUUCUAGGUUAAUUAUUAUUAUUUUUUCACUCUUGCUUCUACUGUUUAAUCUUUGGGUUUCAAUGUUUUUAGCAUAGAAGUGUUAUUGCGGUCACUAACACUAGAAAGUGCAGCGACAGUUUCUUGAGGAUUAAAGGAAUUUAAUCCACUUGUUCUUAAUAGUGUUACAUUUCCAUCAUUGGAAGGUGUGGCUAAUGUGCAUGUUUAAGUCUUUGUAGUACCUGUCUUGGAUGUUUUACAGCCAGGAGUUGUUAGGCCAACAAUCCAAGCUGGGAAUUUUGAACUCAAGCCCAUAAUGUAUCAAAUGUUGAAUUCUAGUUGACAAUAUGUUGGACUGCCACAUGAAGAUGCGAGAGAACAUCUUAAAUCCUUUUAUUGAUUUGUGCUUCCUUUAGUCAACAAGGCGUUCCUGAUGAUGCCUUGAAGAUGCAAUUAUAUCCUUAUUCCUUACAAGGAAGAGCCUGUACUUGUUUGGAUGCACUAGAAACACAAUUUGUUUUGCGAUUUAACCCACCGAAAAUGAAUGCUCGUCUUCAAAAUGAUAUUACUGCUUAUCAUCAGCUGGAUGACAAAAAUCUUCACACCACAUGGAAACAUUAUAAAUCUUUACUCCGACGUUGUCCCAUGUAAGACAUUCAACCAGAAACGCAAAUUGAGAUUUUUUUUAUAAUGAGCUGUAUUCACAUACAAGGAAUUCUAUCAAGGCAUCAGCCAAUGGACCUCUGCUGGAUUGUACUUAUAGUGAUGCUGUGAGAAUUCUUGAGAGAAUUGCUCAGAAUGAUUACCAAUACCUUAUUUCCAGAGCUGCACAAGCAAAACCUACUCUAGGAGUUAUUGAAUUGGAUGUAAUAACAGCACUAAGUGCUCAAGUUUCUUCUCUCACAAACAUGAUUAAAUAUAUGCAAGGGGCGAGUGGUGUUGCACCUAUACAAGUCGUUCAGCAAGUUGAUGUUCCUACUUUUUCUUGUAAGAUUUGUAAUUACAACCAUAGCUAUGAAAAUUGUCCACAACAUGUAACGAAUGCAUGUUAUAUUAGUAACAUUCGCACUAAUUCUUAUGGUAACUCUUACAACAACACUGCACGUAACCAACAGUUUUGGGGAACUCAGAAUGCUGGACAAAAUGAUACGACAUUCAGAUAUGAGAAUACAUCUACUCAGGGCAAUUAUAAUCCCAGGCAACAGAAGUAUAAUCAACAACAGCAGAACUACAAUUAGCACACUCAAAUGCAUCCACAACAAGGCUAGACACAGCUACACCAAAAUCUGAUGCAGCCACAACACUCUGCAAUACCAAAUCAACAUGUUUAAGGACAUUGACAGCAACCGUACACUCAAGCUUCUACUUCUGAACCGUUAGCAACUCUUGAGGUGUUAAUGUGGUAGCAUAUUGCUCACACAAAAGCUAUCGUACAAGGGAAUUUAUCUUCCAUUCGAGCAUUGGAAGCAUAAUUGGGACAACUUGCUUCAAAUCUGAAUACUCGACCACUAGGCUCAUUACCUAGAGACACGGAAAAUCCUAGUCUAAGGGGGAAAGAACAUUGUAAGGCUAAGUGGUAAAUAGACUGGUGAACCAUUUCUAGACUCUAUUGUAGCACCUUAAGCUACAAAUGGCAUGAUCACUGGUGAGAAGGUUGAAUCUGAAGAAUUUUUCGAUACAUCAGACAAAUAAGUUCCACAAAUUGUAACUCAUAUGACUAUUGUCGGACCUUCGAAAUUGUCGACGCAAUCAAAGAUAUUGAUGUCUGUAGAUGUAUCUCUACCUCUAACUUUCCUACAAAGAUUUAGGAAUAAUGAGCAUGACAAGCAGUAUCAGCAGUUCCUGGACACACUGAAGCAACUGCAGAUCAAUAUUUCUUUAGUAGAUGCUCUGGUACAAAUUCUGAGUUAUGGGAAAUUUAUGAAAGACCUCUUGUCGAAAAAGAAAAAGCUCACUGAUAUUGAAACUAUUGCACUCACAGAAGGCUAUAGUGCUGUCUUGACAAACAAGUUGCCCCCUAAAUUGAAAGAUCCUAGGAGCUUUACCAUCCCAUGCUCAAUUGACAAUCAUUAUUUGGGUAAGGCUUUAUGAGAAUUGGGAGCUAGCAUUAACCUAAUGACAGUAUCUACUUUCAGAAAGUUGGGAAUCGGUCAUAUGAAAUCUACUGCAGUGACAUUACAACUACCCGAUCGAUUAUUGGCUCAACCUAAAGGGCAAAUAAAAGAAAUCUUAAUUCUUGUGGAUAAAUUCAUUUUUCUGGCUGAUUUUAUCAUACUUGACUGUAAGGCAGACAAAAAGGUAUCUGAUAAUCUUGGGACGACUACUUUUAGCCACUGACCGAACUCUUAUUGAUGUUUAUAAAGAUGAACUAACCAUGCGACUUAAUGAUGAGCAAACCACCUUCAGUGUUUUCGAAUCUAAUCAAUGUAAGGACAAAUAAGAAUGCCCUACUGUUGAUGUUCUAUAUGAUCUAAUUGAGGAUGAAUUCAAUGACCAAAGCACAAUACUUUCUGAAGAGUUUGUAGUGGCAUCAGAUACUGAAUCCUUAGAUGAUUGUGACAGCAUGGUUGAAGCUAAUAAUCUUGAACUCAAGCAUGGAUGGCAGAUUGAAUCCUUAAACCUAGCCAACAUAACAACCUCAAGUUUCAAACCAUCUAUUGAAGAAGCUCCUACUCUAGAAUUGAAACCACUACCUCCUCAUCUUAAAUAUGUCUUUCUGGGUGAGCAUAAUACUCUCCUAGUUAUUGUCUCCGCAACACUGGAUGUAACUCAAGAAGAGAAAUUGGCCCAUAUUCUCAAGCAACAUAAACGAGCUAUUGCUUGGAGUACUGCCAAUAUUCAAGGUAUUAGUCCUUCUUUUUGCAUGGACAAGAUCAUGUUGGGAUAUGAAGGUAAGUAAUCGAUUGAACAACAAAGAAGAUUAAACAAAAAGAUAAAGGAAGUUCUCAAUAAGGAAAUCAUAAAAUGGCUUAAUGCUAGAAUUAUUUACCUGAUUUCUGAUAGGAAUUGGGUAAGUCCAGCGCAAUUAGUACCUAAAAAGAGUGGCAUCACUGUGGUUCACAACAGUAAAGAUGAAUUAAUUACUACACGCAUUCUCACGGGAUAGCUAGUUUGUAUGGAUUAUCUCAAAUUGAAUGCGACCACAAAGAAGGAUCACUUUUCGAUUCCUUUCAUCGACCACAUACUGGAUCAGCUUGCUAGAAAGACCUAUUAUUGCUUUUUAGACAGAUAUUUUGGGUACAACCAAAUUUCUAUUGCACCAGAGGACUAGGAGAAAACAACCUUCACCUGCCCCUUUGGUACUUCCGCUUUUCGCCGUAUGCCUUUCAGUUUUUGCAACGUACCAACCACAUUUCAAAGGUACAUGAUGGAAACAUUCUCAGAUAUGGUUGAAGACUCUUUAGAGGUGUUGAUGGAUGAUUUCUCAGUUUAUGUGAAUGAUUUUGAGCAUUGCGCUGAUGAUUUGGAUAAAAUACUGAAGCGCUGUGAGAACACACAUCUUGUCCUAAACUGGGAAAAAUGUCAUUUCAUGGCAACUGAAGUUAUUGUGUUAGGACACAGCAUCUCUAGUCAAGGAAUUCAAGUAGACAAAGAUAAGGUGGAAAUCAUUGAGAAAUUACCUCCACCAACAAACGUGAGGGGUAUUUGCAGUUUUCUAGGACAUGUAGGGUUUUACAGAAGGUUUAUUAGAGAUUUUUGAAAAAUUGCAAAGCCCUUGUGCUCAUUGCUGGAAUAGAAUCAAAAAUUAUUUUUUGAUGAUGCUUGUUUGGAUGCCUUUAUUCAGUUAAAAAGAAGCUAGUGAAUACACCCAUUGUCGUUGCACCAGAUUGGUAUCAACCUUUUGAAGUUAUGUACGACGCAAGCAAUUUUGCUGUUGGUGCAGUGCUAGGACAAGGGAAGGGAAAAAUAUUUCAUGCCAUAUAUUAUGCUAGCAAAACUCUUACAGUGGCUCAACCCAAUUAUACCACUAUAGAGAAAGAAUUGUUGGUUGUAGUCUUUGAUUUCUACAAGUUUCGUUCCCAUCUUGUCGGUGCAAAGGUUACAAUAUUCACUGAUCACUCAGCGUUGAGAUAUAUCUUUGAGAAAAAGUAUGCCAAACCAAGACUGAUAAGCUGGAUAUUACUGUUGUAAGAAUUUGACAUCAAGAUAAAAGACCAUAAUGUUCAGAAAAUCAAGUUGCAGACCAUCUGUCUCUAUCGAAAAUUGGCAAUGAAGACAGAAACAUACUUCAAAUUGUCAACGCAUUCCCAGAUGAGAAGAUAUUUGUUGUAAAUGUAACUCAUUAGUAUGCGGAUUUUAUUAAUUAUCUAGUGUGUAGAAAACUUCCAUUGAGUGUCAUUGGCCAUAAAAAAGAAAGAUUUCUUCAUGUCGUAGUGAAGUAUCAUUGGAACAACCCAUAUUUAUUCAACGUAUGUAAUGACAACAUUAUUUGACGUUGUGUUCUGGAAGAGGAGAUACUUUCAAUCUAAAGCAUUGUCAUGCUGCUCCUUAUAGAUGUCAUUUCGGUGGUAUGAGAACUGCUGCUAAAGUUCUCCAAUCAGGAUUCUAUUGGUCGACAUUAUUCAAAUACACCUACGAUUUUGUGAAUCAAUGCGAUAGGUGUCAGCGUAUCGGUUCUAUAUCCCGACGGAAUGAAAUGUUGUAGCAGCUAAUUAUGGAGGUUGAAUUAUUCAAUGCUUAGGGUAUGGAUUUUAUGGGAAAGUUUUCGAGUUCAUUUGGAAAUCUUUAUAUAUUAGUAGCUGCUCACAAUGUCUCGAAGUGGAUUGAAGCUGUUGCAGUCCCAAAAGAUGAUGCAAAGCCAGAGCUAAAAUUUUUCACAAGCAUACACUUACCCGCUUUGGCACACCAAAGGCAUUGAUUAGUGAUCAGGGUACACACUUUCAUUGCAACCAAGUGGCGACUGCACUGAAAAGAUAUAGAGUUAAUCAUAUAAUGGCUACUACUUAUCAUCCGCAAAUCAAUGGACAAGUCGAAGUAUCGAAUUGACAAAUUAAGAACAUUCUUGAGAAAGUUGUAAACCCUUCGAGGAAAGAUUGGUCUUUCUGAUUGUAUAAUGCUUUAUGGGCAUUAGGGAUUCGCCGUAUCAAUUGGUUUUUGGAAAAGCAUGUCACUUGCCAGUUGAACUGGAACACAAAGCAAUGUGGUCAAUUAAGCAAGUGAACAUGGACUAUGAAGCGCCUGGAAAGAAAAAACUAUUUGAUAUCACUGAACUAGAGGAGAUGAGGAGAAAUGCUUAUAAAAAUGCUACAAUUUAUAAGUAAAAGACCAAACGAUGGCAUGACAAGAUUAUUUUACAGCGAUAAUUUAUCAUGAGUCAACAGGUUUUAUUAUUCAAUUUUCGACUUAAAUUACACCCAGGUAAAUUGCGUUCACGUUGGUCUAGACCUUUUGAAGUUGUCAACGUAUUUCCUCAUGAUGUAGUCACAAUUUGAGAUUUACGUGAUGGACACCAAUUCAAAGUAAAUGGAUGAAGCUAAAACACUAUUUUGGUAACAAUGAUCAAAAGCAGGUAGAGACCAUUAAAUUGGUUUAAAGGUUUUAAUUUUUUAAUUAGUACUCCUUGAUUUUAGUUUAUUUUAUUAACGUUUGUUUUCCUUCUUUUUUUUUGCAGAAUAAUUAGGAACCAUUGUCGACGCAUUGAAAUCUUACUGUCAACGUAUUCCAUAAGUCUGUACUACAAUUUAUAACUCAUCAGAAUUUAGGGAAAUUUAGAUUCCACCGUUGGAUCAAAACCCACUCAGUCGUUUGAUCCUUCUAAGCAGGCACAAUUUCUAUUGAACACAACUCUUCCUACUAGCUUUAUAUCUCUCUAAAAAACAACAUGUCUCUCCAUCUUCUUCAUUCAUUCACUAUAAAUCCUCUCCCACUGUAUCGACUGUAACGCAUUCAAGUAACCAUUUUUAUUUCUUUUUUUUCUCAAGAUCAUAUCUUUUUAACUAUAAAUCAUUCUCCCUCAACAAAAGAUGGCCAAAAUAAGAGGCUUGGUCAAGAAAGCCACCAAAUCUGCUAGAGAACAUACGUCCUCUGCUAUCACGACCCGUGAAUCAGAAUCCCCCAGGCCAGUGCAAACAAAAAAGGCAGUAAUCUUCUUGAAUAAAGCGGCAAAGGAACGAUUUCACGACAACAUGUUGAAGCGAAACUUCCAUCCCAAAUAGGGUAUUUCCCUUUCGCCACAACAAGACCUAGGUAAGGAAGUCUCCAAAACCAUCUCGAAGUUAAAACGGGAAACCUUUUACAGUUAUCCCAGUAGCUACUCGCCUUCACUAGUACGUGAGUUCUAUGCUAAUCUCUACGAUCAUGAGUUAGAGUUCAUUUUUGUUCGAGAAGGUUUGAUACCAUGGAAAGCUAAAAAAAUCAAUGAGCUGUACAACACUAAGGUCGAUGGAUGAACACUCCGAGUUCAUUGAUGACAUCACAGAUGAAAACGAGACAUGUUGGUUAGAGACUUAUGUGUCAAGGGAGCAGUGUGGACGGGCUCCCAUAAAAAGAACUAUCCGAUGCACCGUCGCUUCCUGACACUGCAAGGUAAAAUUUGUUUUCAUUUUGUCAACUGCAGACUCAAACCCUCCACUCACCGCACCACAGUCACCCUCGACAGAAUAUGUCUGAUACAUUCUAUCAUCAAGGGCAGAAAGAUUGAUAUAGGUGCAAUACUUCACCAACAAAUUGCUGACUACGCCGCAAGGCAGAUUGAGAUAUUGGUUUUCCCAUCAAUGGUGAUGUUAUUAUGCCUACAAAGAUGAACCGUGCCUCGUGCUAGUGAGGAAGUCUUGGAAAAUAAGGGCCCAAUCAAUGAAGCCUCUGUAGAAAGAAUGACUUGUGGCAAGGACACACCGAUAGUGAAGGAGGCGAAUACCAGUAAGACAAGAAAGGGUAAAAUCAAAGCUGACAACAAAGGAACAAACUUGAAUGCAGAGAUAUCAUUAUGACGUAAACUGAAGGGUGUCGAAAAAAUGGUAAAUUCCAUCAACAAUAGGCAUAUCAAAUUUGUCGUACAGUAGAAGAUAUGAAGAAAUCCAAAAAUUUGUUUUAUGCUUAUACUAGAGCCUGAAACAGUUCUAUUGUAGCCACAUUAGGCAAACUGAGCCGAUCCCCACUACUGAAAUUCUCAGUGUUUUCACCAAUCAUUCAAAAUUAUGACCUAUCUUCCUCGGAUGACGACUUAAAAGACCAAGACAGAUCGGUGGCAUCCCCACCCAUUGUGCAAGUCUCGGAUAAUUAGAAAGACGAGGAAUCUAGCGACAUUGAAGAAUGCCUGCAGAAGAUUAAUAGCUUGUUCGAGGAAGGUAUUUUUGCUUAUCAAGAGGACACUAUUGUUGAGAAGGAUGUUGCUGCUGCUAAACAGGAAGUUGUUGCUGAAGAAGAAGAAGUUGCUGAGAAUAAGAAAGAAAAAGAAGAAGAAGAUUCUAGUUAGAAGACUGUCACUGCACCCGAGUCUGUGGGUGCAAAUAUUACUAAUUUGGAGCUAUUCGGAGCGAGACUAGUGGAAUUUGUUGAGGUAACUAGUGAGGAGCAAUGCAAUUCAUUGGCAAAAGUGGUCUACAAUGGACCACUCCAAGUGGCCUCUACUACACAAGAAGCAGUCGAUGAUACCGGAGAAGGGUCGGGAACUGAGGAGCAAUCUAAGGACCGUGUAAAUCUCACAGAAUAGAAAAGGAACUGCUCCAAGAAUAAAAUACGAAAGAAGAAGGAGAAGAAAGAAACAUCAUGCAGCCAUAUCGACGAUUGUGGAAAACUGAGUUAGUUUCUUUUAAAAUUUAGUUAUAGUAUUCAUGCAUUACAUGUAGCUGUAGGUUUUAUUUUGAUAAAUAUACAUCGUCAUUGUAUUUUUUUAUUGUCAUUACAUUUUCAUGUUAGUGCAUUGGAGACAAUGCGAACUUUAUGUUUUGGGGAAUACACAUGGGGCUUGGAAAUGCACCCAUAUUUCAAUUUUUUUCAGAACUGAAGCAUGCAAGGUUUAAUUAUAGUUAGUAAAAAUUGUUUGAAAAUUUUUGUUACAUUCGAUGGUUAAUUCUUGAAUCAUGAAAAUUAUCAAUGAAUGAGUUGGAUAAAUUUGACAGAAGGUUGUAGCUUCAAUUCUUUGAUGAAUGGAUUAGGUUGCAUUAGUAAUGGAUGGCUGUCAUCAUUCCUUAAAUCUUAAAUGAAUCUAAUUUUUACAGCUGCUUAUAUAUGUAUAUAUAGUUAUAAAGUAGAGACACUCCAAAUUGGGUGUAGUAUGGAAUGUUAAAAAGGGAACACUCCAAUACAAGCAUUAGAAAAAUCAAUCUAGCCAAAGGCUAUCACUGCAUGAGUCUGUGUCGGUGCAAUUACUUACUCCCUGGGGUUUUGUUGCACCCCAUCAUUACAUCUCAAGAACAAGGGUACAGUAAUGCAAUGAUAUCCCUUAUUCUGAAAAAAAAUAUGUAUAUAUAUUUAUAACAUAUAAGUACUUAGUAUUAUACAAUAAAUGUUGUAAUGGUAGAUAGAACUUAGGGUUUGAAGCAUGAUGCUAACAUUGAUGAAGUUGUAACCUUAUUCAUUCAUGCUUAUGAAUUAUCUAUGCAAUAUUCUUUCACCUGAAUGUGAUUCAUCCAUUGGGAAUUUAGAGGGUUCAAGUUGCUAAAAUAAUCAUUUACCUUAGUAAAAUAUUUGUAGCCUUGCUAGUUUCUGUUUUACUUGAGAACAAGUAAAAACUCAAGUUUGGGGGUGUGUUAGUACUAGAAAGAACAUAGGUUUCCCCCCUUACUUAUUGGCUAAUUUGUUCCCAUUUAGUUAUCCUUAGCAUACAUUUUAGCAUUUUCAAUUUAGUAAAUUGCAUUUUAUAACUCAGUGAAUCCUAACCUAUUUAUCCUUAAUUUUGUUAUCUUAUUGCAUUAAUGUCGUUAUAUGAGUUAAUUCCAGAUUGCGUCCAGAAUUGUCAUCGCACUUGACAGCUUUCUAGAUAAGAACGAAAACUACGUGAACUAUCCAGUCUAGUAUAACCACCCUGUACAUAUAAGGACAGAAUAAUUCUGAGGAAAGGACACCUAUACUGUUAGAGGGGGACAUAAAAGGUAGACACGAGAAGAAAAAAGAGAGCUUUUUUCUCCACCAUCUUCAUCUUCCUACCGUGAAGCUUGUGGCCAUGGCAGCUUAAGCCUCUCACAGGUGAGCCAACAUGAAAAACAUAUGCAGACUAGCUCCUGACGAGGAGACCUAAGUGUGAGAUAAGAGGGAAUAGAGAGAUUCAGUCAAGUUGUUUAAAGAUAGUAUUCUCCAUUCGAUUCUUUCUUAUUUCUUUCUAAAUGCUGGUGAUUAUUCUCUAUUUUCUGUUUGUAUUGAAGUACACAUGAAUUCUUGGUUAAGUGUUAUCUUAUUCAAUCUUGCUUUUAUUGCGAAUGUUUUUUAACACAGAAGUGUUAUUGCAUUCACUGAUACUGGAAAGUGCAGUGAUAGUUUGAGCCAACAAGCAUUACAUCGGAAGUUGAGUGAGGAUUAGAGGAAUUUAGUCCACUUGUUCUUAAUAGUUCCAUAUUACCAUCAUCGGAAGGUGAGGAUUAGAGAAAUCGAGUAUACAGUGGAAGAUAAGGAAUUCUUGAAAUUUUAUCCAUGGGAAAAGGUUCUAUGUUUUGGUCACAAUGGGAACUUGAGUCCCAGAUUUAUCGUGUCGUAUGAAGUUAUUGAAUAAUUGGACCAGUAGCAUAUCGGUUAGCCCUACCGUCAAAAUUGAAAAAGACUCAUGUUGUAUUCCAUGUAUCCCUGCUUAGACGAUAUUAUUUGGAUCCGUCUCAUGUUGUAUCAUUCCCCAUCCGGGCUAGACGUUAUGAUUAAAUUGUGAAAACCAGAUUAGCCACUUGUGUCACUGAAAGACCGACCGCUUAUUUGAAAACCAUAACUACUCUCUUUUAAGAAAAAUUAUGGAGUACUCUUGUGUUAAUUUGGAAAACAUUCAUAAUUUAAGACAAAUGUCUUAAGUCAUUUUCUUAGUGAUAGCAUGGUUUUAGAAAACAUGUUUCUCGUCAUUUCAUUCAACAAAAAUUUAACUAUUUUUUUUGCAAUAGAAAACUUAAUUUAUGACAAAGUUUAGUUAAAUCGAGUAUCAUGCAAUGUCCAAUUUCAAAACACAUUUUUAAAUCCAAUCAAUGAAAUGAAUAUGCAUGCAUAAAACCCCAAAAUGAAAAAAAUUAUAACAUCCCAAAAAUUAGGGUUUAGUAGAAUCAAGUUUGUGAAUUGAGAGAAAGUGGUAAAGCCUUAAUUUUUAAGAUUAUAUAUGUAUUUUUAGGAAAUAAAUAAGGUAUUGGUUUUUUGGUUAAGUCUUAGUGAAAUGUUCCUUGAAACCCAAGUUCAAAUUCCUUCUCUCUCACCAUUUUUAUUAUUUUACAGAUUCUGCCUUAAAAACUAGUUUGUGGCAUGCCUUGUUUUUCAAAUAAAUAUUGCAAAAUUAUUUCAAGAAUGAGUAAGAAGCCUAAUGGUUAAAAGAAAUAUGAGAAAGCAUGGAAAUUAAAUGAGGUCCCAAGUUCGAAUCAUUUCCCUUGCAAAAUCCCUUAUUUUUUAAUAUGUGUAUCAUCCAUACCCUUAAACCCUAAGCAUAAAUAAAAAAAUUUAUUGUAUUUUUCAGCCUUUCAUUCAAUUUUUCCCUACCCUAUCCGUUCAUCCCCUUCCUCUCCUCUUUUCUCUUCAAUUUUCUUUCUUUCUCCCAUUGUUGUCAUUGCCUACACCUCCUAUUUUACCAUUUUUUCUUCUUUUUGCAUCAAGAUUUUGCACCAUCUCAUAACUCUAUUGCUUCCAUUUAUCCUCAUCUAAAUUAGCCCCAUAUCUGAAAUCUUGAACCCUGAGACCAAUCUCUAACAUAGCCAAGGAAGUGUCAUUUCCGUUUCUCUUAGCUAGCUUGGGUAAGAUCUAUUUUCUCUUCAAUUUCUUGAUUAAUCUUGUCAAUUAAGAACCAAAAUUUAUAGAUCUGGAAUUUGGUGAAUUUUAAAUUAUUUCAAAGGUAUUUUUCCAGAUUUUAAUGAGAUCUCAAACCAUUUUAAAAUUCAGCCCAAAUUUUGGCCACCAUGGGUGGUGGUGCGUGCGCUUAUGUGCAAGAAAGGGGGUUGUUUUGUUUCUUGGGUCUUGCCCAUAUUUUUCCAUUAUGAAAUUGUGUUCUUGAACCCUUCUAACCAGCCUUUAAGCACAUGUUAAUUAGGUAAAGAAAUUAUUGAUCAAUUAGCCAAUCGGAUCCCAUAAAUCAUGAAGCGUAAGUGCAAUUAAGGAUAACUAGUUUGUUAUUUCGACAUAGUUGUUGGGUAAAGGUUAUGAAUUGAUUAAAUGAAAGAAUUUAAUCAUUAAAUGUCUAGUGAUUUUGAAGUAUAUUAUUGAAUUUGGUGCUGACCCAAAUGCCCCAAAUCAUCCGUAAAGGUGAAGAACGCUUGUACAUAUGGUUCGCAUCGAUACAGUGCAAGGAAUCUAAUUAGUUUGGAUUCAUAAAGUAGUUAUCAUUUCAACAAUUGGUAUAAACUCAUAAGUGGGUGUUUGGGGUAUGGUUUAAUGGUAAAUUUAUUAAAUUUAUACUGAAUUUUGGUUUUGGUUCAUUUAAGGAAUUAUUAAGGAAAUUUGGAAGAUUCUCUACUAUGCUGCGAGAAAGCAAAAAAUAAUGUACGGGUCCUAAACUCAUAAGAUUGUUUGAAAAUGUUAAAUAUCAUUUUAUAUUUGAUAAAUUAUCUUGCUAAUUGAAUUGUAUUAAUAGCCAAAUUAUUGAUUUUGUGAGUAGCCGAACCAGGUAUGUUUCGAGCCUUAAAAGAUUGACAUGUUGGCAAAAUUGUUAGUUUGAUAGUAUGAAUGUUUAAUUGAGUUUGUAAUUGUAUAUUUGAGUUAUGAGAUAUGAGAAUGUUUGACUGAAUGGUAAUGUGUUGAGAUAUUAAGUGUAACACUCCAAACCCGGCCUAGACGUUAUGGUCGAAUCUGGCGAUAUCACAUUGAAGUGUUUUUCAAAAACACAGUUUCAUUGAAAACCCGUUCCUUACUAAUUCACGUUUACUGAAAACUCAAGUUGUCUUUAGCAGUGUGUUGAUCAUAUUAGUUUGUUACUAUAUUUAAAACAUUGUCUGAUGCAAAAACUUUUACAGUAUUUUAUGAAAACGUGGUGUCUUUGAAAAUAGUUACCUUUUGAAAACCCGUCUUUUUCUACAAUUAGCAGUUUAUAUCAAACUAAAUAAAUAAAAACCCCAAUUUAAAAUUUAUAGCCUUAAAGAGGCCUUUUUACAUAAAAAUACCCAAAUUCAGUUACUUAUAAAUCAGAAGCUAAAAAAGAAAACUGAUGCGGUUGUGUGGCCAUCAUCAAGUCCUUCGCAACACUGACCUGCCUACAAUUGGGGAUUACCUGUACAGUUAGAUAGAGGGGUGAGUUUACAAAAACUCAAUGUGUAAUCCACUAACAAGCAAACUGUCAAUUAAACAGUAGAUAAUGCAGUUUGGGCUUGAACCUGUUACAGUAAUAGUCCAGUUUAGUGUGGGCCUAAGCCCUUUCCCGUAACAGUAAACGAUUGGGCUUGAGCCCAUCACAAUGUUUGUAAUCAGUAGGGCAUUUGCCCAACUUCAGUAAUAGUAUCAGUGGGGCCUUGGCCCAUAAGAGUAACAGAUAUCAGUCAUGCAGUGAACAGUACAAUAUCAUUUAUUAGUGCAGAUAUACAGCUAGAAGUCCUACCCAAUCCAUCCUCUACACACCACUCCAUCCCGCCAAGCGCACCAUGUAGGGAUAAAAUCGACCCACCCAGCCAGACACACCAAGAUUAGCACUGGAUGCGGCACGAAAUAGUAUUGCAACAAAGCUGCCAGUAAAAUAAAUGGCAUAUACCCAUCAGUAGGUCCACAGUCAUCUUGGGCGACCUGUGCAACCUUAUCAGUACGGUACACUUCCUCCAAAUAUAACAACCCAUCCCCAUGCAAUAUGUCAUGACAUAAUAUCUUACGUGUAUGCAAAAUGUCAUGCUCAAUCAUAAUCAUAUAUAUCAUAGAGCAAAUCAGUCAUACAUAACUUAAGGCCAUAACAGUCAUUUCAUCUCCUCGGGUAUAAUAGUCAUUUUACCCUAUAGGGGUAUUUUGGUCAUUUUACCCUAUAUGGGUAUUUCGCUCAUUCUAACCUAUGGGGGUAUUUCAGUCAUUUUACCCUAUAAGGGUAUUUCGGUCAUUUUACCUUAUGGGGGUAUUUCGGUAAUUUUACCCUAUUGGGGUAUUUUGGUCAUUUUACCCUAUGGGGGUAUUUUAGUCAUUUUACUUUAUUGGGGUAUUUUGGUCAUUUUACCCUAUGAGGGUAUUUUGGUCAUUUUACCUAUUUUAGGGUUUCGAUGCCGAUAUCGACCUCUCGAAAGGUCCGUAGUCACCUCGAGCAACUUAGGUAACCUAAAAGGUCAUAACAGUGAAAAUGGGCCCAAGACCCAUUACUCGACCCAAGUGGGCUUCCACGCUUGUGCGGCCUGUUCAGCCCAAAUUUUGCCACGGCAAUGAGAUCUAAUUAUCCCCGUCCAAUAUUUUCCACAAAUUGUGGAUUUCAUCUAUGUGGGGCCCCCACAAGCCCAAUGAGCCCACACGGCCCAUCUCGGCCCAACGUGGCCCAUUACGAUGUAAGCCCAUGGAAAUGCUCAUUGAGGCCUCUACAGAUUAUCACCCAUGAUUCGUAGGUUUGGCUUUCCACAUGAGUGAUCGCACACUCGUGUGGUCUCAACGCCGUAUUUCAGCUUUUCGGCUUUUGCCGUUCUACAAUUACAGUGGGUUACACACCUGAUGCAAUUUGUAGAUUCCCUUUGUUCCGAACACUCUUUUAUUCUGAAAAUCAAUGAUCAUCGCACCCUUAGUUCCUAGGCAAUGUGCCAAUCAACCUCGACCACGACCAGUUAGGAAUGAAAGCAAUGCAAGUUGGAGAAAGCGACGAAAACCUUGAAAACCUCGUCGAUCUCCCAUCGAGAACAAGGAACAAAUGAGAUGGAUAUAUAGCUGUCCACAACAACCUCUCUCCAAAUCCCAAUAUUCUCUCCUCAAAUCUCUCCAAAUAUCCCUCAUCAAUUCUCUCUAUGACUAGUUCAAACUCCAUUUAGCAGUAUUUCAAUCCAACUCUACCACCCACACGAAUUAAGCAGCAAAAUAAAUACCCCUUUUUUUAUACGCCACCACUCGAACCUUAGAGCCCAUGUACACUACACACACCCCUUACCACUAGACCAACAACUCAUUUGUAUCAUAUUUUAACCACAAUACUUUAAGAACCAACUAUCUAGAUCCAAGGAUUUUAUUCACUUAAAAUAAAAAAAAAUUUGCAUAAGCCAAGGCUUGAACCCCUGACUUCUCAGACACUUCCAAACACUCCUAAAUCACUUAACCACUGAAGCAGACAUUCACUUAUGUUACUUCCAUGCACAACUAAAUAUUUAUGUGUAGUCUCCUAACUGUUCCCCUGUUCAAAAUCUAUUUCUUCUAGGCCCAAAAUUUGGGGUGUUACAUUAAGCUUAUGUAUGAUUGAAAAGCAUGAGAUAUUUUUUAUAUUGUGAAUUGAAAAGGGUGUUAUUUAUGCACAAUGAAAAUCCGUAAAAUAUUUAAAAUUGAACGAUAUCAAUUUAUACCAACACAAUAGUAAUUUGAAAGAUUGGAACACUGUUUCCAUUUAUUGAAAGCAUGUGAUUAUUGUGGACAUGCCGCUCAUAUUGAAUGAAUGUGAAAAGUCUUAAGAUAUGAUUAUGUAUGAGAUUGUGUGACAUAUUGCAUAUGCAUUGGGUUGGAAUUUUGUGGUUUAAAGAAGAGUUUCAUGGAGUACCGACAACAUAUUAAGUCUACAUUAUUCGUAGUCAGUGCACUGCACCUGGAGUACCGAGGGAAAUGGCAAUUUAUCGUAUUUUUACUGGCAGCUUGUUUGCAUUUUUACUGGUAGAAUUUUUUGCAUAUUGUUAUCGGUGGUUUUAACCACAACGGGCUUAAGCCCAUAAUGUUUUGGAGUUCGGAUGACGAAUUCUGGGGAACUCGUGGUGUGUAGCGGAUGGUAUGGGUAGGAACCUUUUUGUAUUGCAUCAUGCUCAUGACAUAUUCAAAUGUUAUUGAUUUGUGAUAUGUGUUGUAUUGUGUUAUAUUGAAUGAUAUCGAAAUUAAUGGUUGUUACUCAAAUGAAUGAUGUCCCAUGCUCAUACACCGUUCGACAUUAAUUUGAUAAUGGCUAUGUAAUGAUAUGAAAUUCCUAUGAUGGUUCUGUUUUCUUCCUUUAAUGCUAAUAUAUUUCACUGUAUUUUAUGUUUUUUCCCAUUUAAAUAAUUGUUCGACUCACACUGAGCUUUUCAUAAACAUACCCCCAAUAGUGUUUAAAUUUUCAGGUAAACCUCGAAAUUAGGACCAGACUUGGCAUUCGGAGAAUCACCUUGGACUGGGACUAUUUUGAAUAAGUAUUAAUCAGUCUCUGUUAGUUUUGGUUUGUAACUUUUAAUUAUUUCUGGUCUAUGGCUUGGUAACUUUUCUUUUAGGGAUUUUUGCAUGCAUGGAUUACUCAAGCAUAAUAAUCGGAUAAUGCAUGAUAUCGGUCUUAAGUAAAAUUUGAUAUUGCUCCCUAGUUUCCUCAGCAUAUUUUCUUCCAGGUAUUUGAUUUUAUUUUCUUGUGUUGACUUUUUUAUGUUUAAUGUUUCGAGCUACUACUUCAUUAUCAAUACUUAUUCCAAAGUUAAGUUUUAAAUUUUUGUUCUAGCAUAAUAUUUGUAAUCUUGUAAGUUCUAAUCAACUUGUCUGUGGAUCAACCUCGGACUCUUGAGAUUUUAUUACUUGAAUAUAACCUACACUUGGGUUGUAGAACUAGAAAGUCACUGUCAAGUUUUUAGCACCGUUGCCGGGGAAAGUAAGAUUUAGGUUACAAGUUUAUAAGUAUUUUUUUAUGUACUUAUAUUUGGCUUGUUCUACCGCCUAAUUUGUUUAUGCAUAUUUGGCAUGGUGAUUUUAAUUCUCGUCGUUUAGUUAGAAAAAAUUGUGAAACCUUUGUUGGUAAUUUUAUUGAGACACCUCGACAUUCUCCAAUCAUGGAUGAGAUUGAAAGAGCUCCUGAUGAAAAUGAGAUUCAACAAGUGUGCACCCUGCGUGAUUACUUGUAACCUCCUCGAAACUCAACACCCUUUUGCUUUGUUUUACCUUUGAAUGCAAAUAAUUUUCGGUUCAAAUCUGGAAUCAUAAGUUUACUUCCUAAUUUUCAUGGCUUAGAGCCUGAAAUUCCUUACUUACAUCUUAAAUAUUUUGAUGAAGAAUGUGCCACCUUUAAUGAUCCACCUUGUGCUAAUGAAAUUGAUAAACUCAAAUUAUUUCCUUUUCCUUUCAAAGAUAAAGGUGAAAAUUUGGUUUUACAAUUUAAAACCAAGAUCAAUUGGUACUUGGCAAGAAAUGCAAACUGAAUUUUUAAAGAAAUUUUUUCCAACACAAAAGCACCAAUGCUUUUAAAAGACAGAUUCAAAAUUUCUUGCAAAAUUCAAAUGAACCCUUUUUCAAACACCAAAGAGAAUGCCCAAACAUUUCACUUUUCAAAGAAAUGUUGCAUGAACAAGAAAAUGUUGUGGAAACAUUCAGAAAGCCCUUUCAUUCUCCAUACUCAAGCAUUUACAACCCUCAAUGGACAAACCACCCUAACUUCAGCUGGCAAAAUAAUAAUUGUGCUCAUUUACCCCAUCCUCCAAAACCUCCCAACUCUCUGACCCAACCGUCUUUACAUGUUAAAAGUUUAGAGGAUAGAUUGCAAGAAUUCAUGCAGACACAAAAAAAUGUCAACAAUCAGACUUCACAAGGUAUCAAUGAAAUCAAGAGCACACUUUCUAUGUUGAUAGCCUCAUUGCGCAUUCAAGAAAAAGGUAAGUUUCCUGCUCAACCUCAACCUAAUCCUUCUACUCAAUGUCAUAUUUCUUGUCCUAAAGAAAUCCAAAAAGAAUAUGUGAAUUCUAUCACAACUCUUCAAAGUAGUAAGGCCAUCGACAAGAGUAUUUCUUCCAAAGCCCAAUAGCCCUCUCUCAGUUCGCUAAGUAGUGGUAAGGAUAAUUGCAAGCCUAAAAGUUCUAACAACUUAGACAAGGAAAAUAUGGGGUUUCUGCUCUUUUCCCUCCAAGAUUACAACCAAUAAGGAAUUUGAAUAAAAAUGCUAAAAUUUUAGAAAUUUUCAAACAAGUUAAGAUUAAUAUUCCUUUAUUGGAUGUGACUAAACAAGUGUCGUCUUAUGAUAAGUUUUUGAAAGAUAUCUGCAAAGUCAAAAGGAAACAUAAUGUGCAAAAGAGAGCCUUUUUAACUAAACAUGUGAUUUAAAUCAUUCAGCAUAUCACUCCACCUCAAUACAAAAAUCAUGGUUGCCCUACAAUUUCAUGCAUCAUUGGGAACACCAUAAUAGAUCGUGCUUUGCUUGAACUUGGUGCUACUGUUAAUCUUUUACCUUUCUCUAUUUAUCAGCAAUUAGAUUUAGGUGAACUUAAGCCAACAUCUAUCACAUUUCAGUUAGCUGAUCGAUUUUUCAAAAUUCCUCGAGGGAUAGUAGAAGGUGUGUUGGUUCAAAUUGACAAUUUUUAUUUUCCAAUUGAUUUUAAUAUUUUGGACACGGAUCCUGUCUUAGAUUCUACUUUACAAAUCCCUAUUAUUUUAGGCCGUCCAUUCCUUAAAACUUUAACUACUUUGAUUAAUUGCAGGAACGGUGUUCUAAACUUGUAUUUUGGAAACAUGACGUUAGAAUUAAAUGUGCUUAACAUUUGUAAUCAACCUGCUAAAGAUUCUGAUGUACAUGAAGUGGACUUCAUUGAAUAACUUGUCCAUGAACAGUUCAUCAAUUCCAAACUAUGCAAUCCUUUGGAAAAUUAUUUAACUGAAUUUGAAAUUGAUGACGAAACAAAAAAUCCAUGCAUUAAUCCUGUCUUAAAUAAUUUUCAGGGACAAAAUAAGAAAUUUUAUUAGAAACAAAAGUUUGAGGAACAUCCAACAACUAAAGAUGUUUUAACACAUCAGUUGAUCAACCACCCAUGCUUGAUUUGAAACAACUACCAUGUGAUCUGAAAUAUUCAUCUUUGGGUGAGAAUGAACUUUUCCAGUCAUAAUUUCCUCAAAACUUGAUGCACACCAAGAAGGUAAGCUACUGAAAUUUUGUAAAUGCAUAAAAAUGCAUUAGGAUGGACCAUUAUAGAUAACAUAAAAGAAAUUAACCCUCUGAUUUGCACACAUAACAUUUAUUUAGAGGAAAAUGCUAAACCCUCUAGACAAAUGCAACUAAUUCUUAAUCCUAAUAUGAAAGAAGUGGUGAGAAACGAAGUCGUUAAACUCUUGGAUAAUAGAAUCAUUUAUCCCAUUUUUUACAGCAAAUGGGUAAGUCCUACCCAAGUUGUACCCAAGAAAUCUGGGGUUACUGUAGUCAAAACUAAAAAUAAUAAAUUGAUCCCAACUAAGACUAUUAUUGGUUGGCGCAUGUGCAUUCAUUAUAGGAAACUUGAUUUAGUGACCAGAAAAAAUCAUUUCCCUUUACCUUUCAUGGAUAAUAUCUUAGAAAUAGUUGCAGGGCAUGAAUUUUAUUGUUUUCUACAUGGAUAUUUUGGGUAUAAGAAAAUUGUAAUUUCACUUGAGGAUCAAGAGAAAACCACUUUUACAUGUCCUUUUGGCACUUUUUCACAUCGAAGGAUGCCUUUUCGAUUAUGUAAUGCACCAGCCACAUUUCAGAUAUGCAUGUUUAGUAUUUUUAGUGAUAUGGUUGAAUGCAUUUUAGAAGUCUUCAUGGAUGAUUUUUCUUUUUUGGUGAUUCAUUUGAUGAUUGCUUAUCCAGUUUAGAAAAGGUUUCAAUUAUAUGUAAAGAAAAAAAUUCUUGUUCUUAAUUGGGAAAAUGUCAUUUCCUUGUCACUAAAGGAAUUGUUUUAGGACACAUAGUUUCUUUAAAAGGGAUUCAGGUAGACAAGUCAAAAUUUGAGUUAAUUUCCAAUUUUCCAACACCGAAAACUGUAAAGUACAUUAGGUUAUUUUAGGACACACAGGAUUUUAUAGGAGAUUCAUAAAAAAAUUUAGUGUUAUAUCUAGGCCUUUGUGUAAUCUCUUAUUAAAGGAUACUGCGUUUAGAUGGACUGAAAAGUGCGAAAUAAAUUUUGGAAAGCCUAAAAGUAUGCUUACUUCUGCUCCUAUUUAUGAAACCCCAGAUUGGACUUUACCAUUUGAAGUAAUGUGUGAUUCUAGUGAUUACGUUAUUGGUGUUGUGUUAGGAUAAAGGAAAUGUAAGAAACCAUAUGUCAUUUUUUAUGCAAGUAAAACUUUAAACAGUGCUCAAAUGAAUUAUUCUAAUACUAAAAAAUAAUUACUUGUAGUAGUUUUUGCAUUGGAAAAAUUCAAAUCUUACCUUGUUGGAUCAUCCAUUGUUGUCUUUAGUGAUCAUGCAACUUUAAAAUAUCUUCUCUCUAAAAAGGAUGCCAACCCCAGGUUGAUUAGGUUGAUUCUUCUUCUUCAAGAAUUCAACAUCGUAAUUUGAGAUAAGAAAGAAGUAGAAAAUUUGUGGCUGACCAUUUUUCAAGACUUUUUUGUAAGGAAUCUUUUGAAACUUUCCCAAUUAAUAAUAGUUUUCCUAAUGAACAAAUUUUAAAUAUCUUUGUUAUACCAUGGUUUGCUAACAUUACAAAUUUUCUUGCGACAGGAAAAAUUCCUUCCUAAUGGAGUUUACAACAUAAAAGGAAAUAUUUUUCUGAGGUAAAAAAUUUUAUAAGGAUGAUUUCAUAUCUUUUCAAAUACUACCCUAAUCAAAAUUUUCGAAGAUGUAUACCUGACAAUGAGGUACAUAGUGUCAUUAAUUUUUUUUUCAUUUUGAAGUAUGUGGUGGUCAUUUUUCAUCCAAGAAAAUUGCUGCAAAAAAUUUACAAUGUGAAUUUUAUCGGCCAACCUUAUUCAAGGACACUUAUAAUUUAUGCAAAUCAUGUGAAAAUUUCCUAAAAUAUGGAUCAAUUUCAAAACAAAACAUGAUGCCAUUAAAUCCAAUUUUUGUGAUUAAAAUAUUUUACUGUUGAGGUAUUGACUUCAUGAGACCUUUUCCAUCAUCGUCUGGUUUCUUAUACAUUUUUGUUGCAGUAUAUUAUGCUUCAAAAUGGAUAGAGCCAACUCCAUGACGAAAUAAUGAUCACAAAACAAUGAUUAAGUUUUUAAAAGAAAAUAUUUUAAGUCGAUUUGGGAUUCCUCGAUCUAUUAUAAAUGAUGGGGGCACACAUUUUUGCAACAAAAUUUUUGAAUCAUUAAUGAAGAAAUAUACCAUUAGACACAAAGUUGAAACCCCUUAUCACCCUCAGACAAAUGGACAAGUAGAACUUGCAAAUAAGGAAAUUAAGAACAUUUUGGAAAAACAUGAUUAAUCCAACUUGCAAAGAUUGGUCUCUAAGACUUAAUGAUGCAUUAUGGGCUUACCGAAUUGCUUUCAAAACAGCAUUAGUCAUGUCUCCCUAUCUACUAGUUUAUGGAAAACCUUGUCAUUUACCCAUGGAAAUUGAACAUAAGGCAUAUUGGGCUACUAAAAUGCUUAACUCCAAUCUUGAUGAUGCAUCUAAGUUGUGAAAGUUGCAAAUUAAUGAACUUGAUGAACUUAGAAAUGAUACUUAUGAGAAUUCAAAAAUAAAUAAAGAAAGAACCAAAGCUUUUCAUGAAAAGAUGGUGUUAAGAAAGACAUUUGAUGUUGGACAAAAGGUUUUGCUUUAUGACUCCCGACUUCACUUAUUUCCUGGAAAACUAAGAUCAAGGUGCAGUGGUCUAUUUGUUAUAAAGCAUGUGUACCCUCCUGAGGCAGUCAACAUUAAGAAUCCAAAGAAUGGUAAUGUAUUCAAGGUUAAUGGAAAUGUUGUGUGGAAGCUUGUAAAAGAGUAAAAUUAUUGUACUAAAAAAUCACACUGAGUUCAAUUCCCAGGAAAGAGAGGUGGAUCACAAGGAUCGCUUAAGUACCAUGUCUUUCCUAGCCAGAAUAUCCCUCAAUCGUAAUUUAAUAGCACAAUAAAUCACUACAAUCACACUCACAAUUCAUGCAGAAUAAUACAAUAAAGAACACAAGAAUUUAACGAGGUUCAGCAAAUUUUUCCUACGUCCUCGGGCACUACCAAAUAUAUUUCACUCCAAAACACAAGUGAGAAUUUACAAAGAGAGAGAGAGAAAACAAUGCCUUAAGUAAAGAAUGGCAAAUUUGGGAUGAUGAAAAAGAGAAAUGGUUAGGCCUAUUUAUAGUUGAGGUUUAGGGAUCAAAAUUGCAAUUAUCUUAUGUCAAAUCUCAAUCCUACUUUUGGUGCCUUAAAUCCCAAAUUUUGAUACCCAUAUCUUUUUUUUAUACUCAUAUCUUUCUGAUACCCAUAUCUUUGACUUUUCUAAAUAUGGAAGGUUGCCAAUAGGAAAAAAGACUCAAAUUAUUCCUAGAAAAUCAAUUUGCUCAAGAUGAAAUUCUUUGUCCUUCCGAUCGUUGUUACAAUAAUGUUUAGUUGUAAAUAUAUAUUUUACUACUUAGGAAUUCAUAUUAUUAUAAAUAUUAUUAUCGUUGUUAUUGUUACCAUUUAUUACAAUUCUCUUUUUUUUUGUAUUGUUUUUUUACCCCGGUUAAAUGGCGUAUAAUGGUACUCCGUGGCUUUAAUGUUGAUCCUAUCAACUACCCAUCAAACUAAUAUAGUAUAUUCUUACUUUUAAAUUUUCUACAAUCUAAAUCCUUGUACUUUUCUCUCUCAUCUCAUUUUCUUGGCUUUCAAAGUAAUCUAAUUUCUUUUUCUCAAACUUUCUUUGAUUUCAAAAUGGAUAACAUUGUUUCAAAGUUGCACAAACAAUUUUCUUGUCUCCCCAGAAAUAUGAUAGUGAAGCUUUACAAGGUUAGAUGCGAGAGAUUAAGGAUGCUCAUGCAUAAGGGAAUGCCUAUAGACAUUCAAGUGAUCAUUGAAGGAAAAGUAUGAUUUGAGAAAUAUCUUCAUGUUUUGCAUUUACCUGGCACAAGUAGGAGCAGUUAUGCAAGAAAGCGAAGAGCAAAGUGCCUUGAGUGAUUUGUAGCAAGUGUCCCAGAUGGACCUAUAACGAUCAAUGUCAAUCUCUUGGGAUGGCAUUUGUAAAUCGAGAAGAUAAAAUAAUGUUCAUUAAUGACGGAUUAAGUAAGGAUAAUUUUAGAGAUAUCCAAAUUUCUCUUGAGACUCAUCCUAGUGGAGCUGUGCAAAAGGAAAUUCUUGAUUUAUGGUCUUAGUUCCAAUAUGAAUAGAAUCGUCUUGGAAAUCUUAUGAUCAAAUAUCUUGUUUGCUAGUUUAUAGGAAAAUUGGAUGGGACUCAUAAAAGGCAUUUAAGCCAUUACUGGACGUAAAAUCGGAGGAAGAUGUGAGCCACAAUCACAACUACUGUAAAUAAUUCUCAACCUUUAAUCUUCAUUUGCAAUAAUCAUAUGUUUCUUGCAUUUUACAUUAUGUUUAUAUCUAUGUUAUUUAUCUUGAUCUCAACUAUUUGAAAAAAUAAUAAUAAUUAAAAACAAAAACAAAAAAGGCGAUUGUUAAUAUCAAUAUUUUAUUACUAUUUGUUUUUAGAUUUUCUGUUUCGUGUGAUGAUUUUCUCUUCCGUAUUAUUAUCUCAAGAUUCAUGUUUUUUUGUACCUGAUAAAUAAUUGUGACAUGUUCCUUUCUUGAAUUUUUUGAAUUUUUCUUCUCGAGAAAUAUUUGCCUCUGACUUGUUUGAUUUUUUUCUUGACAUCUUAUUUUCUCUUUCUAUUUUAUUAUUACUCUAUGUGGGGUCCAAACCUUAUAUAAUUUACUACUUCCUCAUUCACAUUCAGACAUUCAAAAAAAAUAUGGCAAGUACUUCAACUCAAAAGUGUGAAAAGAUUUGUGUUUUUUUUUGUGGAUCUUAUCCAGGAAAAGAAAAAACUUUUAUAGAUAUGGCUAUCAAAAUUGGGCAAAGUACUACCCAAUGAAAAAAUUAAGUUAAUCUAUGGAGGGGGAAGUAUGGGUUUAAUAGGACCAGUGGCUACAUCAGCAUAUGUUAAAGGAGUUCAGUUUUGGGAAUAAUCCCAAGAGUAUUCAAAGAAAAUGAACUAUGUUGACCGACUAUCAAUAAAUAACUACAAGUUUGAAGUAUUCAUGAACGGUUAGCUAUUAUGUUCGACACUACUGAUGCAUUCAUUGCCUUACCUAGAGGUUUUGGUACAUUAAAGGAAACAUUUUGCAUAACCUCUUGUUCAUCUUUCUUCAAACAUAAAAAACUCAUCGGUUUGCUUAAUGUUAAUGGUUAUUAAACUAAUUUUCUCUCAUUUUUAGAUAAUGUUGUGGAAAGUGGAUUUGUGUUUUCAGAGGCAAGGAAUGUCUUGAUUGUUACGCAACUGUUGAUGAACUAUUCAUUAAGCCUCAAGCUUUUAAGUACCAUCCAGAUCUAAUCACUCAACAAAUUGUUGAAUCAAGAAAAAGGAAAAGAGAUUCUGACAAAUAAGAAAUGGAUUUAACUUUUUCUUUCUGACAUUAUUCAACUUUUGGGUUUAUCUUAUAUUUACAUUUUUAUAUGUAUACAUUGUCGUGUUUCAGUUGUAGCAAUCUUGACUAACAAUCACAGGUGAUAUCCUCUAAACUUCACUUAUGAUUUUGACAUUGAGGACAAUGUCCUAAUUUGGCAGAGGGUAGGGAAUACUUUUUUGAAAAUCCUAAGUCUCCUUAAAAAAGAAAAACACUAAAGGUUGUUAUUGUAAUCAAUGUGGCAGGGUAUGGAAAAUAAUCUUGAGACUACACCUUAUUAGAAUGUCUACCCUUAUUAUUAUUAUUAUUAUUAUUAAUUUUAAAUAUAUAUUGUAAAACACAAGUAAGGAGUGAAGAGCAUUCUUAAAUUGCAUCAUUUCAUGUUGAAAUGGAGGAUAAGGAGUAAUCUUGACACCCAUGUUUCAAAUUUUUUUCUCUUUUUUAAAAUAAUUCUUUAUCAUUUUUUUUGUGAUAUCAGAAAAUGUUUUGCAUGAUCAUUUAAUAUAUCUAGUACUUUUGAGAUUUUAACAUGCUUGCGAAGUACUAAAGUAUGUAAGCUUGAAUAAUUGAUGAUCAUCAAAAAAUUAGUUGUUAAUCUAUUAUAGAAUGUGUUUCAUGGGUUUUGUGUAAUUAGGUUUUGUUAGGACUUUGGGUUUUUCCUCUUUGAACUUUCUUUGACAAAAUUAUCUUUUGAAUUUUCUUUAAUACAUUGUCUGUCUUAGAUGAUAUGCAUGACUUGUAAUGGGUUGUAAGUAAUAUAUUAAUCAUGAUCUUAGAAUCUAUUGGCUUAUUACCCUUAAAUAUAAUGGGUAGUUCCAAAUGCAUGAUAAGGGAAGACCUAGGCAAUUUCUUUAGAUCGUUUGAGGUUUUCAAGCCAACCCUUGCAUAAAAUUUCUUAGUACCCUAAUUUAGCCUUUUAAGAUUUUUUUUUUGUUUAAUGUUGUUAUCUUAGCCUAUAAAGCCUUAAUUGCUAAAUCCUAAUCCUUUUGUUUACCCUAAGUAUUUAGUGCUUAUCAGACAUAUUCCUUUAGGUUAAGUAUUAAAUGAGAUAAGUAGAAAUAUUAAGGUGGAUACUUUAAGGUGAGAAAAUGAAUAAAGCAUAGCUUCACCAUACGUUGUAUUUACAUCAUGGAAAAUUUAAAAAAUCAAAAGAAAAGGACUAUUUUUUUGUUUACCUAUUUUAUCCAUGUUUUAUUUGAAAGGUAGAAAAAUAAAGAGAUAAAAAAAAGGGAGUUGAAAAUAUAAUUAGUGCUCAUAUAGGGGAAGUAGGGAAUGAUACUUUAAGCUUUUUAUGAUCCAUAAGUAACUAAUGCUUAAGAUUUAAGCCUAAAUUGACUUUUCAUCCUACCUUAGCCCUAGCCUAAUGUUACAAGCCAAAAGACCUAGUGAACUUGUUAUUCAUAUUGGAAUCAAAUUAAAGGAGAGGGGAACUGUUAAUGGACUUAUGAAAUCAUGAUUAUUAUGCUUAACUUACAAUCUAUUAUUGUUUAAUGUGUUGAUAAGAUUGCACACAGGUAAUUGCACACAAGUACGGAGGUCCAAGGUUUCUAGUUUUGCCUAAUUAUAUAAAUAUUCAUGUGACUAUUUAUAUUUUGUCUAGCAUCUAUUAUUUCUAUUUUCAUCAUAACUUCUUGUUUUAUAAUACUUUUGUACUUUGUUCACAUGUUAUUUUAAUUUGUGUACUAUUUUUGGGUAGUAACAAUUUUCUUUUUUGUUUUGUUGCUUGGGGACAAGCAAAAAUGUAAGUGUGGGGGUAUGAUGACUCAUCACCAUGUGAUUGUUUUGGAAUAUAUCUUACUUACACUUGCUUGGUUUCCUAACGCGUUUUAUAUGUUUUAAUUUUAUUUUAGUGAUUUGAUCUCUUUUUUGUUUGUAUUGCAAAUAUUGUGUAUUUUUAGUGUUUUCAUGCAUUUAGUUUCAACAAAAUAUUCCAUGUGGAAUUUGCAUGUAAAAAAAGUUUGGGAAGAAGACGUCAAUACAUGGAACCAUGAGAUUAAAUGCACUAAGCCUAAAGUUGAUCCAAGAUGAUGAGUGAAAGUUAAAAGCUCAAAAGAUUAAUUUUUUUUAAUUUGAACACAUUCAGAACUUUCAGUCGAAACACUUCCUAGUGUUUCGAUCAUGCCUCGAGCCUUAGGACUCCAUUUUCAGUGUACCUUAUAUCUUUGAAAAGGGGAUUUGAAUAUCUAUUCAAAUAUUGGAACACCAAAACCAAAAUGCAUCAAGAAGAAAUCCAAAAGUAAAGAUAUUGUUACAAGUUUCACAUUAAUGGAUAGUUUUGAUGCAUUUUCUUGUUUGGCUCAUAUCUCCUAACAAAAUUGGAAUUUGGAGUUGAAAUUUUUACAACAUAUAGACACGAUACAGACCAUCAAUCAACUCUCUUUGACUUUUCCCAUUGAGAGUCGUUAACUUGGACAAAAGGAAUCAUCUUUUAACAUGUGAAAAAUGCCUCAAAAGAUGACAAAGAAGUAGGCCUAGAAAUUUAUUAUUAACAAGUCCUUUAUAUUUUCAUUUUCCUCUUCACAAAUCUCUAUAAAUAGCCUUUCAUUUCAAAAUAAGAGGCAUCUUGAAGUUGAGUUCAAGAUCAUUUGCUUGUUAAGUUUUUGUUUGUUUCAUUAUUCGUGUAAAUUUUCAAGUUUCUUAUAUCUAAUAAGUCUAUUUCAUCUCAAUUUGAGUUGUUUACUUUUGCUAUGUUAUUUUAAGUUUUCAAUAUUUAGGUGAAAGGGUGAAACUCUUGGGAAAUAUUAAGGUAAAUUCCAUACUCAUCAUUUGAGCUAAAAUUAAUUAUCAAUCACUUGUUAUAUCAUACUUGUAAAGUAAGAUAUUUUAUUUAUUAUAGACAAUAUAUGGCACAAUGAAUGCUUGGAUAAAUUAACCUUAAUUUUUUUAGACAUAAAAAUUGGUGUAAUAAAUAUUUGAAAUAUUUUUAUAAGUUUUGAAGUUAUCAGCUGAUUAUAAUACCAUAUGGUUGGACUAAACUUAAAUAGUUGAACUGUCAUAUUGCACUAUCCUUUGCUUAUGGAUUCAUUUGCUAAAUUCUUGGACUUAUUGGACAAUAAUUUUGGACACUUCAUUGGUGGACAUACCUUUGCUCAUGGAUUCAUAUGCUUAAUUAGCGGACGUACAUUGCUAGAUCAUCCGAUUAGGACCUCCAUUUAUGUGUGUAUUCUAAUUGAGUAAUAACAUUGAGUAUUAAAUUUUAAUCUUAAUAUGACACUAAGAGUUGAUCCUCUAACCUUAGCAUAUUUUCUUCCAGGUAUUUGUUUUAAUUUUCUUGUCUUGACUUUUUAUUUUUAGUAUUUCUAGCUACUAUUUUCAUUAUCAGUACUUAUUCCAAAGUUAAGUGUUAAAUUUUUGUUCUAGCAUAAUACUUGUAAUCUUGUAAGUUCUAAUCAACUUCUCUGUGGAUCGACCUUGGACUCCCGAGAUUUUAUUACUUGAAUAUAACCUAAACUUGGGUUGUAGACCAAGAAAGUCACUGUCACAAUGUGAUAUGAUUCCCAACCCAUCCAUCCACUACACACCACGAGUUCCCCAAAACCCAUCUACCAAACUCCAAACAUUGCGAGCUGAGCUCGAUGUGGUUAAACCAUCAUUAUAAACAAUGCAAUUAUAUUGCCAAUCAUAAUACAAUGCACUAACAACAUUAAUACGGACUUAAUUUUCCCCCAUUACUCCAUAAAACUCCUUCGUCAUCCACAAUAUCCCAUCCCAUGCAUAUGCAUUAUGUCGUCUGAGAUGCAAACUAGAACUUGUUUCCAUUAUAAUCACAUUUCAGAGGCAUGAUCUAUACACCUUCAUUAUCAUUCAUUUCCAUAUGGUGAUGACACUUGUAACACCCCAAACACAACCUAAACAUUAUGGCUAGAUCUAGAGAAGUCACCAUGAUCAAUUAUGAAAAUUCAUAAAUAAAUUGAGGCUUGUAGAAAAUGCUAGUUUUUGAUAAAUACAAUCCCUAGUUUAUUUUAAAGAAAACCCAUCUCUUUUAAUUAUUUUGUAAAUUUUGUUGAUUAAUUUUAUGUUUAUAAAACACUUAUGUUUGCAAUGAAACUCUUAGUAAAAUUUAGCUUUGAGAAACGCGGUUUGUUUUCAAAAAUUCAACAUUUUGCUAAUAGAGUAAUUAUAAUUUAAAAUGAUUAAACGAUUCAAAAAAACAGAAAACCAAAAGUCCAAAACAAAAAUAAUCCCAAGAGUCCAAAAUAGUCCAACAGUAUCAAAAUAGAGUAAACAAAGUUUAAAGUAACACAAAUUAAAUGUGUUUAUCUGAGCUCCCGUCGCACCGACCCGUCCUAUGCCUAAGGAUUACCUGAGAAUCAAGCAAACAGAGAAUGAGCUUACAAGCAGUAUGUAACUUACUAUAAUUAAAAUAGUAGAUAAAAUUCCAGACAUGCAUUCAGAUACCAAUUAGACGAAUUUCAUAGACAGAAAUAGAAACAGAUGCAUAUCAGAUACAGAUACAGAUUAAUUUCCUACCCCCAUCUGCUACACACCAGCUCUGACCAUCCCUGCACACCAAUUAGGGUAUUAAAUACCCAAUUAGUGUCUGUAUAACACUUUUCAGAAUAUUUGUAGCCUAGCUACAAGAUCAAUAGGCGAUAUACCGCCAAAUAUGGAUAUACGUAGCUGAGCCACGAAAUUAGGCAGAUAAAUUAAACUAUCAGCAAUUCCUCCAUAAACAUAUUUCUCACCCCAAUGCAUAUGUAAAACUAGACAAUAUCACAUAUGUGCACGACAUGCAUGUUUUUCACAUCUGAUUAGAUCAUACCUAGCAUAUAACAGAACAUGCUAUCACAUAUAACAUACCACUCAUCCGUUUGCUAGUCAUAUUAAGCAAUAACAGAGUAUCAAAAAUCAUGGUUUAUAGGCAAUUUUAUACCAUACGGGCCCUACAGAAAGGUUAUAUUCGAUUCGCACGACAACCAGAACCCUAGGGAAAAUUUUCAGAAUUUAGGCCCACACUCCCAUGUGGCAUCGACAGUCUCAAUUUUGGCUUUCAGUCGUUCGCUAAUUUCUUGAGUUUUCGUUACACACUUCAUCUAAUUUUGAUUCGAUUGCAACCAUGAGAUUUCCAGAACCUAAAAAUAAUAAUUAAACCACCAAUUAAGACGAUUCCCACACCCAAUUCACAAAAAUUGAUAUAUCAAACAUCAAAUUUUAAACGAAGAAUUUCAACCUAAAACCCCAAUUUGACUCCUUAUCUUCAAGAAACAGCAGAACACCAAUGAUUCUAGGUUUCUGAAGAAUUAAUUGCCUUUCCAACUUCACCUAGAAAGUCAAACAAUUAAUCAUACAGAACAUAUUUAACCCACAACUAACAAAAAGAACAAUAAGAACAAACUCACUUAAUACAAGAGAAAACUUAAUGGCAGAUACACAAGUAAUUGAUUACGCUUAAUGGCAAUUGAUUUGCAGAAAGAAAAGGAAAAGAACAAAGUGUAGAACCGCACAAGAAAAAAAAGAAAAGAAACUAGCAAUUGGGAAAAAAUAAAAGUGGGAACUGAGGGAGAGGAAAGUGGAGAAUAAACAGAGGACACCUUACCACUAAACCAGCAGGCUCAUUUUAUCACAAGUUUAGUGGAAAUAGUAUUUAAGUCAAAUAAAAAGAGGUAGGGAUAGGACCUCAAACACACAUCCAAUGCAUUUAACCAUUGAACCAAAUCAAUUACUUAGACAAAAUUUAACAAAUCAAAACUUAGAUUUUGGGGGCAUUACAACACUUAUCAAGCAUUCCAUUUCAUAAUCAAUUCAAUGAAAUUCUAACAUGCCUCAUUUUCAUAAUAAUUUCUUAUGCAAUUUAACAUGUUACAAGAGGAAUUUUUCAAUACAUGUAUAACAAGCUCUCAACAGUACAUUCCAUGGCAUUUCACUUAAGCAUACAAUUCAACCAUUCAAUAGUUUUACUUUUGUAAUAUUAAUACAUGUUAUGCAUUCAACCAACAAUCAUUUUAUUUUCAAAUCAUCCAUGUUAUUUCAUACUGAUACCACUCGUAUAAAUAGUCAUUCAACCAUGCUAAUCUUGCACGAAUUCCAUUUAAUUAGGGCUUGAAAUGUACCUGAUUUAACCACCUUAAAAUUGUUUCCUUAGCCAUUUAAAAAGUCGUACCAACAAGGUUAAACAUCAAUUUAACCACUAAAAAUAUAAUUUAAACAGACAAGUUUACAGGUUAGAACACAAACCUUAAUUUCACAAAACCGCAGUACUACUUGUGAAAUCUACGCUUCCUUCACCAAACUUAAACGUACCUAAACCAAAAUCCAACUUUAAUAGAGUUAGGAUGUUGUCAAACCAGCCUUAAAACACCCUCUAAGGGUUUAGGCAAAUCAUUGUUACAAGGCCUUAAUUACAAAUCCAAAUCAGUUGAAUCAAUUACAAUGAUAUGGUGCGAAGCGAGAGCGUGGACGAAAAAUGGCUUCACUGCUGUUCUAGGAUGUUUAAAUCAAUGCCUAACACAUUAAAAUGCUAAAAAAUCAGUAGCUAAUCAUCCAUUUAAAACCUUAAAAUUAGUAGCUAAUCAAUAGUUGAUUAGGAUAGGAUAAAAUAGAUCUACCCUUGCCGGAAAAUACUCGAAAAAAUUGUGAAAAAUUAGCAGCUCUUAAUGGCAGAUCUAGGAGCAAAGCACCAGCAUAAUUGGCCACAUAGGGGCGGUUUUGCAAAACACCAAGGAGAUUUGUUUAAAAGCUGAUAAAGGAAUAUCUUUAGACUUGAAAAUUAGUAAAAAUAAAGGCUGAAAUAGUAGUGUAUUUUACUAAAUAAAUAACAUACUGUUGCUCAAUAAAAAGAAAAACUUUAGGGGUAACAACAACCACUGACGGUAGCAAUUUUUGGGAUAAUUUUGGCAAGUUCAAAAGGAAUGUUUUAGGGCUAGAAAUAAUUUUUUAAAAUUAGUAUAGAAAACAGAAAUUUUAAGAUAUGAUUUUGAAAACAAAACAAUAGGAAAAUGGUGUAGAAAAAUGAGAGAAUCAAGCACUUACUCUAGCAAGUUAAAGGGGCGAAAAUGGAGAUCUUUGUGGCAACAGUGGGAUCCAAUUUUUGAGUGGUUCAAGAGACUAAUUCAAGGUUGAAAAAAUAAUGAAAUAAAAUCGAAAGGGAGGAAGAAAAAUGACAAAAAUUAGCACCAGUGGAGAAGGGAAGGACGCCAAGGAAAAAUGAGUUUGGUGGGCGACACGAUGAAGGAGAAAAGAAGAAAAUUGAAAAAGGGAUAAAAGAGAAAAGGAAGGGGUGGCUAAGGUUGGAAAAAGGAUGACUAAAAGAUGAAAAAUAAAUGAAAAAGUGAUAUUUAUACCUAGGUUAACUAGGCAUGGGCAGCACAAAAAUAGGGGAAAGGAGGAAAAUUAGCAAAAGUAUGCUAUUUUGCAAGGGAAUAGAAUCAAACUUGAAUCCUUGAGCAAAUUUCAUUGUCUCCUUAUUUUAUUUUUAAUAACUAAGUUAAUAGCUCAUUCUUGAUACAUUUUUACAUUCUUUAAACCAAAAAUAUUGGAUGUCACACAUGUUAUUCCGGUAGAAGAAAUAUAAGUUCAACACAACUUUUCGUAUGAGGAACAUUUAGAAAUCUUUGCUUGCGAACUGAAAGAGUUGAGAAAUAAAUGCAUGCCACUUGUGAAAGUUCUAUGGAGCAGUUAAAGCGUUGAGGAAGCAACUUGGAAAUCAAAAAAUACAAUGAGAUCCCAAUAUCCCCACCUCUUUUCAGGUAAAUUUAAGGACGAAACUUCUUAUGGGGGAGAAUUGUAACGACCUGGUUUCUAUUGGUGUUAAAAAAUAUGAUUUUGGGACCCCGUUUCUAUAAACUAAGUCUGUAAAUAUUAAAUAAAGAUAUUUUAUUAAAUAGGUGAAUUAAAUUUUGGAUAAGUAAUUUAGUUGAAUUAGUCUUUAAUUAUGGCCUAGAGACUAAAUUGUAAAGUCCAAUUGUUAUAGAUUUUUAAUUAGAAAAUGCAUUGAGGACUUAAAUUGCAAUUAACCAAAGAUUUAAAAUAGCAAAUAGAGCAUAUUAAAAUAUGGCAUAAUGGACGGUAUAGUGGGGAAUGGUUAAUUAAGAAAAUUAUUAAAAAUUAAUGAAUUUAAACUAGUUUAAUUAAGAAAUAAUUUUAGUAUAUAAAUAAGAAAGUGGAAGAAAAGAUGAUUCGCAUCAUCUUCAUCAUCUAACAUUCGAAAUUAAAGAAAGAAACCCUAAGGAGUUGAAACCUUUCACCAAAAAUUGGUUAGUGCAAUUUAGUCAUUUCUUUGUAACUUUUAUGUUUUUUAGGUCAUGGGAGCUUGAUUUAGCUAGCCCAUGUACCAAUUUUUAAAACUUUUAUAGAUUUAGGAAGUUUUUAUUGUUGAUUUCUUAAAUUUUUAGGUGUUAAAUUGAUAGAUUUUAAUAUUAGAUGUAAAAAAAGACUAAAUUGUAAAGCUUAAUUGAUAGUUUUAUACAUUGGGGACUAAACUAAAUAAAUUGUAAAAUUGACUGUAGAUAUAAGAAAUAGAAAGUACCUAAUGAGUAAUAGUGAAAUCAGAAUUCAAUUUGGAGCUUUUAAUAGAAAUUUAGGUUAAUCCCGGUGUUAGAGACUAAAUUGAAUAAAUUGUAAAAUUUGCAUAAAUUGAUAAUGGAUUUUGAAUUGGUUGUAUAUUAAUGGUGUUGUAUGUUUAUGUUAAUUUUUAGCUAACAUUGACUCAAAUUCUUUGAGAGGGAAAGGAAAAUUCAAAGUUGUCUAUAAUUCGAGAAUCUUUUAAUUGUUGCGUAUUUAUAUCAUUCUACAUUAUAUGAAGCUUGAGUACAAUAUGCAUGUUUAGAACUGGUUUGGAAAGUUGCAGGUUUUAACUAUAAUGGAAAAUUUGUAGAAACCGGUAUGUAACGUCAAACGUAUCAUGACGCAAUGAGAAUUGACCUAGAAUGUCCUAUUGAUACGAGAAACCCUGUCACCUCGACGAGGCCAAAAUAGCAAGUGAUGUCAUGACAUCAAGUUGCCUAAUUUCAUGAUGUGACAAACUGUGUGACAACGCCUCAACAUGAAAAUGUGAUGUCACGACAUUAACCCUAUAAUUUGAAUAUUUUACAAUUCAAUCUUAAUUUGGCCUCGGGAUAACUUUAAAGGUUUUUAUAAGCUCAUAUAAAACCCAAAAUGUAUAAUUUCCAUCUUGUUUUCGUAUAAUUUUUACAUUUGAAUGUUAAAUUGUUUGAAUUGUGUUUAAUUGAUCGAAUUACUCCCACAACGAAUAUGGCACAUUGUAGCUCAGACUUGGCGACUGGGUCGAGUAUAGAGUGGUACAAAUUUCAUUUUUUUUUCUCUUUAACAUGUUUUGCAUUUAAAUUCUAUUCAUGAUUAUAAAUGAAAUGACUUACUAAUGUUCUAGAAUGAACAAAAUCUUUAAAAAAAAUUAUUCAUACUCUCAUUUUGUUAUUUUGUUGACAUUCCGAUACAAAAUGUUGUUCUAUAAGAAAGAUAUGAAUCUUGCAACCAAUUAUUUUCCAUCAAGAUAUACUUACAAAUAACCUAUUUCUAUUCUAGCUCAAGCUCAUCAAUCGUAACUAUAUCAUGAAUACAAUAGUGAAGUUCAUCAUGAAACAAAGGAUAUUUAUCAUAUACAUAUAUAUAAUAUAAGUGCCAAAUGUUCUUGAAGUUUUUGUAAAUAUGAAACAUGCAUAAUCUAUGAGUAGAAUUAAGCAAUACAUGUGCAAUUAACUUAUCCAUAGGUUUGUCCUCAUUUGUGAUAACAAUAGUCAGUGCAUAACCAAGCAUCUUCUCAAGCCAUGUAGUUAGAAACCAUAUAUAAGAUUCUACAGUUUCAUUUACUAAUAGAGCACAUCCAAACAUUAUUGAUUAUUGAUGAUAGUUUACCCCAGUGAAUACUGCAAAAGGCAUACCAUAAUGACUUGUUAGAUACAGCAUCAAAAGUGACAACAUCUCCAAAGUAUUGGUAUACCGUUAUCGAUCUCACAUCCACCUAAAAAUAGUUUCCCAUGUGACCGCUAUAAUCAACUUGUUGAAAGCUCUGAAGCAAUAUUUACAAGCAAAAUCAAGCAGUGCUAGAAGUAGUGUUUAAGAGUAGUGCCAACUACUUUAGGCACUAGUGAUGAACAAGGUAGGAAACUAUGAAACACAAUGUGUUUACAUAGUUUGGUUUCCCUACGUAUGCUAGGUUUUGCUUAGAAAGAUAAUCCACUAUCUUAGUAACUCCUACAACAAGUGAUUGCAACCUCUAACACUUACCAGAUUGGACUCCUUGUUUUCUCACCUAAGAUUUAGAGAAUUCUCCUCUAAGUUUUCCCCUUGAAAACUUAGUACAAUAAUAAAUUAGCACACUUGAUUUAAUAUUUAAUGGGCUCACAAGAAACGUUUCUCAAUGAACAAGAACAAGUGUUUUCUAAUCAAUACAUCACCUAUAUAAGUCCCUUCAAUUUAUAAAGAAUUGAGACAUGCUAACAUACUAUAUCAAUUAAAAUCAAUCUUCCCAUAAAAUCAAUAAACUCAGGAUAAAUCUUAACUCUUCAAAAUAUGCUUCCAAAAUUUUCCUACAUCUUUUAGGGAAAAUACUGAAGAUCCUUGUAACAAUUAAAUUGGUUUUUUAUUUUUUGGAUUGUAAUGAUUAAAUUACAUUCAAACUUCUACUACUAUUUCCCACGAGUAAAUUACCAAAAAAGGUCGAAAAUUAAAAAAAUUUACAUGUUUAGGUCAUUUUCUCGAAAAAUGACAGGAAUAGGCCAAUUUUACGAAAACGCUUCCACCUAGCAACGUUUCCAGGUGAAAUGCAGAAAAGUGCAUCUAUGUGGAAGCGUUUUCAGCGUAUGUGCAGGAAAAUAUUUCUAGCUAGAAGCGCAUGCACCACAUAAGCUGAAAACGCUUCCAAGUGGAAGCAUUUUCCCCAACCGUCAACACCUCCAAAGACUCUUUUCCGCCAAAGACUAUUUAGUUAGUUGUUGGGACCAAUGGCUCCCCUCCCCACAGUGGUCAUAUUUUCAUUUCUAUAUAACACCCCCAUUUCAUUUUUCUAUUCAAUUCAAUCUCAACUCUCUCUCACAUUCUCAAAUCUCUCUUAAAUUUCUCUCAUUUCUUCAUAAUUUCUCACUAAAAAUUUAUUUCUCUCCCAACUCAAUAUUUUUGAAAAGAAAUUGUCUUAAGUUUUUCAUAAAAUACUUUUUAUAUUACAAUUUAUUUCGUGUUUUCUGAAAUUAACAAUGGCACCAUCUCUAAUCCGUUUAGAUGAGAAGCACAUUUUCGUCGAUUAAUUGCAAAUGGUAAGAAUUUUUUUAUUAUAAUUAAUGUAAUUUAAUUUAAAUAUUUUAUUGUUAUAUUGGAAUUUAAUAUUUUAUAUGUUUUUAUAUAUAUAGGCGAAAGAUCGAAUUUUGGAGACAUAUAUUUGUAAUUUACUCGCUCUUCCAUCACCCUUAUCGACCUUUACCUAAGAGAUGUUAGAUUUUUCCAUGUGGCCCUUAUUGGUCGGUGGUGUAAAUUGGACCCCACACUUGUAAGCAGAUUGGUUGAAAGGUGGAGACCAAAGAUGCACACAUUCCACAUUCCAUGCGGCGAAUGCACUAUCACUCUAGAGGAUGUGCAAUUACUAUAACAUCCUAAAUUUUAGCUUAAUAGGAAUGAAAAGUAUUUCAAAGAUGAGUAAUUAGCCUAGUAGUUAAAAUAAAAAUGAGGAAGCAUGAAAAUAAAAUUGAGUCCCAAGUUCAAUUCCUUUCCCUUGCAAAUAAUUUAAUUUUGCAAAAAUCCUUUUUUUACUUUUAAUUAAUUUGAUCAGCCCUUAAUUGUUUUUACUACACCCUAGUUUCCCCUCCCUCUUCUUCUCCUCUCUUCUCUUCAAUUUUUUUUCUUUUUCUUCCUCUUGUUGCCGUUACCCAAACCACUUUGAACCACCAUCUUCUUUUUCUUUUCUUUUUCCAAAAGAUCUUGCAUCAUUCACCCGUCCUUCUUUCUUCCAUUUUUUCUCAUUUUUCUAGCCAUAAAUCUAAAAAUCUUUGGCCUCCAAGAACGAUUCCCAUUGUCGCCCAAGAAGUGCCAUUGCCACAUUUCUCUUCUAGCUUAUGUAAGUGCCUCUUUUUGUUAAUUUUAUUAAUGGAUCUUUUAAUGGAAUACCCAAUUUUGUAGAUCUAGAAUUAGGGGAAAUUUUAAUUAUUUUAUGGGUUUUUUUCAGCUUAUGAAAUUAUUUUCAAUUGUCUUUUUAAAUCAACCCAGAUUUGCCACCAUUGGUGGUGGUGUGUCGUACAUAGAGGAACCAAAAGGUGGUUGUCAUUUUCUUUAAUUCCUCACAUCUCUUUCCAGCAAUAUUUUGGUUCUAAAAACCCUAACUAAUCACUCUUUAAUCAUAUGUUCCUUAGGGAAAUUCAAUCUUGCUCAUCUGAAGAUUCAGAUCUGACAAUUUGGGACACGAAAAUGUGGUAGUUUGUCAGCUAUUGCAUAGUUUUGACUUAAUUGUUGGAGAAAUUGGCAAUUGAUUGGAUUAAAGAAUUUUGUGAUUAUAUAGCUACUUAUUUUUCAAUAUUUAAUGGUGUUAAGUGCCAAUCCAAACACCCCAAACUGACAAUGAAGCCGUUAGACGUUUGCGCAUACGUUUCACAUAAAACUAGUGUAAGAGACGUAGUUAAUUUGGAUCCGAAAAAUCUUCAUAAAUAUGUUAUUUGAUUUAAACCCAUAUGAGGGUGUUUUACGGCUGAUUAAAAGGUGUAUUAAUUCAAUAAAAUAUUUCUUUUUAAUUUAGGCUCGAUUUAAGGUCUUAAAGAGAAAGUGCAGGUUUUGUCAGUGUGCUGCAGUAGUGCAAAAUAAGGUGUGGGUCCUAACUUGUUAACUUGAAUGUUUUGAUAAUGUUAUAUAUGAUCUAAAUGAGGAUUAAGUUUGUUUUUCGGACUUAGUUAAUUGACUAAGUGAAUGUGUUAAAGUGGAAAAAUGAGGUACGUUACUAGCCUCGACUAAAUGGCAGAUUUGCAAAAUUGUUUGGUUGACUUAAUAGUUAAUUGUUUGAUUUUGAUAUAAAAGGUUUGUUGCGAUAAUGUCUAAUUGAUUGUUUUAUUUUGGAAAUUAAUACUAUAUGCUCGAAAUCUUGUUGGAUAAAAUGUCAUGAAAAAUAUUGAAUGGAAAAACUGGUAUACAUGCACUGGAAAUAUUUCCCCAAAGUGUUAAUGAUUGAUGAUAUGAUUAAAUGUCACCAUAUUGAUUGUGAAACUGAACGAUUGAUUUGUGAAUAUUAUAAUGAUGGCAUGUAAUCUAUGCUACUGAAAGAAUACAUAUGAAAUGUGCAUUUGAUUGAAAUAUUGUAUGACACAUCGCAUGUGUAUGGGGUGGGAUAUUUAGCCUGCAUUUAUUCGUAAUCGAUGCACUGCACCAAAAUUACCGUAGAGAUUGGUGAUUUUAUCACAUUAUAUCUUAAUUGACAGAGUAUUUGCAUUAUGUUUAUAUGGUGGUUUAACCACAUCAAGCUUUGCUCACACUAUUUUGAUUUUGGCAGACGAGUUUUGGAGAACUCGUGAAGUCUAGCGAAUGGUUAGGGUAGAAAUUCAUUCUUGCAUUAUGAAAUGUCCAUAACUUAUGCUAUUAUUGAAAUGGUUGUGAUGAAUAUGUUACACGGAUGUUCUAAGUGAUUGAUCCUAAACGAUUGUUUUAUGUUCUUAUUGAUUAAACUCACGUUGAGCUAGUUAGCUCACCCAAUUACUUCAAACCUCUCAGGUAAUAAAUGAAAUGAGGAUCAAACAUGGCAUGCGAACGUACGACGACCGUGUGUCAGGCUGUGUGCUAGGUCAUGUGGUAGGUCGUGUAACUCACUGUUUAGAAUUAGAGUCACACGAGCCAGAGACACGGACGUGUGUCCAGGUCGUGUAACUCACCAUUUUGGAAUUAGAGUUACACGGGCUAAAGACAUGGGGAUGUGCUAGGCCGUGUGGACCACAUGGGCUAGCCACCCAGACCGUGUGAAUCUAUACGAGUGUAUGGACCAAAAAUUAGAAUUUGUUUCCUAGGGCUGUAAUCGUUGUUAGAGUCAAACGUGGGCUUAUUGUAGGACCUAUAUGAUCUAAAACAAGCUAUAAAACUUGAUAAUCGAUGAUUGAUUGAUGUAUAAUCCAUUAUCUGUAUGUAUGUCUAAUAUGAUAUUAGUUAAGUAAGUAUGAUUUAUUAGCGUAUAAGUUGUUUUUGUUGGGACGUGUUUAAGGUAUGUGAUUUAUUCAGGUAUGAUCCGUGCUUUGUUAAUUUUGAUGAUUCAUUUUUAUGUUACUGAGUUAGAUGAGAACAUGUGAUAUACGAAUAUAUUUUUGUGUCUGGUACUAAUUCUGAUAUGUAACCAUGCAUGUGACUUCAUGGCAAAUAUGAUAUGAUUCAUUAAUAUUUGAUCAAUCUAUCCUGCAAAGAAUGGAAUCCCAUGCCUCAUGUUUCUGUUAUUGUAUGACAACGUGUCCUACAUGCUUAACAUUCUGAUUCUGAAUAUGCAUGCCAUAACAUAUUGCAUGGGUUUCGGGAUGAUGUGAACGGAGGAAGUUUUUUGGCAGUGUAAUUAUCUGCAUUAUCAGGUGGGUUAUCCAUAAUUCUAUCUGGAAACAUGCCUACAAUUAUAGUGGCUUAACCACAUAUAUCUGAUCUGGCAGUUUAACUGCAAUUCUGGUGGCACUGUCCACAAUUAUUUGUUGGUGUGAUUUGGUUGGAUGAGUUAUGGGAACUCUAUUUUAGUGUGUAGUGGAGUUGGGUAGGAUGUUUUUUGAUAAUCUGCAUCCUGAUUUUCUGAAAAACACCAGAUUGGCUUAAUCAUAUAUCUUUUAUUCUGUUAUAAAAUUGUUAUGAAAAUCUCUGUGAUGCUCUGAUUUGUUCCACUCCGAUUAAAUGAUUGAUACGAAAUUCUCUGCGUUGUCUGACUUGUAUAUUGUGUUUUGUUAAUCUCUGUUUGAGUUUAGUUAUAUACUGAGGUUCAUAGCUCACCCCUUUGUUUUAUCUUUGUCUGUUUAGGUAAACUUCUAACUUAGGAUCGGAUGACGUGUGAGAGCUCGGAUAUUUUCGUCCUUAAUGUAAAUAUGGUUAUUUAUGUUAUUAUUUGUUUUGAACUUUUGAGUCUGUAAUUUGUAACAUCUUUUGAACUCAUUUUGGGUUUUUGUUAAUUUGUCGGUAACUAAUAUUUUCAAGCGUGAAAAUGCAAAAUUACUCAAGUCGACAAAAUGAAUUUUGGUUUUCAAAAAUAAAACUCCAAAAAGAUAUUUUACUGCAAAUUAAGUAGUUUCCUAAGUAUUUUCUGUAAAUGAACAGAUAGUUUUUCAAUGGUUGUUUUCCAUUUUCGUAUUUGCUAAAUACUUAUUGGGAAUACUUUUCCAAACGAGUCAAUGUAAUCUCUUCAGAUUCGGCCACAACUUCUUGGCCAGGUUUGGGAUGUUACAUUUAGUAGUAUCAGAGUCAGGUUGUAAAACUUGAGCUAUGGCUUUUGGGUUCAAAAAUUUCACUGAAAAAUGUUUCAAGUACAAUGAACUUCUGGUUGACUUUUAUAUUUUGGUUUAUGAAAAGUGUGCUCAUUAUUUUCAAGUCUGUAGAAAAAGAAUCUGAGACUCCGACGUCGAUCCUGUAUGUACCUUUACUUUAGUUAUAAUAUUAGAUAAGCUAGCAAAACUUUACUGCUAGGAUUACUCUAUCCUAGCUAAAGACUGUGGAAAUUCUGUGAAAACCACUGCUAAAGCUUUAGGCCUAGGAUUUUAAUAAACAUAAGCUAACUCAUAAAAAAUUUUGAAAGUGUAGAUUAGUAUAAUGAGUACUCAUGGUCAUGAUGUACAAGGGCAUGCUAGACAGAGUCGAGUGACUCGAGCCGAAUUCUCUUCUCGAUGCAAUGCAUAACACAAAUACAAUAACUAAUUAUUAUUUAAACCUAAAUGAUUACAACUAUUAUUUACAAAUUUUAUAAUAGGAGUUUUUAUUAAUUUUAAUUUACAAUCCCACAUAAUAAAAAAAUUUGCUUAAAAAAUAACUUGCUUUUUUUAUAACAAACUUUCCAUUUUCAAUCAAAUAUUAAAUGUGUGUGUGUUUUUUCUCAAGUUGUUUCCUUUUAUGUAAGUUUUCUCUUUUAACUUAACUUUAGAUUUAUAUUGUUGUCAUAUUUUUUUUAUCUUUUAGGGUCGAAAAUGUGAAAUUUCCUUUUGUGUUUAUCCAUUAUAUUUUAAAAGGAUAAAUAUACAUUUUGGUAUGUAAAUUUGGUCUCAAGGUUCAAAUUAGUAUUUAAGUUUUUUUUUGUCCAAUUGGGUACCAAAAGUUAGUUUUAAGGUUCAAUUUGGUACCUCAAUUUUUUUUGGUCCACUUAAAUACAUAAAUUUAGCUUUUUGGUUCAAAAUAAUACCUGAACUUAGUUUCGUAGUUCAAAUUUGUUCAUGUACCAUGUACCAAUUUGAACCAAGAAGCCAAGCUUAAAUACCUAAUUUUUUGGUAUCAACUAUACUAAAUAACUCUAGGCCCAACAUGCAAUGGACACUUCUACCCAAGUCUCGAUCUUUAAAUCCAAAAAGAAAAAACAAAAGAAUCUGAUCUUUAUCUUCAUAAUAAAUGUAGAUAAUCAGUAUUGUUAAAAAAGAAGAAGAAGAAGAUAAUCAGUGUGUUAGAGACACUCAAGGCUCAAAACAAAAGUCAAAGCUCUUGAAAAUGGCUGAAAUAAAAUCAGAACCAGCUGAACAAUCCAUUUACAAUCGUAUAAAUGAAUUGAAGGCUUUCGAUGAAACAAAAUCAGGAGUGAAAGGCCUGGUAGAUUCAGGUUUAUCAAAGAUUCCGACCAUUUUCAUCAAUGAAGAGUACAAGCUUGAGAGAAACAACAACAUCCAUAACCAGAAAUCUAGAGGCUGCACCAACAAUGGCGGAAUCCCGAUCAUAGACUUGACCGGCGUCGACGAUGAUCCAAAUUUACGUCGCGAAAUAGUGAAGAAAGUUGUUGAAGCUUGCGAUAAAUGGGGUUUCUUUCAAAUUAUCAACCAUGGGAUUCCAGUAACGACUUUGGAUGAAAUGAUGGAUGGGAUUCGGAGGUUUCAUGAACAAGAUAAGGAAGCUAAGAAAGAGUUUUAUUCUCGAGAUAUAACCAGGAAAGUGUAUUAUAAUAGUAAUUACGAUCUUUAUUUGGCUGAAGCAACCAAUUAGAGGGAUACUUUGAGUUGCGCUAUGGCACCUCGUGGACCUCUUCCUCAACAACUGCCCGCUGUUUGCCGGUAAUUCUUUAUUAUUAUUAUUAUUAUUGACAUGUUCCAGUGUUUCAUUUCGUUAAAACUCAUAUACGAAGCCAACUCAAUUUGCAGAGAUAUAUUCAUAGAAUAUUCAAACAAAAUGGUAAAAUUAGGGCAUACUUUGUUGGAAUUGUUCUCGGAAACUUUAGGUCUGAACCGCAGUUAUUUGGAAGAUAUUGGGUGCGGUGAGGGACUGUUUGUGAUGGGCCAUUACUACCCACCGUGCCCUGAACCGGACUUGACAUUGGGCACCAGCAGUCACACUGAUUGUGGCUUCUUCACCAUACUUUUACAAGAUCAAAUCGGCGGACUUCAAGUCCGCCAUCAAAAUCAAUGGCUUGAUGUUAAUUCUAUACAUGGAGCUCUUAUUGUAAAUUUGGCCGAUAUGAUGCAGGCAAGUCCACCUUACCUUUAACCUUAAUAUGACAAUUACAGUAUUUUUGUCGGUAUUAAUUAUAAUUAAGGCUUUGAAUAUUCAAUUUUUUCAUAUUUUAAGAUAAGAGUUAUGAUUUUCAUGAAUUUUAAAAUACGUAAUUUGAUAUAUAUUUAACCUUCAUACUUAAGUAUAUGUUAGUUAUGGUUGUAUAAACUUUUCUUAUAUUCCAGUAUAUAGAUUUUGAGACGUUUAUAUAUAAUGUACACUUUAUUCAAUAGAUUCUAGAUUAUUGUGAUUUUAGAAAGUGAAUACUUUUUAACAUUUUUCUUAUAUCUAUUCUAAUUGUUUUUUAACUUUUAUGCAGUUAAUAUCUAAUGACAAAUUUAUUAGUGUUCAUCAUAGAGUGCUUGCUAAUACAAGAGGCCCAAGAGUUUCUGUAGCAAGUUUCUUUAAAACACAUCUUCUACCAGAGAAUGCUUCGAGGCUUUAUGGACCAAUCAAGGAAUUGAUAUCUCAAAAAAACCCUCCACUUUAUAGGGAAACUACUACGAAAGACUUUGUGUCAAACUACUACUCCAAAGGGCUUGAUUGUAAAACUCUUCAAUACCUUAAGUUAUGAGUUGCUCAUGUACCUAAUUGAACUAUUUUCGAGCUUAUUUCCAUCUUUUGUCGAGUUCUAUGUUUACAUUAUAAGACAGUCACCAAGGCUUGUUGCACCUUCAUUAGCCUAGUUUGUAUAGACGAUGCCACGUCCUCUGAGUUCUUUUUUGAGGCGCUUUUCUUGCCCUUUGUCACAACUCCUUGAUUCUCCAUCAUGCCUUCUCUUCAUUACCAAAUAAUGCCUCUAGAUCCCAAGCUUCUUCAUUGUUAGAAGUAAUAAUAUUACUUUCAAUAGGCUUUUUCUUCGACCAGCAAGCUCUUUCCAUGUAACCUUUUUCCCACAAUUAUAAAAAUUUCCGUCAAAUUUUUUAUUGUUGUUGUGGUUGUCCAAAACUCCCCCUUCAUGAAUUCUCCUUUUGCCUUGAUAACCUUUUGACUUGUCAUCAUUUUUCUUGGAUUAAAUUUCCUUUCGACUUUCCUAACAUAAGGGUGCCUCUUCUUCAUUCUUUAGCAAGACUCCUCCAAUUUGUUUAGCUAAUGCUUUUUUACUAGCUAACAAAUUUUCAAAUUCAACAAGUGAUGGUUGAUUUUACCAUCCUUGUAUAGCACCAACAAAACUCCUGUAUUCUAGCUUCAACUAAUGAAUGAUGAUUCAUUUCAUUCUAGUAUCAUUGAUAGAAGCUUCAGAUCCAACUCAGAAAUCUCUCGACAUAACAUCUUUACUUUGUGGAAAUAUUGUAUUAUUAACAUAUUUCUUUGUGCCACUAACAACAUUUCACUAUUUAGAAUUGGAGCUUUAUAUCAAUUUUUUUAGAAAACGACUUGGCGAGUGUAUCUCAAGCUCUUUCGGAGUUUUGGCAUCACGUAUGUCUUCUAACACAUCCUCCUCGACUGUUGUUUUUAAGGCGAUCAUUACCUCACCAACUUUUAUUUUCCCAUUUUCUUAGUGUGUCACUUGUAUCCCCGACUUCCAGUUGUGUCACUUCAGUAUCGUUAGCAACCUCUCAAAGGUCUUGUCCUUGCAUAUAAGACAUUAUGCAAGUUGACCAAGUAUUGUACUUGUUUUUAUUAAGCUUCUUCAUUCUGACAACAACUUGUAAGUAUGUCGUCGUAUCAACAAAUCAUUCUCACUAUUGAAUACUAAAUUUAUAAUGAAAGUAGUUUGUGAACAAUGAGGCAGGUAAGUUCCCAAGAAAGAGAGGUCAGUCACAAUGGUCACUUUUAAGUAUUAAGUCUUUCCUUAGCCAGAACAUUUCCUAGACAUGUAAUUUCACACUACCACACUUCUCUCCAACAACUAAGAAACCAAGGAUAAUCUUCAAGUAGCUAUGAAAUUUCUUUUCUGAUGUGGAAGAUCAAACAAUGUUGCAACCACGAAGCAUACUAAAAGAAUUUUCACUCCUCCAACCAAGCUUUGAUGUUAAUUGUAGAACACUCACACCCAUGACACCACUAAACUAAUAUUUAACUACACCUCCCAACACUCCAAAAUAAGAAAAUAAAGGAGGAAUUAUAAGAAACUAAAUAGAAAACUCGAUAUUUGGUUUUGGUGCAAAUAAUACUUACAACAUAGGUCUUUAUAUGCUCAAAGUUCUAAGCAAUGUGAGAUAUGGUCUUUAUAUAGACUUGAAUAAUCAUAUUGCCUUUUGUUUCUAAGUGACGUAGGAUUCAUAAAAAAACACUAACAAUAAAUAUAAAAUCAAUAAUCCCCCUGCCCAAAUAGUAUUUAUGAUUUGGUUUUAAAAUUUUUAAUUUUACUAUUUAAAUUUAAUUUAAAAAUGUACUUUUAAAACAUAUAAAUAUUUGAAUUAAUUUUUAUAUUAAAACAUAUAAAUAUUUCAUAUAUUAAUAUUAAAGUAUUUAAUAUAAUUAAGAUUAUAUAAAAUUUAAGUUGGUGACGAAACGAGAAGACAAUCUAAUUAUAUUAUUAACUAUAAAUUUUAUUUUCAUCUAUAUUCAUAUCUAAAUUUAUACAUAAUAUGAAAAAUAUAUAGAAAUGUAAAUUAUUAAAUUAUUUAAUAAUAAUUAAUUUGAAUUAAUAUAGUAAAUUCAAAAUUAUGUUUAUAAAUUUAAAAAAAUUUAAAUUUUAUAAUAUUUAUUUUGAUUUCAUUAUUUUUUAUCAGCAAUAUUAUUUAUAAUAUUAUUUAAUGGAUAAGUUUUCUAUAAAAAGUUCCGUGAUCAUAAUAAUACGAACCAAUUUACACCCGCAAAAGAAUCUAUAACUUAAAACUUUUUUUACCAUAAGUUAAUAAACAACACCUUAAUAUUAUUAGCUCAUAAUCACCUAUAUAUAUAUGUAUAAACUAAAUAAUCCAAAAUAUUAUUUAAACAUACGAGAACAAUUAACAUCCAAUGAACAGAAAAAGGGAUAAAAUAUGUGAACCAAAUUCAACCAAGGACUAAAUGAAAUUACGUGCUCAACGAGUGAACUGAAAUGAACUAAGGAUUAAACAGUAAAAUUGUCACACUUUGAUGGGCCCAAACCGAAAAUAAGCCAUGAACUUCAAAAUAUACAUAUCCACAUGUUUGAUUCAAAAUAGGCAACAACUUUUCUCCAAUCCCGUUUCACUAAAAUAUAAUUAAGAGUUAACUACAUCAUUAGUCACUACAUUAUAGAUAAAUAUUCGUUUUAGUCACUUACUAAAAAAAGUUACAAUUUAGUCAUUGAAUUUUUUGAAAAUCUUCUUUUAAGUCACUGAACAAUUGAAAAGUUUUUAUUUAAGUCACUAUGUUAUUAAGUUUUUUGAAUAAAAAAGUUCUUGCACUAAGCUCCAAGUGACAAUUCGACGUUGGUGUCGGGACCUUGCCAACAGAAUUCUCCCAAAUUUGUCUAGCAGCAUUGGUGUUGCGACUCUGGUCCUGAUGUCGCGACUCUAGCUCCUUGAAUAAUUGGGAUCUUUCUACGGUGGUGAGUGUCCUCGAUGUCACAACAUUAGCAUCAUAGUGUCAUGACCUUACCACUUGCUGUUGCGACACUCAGACAUUGGUGUCACGAUUCUGUUUUUCAAUUGGUUGGCUCAUUUUCGAUUAGACUAAAGACAUGUUUAGGUUAGUGUAGUAAUAUAAGUUGUCUUUUUGUAUUACGAUCCAACCAUGUAAUAUCUCUUAGUAUUAGUUAAACAUUAGACAACUAAUGAGCUAAUAUUUGCUUCUAUUUUGCUUUACAUGCAAAAACCACAUGAUGACCAUAUACUAAGGGUAUUAAUGUAAUCAUGAAUAACUUUAUUAGCUAAUCUAUUCCCCGAAAAUUUCAACAGUAAGGAAAAUAAGAUAAUAUCUCUGAUAUAGUAAAAUAAGGAAAUAAAGUGAUAAAAAGGGUAAUUUUGAGUUAUGUCAACAUUGAGAAGUAUAUUAUGACAUAUUAAUUCAAGAAAGGAUUAAAUCACAAAAGUGAGAAAAGUUUUGUUUCCCAAGAGUAAAUACUCAAAAUUUGAGGGGUUAAAGUGUAAAUACAAAAAAGUUGAAGGACCAAAGGUGUAAAUAUUUUAAGGGUGAAAUGAUCUAGAAACUAAGGAAAAUGGAUGGAUUAGAACCAAAUUAAAAAAUGUGAAGAAUUUUGAGUGACUAAAUCAUAAUUUUACCAAAUUAAAUGAUGACUCAAUGAUGAAAUUUUAAAAGAUUAUAAAGGGCAAAAUGGUCAAUUAGAGAGAGAGAGAGAGAACUCUAGAAGGUAAUGAUGAUGUUGGUGAUAUUUUUAUUAAUUAAUUAGAUAAAAGUUAUUUAAUUAAUAUUUUAUUAAGAUUUUUAGUAUUAUUUUAUUAUUAAAUGAUUAAUAAAAAAGGGAGNNNNNNNNNNNNNNNNNNNNNNNNNNNNNNNNNNNNNNNNNNNNNNNNNNNNNNNNNNNNNNNNNNNNNNNNNNNNNNNNNNNNNNNNNNNNNNNNNNNNNNNNNNNNNNNNNNNNNNNNNNNNNNNNNNNNNNNNNNNNNNNNNNNNNNNNNNNNNNNNNNNNNNNNNNNNNNNNNNNNNNNNNNNNNNNNNNNNNNNNNNNNNNNNNNNNNNNNNNNNNNNNNNNNNNNNNNNNNNNNNNNNNNNNNNNNNNNNNNNNNNNNNNNNNNNNNNNNNNNNNNNNNNNNNNNNNNNNNNNNNNNNNNNNNNNNNNNNNNNNNNNNNNNNNNNNNNNNNNNNNNNNNNNNNNNNNNNNNNNNNNNNNNNNNNNNNNNNNNNNNNNNNNNNNNNNNNNNNNNNNNNNNNNNNNNNNNNNNNNNNNNNNNNNNNNNNNNNNNNNNNNNNNNNNNNNNNNNNNNNNNNNNNNNNNNNNNNNNNNNNNNNNNNNNNNNNNNNNNNNNNNNNNNNNNNNNNNNNNNNNNNNNNNNNNNNNNNNNNNNNNNNNNNNNNNNNNNNNNNNNNNNNNNNNNNNNNNNNNNNNNNNNNNNNNNNNNNNNNNNNNNNNNNNNNNNNNNNNNNNNNNNNNNNNNNNNNNNNNNNNNNNNNNNNNNNNNNNNNNNNNNNNNNNNNNNNNNNNNNNNNNNNNNNNNNNNNNNNNNNNNNNNNNNNNNNNNNNNNNNNNNNNNNNNNNNNNNNNNNNNNNNNNNNNNNNNNNNNNNNNNNNNNNNNNNNNNNNNNNNNNNNNNNNNNNNNNNNNNNNNNNNNNNNNNNNNNNNNNNNNNNNNNNNNNNNNNNNNNNNNNNNNNNNNNNNNNNNNNNNNNNNNNNNNNNNNNNNNNNNNNNNNNNNNNNNNNNNNNNNNNNNNNNNNNNNNNNNNNNNNNNNNNNNNNNNNNNNNNNNNNNNNNNNNNNNNNNNNNNNNNNNNNNNNNNNNNNNNNNNNNNNNNNNNNNNNNNNNNNNNNNNNNNNNNNNNNNNNNNNNNNNNNNNNNNNNNNNNNNNNNNNNNNNNNNNNNNNNNNNNNNNNNNNNNNNNNNNNNNNNNNNNNNNNNNNNNNNNNNNNNNNNNNNNNNNNNNNNNNNNNNNNNNNNNNNNNNNNNNNNNNNNNNNNNNNNNNNNNNNNNNNNNNNNNNNNNNNNNNNNNNNNNNNNNNNNNNNNNNNNNNNNNNNNNNNNNNNNNNNNNNNNNNNNNNNNNNNNNNNNNNNNNNNNNNNNNNNNNNNNNNNNNNNNNNNNNNNNNNNNNNNNNNNNNNNNNNNNNNNNNNNNNNNNNNNNNNNNNNNNNNNNNNNNNNNNNNNNNNNNNNNNNNNNNNNNNNNNNNNNNNNNNNNNNNNNNNNNNNNNNNNNNNNNNNNNNNNNNNNNNNNNNNNNNNNNNNNNNNNNNNNNNNNNNNNNNNNNNNNNNNNNNNNNNNNNNNNNNNNNNNNNNNNNNNNNNNNNNNNNNNNNNNNNNNNNNNNNNNNNNNNNNNNNNNNNNNNNNNNNNNNNNNNNNNNNNNNNNNNNNNNNNNNNNNNNNNNNNNNNNNNNNNNNNNNNNNNNNNNNNNNNNNNNNNNNNNNNNNNNNNNNNNNNNNNNNNNNNNNNNNNNNNNNNNNNNNNNNNNNNNNNNNNNNNNNNNNNNNNNNNNNNNNNNNNNNNNNNNNNNNNNNNNNNNNNNNNNNNNNNNNNNNNNNNNNNNNNNNNNNNNNNNNNNNNNNNNNNNNNNNNNNNNNNNNNNNNNNNNNNNNNNNNNNNNNNNNNNNNNNNNNNNNNUUUUUCAAAAUUACAAUUUUGCCCCUAAACUUUUACAUAAUUACAUUUUUGCCCCAAGGCUCGGAAAUUAAACUUCAUCUCUUAUUCUUAUGUUUUAUAACAUUCUGAACAUUUUUCCCUUCUAUGGCAACAUCAAAUUCCCACUCUAACAUGUACUUAUGAACAUUAGGUAUUUUUACCGAUUAUGUCGUUUUACUCGUUUUCACUUAAAAUCGCUUAGCAAAAGUUGUUUAACAUAAUUUCUAGCUUCAUAUUCUAUCAUAAAACAUCAAAAUAAACACUUUUCACCUAUGGGUAUUUUUCCAAAUAUAAACCCUAGGUUAAAUUAUUGCUAGAAUAAGCUAAAUUAAGCUACCGGGACUCCAAAAACGUAAAAAAACAUUAAAAACGGGACUUGGGAUCACUUACUAUGGAGCUUGGAAGCUUGAAAACCCUAACUAUGGCUUCCCCCCUUGCUGAUUUCGUCCUAAUGAAGAAGAUGAUGAUUUUUGCCAUCUUUUUCCCUUUUAAUUCAUUUUAAUUACUAGAUUACCAAAUUGCCCCUAACUUAAAAAUUUUCUAUUUCACUUAUCUCAUGUCCAUUUUUGUCUACCAAGUUACCAAUGGUAUAAUUACCAUAUAAGGACCUCCAAUUUAAAGUUUCAUAACAAUUGGACACCUCUAACAUGUAGAACUCAACUUUUGCACUUUUUACAAUUUAGUCCUUUUGACUAAAUUGAGUGCCCAAACGUCGAAAUUUUCGAACGAAAUUUUCAAAAAUCAUUUUGUGAAAUUGUAAACCAUAAAAAUAUAAGAAAAAUAAAAUUUUUCUCAUCGGAUUUGUGGUCCCGAAACCACUGUUCCGAUAACCUCAAAUUUGGGCCAUUACAACUCUCCCCCCCUUUUUAGGAUUUUCGUCCUCGAAAAUCUUACCAGUAAAGAGAUUCGGGUAUUGCUUCCUCAUUGUCUCUUCCGGUUCCCAUGUUGCUUCCUCAAUCCCGUGCUUUUGCCAUAGCACUUUCACCAGAUUUACCUUUUUGUUUCUAAGCUCCUUUGUUUCUCGUGCUAAUACUUUAACCGGUUCUUCAUUAUAAGUCAUAUCCGGCUGAAUUUCUACUUCUGUUGGAGUAAUAACAUGUGAAGGAUCUGACCGAUACCGUCGUAGCAUAGAUACAUGAAAUACAUUAUGAAUUUUGUCGAGUUCCGGUGGUAAAGCCAAUCGGUAAGCAACUGGUCCAAUUCUUUCUAUAAUCUCAUAUGGUCCGAUAAAUCUUGGACUCAAUUUACCCUUUCGACCGAACCGGAGAACUUUCUUCCAAGGAGACACUUUUAAGAAUACUUUAUCACCCACCUGAAAUUCAAUCUCCCUUCGUUUAAGAUCGGCGUAUGACUUCUGACGAUCGGAAGCUGCUUUUAAACUAUCUCGAAUCAGCCUUACUUUUUCUUCUGUUUCCCGGAUCAAAUCAACCCCGUGUAUCUUCUUUUCACUGAGCUCUGUCCAAUAUAACGGUGUUCUACAUUUUCUACCAUACAAACCUUCAUACGGAGCCAUUUUAAUACUAGACGGAUAACUGUUAUUGUAAGCAAAUUCAAUCAAAGGUAGAUACCUUUCCCAAUUACCUUGCAACUCUAAUACGCAACAUCGGAGCAUACCUUCCAAUACCUGAAUUACACGCUCAGAUUGGCCAUCUGUCUGAGGAUGAAAUGCAGUACUGAAAUACAACUGAGUACCCAAAGCUUCUUGUAAUUUGUUCCAGAAACGAGACGUAAAUCGGGGAUCUCUGUCUGAUAUAAUGGAGACAGGCACUCCAUGUAGUCUAACAAUCUCAGAUAUAUACAAUCCAGCCAAUUUAUCUAAAGAAUAAUCCAUACAUGCUGGGAUAAAGUGCGCGGACUUUGUCAAUCGAUCGACAAUUACCCAAAUGGCAUCUUUCUUCUUUGGAGACAUCGGUAACCCAGAUACAAAAUCCAUAGUGACUCUUUCCCAUUUCCAUUCCGGUAUAGUGAUUGGUUGAAGCAACCCCGAAGGUACCUGAUGUUCAGCUUUAACCUGUUGACAUACCAAACAUCUUGAUACAAACUCAGAGAUAUCACGUUUCAUACCCGGCCACCAAUACAUCUUUUUCAAAUCAUUAUACAUUUUAUUACNNNNNNNNNNNNNNNNNNNNNNNNNNNNNNNNNNNNNNNNNNNNNNNNNNNNNNNNNNNNNNNNNNNNNNNNNNNNNNNNNNNNNNNNNNNNNNNNNNNNNNNNNNNNNNNNNNNNNNNNNNNNNNNNNNNNNNNNNNNNNNNNNNNNNNNNNNNNNNNNNNNNNNNNNNNNNNNNNNNNNNNNNNNNNNNNNNNNNNNNNNNNNNNNNNNNNNNNNNNNNNNNNNNNNNNNNNNNNNNNNNNNNNNNNNNNNNNNNNNNNNNNNNNNNNNNNNNNNNNNNNNNNNNNNNNNNNNNNNNNNNNNNNNNNNNNNNNNNNNNNNNNNNNNNNNNNNNNNNNNNNNNNNNNNNNNNNNNNNNNNNNNNNNNNNNNNNNNNNNNNNNNNNNNNNNNNNNNNNNNNNNNNNNNNNNNNNNNNNNNNNNNNNNNNNNNNNNNNNNNNNNNNNNNNNNNNNNNNNNNNNNNNNNNNNNNNNNNNNNNNNNNNNNNNNNNNNNNNNNNNNNNNNNNNNNNNNNNNNNNNNNNNNNNNNNNNNNNNNNNNNNNNNNNNNNNNNNNNNNNNNNNNNNNNNNNNNNNNNNNNNNNNNNNNNNNNNNNNNNNNNNNNNNNNNNNNNNNNNNNNNNNNNNNNNNNNNNNNNNNNNNNNNNNNNNNNNNNNNNNNNNNNNNNNNNNNNNNNNNNNNNNNNNNNNNNNNNNNNNNNNNNNNNNNNNNNNNNNNNNNNNNNNNNNNNNNNNNNNNNNNNNNNNNNNNNNNNNNNNNNNNNNNNNNNNNNNNNNNNNNNNNNNNNNNNNNNNNNNNNNNNNNNNNNNNNNNNNNNNNNNNNNNNNNNNNNNNNNNNNNNNNNNNNNNNNNNNNNNNNNNNNNNNNNNNNNNNNNNNNNNNNNNNNNNNNNNNNNNNNNNNNNNNNNNNNNNNNNNNNNNNNNNNNNNNNNNNNNNNNNNNNNNNNNNNNNNNNNNNNNNNNNNNNNNNNNNNNNNNNNNNNNNNNNNNNNNNNNNNNNNNNNNNNNNNNNNNNNNNNNNNNNNNNNNNNNNNNNNNNNNNNNNNNNNNNNNNNNNNNNNNNNNNNNNNNNNNNNNNNNNNNNNNNNNNNNNNNNNNNNNNNNNNNNNNNNNNNNNNNNNNNNNNNNNNNNNNNNNNNNNNNNNNNNNNNNNNNNNNNNNNNNNNNNNNNNNNNNNNNNNNNNNNNNNNNNNNNNNNNNNNNNNNNNNNNNNNNNNNNNNNNNNNNNNNNNNNNNNNNNNNNNNNNNNNNNNNNNNNNNNNNNNNNNNNNNNNNNNNNNNNNNNNNNNNNNNNNNNNNNNNNNNNNNNNNNNNNNNNNNNNNNNNNNNNNNNNNNNNNNNNNNNNNNNNNNNNNNNNNNNNNNNNNNNNNNNNNNNNNNNNNNNNNNNNNNNNNNNNNNNNNNNNNNNNNNNNNNNNNNNNNNNNNNNNNNNNNNNNNNNNNNNNNNNNNNNNNNNNNNNNNNNNNNNNNNNNNNNNNNNNNNNNNNNNNNNNNNNNNNNNNNNNNNNNNNNNNNNNNNNNNNNNNNNNNNNNNNNNNNNNNNNNNNNNNNNNNNNNNNNNNNNNNNNNNNNNNNNNNNNNNNNNNNNNNNNNNNNNNNNNNNNNNNNNNNNNNNNNNNNNNNNNNNNNNNNNNNNNNNNNNNNNNNNNNNNNNNNNNNNNNNNNNNNNNNNNNNNNNNNNNNNNNNNNNNNNNNNNNNNNNNNNNNNNNNNNNNNNNNNNNNNNNNNNNNNNNNNNNNNNNNNNNNNNNNNNNNNNNNNNNNNNNNNNNNNNNNNNNNNNNNNNNNNNNNNNNNNNNNNNNNNNNNNNNNNNNNNNNNNNNNNNNNNNNNNNNNNNNNNNNNNNNNNNNNNNNNNNNNNNNNNNNNNNNNNNNNNNNNNNNNNNNNNNNNNNNNNNNNNNNNNNNNNNNNNNNNNNNNNNNNNNNNNNNNNNNNNNNNNNNNNNNNNNNNNNNNNNNNNNNNNNNNNNNNNNNNNNNNNNNNNNNNNNNNNNNNNNNNNNNNNNNNNNNNNNNNNNNNNNNNNNNNNNNNNNNNNNNNNNNNNNNNNNNNNNNNNNNNNNNNNNNNNNNNNNNNNNNNNNNNNNNNNNNNNNNNNNNNNNNNNNNNNNNNNNNNNNNNNNNNNNNNNNNNNNNNNNNNNNNNNNNNNNNNNNNNNNNNNNNNNNNNNNNNNNNNNNNNNNNNNNNNNNNNNNNNNNNNNNNNNNNNNNNNNNNNNNNNNNNNNNNNNNNNNNNNNNNNNNNNNNNNNNNNNNNNNNNNNNNNNNNNNNNNNNNNNNNNNNNNNNNNNNNNNNNNNNNNNNNNNNNNNNNNNNNNNNNNNNNNNNNNNNNNNNNNNNNNNNNNNNNNNNNNNNNNNNNNNNNNNNNNNNNNNNNNNNNNNNNNNNNNNNNNNNNNNNNNNNNNNNNNNNNNNNNNNNNNNNNNNNNNNNNNNNNNNNNNNNNNNNNNNNNNNNNNNNNNNNNNNNNNNNNNNNNNNNNNNNNNNNNNNNNNNNNNNNNNNNNNNNNNNNNNNNNNNNNNNNNNNNNNNNNNNNNNNNNNNNNNNNNNNNNNNNNNNNNNNNNNNNNNNNNNNNNNNNNNNNNNNNNNNNNNNNNNNNNNNNNNNNNNNNNNNNNNNNNNNNNNNNNNNNNNNNNNNNNNNNNNNNNNNNNNNNNNNNNNNNNNNNNNNNNNNNNNNNNNNNNNNNNNNNNNNNNNNNNNNNNNNNNNNNNNNNNNNNNNNNNNNNNNNNNNNNNNNNNNNNNNNNNNNNNNNNNNNNNNNNNNNNNNNNNNNNNNNNNNNNNNNNNNNNNNNNNNNNNNNNNNNNNNNNNNNNNNNNNNNNNNNNNNNNNNNNNNNNNNNNNNNNNNNNNNNNNNNNGCCCCUUACUUCCUAAUCUUAUCAACAGGUGGUCUCUCCCUGAUAAAUAUACCUGCAGCUGGGGAACCUACAUGGGGAACCUGUGAAUCUUGAGGGGGUGGAGGUCUUACAGCCGGAUUCGUACGAACGAACUCGGCAAACCAAUCAUUCAUGGCUUGGAAGAAGGCUUCUCUAGCUCCUCCUCCCUGUCUAACUGAUGCAGGCCUUUCACUAACAUUAACAUCUAGUGGCGCCGUCCCUUCUACGGAAGCAAGCGCAUUACUUUCUACUUCAUCUGUACUAGCUCGUUCAGGAUCCAUAACUAUAAAAGAAAACAUUUUAAAAUCGUCAGGAGUCGUCACACUAUCAAAAUAUAUAAGUAUGGCAUGUAUAGGUAGACUCUUAUUCAUACUGCAUAUUUCCGAGAAUCGACUAAACCUGCUCUGAUACCAACAAAAUGUAACACCCCUUACCCGAGACCGUUUCCGGAGUCGAGCACGAGGCAUUACUUAGCUUAUCUUACCAAUUCGGAGCAUUAAAACUAGGUUUGAAAAUUUAUUUCACUAUUUACAGCAAAUCUGUCCAAUCGCGCAGCAGUUACUAAAUUAAUUAUAACUUGAGCUACAGAACUCGAAAUUUAAUUCCGUAAAUUUUCCCUGAAACUAGACUCAUAUAUCUACUCACCAUAAAAUUUUUAGAAUUUUUGGUUCAGCAAAUUAGUAAAUUUUAUUAGUUAAAGUCUCCCCUAUUUCACCAUUCGACUAUUCUUACCUCUUGUUACUAAAAAUAAGUUUUCUCACUGUAGGAUUUUCAUAUGAAGUUCUUACUUGUUUAUAAAGAAAAUAGACUCAUUAAGGAAUCUAAGCAUGUAAAUUUCAACUCAUAACCAUUUUUUUACAAUUUUUAAUUAUUUUCUAAACUCAGAAUAGGGGACUCCAAAAACAGUUCUGACCCUAUCUUACUAAAAUUCACAUAUCUUAAAAUAUAAAUUUUCUUUUGCUACACGUUAUUUUUCCAUGAAAAUAGACUCAACAAGAUUUAAUUCCAUAUAUCAUUCACCCUCUAAUUCAUUUUAUACUAUCUUGGGUGAUUUUUCAAAUUCACGUCACUGUGCUGCCUGAAUUCUGUUUCUUUGCAAAAUUUUAUCCUUUCAUGAUUUCCAUGCAUAAUUUAUCACCUAAUCUUUCAUAACAACAAACACCUUCAUCCUUAACCAUUUUAAUGACCAUACAUCAUCAAAUACUUACACAUCACUCAUUAGCAAAUCAUCAUUACAAACAUACAAAANNNNNNNNNNNNNNNNNNNNNNNNNNNNNNNNNNNNNNNNNNNNNNNNNNNNNNNNNNNNNNNNNNNNNNNNNNNNNNNNNNNNNNNNNNNNNNNNNNNNNNNNNNNNNNNNNNNNNNNNNNNNNNNNNNNNNNNNNNNNNNNNNNNNNNNNNNNNNNNNNNNNNNNNNNNNNNNNNNNNNNNNNNNNNNNNNNNNNNNNNNNNNNNNNNNNNNNNNNNNNNNNNNNNNNNNNNNNNNNNNNNNNNNNNNNNNNNNNNNNNNNNNNNNNNNNNNNNNNNNNNNNNNNNNNNNNNNNNNNNNNNNNNNNNNNNNNNNNNNNNNNNNNNNNNNNNNNNNNNNNNNNNNNNNNNNNNNNNNNNNNNNNNNNNNNNNNNNNNNNNNNNNNNNNNNNNNNNNNNNNNNNNNNNNNNNNNNNNNNNNNNNNNNNNNNNNNNNNNNNNNNNNNNNNNNNNNNNNNNNNNNNNNNNNNNNNNNNNNNNNNNNNNNNNNNNNNNNNNNNNNNNNNNNNNNNNNNNNNNNNNNNNNNNNNNNNNNNNNNNNNNNNNNNNNNNNNNNNNNNNNNNNNNNNNNNNNNNNNNNNNNNNNNNNNNNNNNNNNNNNNNNNNNNNNNNNNNNNNNNNNNNNNNNNNNNNNNNNNNNNNNNNNNNNNNNNNNNNNNNNNNNNNNNNNNNNNNNNNNNNNNNNNNNNNNNNNNNNNNNNNNNNNNNNNNNNNNNNNNNNNNNNNNNNNNNNNNNNNNNNNNNNNNNNNNNNNNNNNNNNUUCGUAUCCAGUACCAUCCUUAUGUAUCAACGGGACUUUAAAUUUUAAUUCUCUAUCAUUUCAUGCUUAGAUCAUCAUCAAAUAAAUUCAUAAAAUAAAUUCAUAGUUGCUGGAAAAUAACAGCAUUGAUAAUAAAUAUUGAAAUAUUGCAUUUAUUUAUCGUAAACUUACCUCGGUACCAAUUAUAGCCAAAUUCACCAACUUAGUCUUCAACUUUAUUCUUCCCUUUGUCUAACCUCGAGUUUCGUACUUCUUGAUCUAAAAUAGUAAAUUUAACUUAUUUAAUAAUCACAUUCAUCAAAACAGCCCUUGACUCUAACUUUUUCAAAAUUACAAUUUUGCCCCUAAACUUUUACAUAAUUACAUUUUUGCCCCAAGGCUCGGAAAUUAAACUUCAUCUCUUAUUCUUAUGUUUUAUAACAUUCUGAACAUUUUUCCCUUCUAUGGCAACAUCAAAUUCCCACUCUAACAUGUACUUAUGAACAUUAGGUAUUUUUACCGAUUAUGUCGUUUUACUCGUUUUCACUUAAAAUCGCUUAGCAAAAGUUGUUUAACAUAAUUUCUAGCUUCAUAUUCUAUCAUAAAACAUCAAAAUAAACACUUUUCACCUAUGAGUAUUUUUCCAAAUAUAAACCCUAGGUUAAAUUAUUGCUAGAAUAAGCCAAAUUAAGCUACCGGGACUCCAAAAACGUAAAAAACAUUAAAAACGGGACUUGGGAUCACUUACUAUGGAGCUUGGAAGCUUGAAAACCCUAACUAUGGCUUCCCCCCUUGCUGAUUUCGUCCUAAUGAAGAAGAUGAUGAUUUUUGCCAUCUUUUUCCCUUUUAAUUCAUUUUAAUUACUAGAUUACCAAAUUGCCCCUAACUUAAAAAUUUUCUAUUUCACUUAUCUCAUGUCCAUUUUUGUCUACCAAGUUACCAAUGGUAUAAUUACCAUAUAAGGACCUCCAAUUUAAAGUUUCAUAACAAUUGGACACCUCUAACAUGUAGAACUCAACUUUUGCACUUUUUACAAUUUAGUCCUUUUGACUAAAUUGAGUGCCCAAACGUCGAAAUUUUCGAACGAAAUUUUCAAAAAAUCAUUUUGUGAAAUUGUAGACCAUAAAAAUAUAAGAAAAAUAAAAUUUUUCUCAUCGGAUUUGUGGUCCCGAAACCACUGUUCCGAUAAACUCAAAUUUGGGCCAUUACAUCAACUUAUUCUUUUUUUCAAUUAAAUUAGUAUACUUAACCUCAUUGUCCCAAUUCUAUGACAGAUUUGGGUGCAAGAAGACUUCCAGGGGGAAGAGUCACUAUGACAAUGGAGAAAAGCUUAAAUGCAACUCGGGGGUGACAAUGGUUGUUGUGAUUAAAGAAAUCAUUAAUAACUAUAACUGUUUUUGCCUCGACUCGAGUUUCAGCUUUUUCUCCAUCGUCUUAGUCACUCCUCAUUGAAAGUCUUCUUACCCCCACCUUUGACACAGGUUUCAGACAAUAAGGUUAAAGAUACUACUUUGAUGGAUAAAAAAAUAAGUUAAUAAUAUUGGUGAGCUUCUUUUUUUUUUCCGAUGAUUAUGAGCUCAAACUUAUGUAUGGGGUCCGUGACCGUAUAACCACCGUCAACUGAGAGCCCUAGUUAUACUUCUACUUGUGACCAUAUAACCACCGUGAAUUGGGAGCCCGAGUUGUAAUGUGAUAUCUUCUAAGGUGAUGGUGAACUCUCUAUACAGCAAAUGAAAUGUGUGGGUCUUUGAGCGCCAUCACAUUACUGUGAACUCAAACAUACCUUAAAGCUAUCAUAAUCUUUCCCUAAAACACAAACACAAAUAAAUAUUUUUCCCCAAAUUUUUAACUAUUGAGUAUGCCUCAUAUUUCAGUCAAAUUUGAGAGAUAAUCUCUCAAUUAAACUCUAUUUAUUUGUUUCAUCGAACUCUGAUUAGUCUAGAUUAUUUUAUUAUUAUUUAACCUACGAAUUUAGCCUAUAAAUAUGCUCUUUUACAACCUAAAAAACACACCCAUUAAAUAUUAGAACUCACAACACUUCUAGAGAAAUUUGUGUUUAUGUUUUGAAGGUUCUUUGUUUUCGCGUUUCGGGGUUUAGUUUUUAUCUCCAUCUUUUGUAUUAUUUUUUGUUUUUCCAUUAUACUAAUAUUAUAUUUUCCUAUCAUUUUUUAUCCUCUUUGGAGGGGUUUGUCAACGUUAAAUUUGUGUGUUUAAUUUCUCAAUUUCUUCCGCUAUUUUUAUUUGUUUGUUGCUUAAUCGAGUCGAUAUCCAAUAAAUGGUAUCAAAGCUAGUUCAAUUUUCGUAGAUCAGCCUGUUCAAAUAUGGUAGUAACAAGUUUUGACAUUAAGAAGUUCGAUAGUGUCACAAAUUACAAUCUGUGGCAAGUUGAUAGCAAUUCUAGUUCAUACCGGCCUUAAAAAGGUCGUUAUUGGAAAAAAGCUUGAGAAUUUAAAUUAGACAGAAUGGGAAGAGCUUGAUGAAAAGACCCUAUCUAUAAUCCAAUUGUACCUCAUGAAUAGGGUAUUGCAAGAGGUAUUGAUGGAUAAAAUCUCAUCCACCUUAUGGAAAAGGUUAGAAACUAUUUAUGCAACUAAGUCUCUGACUAACCGUUUAGUGUUGAAACAAUGUUUAUUUACAUUCGUAUGAAUGAAGGUGAGAUUUUUAGAGAUCACAUUAGUCAAUUUAUUACUCUUUUGAAUAAUUUAAAGAAUGUUGAGGUUAAGAUUGACAAUAAAGAUCAAGCUAUGUUAUUAUUAUGCUAUUUACCCUCUUCAUACAAAUCUUUUAGGGAGACCCUAAUUUAUGGCAGAGACAAACUCUCGUUCGAAGAUAUGAAGGGUCAUUUGUUGAGUAAAGACAAACUCAACAAUGAGUUUAGUUCGAAUAACAAGGCAGAUAGGUAAGAUUCUGUUUUGGUAGCAUCAAAGAAGCGAGACAAAAGGUGUCGCUAUUGUAAGAAGUUAGGUUAUGUCAAAGUAGAUUGUUAUAAACUGUGAAAUAAAAGGGCUAUUGAGAGUAAUGAGGAAGAUGUAGUUGGUGUUAAUUUGGUCAAUAAAAGUGGUGAUGAUUUCUUGUUAGUGUCAACGAGUGAUAACUCCAAGCUUAAGUCCAAGUGGAUCCUAGAUUCGGGAUGUUCUUUCUACAUGUGUCCCAACAUAGAAUGGUUCUCCAUAUACAGUUCGGUUGAAGGUAGACUUAUGCACAUGGGAAACAAUUCAUCCAGUAAGGUAAUCAGUAUUGGUACUUUUAAAAUUAGGAUACACGAUGGGACGAUUAGGACACUCUCAAAUGUAAGGUAUAUACCUAAUUUACGAAAGAAUCUCAUCUUAUUGAGCAUUUUUUACUCAAAAGGUUGCAGAAUCAACAUUGAGUCGAGCGAUAUUAAGAUGUCUCCUAGGGCUCUCGUUUUGUUAAAAGGUAAAAGGACCGACAGCCUUUAUAUUCUGGAAGGUUCUAUAGUGGCCAGUAAAAUCAGACGUCCCUCAUCUGUUAUGGAGUCGAAGUCAACUCGUUUGGAGCGGAGACAACUUGAUCAUAGGAGGGAAAAAUGUUUGAUUGUUUUGUUGAAGAGAGGUUCUCUUUUGAAUGCAGGUUUGAAAAGUUAGGGCAUUGUGUUCAUAAAAAUCAGACCUGGGUUAAUUUUAAUUUGGUGGUGCACAAAAGUCUUCCAGCUUCCAAGCACAAAUUCAACUCAAUUAAUUCUCUGUAUAGUUCAAGAUAGGACUGUGGCGUGCUUUGGCAAAGAUUGCGUUGUGGAAAUAUGAGUCAAUGUGGAGAUUUGUUGAGUAUGUCUCAUAUUUCAGUCAAAUUUGAAAGAUAAUUUCUCAGUUAAACUCUAUUUAUUUGUUUCAGUCGAACUCUGAUCAGUCUAAAUUAUUUUAUUUUUAUUUGACCUACAAAUUUAGCCUGUAAAUACACUCUUUUACAACAUUAGAAAACACACCCAUUAAAUAUUAGAACUCACAAUACUUUUGGAGAAUUUUGUGUUUACGUUUUGAUGGUUCUUUGUUUUCGGGUUUCGGGGUUUAGUUUUCAUCUCUAUAUUUUGUAUUAUUCGUUUUUCUUGUCAUUAUAGUAAAAUUAUCUUUACCUGUGAUUUUUUAUCCUCUUUGGAGGCAUUUUUUCAUGUCAAAUUUGUGUGUUUAAUUUCUUAAUUUCUUUCGCUAUCUUUAUUUGUUCAUUGCUUAAUCGAAUCGAUCCCCAACACCAACACCCAACACAAAAAAAAAAUUGGAAGGAAGAAAACGCGACCUGCUGAAAGCGUUUUCUAUUUCUCUCUCCAAAAUCGACCUAUUCCCUUAAAUUUGAGAAAAAUUGCCUAAAUCCUUAAUUAAGUUUUAAAAACGGCAUUUUCUACUAAUUUCCCCUUCAAAAUGAUGUUUAUAAAUUUUUAAAAUUUUAUAAUAUUUAUUUUGAUGUCAUUAUUUUUUUAGCAUUAUCAUUUAUAAUAUUAUUAAAUGAAUAAGUUUUCUAUAAACAAUUCCCUCAAUCAUAAUAAUAUGAACCAAUUGACACAGACAAGAGAGUCUAUAACUUAGAAUUUUUUUUAACCAUAAAUUAAUAAACAACACCUUAAUAUUAUUAGCUCAUAAUCACCUAUAUAUGUAUAAAUUAAAAAUUAUGCAAACACAGGAGAACAAUUAACAUCCAUUGAACAGAAAAAAGGAUAAAAUAUGUGAACCAAAUUCAAGGAAGGACGAAAUGAAAGUAUGUGCUCAACGAGUGAACUGAAACGAAUUGAACAAUAAAAUUAUGAUGAGCCCAAAAAUUAUUUAGUUGUUGGAUGAAGAAGCCUUCUAUUUUGGUGGGAGGGCAUCUCUUCCAUUCAAACACUGAGUCCACUUAAGUGAAACUAUUGUUUGUUUUUUCUUUUUCUUUUUACUAUUAUAAUGAUGCGAAAACUAAAAGUUACUUUGUUGUUUCACAUCCAGCUUGAUUGAAUUGGAUACUCUAGAAUUAAUAAUAAUAAAUAGAUAUAAUAAUAAGAGUCGUUGGAAGGUUUAGGUAAAUGCAUUUUCAUGAGAUUGAUGGGGUGUAAGAUUUAUUAUAAAUUUUGAUUAUAUUUGUUUUUUAUAUAUAUAUUAUUUGGAAUUAUUCAUAUUUCUUCUCCAUCUCUUAAAUAAAAAGAUAAUAUAUUUCAACGUAUUCGAAUCUACAUCCUCUUAUGAAUUUGAAUGUUUACUUAUGAGAUUUUGUAAUAAUUAAGUUUCUGUAUAUGUGAUUAUGUGCUCUGUUUAUGUGUUUAAGGUUAGGAGUUCAAGUUGUGCCUUUAGGAGUUUUGCUAAUUCAAUUUUAAUUAAUCUAUGCUCUUGAGUCGUUGACUUAAAUUUAGUUCUGUGUAAAUUUGUGUCAAGAAUGAGUUUGUUGAUUCACUCACUGGCUAAGCAUUUAUGUACCCUACAAUCUUGUGUUCAAGUCUUUGCAAAAGUGAAGCGGAGAUUUAUUUUUGCUACUUUACAGAAUUAAUUUGGUUAUCUUAUUUUCUAAAGUUAAUUAUUUUUAUUUUUCCUUCCUUUCCCUUUUCUUUUUUUUAUCGUUCUCCCUCUUUCAUUCCUUCUUCUCUUUUCUUCUUUUCCUUUUUCCUUUCCUUUUCUUUUCUUUGGGUUGUUGUUAUAGUUUCGGUGUGUGUGAUCGGGUAAGUACGCAUUCCACUGUUGCCGAUUGAAAGGUUAAUUGGGUGAAUUUUUAUUUGUAGAACUUCUGUUAAACGGUUUUUUUUUCAUUUCUAUCGGAGUUGUUUUCAACUCAAAUUAUUUAAGCUUUCUUUUAAGAAAUCGUUUGGUUUCUUUUUAGAGAAGGAUAUCGAAAGCAACGAUCCUCAACGCACUAACUCGAGUAAUUACAAUUGAUUUUUUCGAUAAGUCUGGACUCGUUGAAGCUUUUGCGUCGAAAAUUUUGACAUAGUUUCGGCGCGUGAUUUUGUAUUGUUAUCAAUUAAGUUAUUUAAUUGAGUUAUUGAAUGGUCGUUUUUAGGCUUCGAGAGUCUUCUGCGUUGUUCCUCCUUUGAAACUACUUCAGAUACAUACCGAAAACCUGACUCUCUGCGAAAUUUAGACGCCGAAAACCGUGACUGUCAAUGCCACACGGCUGUGUGCUAGGUCGUGUGGUAGGCCGUAUGCGACACACAGUCGUGUGUUAGGCCGUGUGGCAGGUCGUUUGACUCACUAUUGUUAUUAGGACCACAUGGACCAGAGACACAGACGUGUGUCCAAGUCGUGUGACACAUUAUUGUUAUUAGAGACCACACGAGUCAGAGACAUGGGUGUGUGUCCAAGCCGUGUGACUCACUAUUUGCGAUCUAAGACCACACAGGCAGACAACAUGGGCGUGUGACAGGCCGUGUGGGGCGAUGCAGGCCAAUCAUUUAGGCCAUGUGAAACCACAUAGAUGUGUAGGUCAGAAUCCUUGUGGCCGUAAGCGUCGUCUGACGUGAAUGUACGCCAUCCAUAAUGUACAUAUGAUCUGAAUUAGACCGUAUCAUUUGCUAUCUAAUGAUCUGAGACCGAGUAAUUGACCAUCUAAACGUAUACUGAUUGUGAUGAUUGUUGAUGAUAAUAAUCUGUACUACCGAACUGUGAACUGUAAUUGAAUAACUAUGUGUAUGUUCUUGAUAUUUGACGUCCAUAAUCUACACUUGCAGUAGGUGGGAAUUGUAUGAAAGGGAAGUGAUCUAUUCUGGUUCAGUGGCUAAGCCACAAUUUCUAUGUGAAUAUGGCGUUUUAUCGCAAAUUGAUCUGACAGCUAGUCUGCAAUCACGUUGAAUGUGUUUAGUCCAAAAAUUAUUUAGUUGUUGGAUGAAGAAGCCUUUUAUUUUGGUGGGAGGACAUCUCUUCCAUUCAAACACUGAAUCCACUUAAGUGAAAUUAUUGUUUGUUUAUUUUGUUUUUCUUUUUACUAUUAUAAUGAUGCGAAAACCAAAAGUUACUUUAUUGUGUCACGUCUUGAUUGAAUUGGAUACUCUAGAAUUUAAUAAUAAUAAAUAGAUAUCAUAAUAAGAGUGGUUGGACGGUUUAGGUAGAUGCAAUUUCAUGAGAUUGAUGGAGGCGUAAGAUUUAUUCUAAAUUUUGAUUAUAUUUGUUUUUUUAUAUAUAUUAUUUGGAAUUAUUCAUAUUUCUUCUCUAAUUCUUAAAUAGAAAGAUAAUAUAUUUUAACGUAUUCGAAUCUACAUUCUCUUAUGUUGAUACUAAUUAAAUUAAAACUCAAUUGACUUUAUAAUUAUAUUUUUAAAUGUAAUAAGAUAAAAUUAAAAUAUUGUUGGUUUUAAUACUAGUAUAUUAUACUGAAAUCAAAAGUUAGCGCGUCACAUUCAGCUUGAUUGAAUUGGAUACUUUAGAAUUCAAUAAUGUUAAUAAAUAGAUAUAAAAAUAAGAGAGGUUGGAGGCUUUAGGAAAAGUCCAAAAGUAAAAAAUGCAUUUCCAUGAGGUAGAUGGGCUGCAGGGCUUUUCACGUCACCAGCAAUGCCCUUUUGUAACGAUUAUUAAAUUUAUAAUAAGACAGNNNNNNNNNNNNNNNNNNNNNNNNNNNNNNNNNNNNNNNNNNNNNNNNNNNNNNNNNNNNNNNNNNNNNNNNNNNNNNAUAAUUGGAUAGUUAAAUUUUGAAUUAAAUAAAUUGAGUUAUUCGAUUUGCUUGAAUCAAUUUUAAUAAGUAAUUCGAGUUUUGAGUUUAAGUCGAGUUGAAUUUGAUAAUUCAAAUAACUUGAAUAAUUCAAAUAACAGAUUGGUGUAAAUAUCUUUUUGGUCCCUGUCAAUUUUGAAAAUAAACAAAUUGAUCUCUCUCAACAAAAAAACUAAAAUAAUUUUUAAAAUUCAAAAUAUUUUUAAAAUUUUCAAAAUUUAUCUUUUUUUAAAUAUAUAUAUUUCUUAAAAAUUUCUAAAGAAUAUAUAAAAAAAGGUUAAAAUUUUAAAAAAUUUCUAAACCAAUCAUUUUGAGAUCUAAAUAAGUUAAAUUAAUGAUUCAAGUUUAUCAUAAUAAAUUAUCUUCUUUUUUAAAAUAAUAAUUUUCUAAAAAUAUUUUUCCAUAUUUAAAUAAGUUAUGUUAUUUUAAAAAAAUCUUAUGGUGAAAUUUAAACCCAUGUUAAUUGCAUCAGUAAAAACUUAAAUUUACUACUCAACCAAAACUUUAUUUUAAAUCUUUUAUAUAUUUUAAUUUUAUUAUGCACACUUUAUUAUUUGUAUCAAUUAUAUAUAUAGUUACUAUUAUUUAAGUCAUGACUGAGUUGGUGUCACAAGUCAACUCGGCACCAACUCAAUUAGGGAAAUUAGACUGAGCAUGUUACUCUACUUAAAAAAUAAUUGGUUUUCAAUUGUUUUUCCGCUGCAACUAAACCUAAUAGGGUUUUUCAAAAGUAAUGACAAACAAUGUGUUUUUCUUAAAAUCACACCAAUUAUUAACUUGACUUAAUAAAAGUUCAACUAUUUAAUAAAUGAUUUCCAAAAUAACAGAGGCAAUCGCAGUUUUAUUUAAAAGAAAGUGCAUUUGAGUUUUUCAACCAAUGAUAAGGUGGAUUCGUAGUUUAGGUGUCCUAUGUGACCUUUACUAUUCGGCUAUAACAUCUAGGCCGGGUUUAGGAGGUUACAAUUACAAAUCAGGUUAGUGAUGGAUGGGCUGGUAGUGACUGGGUCAGUUCACACAGCUGAUUAGAGAGACAUAUGCGAGCAACUUUUGGGCAGGUUCCGAAAACCAUUUUUGGAGCUCCGAUAGAUACCAAUUGGCUAAGAAGAAAUUUCGGUGGGCUCGAUAAGGAUUCAACUGAAAUCCAAAGAGAACAACAUGCUUGGGCAUAUAUUUUUAUGAUUAUUGGGGGUCUUCUAAUGCCCAGUAAGUCAGAAAAUCUCGUCUAUUUAAAGUGACUUCUAAAACUCGUCAACUUUAGAUAAGCAAGUGAACUUAUAUGGGUCUCAUCCGUGUUGGCGACAUUGUACCGGAGAUGUGUCGGGCGAUCGAACCACAUGAAAUCGAAAUUAGUGGUUGCAUGAUUCUACUACAAUCAUGGGCACAAUACUAGCUUCCAUUUUUAUGUACUCGAGUGGACUACCAUUAUACAUUCCCACUAGCAACAAAGUAAAAUUCAUUAGUUAAUAUAUUUACCAUAAAAAAUUAUUUAAAUUUUAAAUUUUUGUGUUAACAUAAUAUUUCAAUAUGUGGAAUCAUAGAACGAGUUACGUAGGACUACCUGAUGAGCUUUGAGCUAUACAGCUUCUGUUAGACUAACAAUUAGAAGCGGAGGUAUGUGUUUUUUCUAUUAUUUUGAAUUAUAUAAUAUUAACAUAGUUCGCUUAAAAAUUAGUAGUAUAUAGAUAACUCAAAUUUUUAUUAUUUUAAUAUAGUUUGAAUGGAUGCCUUACUCAGAUUCGAAAAUUCAAGAAUGUAUCCCGUCGAAACUCUUGGUCAAUCUCAACAUAUAACAUGUGAAGGUGCCACUAGUAGUGUACGCUACCAUAGAGAUGCACGAGUUGAAUAGAGUGUUGUGGCAAUUCGAGUUUAGGCAAUCAAUUCUAGUGGCACCCCAAGACCUCAAUGAUCUGCAUCUUGUCGACUUGCAGGGAGGACGAAUGAGAAUUGGACUACAUUCCAUGCCCAAUAUGUCAAUAUAUGAAAUAGUAGGUACAAGUUUUUACCUAUUCACGAGCCCAUUGCCACUCUUGAGUUAGCCUACUAUCUGGAGUACAUGCCAUGGUUUAGAGUCCAUGGAAAGACAUAUUUGUUAGGUGAAGAGGUGAAGGGUAUGCCACCACAUGCAAGGAGUCCACGAUGGGCGCCUAGGAAUCCAAGACGAAGAGACCACAAUGGAGCAAAUGAGGUAGGUCCAUCAUCUACACCGAUGCAAGAAUCGACACUGAUGGUUCCACCACCCCCUUGUUUAGUAUAACUUGACUUAUUCUGGUGCUUAUACUAACCCUUGUUUUUUUACACAAGCACCACACAUUGCACCACAUUUUUCUGUUUCUACUUUGAUGCCAGGUUAUGCUUAUAGACCUCGGUCCCCAACAUAUUACAUGUCGAUGCCAUCAACCCUUUUAAUGACCAUGAUACCGAUGACAACGUAUAGGUUGUCUAUGUUUGGUGCACCGACCAGGAUUCCAAUCGCACUGCCACUGGUGUACGAGACACAAUAUAGUUAUACACUUAAUUCGGUGGUGUCACAAACACCUCCGGGGUCACUGUUCUACCAAAGUGGACUAUCUUCGCAACCAACUAUUCCUAGACUGGAGGAUACAUGAUAGAAACCAAAGAGCAACCGAUCACAAUCAACUAUGGAUAAAGGCAAAGAAUAUGAGAGGCAAAAACCAUAACCUGUAUCGAAGGUUGAACCAUGAAGGAAUCCGGCUCACAACCCUUGACCACCGUGAUGUGGCACACAUUUUGGUUGAGGAUUAGAUUGAUUUAUUUUAUUUUUGUACUUGUCAUGUGAAUUUUUUAAAUAAAUACACAAUUUUUUAUUGUAUGGAUGUUGUACAUUCUUUUGGUUUUAAAUAAAUAUCGUUUUUGCAUCAAAAUUGGUUGUCGUUGACAUUUCAUAUUAUUAAAUCAAGUAUGUACGAGAAUAAUAGAACAAAGUUGUAUUAAAAACACGUGUUUACAAAUUACAAAAAAAAAAUGUGUAGGAAUGAAAGAUCAUUUAAAAUAUUGCAAUUAAAAAAUAAAUAGGUUAAAAAAUUAAUAAAUAUGUUAAUGAGGUGUUGUCCUUAUAUCAUCCCAUCGAUGUGAACAUGACGGCAUUGUAUGCCCCAGGUUCCUACACCACCCGCAUAACCUCGGUUGGUUUGACUUCUCCCAAAAGUCUGUGUUGUCGCAUAUCCGAGUCGACGUCAGACGACCUUUUAGUUUGUGAUGCAAUGAUCUAUUGGAUAACAACUUGAAUAGAGUGGUUGAUACAGACAGCCACACACGUUCAUCUGGGAUCAAUGCGAAUAUGUUUCUCCAUACGGUAUACAUGUGUUCUAGUUUCUACACUUCGUCCAGAAAGCUCAUGUAAUCAAAAUAUUGAUUGCUACAUGCUGCAAUUGCAUGAGCGCAUAGAAAACAAAGUAUGUCAAAUCUCUCAUAGUCGUAAGUUCAUUUUCUCAAGUCUACUCAGUAUACUCCUUUGGCAAUACCUUGUUUCAGUCUAUCGAAUUCCAUAACUUGGAACCAUAAGUCUUCACAUGAGUGACACACUAGAUCCAUACAGUUCGCUCAUGUCGUAACCUUCCUAAUUUCUUUUAGUACAUCCUCGCUCCAAACGUGGUCGCCUUGCAUCUAUCCAACAUAUUUACCCGUUUGCUUUGGAAAAAUUUUAGCCAAAUAGAAAUAUAUUUCUUUGACAACAGAGGUUAUCGACAAAUGAUGCAUUCCCUUCAAUACGAAGUUGAUGCAUUCCACCAAGUUUGUCAUCAUGUGCCCAUAUCAUAGACCCUGCCAUACGAUUUUUUCCACUGAUCAAAGGGUAUGCUAGAUAGGUAGCUCGCAUCUGUAUCGUUAACGGCCCGUAAUUUUUCCAAUAUUUCACGGAAACGGUGUGAAUGAGCUCAUACCCUGUCGAGGAAAGUAAAUAGGUUAUCUAUUAAUCACAACAUCUGCUGACCGGUUAAAUAUCAAACUGUUGAUAUAGUGGAGAAUACAUACCCAUGUUGAUCACUUGCGCGCACUGAGUUACAGAAUUAUACAAUCCAUCGUAGUUCGCUGUAACAUGUCUUAGACAAUACCUAUGGUGUAUGCAGUCCCAAAAGCUUCCCUGUCAUUCAAUUGUGGCCAGUAUUCUAGGUCCCCUGUCAGAGAUCACAUAUAUCAAGUUGUGAGAAAACAUUUCUCCUAAAACUGGAUAGGAAGAAAUCUCAAAUAUCUUCUAACUCUCCCAGUGUUAUUGUAAAAGUAAUCAGUAGGAUUUUCAAAUUGUCAUCUUGUGUCACAACUAACAACAACUGAUGGGUGUAUCUCCCGUACAUAAAGGUACCGUAAAUUUAUACCAGUGGUUUGAGUAUUGGAAUGCCUGUCUCCAUUGGUUGAAAGUCUAGAACAAGCGAUGAAAAACUCGACAUCCAUGAAGCAACCAAUUGUUGUAGUAUGCAAACCCUAUUUUCAAAUCAGUUACGCAACAUGGAACGUACCUCUCCAGCCCGUCACACGACUGCCAGGAAUUGUUGUACGACAUGUCCCACCCAUUAUGCAUCUUCUCCAAAGUCUUCUGCCUUGUAAUCCAUACCUUGCGGUACGACGACGUGUAGUCAAACUGGCUAUAGACAUUUUAAUUAAAAUGGGCACAACCUUGGGACUUGCUUUGACCAUAUGUAGGAUUAUGUCCGCGAUCAUAUCUGAAUCCAAUUUCGGAUGAUCCUGUGAAAUACCUACAAUAACACAAAUAUAUUAAAAUAAGUGAUUCUUCGAUCGUUGUAAUAGAAAAUAGUCUUGAUGCAGUACCCAUAACAACACACGUAUGCAGAGUAAUAUAUUACACACUUCACCUCAAACUUGUUAGAUCGAGACUUAACAACAUGAAAGCUUACCCCAUUCUUGAUGAUGUAUUACUUCACUAUAGCGAUAAAACCAUCUCUAGAGGAAAACUCUUUCCCCACUUCUAAAUCACCUGAAUCAAACGAAGAACUCGCAUGGCUCAAUCUUCUGUAAUAUUUCUACAAACUCCAGUGCAUCUUCUCCUGAUAGAUCCACAUUAUGCAUGUAGGUUGCAAGUAAGUACGCCCUGAAUCGUGGAUCUUCUUCAGCAUCUACACCCAAACCUUUACUGUUUGAACCUCCAUCUUUUGGUUCAGUUGGAACCGACUCCAGAAUAAAAAAUAAUACAAUUUCUAAUCCAUCAGCACCGGACUCUCAGAUUAGAUCGACAUCAGAGUUAGUGCCCUCUUCAUUUUCAACCCCACCAACAUCUCCAAGGUUGGAUGUCCCCUUGAUAUGGACAUCGUAGGGUGUACAUCAUCCCUUCUUAUGUAUUUGUCGAAACAACCAAAACUAGUCAUUGAUAGCCAACCACUGGAACUUGAUGUAAUUCCCCUGUAAGUGUUCCCAGCGUUGAACAUCGGUUGACUGAAGUUCAAAUCAAAACCACCAAAUGAGUGUCAUGUAGAGGUCCAAUAUUCUGUGUUACAAAAAACCCCAACUAUUUGGUGUUCCCACUGCCGUAGUUGACAUUUAGAGCCGUAACAAAUGAGUGUUUUCCCAUUGAUGAUUCUGGGAUAUCAUAAUGGGAACCUUCUAACAAAGCGAUGAACCCACCACAAAAUUGUGUCAUUGGAAUCUUAGUUUGUUCUUCUGUUUUGCCCUCUCAAACAGGAACAUAUGUCGACCUCCGAGGGCCACCAUCUAUCCUUGCAAACUCUGCAUAUAACUUGAGAAAGGAUGAUUCAUUGUCAAUAUGUGUUUGCACUAUCGCCUCCAACCCCCUCGCACCUCUGAUAUCGAAAGCGUCAUAUCUAACGGAGUCAACCAAAGCACCAAAUUGAUAUUUAAGGAAUGAUACUCUCAUUUGGUUGGAUCCAAUGAUUUUCUGCCUAAUUCUUACUUGAAGUUCUGGCAGUUGUAUGUUUUGGUUAAAAGCUAAUCGCAUUGUAUUCUCUAAUUAAAAAAAAGACCCCACUCUCGUUGUCACGCACUUCACUGUCGUAAUAAACAAUAGCAUUAAUUAAAUUAUGCAAAACAAUAGUGUUGUAAUUAAAUGUGAACAAUAAAAAACGAUCCUUACUUUAUGCAAAUUGUGUGGCAGCUCCAAAUUACCCCUAAUCUGUGAACUUCUCUUCUUCUAAUCUUCUUUCAAUUUUCUUUACUUGUAAAUGCCAUAUGGCACUUAACCCUGAAAUAGCUUGCUUCUAUAGACCGGAGGGUAAGUGCCAAUUGAUUCAUAAAAUUUUCCCAGGGUAGUGGGAGUUAAAAUUCUUAGGCAGAAAGCGCUCCAUGUAGGAUGCCUUUUUAGUGCAUAUCAAAGAAAAACACUGAAAGCUCCUCCAGCAGGACACGUUUUCCUGCCACAUCAGCUAAAAAUGCGUCUAGCUGGAGGCACUUUCAGUGCUUUUCUCUAACAUGCACUGAAAAAGUGUCCUAUAUGGAGCGCUUUCUCUCUAAGAAUUUCAACUCAAACUUUUAGCCUCAACCAUUAUAUAUCCCAUGAUUCUCAAGAUAUAUUUUUUGAACCUAUAUCAGUGUUUGAAAAUAAUGCACUAGAAUAUUUAAUCAAACCGAGUAGUUCAAGUUUCGAUUAUGAUGUGAAUUGAAUUUUGCAAUUCAAAUAACUAGAAUAUACGAUUGUUGUAAAUAUGAUGCCUCUAAAAAUCUAGUUAAAAAAUUAUUAACUUUACAUCUCAAAAAAUUAUAAAAAAUUAUAUAUAAAAAUUAAAACUAUAAAUAUAUAUAAAAAUAAAUCUUAAACACUAAAAUCCAAAAAAAAACCCUAAAGCAUAACCCUAAUUUAAAAAACAGAACCCUAACCCUAAAUAAAAUGUUGCACAUGGAAAACGCUUUCACCUAAUGGCAUUUUCAGGUGAAAUGCAGAAAAAUGCUUCCAAGUGGAAGCAUUUUCCUACACAGACGCUGAAAACCUUUCACGUGAAUGUGCUUUUCUGCAUUUGACUUGAAAACACUGCCAAGUGGAAGCAUUUUCGUAAAAUCGGCUUAUUCCCAUAAAUUUUCAAGAAAAUAGCCUAAAAAUGUAAAAAUGUAAUUUUUUUCUAACAUUUUUAGGAUAUUUCAUCAUUUCUAACCCUAUACAUUUUAUAAAUAUUUAUUAACAGUUUUUUAAAAAAAAUGUUUAAAAUUCUUUUAAAGUUGUGCAUCACACAAAUAUAAUAACUAAUUAUUAUUUAAACCUAAAUGAUUACAACUAUUAUUUACAAAUUUUAAAAUAGGAGGUUUUAUUAAUUUUAACUUACAAUCCCACACAAAAAAAUAACUUUUUUUAACAAAACUUUCCAUUUUCAAUCAAAUAUUAAAUGUAUGUUUUUUUUCUCAAGUUGUUUCUUUUGAUGUAACUUUUCUUUUAACUUAACUCUAGAUUUUUAUUGUUGUCAUAUUUUUUUAUCUGUUAAGAUCGAAAAUGUGUAUUUCCCUUUUGUGUUUAUUCGUUCUAUUUUUAAAAGGAUAAAUAUACAUUUUGGUAAGUAAAUUUGGUCUCAAGGUUCAAAUUAGUAUUUAAGGUUUUUUUUUUGUCCAAUUAGAUACCUAAAGUUAGUUUUAAGGUUCAAUUUGGUACCUCAAAUUUUUUUGGCCCACUUAAAUACCUAGACUUAGCUUUUUGGUUCAAAAUGAUACCUAAAUUUGAUUGCAUAGUUCAAAUUUGUUCACUCAAUAUUUAUCUUUCGUUUGAGAUUUUGUGUCGAACUUCUUCAAUGUGACUUCAGUUUGGAUGCUAAUUAAAGCGAUUUGAUUCGGUUUAAUCAUCUGAUUUGGUCAAUGUAAUGUCAUUUUUAGGUCCCGGAAUCAUCUUUGUUACUUCUACGUCAAAAUCGCAUCAGGUGCACAAGGAAAACCUGAAUUUCUGUGAACGUCGAAAGUUGGAAUCCGUGGUUGUCGACACCACACGGCUGUGUGUCAGGCUGUGUGCUAGGUCUUGUGGUAGGUCUUCUAACUCACUGUUUAGAAUUAGAGUCACACGAGCCAGAGACACAGACGUUUGUCCUGGUCGUGUAACUCACCAUUUUGGAAUUAGAGUCACACGGGAUAGAGACACGGGCAUGUGCUAGGCCGUGUUGACCACAUGGGGUAGCCACCCAGACCGUGUGAAUCCAUACGAGUGUGUGGACCAAAAAUCAGGAUUUGUUUCCUAGGGUUGUAAUCGUUGUUCGAGUCAAACGUGGGCUUACUGUAUGACCUAUAUGAUCUAAAACAAGCUAUAAAACUUGAUAAUCGAUGAUUGAUUGACGUAUAAUCCAUUAUCUGUACGUAUGUCUGAUAUGAUAUUAGCUAAAUAAGUAUGAUUUAUUAGCGUAUAAGUUGUUUUUGUUUGGGCGUGUUUAAGGUAUGUGAUUUAUUCAUGUAUGAUUCGUGCUUUGUUAGUUUUGAUGAUUCAUUUUUAUGUUACUGAGUUAGAUGAGAACAUGUGAUAUCUGAAUAUAUUGUUGUGUCUAGUACUAAUUCUGAUAUGUAACCAUGCAUGUGACUUCAUGGAAAAUAUGAUAUGAUUCAUUAAUAUUUGAUCAAUCUGUCCUGCAAAGCGUGGAAUCCCAUGCCUCAUGUUUCUGUUAUUGUACGACAACAUGUCCUACAUGCUGAUCAUUCUGAUUCUGAAUAUGCAUGCUGUAACAUAUUACAUGGGUUUCAAGAUGAUGUGAACGGAGGAAGUUUUUUGGCAGUGUAAUGAUCUGCAUUAUCCGGUGGGUUAUCCACAAUUCUAUCUGGCAGCAUGUCUGCAAUUAUAGUGGCUUGACCACAUAUAUCUGAUCUGGUAGUUUUAACUGCAAUUCUGGUGGCACUGUCCACAAUUAUUUGUUGGUGUGAUUUGGUUGGAUGAGUUAUGGGAACUCUAUUUUGGUGUGUAGUGGAGUUAGGUAGGAUGUUUUCUGAUAAUUUGCAUCCUGGUUUUCUGAAAAACACCGCAUUGGCAUAAUCAUAUAUCUUCUAUUCUGUUAUAAAAUUGUUAUGAAAAUCUCUGUGAUACUCUGAUUUGUUCCACUCCGAUUAUAUGAUUGAUACGAAAUUCUCUGCUUUGUCUGACUUGUAUAUUGUGUUUUGUUAAUCUCCGUUUGAGUUUAGUUAUAUACUGAGCUUCAUAGCUCACCCUUUUGUUUUAUCUUUGUCUGUUUAGGUAAACUUCUAACUUAGGAUCGGAUGACGUGUGAGAGCUCGGAUAUUUUCAUCCUUAAUGUAAAUAUGGUUAUUUCUGUUAUUAUUUGUUUUGAACUUUUGGGUCUGUAAUCUGUAACAUCUUUUGAACUCAUUUUGGGUUUUUGUUAAUUUGUCAGUAACUAAUAUUUUCAAGCGUGAAACUGCAAAAUUACUCAAGUCGACAAAAUGAAUUUUGGUUUUCAAAAAUAAAACUCCGAAAAGAUUUUUCGCUGCAAAUUAAGUAAUUUCCAAAGUGUUUUCUGUAAAUGAACAGAUAGUUUUUCAAUGGUUGUUUUCCAUUUUCGUAUUUGCUAAAUACUUAUUGGGAAUACUUUUCCAAACGAGUCAAUGUAAUCUCUUCAGAUUCGGCCACAACUUCUAGGCCAGGUUUGGGCUGUUACAUUUAGUGGUAUCAGAGUCAGAUUGCAAAACUCGAGCUAUGACUUUUGGGUUCAAAAAUUUCCCUGAAAAAUGUUUCAAGUACAAUGAACUUCUGGUUGACUUUGAUAUUUUGGUUUAUGAAAAGUGUGUUCAGAUUUUGAUUAUUUUCAAGUCUGUAAAAAAAGAAUCCGAGACUCCGACGUCGAUCAUGUAAGUACCUUUACUUUAGUUAUAUUAGAUAAGCUACCAAAACUUUAGUGCUAGGAUUACUCUAUCCUAGCUAAAUACUGGAAAUUCUGUGAAAACCACUCCUAAAGCUUUAGGCCUAGGAUUUUAAUAAACCUAAGCUAACUCAUAAAAAAUUCUGAAAAUGUAGAUUAGUAUAAUGAGUACUCAUGGUCAUGAUGUACAAGGGCAUGCUAGACAGAGUCGAGUGACUCGAGCCUAAUUCUCUUCUCGGUGCAAUGCAAAACACAAAUACAAUAACUAAUUAUUAUUUAAACCUAAAUGAUUACAACUAUUAUUUACAAAUUUUAAAAUAGGAGUUUUUAUUAAUUUUAAUUUACAAUCCCACAUAAUAAAAAAAUUGCUUAAAAAAACAACUUGCUUUUUUUUUUAUAACAAAACUUUCCAUUUUCAAUCAAAUACUAAAUGUGUGUGUUUUUCUCAAGUUGUUUCCUUUUAUGUAAGUUUUCUCUUUAACUUAACUUUAGAUUUUUAUUGCUGUCAUAUUUUUUUUUUAUCUUUUAGGGUCGAAAAUGAGGAUUUUCCUUUUGUGUUUAUCCAUUCUAUUUUAAAAGGAUAAAUAUACAUUUUGGUAUUUGGUCUCAAGGUUCAAAUUAGUAUUUAAGAUUUUUUUUUGUCCAAUUAGGUACCUAAAGUUAGUUUUAAGGUUCAAUUUGGUACCUCAAUUUUUUUUUGGUCCACUUAAAUACAUAAACUUAGCUUUUUGGUUCAAAAUGAUACCUGAACUUGGUUUCGUGGUUCAAAUUUGUUCAAAUAACUAAGUACUAAUUGGACGAAAAAACUAAGUUCAUGUACCAAUUUGAACCAAGAAGUCAAGCUUAGGUACCUAAUUUGACCGAAAUAAAUUUUAGGUACCAAAUUGAACUUUAAAGUCAAGUUCAAGUAUCUAAUUGGAAAAAAAAAACCUUAAAACUAAGUUCAAGUACCAAUAUGUUAAUUUACCCAUUUUAAAAUUAUAUUAUAUUAUUUACAUGUACAGAUAGAUAUUUGUAGAUAAAUAGAAUGAUGCAACGUAAAGUUCAAUAUUAAUGUUCCUCUUAAUAUCAAACACUGCAUUUAAAAUUGCAAAUAUAAUUGUGAAUUAAGCAUUGAUUUAAUGAAAAGUUAAUGUCUUAAUUCUUUAUCUCAGUUAAAAUCUCAUAGUACAUAAAUAUUAUGCGUUGAUUUUUAGUCUGUAUUUUGUUUUGUUUUAAAUUUUAUUAUGUGAGAAUUUUCUUUAGAUAUAUUCCGGUUUUCUAUCUAUUCAAUUUUUACAUCAUGAUAAUUAUAGUAAUUUAUUUUGAUUUUGGUUAUUAGAAUUUAUUGAUUAUGAUUUUAAUUUAACUUUAAAAUAUAUAUAAUUUAAUCAUAUAUGUACUAAUUAAAUUAUAGUAUAUUCACGAAGUGAAUAAAUAAAAUAUGUAUCAAAUUUAUAAAAAUAGAUAUUAAAAUCAAAUGAGGUUUUGAUUGAAAUAAUAAAGUUAAAGACAUUGAAAAUUAUGAUGCUUUAGGUUUGAAUUUUACAAUGUAUAUGUUUUUUUUUUAAUUUUAUAUAAAAAUAUACAAAAAAAACAUCCUUAAAAUAAUAUUUAUUACAUUAUAAAAAUAAUAAAUUUUGAUAAUUUCACAAUUAAAUUAAGAGCAGAUAAUGUCAACUCAAUCAACAAAUAUAAUAUAGAUACAUAUCUUUAUAUCUUUAAUAAUUUCACAUCUAACUUGAUUUGAAUUAUCGAGAAAAAAAAAACCAACAUUUAACUUGACGUUACCGAAAAAUUAAGAUUUGUUUAACUAGAUUGAACAAAUUAUUUAAACAUCAACAUUGAAUAACUCUAAUUUCAAUAUAUAUAUAUAUAUAUAUAUUAAUUUUUCGAAUCAAAUAUACUAAAUAACUCUAGGCCCAACAUGUAAUGGACACUUCUACCCGAGUCUCGAUCUUUCAAUCCAAAAAGAAAAAAAAAAAAGAAAGAGGCGUAACGCUAAUGCUAACUUAUCUGGUCUUUAUCUUCAUAAUAAAUGUAGAUAAUCGGACAAUUUACCAAUAAAAGCCCAUUUUUGUAAAAAAUUAUUGAAAUGGGCCCUCUAUUUAAUUAUUUAUCGGAAUGGACCAUUUUCCGCGAAAUCGCGUCCAUGUCAACGCGAUGUCAGGGAACCCGUUAGGAAAUCACAUACACGUAAUCGCGAGAUGCUUACGUGGACGCGAUUUCCUGACGCGUACCCUGACAUCGCGCUGACGUGGACGCGAUUUCGCCAUUUUUCCCACGUUAGUUUUUUUGGCUUUUAGGGUUUAGGGUUCAGGCUUUUUAGGGUUUUUAGGUCCUGGAAGAAAUAAUUUCGAGUUGAUGUUUCUGAGCAAAUAGUAUAAAAUCGCUUUUAGCAGGAUGCUAUUUGAGAAGAAUUUGUGAAAUCGCGGCCUUGUGGACGCGCUUUUGCUACAGUAGGUCAUGUAAGAAAUAUUUUUUUUUGACUUUUCUGACCAAAUAGUAUAAAAUUGCUUCUAGCAGGAUGCUAUUUGAAAAGAAUUUGUGAAAUCGCGGCCUCGUGGGCGGGCUUUUGCUACAGUAGCAUGUUUGGGCUGAGGCUAUAAAUUAGGCAUAUAAUGUUCUCAGAAUGCAUAAGUCACAGCAGAAACAAUUUAGAGAGGCUAAGAAAGUUAGAGUUUCAAAUAUGAGUGAACGUAUUAGUGCUGUUAUUUAUUAUGAUGGUAAGGUUUGCCACACCGAGAAUGGUGUUAUUUUUUUGUCGGAGAAUACGGUGCGACUAGUUUUUAACCAGAACAUAGAUUUGACAGAACUUUGUAAAAGAAUUAGGCGUAAAAUUUUUGGAACGACGCCAAUGAAAGUUCUGUCCAUGACGUAUCGAUUUUGUUCUUCUGUUGAUCCGGUGACAUAUGACUCGUUCGACAUAAAAGGUGCUCGUAGCUUGGAGGCAAUGGUGCAGACUCAUCUUGCUAGUGGAGCACCUUAUAUUGAGUUAUAUGUGCAAUUUACAUCGCCAACUGAUGUACUUGCGAUCGGUGUUCGAGAUAUAUACACGACCCCUGGCCGACACUCAGUUAGCGGGUUACAAAAUUCGGAACAGCCCAUGUUCGGUAGCGGUGUCGAAUGCACAUCCCCUGCGAGACACUCUAUCGGUGGAUGGGACAUGUACGUCGGUGACUCGACGUUUGAUGCUGGAAAUACGUACUGGGGAACGACAUCAAGUUCUAGUGGGUGGCAAUCUACAUCCAAUUGGGGACAUUAUGAAAUGCCCAGAAGAAGGGAUGACGUACUCGCUACGACGUCAACCGGUGAGGGGACCUCGUACACUGCAGAUGAUUGUGGGUUAAAAGAUGACUCCGAUGUGGAUCCACCUCGAGAGCCCGGGCCGGAUGGUGCAGAAGUUGGCUUAUUUUCUGAACCGGAGCCUAUUCCAACAGAAGCUGAAGAUGCUGAAAAGAGUUCAAAUGAGGAAGAAAAUCUACCACACCGGUCGUGUCUGCAGAUGAUGUGUUAGAGUUUCCAGAUCUACCACACCGGUCGUGUGAUCAUACAAGUUCAGGGGUAGAUUUUAGAUAACUUGAAGUUGGUAAUCAGUUUACCAACAAGGAUAGUUUUAUUGGUGCUUUGAAACAACAUAGCAUCAAAAACGGCGUUAACUACCACGUCGUUAAAUCAAAAUUUGAUAAGUUUGAGGCGAAGUGUACGGUGCAAGACGGCACAUGUUCAUGGAAAAUCUACGCCUCGUUAAGGAAAAGGACAGGGUUGUGGGAGAUAAAAAAGUACAAAGGUCCAUAUACAUGUGCUGUAGGUACAGUAUUGACGGUAUCUGAAUAAUACUUUUAUUAUGCAAUGUUACAUUAUUUAAUGUACUCCCUUUAUAGCUGUUUCACAAGAUCAUCCCAAAAUGGACUCAGCUAUGUUAGCUAGCUUGAUACUGCCCACAAUAAAAGUAGAUCCUAGGACUUUAGUGUCAGUGUUAAUUGCCAAUAUCCAUAGCCAAAUGGGGUACACGCCCUCUUACCGCAAGGCUUGGAUAACUAAGCAAAAGGCGUUGGAGAAGAUGCAUAGUGGGUGGGACGCCUCAUAUAAUGAAAUAUGGCAGUGGUGUCAGGUGCUAGAGAGAUACGUCCCAGGUGCCAUCACAGACCUUGAAACGGAACAUGCGUACUACAACAGCCGAUUGCUACGUGGAUGCCAAGUGUUCAAACGUCUGUCUUGGACCUUUAAGCAAUGUCGAGAUGCAUUUCCAUACUGCAAGCCAUUGGUACAAAUUGACGGUACCUUCAUGUUCGGUAGGUAAACUCAUCGGCUAUUGCUUGCAGUGGCAUAGGAUGGCAGUGGGAGAAUUCUUCCAAUUGCAUUUGCAAUAACACCGGGGGAGUCGUCUGAUGACUGGGAUUUCUUUCUCUCUAGGUUAAGGAGGCAUGUCUGCCCCUAACCUGAUAUAUGUGUUAUUUCAGAUCGGGGCACCAGUAUUCUAGCUGUAUUUGAACGAGAGGGAAGCUUAUGGCAACGCACACACCAUAGAUAUUUCCUAAGACACGUUGCUUCGAACUACUACAGGGUAUUUAGUCUAUAUCUAUGUUAUUUCGUUUGUCAAUUUGAAUUAGUUUUAUUAGUAGAAGUGGUAUAAAUUAUUCGCUAUGAUCUUAUAUUGGCAGGGUAUGAAAUAAAUAAAGAUCAUUUUCACGAGAUGUUGUCAAUUUUACGUUCAAUUAACGCAGAAGGGGCGGACUACCUUUGUAACAUACGUUUCGAACAGUGGUCACAAUCAUACGAUGGCGGCCUACAAUAUGGCCAUAUGACGUCGAACCUGGCUGAAUGCAUAAAUUCUGUUCUUAAAGGAACGCGUCAUCUACCGAUAACAUCGGUUGUGCAGGAGACAUAUUUUCGUUUAGCGGCGCUAUUUCCAAAGCGAGCCGCAGGUUAUGCAGGCCAGAUGCAGGGAGGCCAUGUAUGGUGCAGUAAGGUAGUUCAAGAAAUAAACAAGGUCAAGGCGAGGGCAAACAUCAUGCACAUAGUUUGUCACGAUCGAGACAAUUUAUGGUUUCGCGUGACAGAGUUUGACAGACCGCACCAAGGUGUUAUUGGCGGGCAAUAUCAUGUACACUUGCGAAAUAGGACUUGUGACUGUGGGAAGUUUGAUGCACUUCGUUAUCCAUACGCUCAUGUUAUUGCAGCUUGUCAGAAACUCCGUCUGGAUCCGAUGAGUUAUGUGGAUGAAGUGUACAAAUUAGAAAACAUGCACAACGUCUGGAGACACGUUUUCCCACCGGUCCCAAAUGAACGUAAUCUCUCUUACUCCUUUUAAGCUAUUACCGGAUAAAGAAUUACGUCGCAAACCAAAGGGUCGACCUUGCUCGACUAGAAUAUGUAACAAUAUGGAUAUCCCAGAAACAGCCAGUCAAACGAAGUUGUGCGGAUGGUGUAGGAAUCUAGGCCAUACAAGUCGAUCAUGCCCUAAUCGUAAUUAGUUGAAUGUAUUUGUAAAAAAAUUAACUUUGUACCAUUAUUCAUUGAUAAAUUGUAAUAACUCAAAUUAUAUAAAAUUAUAAAUGGUUAGUAAAAUUAUCAAAUUAUAUAAAAUUAUUAAUGGUUAGUAAAAUUAUCAAAUUAUAUAAAAUUAUUAAUGGUUAGUAAAAUUAUCAAAUUAUAUAAAAUUAUAAAUGGUCAGUAAAAUUAUCAAAUUAUAUAAAAUUAUUAAUGGUUAGUAAAAUUAUCAAAUUAUAUAAAAUUAUAAAUGGUUAAUAAAAUUAUCAAAUUAUAUAAAAUUGGGUUAGGGUUAGGGUUUUUAAUUAAGUUUGGAUAGGGUUAGGGUUUUUAAUUAAAUUGGGUUAGGUUAGGGUUUUUAAUUAAGUUAGGUUAGGGUUAGGGUUUUUAAUUGAAUUGGGUUAGGGUUAGGGUUUUUAAUUAAAUUAGGUUAGGGUUAGGGUUUUUAAUUAAGUUAGGUUAGGGUUAGGAUUUUUAAUUAAGUUAAUUAGGUUAGGGUUAGGGCUUUUAUUUAAAUUGGGUUAGGGUUAGGGUUUUUAAUUGAAUUGGGUUAGGGUUAGGGUUUUUAAUUAAGUUUGGUUAGGGUUAGGGUUUUUAAUUUAAUUGGGUUAGGGUUAGGGUUUUUAAUUAAGUUAGGUUAGAGUUGGGUUAGGGUUAGGGUUUUUAAUUAAGUUAGGUUAGGGUUGGGGGUUUUAACUGAAUUAGGUUAGGGUUAGGGUUUUUAAUUAAAUUGGGUUAGGGUUAGGAAUAAAUUUCUAUUUUGUUACAUCAAAUAAUAUCAAAAUAGCUCAAAAAAUUUCUAUUUUUUUACAUAAAAAUAACAUCAAAAUAUUCAAAAUAUUUGUACAAAUAAAUUUAAAUACGGGAAUCAAUGUCUAUGCCCGAGGGAUUCAGUGCCACAUGGCGGCCGUCGACGGUUACGCGCUAGAUUCCUCCUUUCUCUAGCUUCCGGUGGCGGUUGUUGUUCUUCCGGUGGGGAUUCUGGUUCUUCCGGUACGACAUCUAGUUGUCGAACUUGGGACGAUGAUCCACCUUCAAAGAAUAUUGUAUGUGGAGGUGUUUGCAUCAGGAACGGCGAUGGUGUUUGAAACCCAUACGUUGGUGGGGAUUGGUAAAAAGGAGUGCUCCCCGACGGCCCCCCUUGCGAUCCCUCGUGCGCCGCUGGCCUAUGCAUCGGCGAUCAGCUCGGCAUAACAGAAAAUGGAGCUAAAACGGGCAUUUGGCUCAAACCUACCAUAGGACUCGAAAAAGGAUACAUAUAAGGGUAAGGGUACAUAUAAGGGUUAGGAAACGCACCUGCAUCAUCUGAAAAGGCUGUUGCGUGGGCAUCAUCAGUUGAUUUGCUGCGUCGGGUGACUGACUCGGUGCUCUCGUUGGGCUUGGUGAUUGCAUGGCCGCUGAUGAUGAGCCAGGUGAACGUCUGAGCCUCGUUGUGUGGCUGCUUUCGUCGUCUUGGAUUUGGAGGCCCGCGCAUUUCUCUUUUGACACGUAUUUGCUGCUGCCUCUGCUCUGGCAUCAGUAAAUACGGCUUGCCAUGGAUCCUAAACCAUGGCAUGUAUUCUGGAAUGCACGCUAACUCCGAAACGAUGAUUGCUUCCCGAGUAGGUAUAUAUUCAUGCCGAUCUUCCCACAUAUCUAUGUACUCGGACCAGUAUCUCGGCCAAUCCGUAUUCAAUUGCUGAAGGUCGAUUUUGUGUUGCUCGUCAAACUCCUCAGGAUCUACGGGAAUCGGUUGUCUACAUCCAAACUGUCGUAGCACUCUGUUUGACUGGUGCGGCUCCACGGUUGCGUAGUUAAUCAACACAACUUUCACGUGCCAGGCAUUCAGAUUUUGUAAGACCUCUUCUGGAAUUACUGCCCGAAUUGCCGGAUCCUCGUAUGGUGUCCAUUCAAACUAUAUAAACAUGAUAGAAAUAUUAGUUAUAUACAUAAUAAUACUAAAUACUAAAUACUAAAUAUCAAUCGACUAGCAAAUGUAUGGAAAUAUCUAUUUGCAAUAAUACUUACUUCUGCUUCCGACCGUUGGUCUAAUAGAAGCCGUACAUCUUCAAGAGAGGACGGUAAUCCAGCAUAACUUGCCGGAUGGUUCCACCUAAUUAAAUAAAUUUUUAGCAUACUUUUAUUUUUAAAAAUCUACAUAAUAAUUGUAAAAUGUAAUAUAAAAUUUACCUCGUUAUGAGUGGGAAUGUAUAUGGGUGGUUCAGUCGAGGAUGUAGAAAUGGAAAGCGAAACCGUGCCCAUGACUGCAGUAGUGACGGGCAACCUCUGAUUUUGGCUCUCCUCGGUUGCGUCGCCCCGCACAUCUCCCGAUAUAAAGUAGCCAACACGGCAGACCCCCAACUGAAUUCACCGGCUGCUCUAAAAUCAACGAGUUUCAACAGCCAUCUUAGAUGUACGCGGCUCCGUGACGUGUCGGGCAUCAGAUAACCUUCAAUUAUUUGAAGAAUGUAUGCCUGAGUAUAUCGGAUUCUUUCAAUCUCGAUUGAAUCUUCAUUCGGAUCAGCGAAUGUGUCACGUAACCAACCCAUCUCGACCUUACCUCCCUCAAUUUUCUUCGGAAUUGCGCCCAAAAGCUCGUAGCACACCGCCUCCCAAUUGCUAGAUUGGGCAGACCCGGUGAUUGGGUGCCCGUCCACCAGCAAUCCCAAUUGCAGAUGGACAUCUUCUAGAGUGAUAGUGCACUCUCCACAUGGAAGAUGGAAUGUGUGCGUCUCGAGUCUCCACCUCUCAAUGAACGCACUGAUUAGUUUCGGGUACAACUUGCAUCCCCGGCCUACCGUCCCCACGUGCCAAAAACCCGCUUCCAGCAAGUAGUUCUCUACCAACGGUGAUAGAGGAGCAUGCAUAUUCCGGAUAUUGCAUUCCAAUACCCGAUCUACCUCCUUUUAUAACAAGUAAUAAAUUAAUAAUUAUCUAAAAAUGCAUAAAUAAAAAUUCUUAAAUAAUAUUUAAAAAUUAAAUUUAACACUUACCAUUUUCAUUUGUUCCACCGAUAUGUGAUGCUUAUCAAGACGAGUCAAUGAUCCGGCCAUUGAUGAAAUCAGACAAAUUUUUACGAUUUAUAAAAAUAUAAAAAAAUUUAAAAUUAUUUUAAAAAAGGAAAUUGAGAGGAAAUUGAAAUCAAAUAUGGAUUUGAGAGAAUUUUGGAAGGAAAUUGAGAGGAAAUUGAAAUUAAAUAUGCAUUUGAGAGAAUUUUGGAAGGAAAUUGAGAGAAUUUUGGAAAGAAAUUGAGAGGAAUUGAGAGGAAAUAUGAGAGAGGAUUUGUUUGUGAAAAAAUAAAAAGGGGUGGGGGUAUUUAUAGUUUUUUUUUACCGUUGGGGGGGCAACGGUCAAAUUUUUGACCGUUGGCUACUGUUCACGCGCGGGAGGAAAUCGCGUCCACGUAAGCAUCUCGUGCUUACGUGGAUGCGAUUUCCUGACGCGUACCCUGACAUCGCGCUGACGUGGACGCGAUUUCGCGAAAAAUGGACUAUUCCGGUAAAUAAUAAAAUAGAGAGCCUAUUUCGGUAAUUUUUUACAGAAAUGGGAUUUUAUUGGUAAAUUGCCCUAGAUAAUCAGUAUUGUUAAAAAAGAAGAGGAAGAUAAUCAGUGUGUUAGAGACACUCAAGGCUCAAAACAAAAGUCAAAGCUCUUGAAAAUGGCUGAAAUAAAAUCAGAACCAGCUGAACAAUCCAUUUACAAUUGGAUAAACGAAUUGAAGGCUUUCGAUGAAACAAAAUCAGGAGUGAAAGGCCUGGUAGAUUCAAGUUUAUCAAAGAUUCCGACCAUUUUCAUCAAUGAAGAGUACAAGCUUGAGAGAAACAACAACAUCCAUAACCAGAAAUCUGGAGGCUGCACCAACAAUGGCGGAAUCCCGAUCAUAGACUUGACCGGCGUCGACGAUGAUCCAAAUUUACGUCGCGAAAUAGUGAAGAAAGUUGUUGAAGCUUGCGAUAAAUGGGGUUUCUUUCAAAUCUGUAGAAAAAGAAUCUGAGACUCUGACGUCGAUCCUGUAUGUACCUUUAGUUAUAAUAUUAGAUAAGCUAGCAAAACUUUACUGCUAGGAUUACUCUAUCCUAGCUAAAGACUGUGGAAAUUCUGUGAAAACCACUGCUAAAGCUUUAGGCCUAGGAUUUUAAUAAACAUAAGCUAACUCAUAAAAAAUUUUGAAAGUGUAGAUUAGUAUAAUGAGUACUCAUGGUCAUGAUGUACAAGGGCAUGCUAGACAGAGUCGAGUGACUCGAGCCGAAUUCUCUUCUCGGUGCAAUGCAUAACAAACCUAAAUGAUUACAACUAUUAUUUACAAAUUUUAAAAUAGGAGUUUUUAUUAAUUUUAAUUUACAAUCCCACAUAAUUUUAAUUUACUUUCCAUUUUCAAUCAAAUAUUAAAUGUGUGUGUUUUUUUUUCUCAAGUUGUUUCCUUUUAUGUAAGUUUUCUCUUUUAACUUAACUUUAGAUUUAUAUUGUUGUCAUAUUUUUUUUAUCUUUUAGGGUCGAAAAUGAGAAAUUUCCUUUUGCGUUUGUCCAUUCUAUUUUAAAAGGAUAAAUAUACAUUUUGGUAUGUAAAUUUGGUCUCAAGGUUCAAAUUAGUAUUUAAGUUUUUUUUGUCCAAUUGGGUACCAAAAGUUAGUUUUAAGGUUCAAUUUGGUACCUCAAAUUUUUUUGGUCCACUUAAAUACAUAAAUUUAGCUUUUUGGUUCAAAAUGAUACCUGAACUUAGUUUCGUAGUUCAAAUUUGUUCAAAAAACUAAGUGCUAAUUGGACAAAAGUUCAUGUACCAAUUUGAACCAAGAAGCCAAGCUUAAAUACCUAAUUUUUUCGUAUCAACUAUACUAAAUAACUCUAGGCCCAACAUGCAAUGGACACUUCUACCCAAGUCUCGAUCUUUAAAUCCAAAAAGAAAAAACAAAAGAAUCUGAUCUUUAUCUUCAUAAUAAUUGUAGAUAAUCAGUAUUGUUAAAAAAGAAGAAGAAGAAGAUAAUCAGUGUGUUAGAGACACUCAAGGCUCAAAACAAAAGUCAAAGCUCUUGAAAAUGGCUGAAAUAAAAUCAGAACCAGCUGAACAAUCCAUUUACAAUCGGAUAAACGAAUUGAAGGCUUUCGAUGAAACAAAAUCAGGAGUGAAAGGCCUGGUAGAUUCAGGUUUAUCAAAGAUUCCGACCAUUUUCAUCAAUGAAGAGUACAAGCUUGAGAGAAACAACAACAUCCAUAACCAGAAAUCUGGAGGCUGCACCAACAAUGGCGGAAUCCCGAUCAUAGACUUGACCGGCGUCGACGAUGAUCCAAAUUUACGUCGCGAAAUAGUGAAGAAAGUUGUUGAAGCUUGCGAUAAAUGGGGUUUCUUUCAAAUUAUCAACCAUGGGAUUCCAGUAACGACUUUGGAUGAAAUGAUGGAUGGGAUUCGGAGGUUUCAUGAACAAGAUAAGGAAGCUAAGAAAGAGUUUUAUUCUCGAGAUAUAACCAGGAAAGUGUAUUAUAAUAGUAAUUACGAUCUUUAUUUGGCUGAAGCAACCAAUUGGAGGGAUACUUUGAGUUGCGCUAUGGCACCUCGUGGACCUCUUCCUCAACAACUGCCCGCUGUUUGCCGGUAAUUCUUUAUUAUUAUUAUUAUUAUUGACAUGUUCCAGUGUUUCAUUUCGUUAAAACUCAUAUACGAAGCCAACUCAAUUUGCAGAGAUAUAUUCAGAGAAUAUUCAAACAAAAUGGUAAAAUUAGGGCAUACUUUGUUGGAAUUGUUCUCGGAAGCUUUAGGUCUGAACCGCAGUUAUUUGGAAGAUAUUGGGUGCGGUGAGGGACUGUUUGUGAUGGGCCAUUACUACCCACCGUGCCCUGAACCGGACUUGACAUUGGGCACCAGCAGUCACACUGAUUGUGGCUUCUUCACCAUACUUUUACAAGAUCAAAUCGGCGGACUUCAAGUCCGCCAUCAAAAUCAAUGGCUUGAUGUUAAUUCUAUACAUGGAGCUCUUAUUGUAAAUUUGGCCGAUAUGAUGCAGGCAAGUCCACCUUACCUUUAACCUUAAUAUGACAAUUACAGUAUUUUUGUCGGUAUUAAUUAUAAUUAAGGCUUUGAAUAUUCAAUUUUUUCAUAUUUUAAGAUAAGAGUUAUGAUUUUCAUGAAUUUUAAAAUACGUAGUUUGAUAUAUAUUUAACCUUCAUACUUAAGUAUAUGUUAGUUAUGGUUGUAUAAACUUUUCUUAUAUUCCAGUAUAUAGAUUUUGAGACGUUUAUAUAUAAUGUACAUUUUAUUCAAUAGAUUCUAGAUUAUUGUCAUUUUAGAAAGUGAAUACUUUUUAACAUUUUUCUUAUAUCUAUUCUAACUGUUUUUUAACUUUUAUGCAGUUAAUAUCUAAUGACAAAUUUAUUAGUGUUCAUCAUAGAGUGCUUGCUAAUACAAGAGGCCCAAGAGUUUCUGUAGCAAGUUUCUUUAGAACACAUCUUCUACCAGAGAAUGCUUCGAGGCUUUAUGGACCAAUCAAGGAAUUGAUAUCUCAAAAAAACCCUCCAUUUUAUAGGGAAACUACUACCAAAGACUUUGUGUCAAACUACUACUCCAAAGGGCUUGAUUGUAAAACUCUUCAAUACCUUAAGUUAUGAGUUGCUCAUGUACCUAAUUGAACUAUUUUCGAGCUUAUUUCCAUCUUUUAUCGAGUUUUAUGUUUUAAAGUUAAAAUUACUUGAAGUUGUGUUUACAUUAUAAGACAUUCACCAUGGCUUGUUGCACCUUCAUUAGCCUAGUUUGUAUAAACGAUGCCACGUCCUUUGAGUUUUCUCUUGAGGCUUUUUUUUCCUAUUGUCACAAUGCCUUGAUUCUCCAUCAUGCCUUCUCUGUUAAGCUAAAUACCAAAAACAUAAAUCUUUCGUUCUAUUCAUUCAUCAGCAGCUCAUGCAUUUAUACACAAGUCAGAAGUAACGUACUUAACUACUUCAAAUAGACUUCAAAUAACCUAAACCGUUCAACCAACUAUUAUCUAAAUUGUUGCCUUAGCAGUUACUCUAACGUUCUCCUGAUUUUAUUUAAACAUUCAACUUUGACAGUCAACACCAUCAAGAGCACUGGAACGAACUCGCAAGCUUUGUCUAAAAACAGUGAAUUGUUUUGGCGAAAUCAACUUGGUGAGGACAUCAGCAACUUGCUUUGUAGACGGUACAAAAUUGACCUGUAAAACAUCAUCCAGAACCUUCUCAUGAACAAAAUGAUGAUCAAUCUCGACAUGUUUCAUUCUAGCAUGAUGUGUGGGGUUGGCAGCCAUGGUGACUGUAGACAUAUUAUCACACCAGACCACCAAUGUCUGACAUGGUGCCAGACCAAUUUCAUCUACCAGUUGUUUUAUCCACAACAACUCUGACACACAAUUAGCUAAGCUACGAUAUUCUGCUUCAGAUGAAGACCGAGACACAACAGCUUGCUUCUUGGAACACCAAGAAAUUGGAUUGGACCUUAGGUAAACAACAUAUCCUGUGGUUGACCGUCGAUCGUCCACAAAAGCAACCCAGUCAGCAUCAAAAUAACAUACCGGCUCAAACAGUCCAUUCGUGAGAAACAAACCAUGAUCUAUAGUCCCUACAAGAUACCUCAAUACUCGCUUAACAACUUUCCAAUGAGUAUCACUAGGGGAAUUCAUAAACUGACUUAGUUUGUUAACAUAAAAAGCUAAGUCUGGUCAUGUAAUACACAAAUAUUGAAGCAUGCCAACAACACUCCAAUACAAAGGACCAUCAGCAAAUGGUGGACUAUCGUUUGACACAACUAGUUUGGAAGUAACGACCAUGGGCGUAGGCAUGGGCGUUGCACCUAUUAUCCAUGUCUUAUGAAGUAUAUCUAAAACAUACUUCUUUUGACUAAGCACAAUUCCCUUUGCCACAUGCUGUACUUCAAUACCCAAGAAAAAACUAAGUUUACCCAUGCCUUUAAGAGCAAACCUAUUGUGAAGUUGUUGAAUCACUAUGUCUACAUCUGCAACGGAGCUGCCUGUGACAACUAUAUCAUCCACAUCAGUCAUGAGUAAAAGUAGCUGCCCAAACGAAGGAUCAGCUUUCGAUGCCCGAAACCUCAGGUUAUUCACUAGAUACUACUUUCGUGUUUGAAACCAUGCACGAAGAGCCUGCCUUAGUCCAUACAAGGCUUUGUUUAGGCGACACACCAGUUUCUGACCAUUGUCACCAGCUACUUCGAACCUGGGUGGUUGUUCCAUAUAUAUUUCUUCUAUUAACUCCCUAUUAAGAAACGCAUUAUUCACAUCAACUUGUCUCAAUGACUAGCCUUUCAUGACAGCGAUGGAGAAAACCGUUCGUAUAGUUUUUGCUUUAACUAAAGGGCUAAAAGUGUCUCGAAAAUCAAGUCAUGCAUGCUGAUAAAACCCCUUAGCCACCAAACGCGCCUUAUACCUGUCCACUGUCCCAUCAGCCUUCUAUUUCACUUUAAACAGCCAUUUACAACCAAUAAAUUUUCGAUGAACAGGUGGAGAAUAGAGAGACCAUGUCUUGUUUUGAAUAAGCGCUUGUAACUCCUUAUGUACUACGACUUGCCAACAUUCCUUUUACAUUGCAUCAUGUAUGGUAAUAGGAACAUCAUCUGAUGAACAGUCUGUUGCACUUAAGUAUGCUUUGGGUUUAAAAAUACCCGCCUUGCUACGUGUAACCAUUGCAUGUGAAUUAACAGGAGCAGACAGUGGUGGAGGUGACACGUGUGUUGCAACCAAAUCAGACACGUGUGGUGCAACCGAAUCAGAUCACAUGGAGUCAAUACUGUCACUAGUAGAUACUACUGGACUAGCAACUUGAGGCACAUAAAUCGCAUUUAUUAGACCAGUAGAAUUAACUACAGGUACAGGAGCAGUCACAACAGCAUGUGCUGGACGAGCUGGUGGCACGACAAGCAGCCUGAAACUAGACCGUAAGGAUGACACUAGAGGCACUGACUUGGAAUUUAGAGUUUUGAAAGGAAAAUCAGUUUCAUGGAACGUCACAUGGCGUGAGACAUAUAUCCGCCCAUCAUUAGCUUGACAUCAAUAUCCUUUAUGACACGAAGAAUACCCCAAAAAUGUGCAUUGUGUCGACCUAUAUUGCAGCUUGGACAUGUUGUAUGGUUGAAGAUUGAGAAAAAAUAGGCAGCUAAAAACUCUAAACAGUGAAUAUGCUGGUUGUUUCUAAAAUAAUUUCUCAUAUGGCGAAACACCUAAGGGAGAGGAUAGUAGCCGAUUUAUCAAAUGAAUUGCACUACUAAAAGCAUCAUUCCAGUAGUUGACAAGCAUGGACGCGUGAGCCAGCAUAGAGAGACCAGCUUCAAUGAUUUGUCGAUGCUUGUGCUCGACCAGUCCAUUUUGCUCUGAGGUAUAUGGACACGUAACACGCUAAAUAAUUCCCUGUUGAGACAAGUAACUCUUCAACACUUGAAACUCUCUUCCUCCAUCUGUUUGCAAGGCUUUGAAUCUGAACCCAAGCAACCGUUCAACUUGUCGAUGAAAAAUAGGAAAAAUAUUGGAGACAUCGAAAUUUUUCUACAGAAAAUAUACCAAGGUAUAUCUAGAAUAAGCAUCGACAAAGGCAACAUAAUAACGAAAACCAUUUGAGAAAAUCGGGGCUGGUCCCCAAACAUUAGCAACCACUAGUUGUAAUGGCAUAACAUACUCAGACAAAGACAGAUUAAAUGGUUGCUUAUGCUCCUUCUCUAAGUGACAGGCAACGCAACAAUGAAAAUCUUUAUUUGCAUCAAACAUUAUAUUACACUGUCGCAGAGCCUUUUUAAGAGUUCCAUUACGUGGAUAACCCAAUCUAGCAUGCCAAAUACUUAAUGGCGUUGUGAUUGUAGUAUGGAAACAUUAAGCUGAGUCAGAAGACACCAUUGUUGAUGCGUAAUUACUCAAGCUUAACUUGUACAGCCCAUCAUGCACCGAGCCUCGAAUAAGAACUUUCUUGGUCUUUAGAUCACGAACUAGACACUGUGUAGGAUAAAACUCAAAUAUCACUUGAUUAUCUUUAGUAAAAUUGGAUACAGACAACAGAUUUUUUGUUAUGCCAGGUACAAAUAAUAAGGAUUUCAUGAACAAAUGUCGUGAUCGAGUAAGCAACGAUGAUUGACCAGAGAACAUAACUGGAAGAGCAGAACCAUUGCCAACAUAUACUUUACCUGGACCAUUGUAAUUCACAUCUUCACCUAAAGAAGCAUAAGAAUUUGUGAGAUGAUGAGCAGCACACGAGUCAGGAUACCAUGCACUGUUAGCCACUGUUGUAGGAGUUGCAAGACACGCCUGAGACGAGGGAGUGGCUGAAGAAGAACUGCUAGACUGUGAAGCAUUAUGAACAAAUGGGUUAGACCAGCUGGUAACAGGUAGAGAAGGACAAGACCAACCUAAUGAAGGACCGAAAUUAGUAGAGGGUGCACCAGCCAUGGAAGACAUCCAAGGUAAAACUGGAGAACCAAACCCAAACACACAAAGAUUUGCUUAUGGAGGCAUGGAUGGUCUAUACCCUAUAUUUUUGUAUGAAGAAUCAAAUCGAUAAUAGCAUCUAUCAACAAGAUGACCAGGUUUCCCACAUAGCUGACACUGGACAUGAGAUCCAUACGAGCGACCACAUCCCCGUCCUCGAGCUGGUGUGGUACAUCGAUACUCUGGUACAGAACCAUUGUCAACAAUCAAAGAUUGAGACUGAUGAGAUACUAAAUUAGUUGAACUAGGAGUCUCAAGAACAGUCAUCUGUUGUCUAGCUUUCGCAUCAAGAAGUAUAGUAGUGACCCCCUGCACAUUGUAAGGUACCUGGCUAGCAGUAACAAUUGUAAUCACUGAUUCAUAUUCUGGUGACAGUCCAUUAAGAAUAAUAGUAACGUGCUCAUGAUCACUGAUAACCUCUCCACAGCUAGCCAAGUUGUCGCAAUACCCCUUGACCUUCAUUAAAAAAUCUUUCAUAGAAAGAUCACCUUUUUUCUGAUAAUGCAGCGCUCGUCUGUAAAACAUUAACCUAGACAUGGUUUUGCUGCCAUACAAAGUAAUAGCAGUCCAAAUUUGGGCACUAGUAUCCAACCCUAUAAGAUGAGGAAGAACAGCAGUACUUACAGAUGAGAGAAGCCACGAGGCCAGCGCACUAUCUUAUUGUUCGAACUGAGCAAACUCAAGAUUCUCCUACAAAACACCAUCAUCAUCCGUAACCUAUCGAGGAGGAGGAAUAGUGCGCAAGUCAAGAAAAUGCUGAAGCUUGUACAUUUUGAUUGCCAAAAGCACUUGCUGACACUACAAUAGGUAAUUAUUAUCAUUAAGCAACACUCUGACUCUCUUAGUCGAAAAGAAACGACUAUCUACAACACCAUCAGAGAAACUCAAAGCCACUACUGGUGUAGUGGAUUGCACAGCAGAUGAACUAGAAGGCAAGGCCUUUAAAAAAAAACUCAAGAUACUAACCCCAGGAAAAAAAUGGAACAACUGAUACCAUGUUAAGCUGAAUACCAAAAACAUAAAUCUUUCAUUCUACUCAUUCAUCAGCAGCUCAUGCAUUUAUACACAAGUUAGAAAUAAUGUACUUUACUACUUCAACAAACUUUAACUAACCUAAACCAUUCAACCAACUAUUAUCUAAACAGUUGUUUUAGCAGUUACUCUAACAUUCUCUUCAUUACCAAAUAAUGCCUCUAGAUCCCAAGCUUCUUCAUUGUUGGAAGUAAUAAUAUUACUUUCCUUAGGAUUUUUCUCCGACCAGCAAGCUCUUGCCAUGUAGCCCUUUUCCCACAAUUAUAAAAAUUUCCUUCAAAAUUUUUAUUGUUGUUGUGGUUGUUCAAAACUCCCCCUUCAUGAAUGCUAAUUUUUCCUUGAUAACCUUUUGACUUGUCAUCAUAUUUCCUGGACCCGCCAAUGUCAUGCAGUUUAAAUUUCCUUUCGCCAUUGCUAACACAGGGUGCCACUUCUUCAUUCUUUAGCAAGACUCCUCCAAUUUGUUUAGCUAAUGUUUUUUUACCAACUAACAAAUUUUCAAAUUCAACAAGUGAUGGUUGAUUUUUACCAUCCUUGUAUAGCACCAACAAAACUCAUGUAUUCUAGCUUCAACUAAUGAAUGAUGAUUCAUUUCAUUCUAGCAUCAUUGAUAGAAGCUUCAAGAUCCAACUCAGAAUUCUCUCGACAUAACGUCUUUACUUUGUGGAAAUAUUGUGUUAUUAACAUAUUUCUUUGUGCCACUAACAACAUUUCACUAUUUAGAAGUUGGAGCUUUAUAUUAUUUUUUUAGAAAACGACUUGGUGAGUGUAUCCCAAGCUCCUUCGGAGUUUUGGCAUCACAUAUGUCCUCUAACACAUCCUCUUCGACUGUUGUUUUUAAGACGAACAUUACCUCACCAGCUUUUAUUUUCCCAUUUUCUUAGUGUGUCACUUGUAUCCUCGGCUGCCAGUUGUGUCACUUCAUUAUCGUCAACAACCUCUCAAAGGUCUUGUCGUUGCAUAUAAGACAUUAUGCAAGUUGACCAAGUAUUGUACUUGUUUUUAUUAAGCUUCUUCAUUCUGACAACAACUUGUAAGUCUGUCGUCGUAUCAACAAAUCAUUCUCACUAUGGAAUACCUACAUUUAUAGUGAAAGUAGUUUGUGAACAAUGAGGCAGGUAAGUUCCCAAGAAAGAGAGGUCAGUCACGAUGGUCAAUUUUAAGUAUUGAAUCUUUCCUUAGCCAGAACCUUUCCUAGACAUGCAAUUUCACACUACCACACUUCCCUCCAACAACUAAGAAACCAAGGAUAAUCUUCAAGUAGCUAUGAAAUUUCUUUUCUAAUGUGGAAUAUCAAACGAUAUUGCAACCACGAAGCAUACUAAAAGAAUUUUCACUCCUCCAACCAAGCUUUGAUGUUCAUUGUAGAACACUCACUCCCAUGACACCACUAAACUAAUAUUUAACUACACCUCCCAACACUCCAAAAUAAGAAAAUAAAGUAGGAAUUAUAAGAAACCAAAUAGAAAACUUGAUAUUUGGUUUUGGUGCAAAUAAUACUUACAACAUAGGUCUUUAUAUGCCCAAAGUCCCUUUUCUCUUGUUUUUUAAGCAAUGUGAGAUAUGGUAUUUUUAUAGACUUGAAUAAUCAUAUUGUCUUUUGGUCCCAAGUGACAUAGGAUUCAUUCCUAAGACUAAGUUUAACUUUAAUAACUGAAAACUAAACACAAAAGUAACUUUGUACAAUAAUAAACACUAACAAGAAAUAUAAAAUUAACUAAUAAUCCCCCCCAAAUAGUAUUUAUGAUUUGGUUUUAAAAUUUUUAAUUUUACUAUUUAAAUUUUAUUUAAAAAUGUACUUUAAAACAUAUAAAUAUUUGAAUUAAUUUUUAUAUUAAAACAUAUAAAUAUUUCAUAUAUUAAUAUUAACGUAUUUAAUAUAAUUAAGAUUAUAUAAAAUUUAAGUUGGUGACGAAACAAGAAGGCAAUCUAAUUAUAUUAUUAACUGUAAAUUUCAUUUUCAUCUAUAUUCAUAUCUAAAUUUAUACAUAUAUAAUAUGAAAAAUAUAUAGAAAUGAAAAUUAUUAAAUUAUUUAAUAAUAAUUAAUUUGAAUUAAUAUAGUAAAUUCAAAAUUAUGUUUAUAAAUUUAAAAUUUUUAAAAUUUUAUAAUAUUUAUUUUGAUUUCAUUAUUUUUUGUCAGCAAUAUUAUUUAAUGGAUAAAUUUUCUAUAAAAAAUUCCCUGAUCAUAAUAGUACGAACCAAUUUACACCUGCAAAAGAAUCUAUAACUUAAAACUUUUUUUACCAUAAGUUAAUAAACAACACCUUAAUAUUAUUAGCUCAUAAUCACCUAUAUAUAUAUAUAUAUAUAUAUAUAUAUAUAUAUAUAUGUAUGUAUAAAUUAAAUAAUCCAAAAUAUUUUUUAAACAUACGAGAACAAUUAACAUCCAAUGAACAGAAAAAGGGAUAAAAUAUGUGAACCAAAUUCAACCAAGGACUAAAUGAAAUUACGUGCUCAACGAGUGAACUGAAAUGAACUAAGGAUUAAACAGUAAAAUUGUCAAACUUUGAUGGGCCCAAACCGAAAAUAAGCCAUGAACUUCAAAAUAUACAUAUCCCCACAUGUUUGAUUCAAAAUAGGCAGCAACUUUUCUCCAAUCCCAUUUCACUAAAAUAUAAUUAAGAGUUAACUUCAUCAUUAGUCACUACAUUAUAGAUAAGUAUUCGUUUUAGUCACUUACUAAAAAAAGUUACAAUUUAGUCACUGAAUUUUUUGAAAAUCUUCUUUUAAGUCACUGAACAAUUGAAAAGUUUUUAUUUAAGUCACUAUGUUAUUAAGUUUUUUGAAUAAAAAAGUUCUUGCACUAAGCUCCAAGUGACAAUUCGACGUUGGUGUCGGGACCUUGCCAACAGAAUUCUCCCAAAUUUGUCUAGCAGCAUUGGUGUCGUGACUCUGGUCCUGAUGUCGCGAUUCUGGUCCUGAUGUAGCGACUUUAGCUCCUUGAAUAAUUGGGAUCUUUCUACGGUGGUGAGUGUCCUCGAUGUCACAACUUUAGCAUCAUAGUGUCGUGACCUUACCACUUGCUGUUGCAACACUCAAACAUUGGUGUCACAAUUUUGUUUUUCAAUUGGUUUGCUCAUUUUUUAUUAGACUAAAGACAUGUUUAGGUUAGUGUAGUAAUAUAAGUUGUCUUUUUGUAUUACGAUCCAACCAUGUAAUAUCGCUUAGUAUUAGUUAAACAUUAGACAACUAAUGAACUAAUAUUUGCUUCUAUUUUGCUUUCCAUGCAAAAACCACAUGAUGACCAUAUACAAAGGGUAUUAAUGUAACCAUGAAUAAUUUUAUUAGCCAUUGUAAUACCCCGAAAAUUUCAACAGUAAGGAAAAUAAGAUAAUAUCUCUGAUAUAGUAAAAUAAGGAAAUAAAGUGAUAAAAAGGGUAAUUUUGAGUUAUGUCAACAUUGAGAAGUAUAUUAUGACAUAUUAAUUCAAGAAAGGAUUAAAUCACAAAAGUGAGAAAAGUUUUGUUUCCCAAGAGUAAAUACUCAAAAUUUGAGGGGUUAAAGUGUAAAUACAAAAAAGUUGAAGGACCAAAGGUGUAAAUAUUUUAAGGGUGAAAUGAUCUAGAAACUAAGGAAAAUGGAUGGAUUAGAACCAAAUUAAAAAAUGUGAAGAAUUUUGAGUGACUAAAUCAUAAUUUUACCAAAUUAAAUGAUGACUCAAUGAUGAAAUUUUAAAAGAUUAUAAAGGGCAAAAUGGUCAAUUAGAGAGAGAGAGAGAGAACUCUAGAAGGUAAUGAUGAUGUUGGUGAUAUUUUUAUUAAUUAAUUAGAUAAAUGUUAUUUAAUUAAUAUUUUAUUAAGAUUUUUAGUAUUAUUUUAUUAUUAAAUGAUUAAUAAAAAAGGGAGGAAAGAUGAAGAGAAUUCAUCAUCUUUUCCAUGCAACCAACGUGAGAAGAGAGGAAAAGAAAGAAAUUUUCCUUUCUUUACAAUUUGGUCGUUUUACCAAAAAUUCACUAUUUUCACUUAGAAAUCAAAAGAAUCUUCAUAGCUUCCAAGAGAGAAAAAUAAUAAGGAGACAAUAGGGAGCUAGAAUAUCAAGUUAGAUUCAAGAAAUAGAAUCUGAAGGAGAGAGAAAAUCAAGUUAAAGAUCGAAAUCAAUAGCACAAGAUAAGAACAUCAAGAUUUCAAUAUAUUUUUGAGUUUUAUAUUAUUGAAAAAGUAGGAAAUUAAUGUUAUAGUAGAGUUUUCUUAUAUAAGGUCUUGUGUUCUUGAUAUAUUAGUGCAGGGAAAUAAGUGAAAGUGAUGAGAAAUAUUAUAGAGAAAGGGAAUAAGGGAGUUAUAAACUUAGUAAUCAAUAUCUUGCACUAAAAUAGUUUUGGAUAGCAGCAGUAGGUUAACUUUGGAAAAUCACUAUAAAUCUUGGAAAUUGAAUUAGAGAAUGAAAAAAAUAUGGAAUAGAAGAAACGAUGUAAUUAAUGGAAUUGUAAAUCAUGAGAUAUAAUACAUUUUGUGAGACAAGGUCAGAAUGAAUUUAGGUUCCCCUGUUCUGACUUUGGAAAAUCAUAAAAAAUUGAAUAAAAAUAAUUAGAGGCUUAAAUUUAUAUUUUUAAAAUCCUGAAUGAGUCUAUUUUCAAUAGAAACAAACGAGAACAUCAUCUAAAUUCUGUACAAAGAGAUAAUUAAUUUUUAGUGAAGAGGGGUCAAAACUGUCAAACAGUGAAACAGGGGAAACUUUAAAGAAUAAAAUCUAUUAUUGGAUAAACCAAAAAUUCUUAAAAUUUUAUGGAAAGAAUAUAUGUGAGUCUAGUUUCAGAUAAAAUUUACGGAUCUUAAUUCAGAGUUUUGUAGCUUAAGAUAUAAUUAAUUUAGUGACUAUGACUCAAGUAAAAAGCUUGUUAUGAGUAAACAAGUAAAUAGUGGUAUUAUGUAUAUAUCAAGAAUGUGAAAUGGAGUGGAGGAGGAGGAAAAAUAUAUGUGAAUAUUCAGCUAAUAUGAUUUUAUUUUAAAAUAGCUAAUUUACAUGUUUUAGAUUCAGGGACUAAAUUAAAUAAAAGUGUAAUUUUAAGUGUAAUUUUGUAAAAAUGUCAAAAAUGACCAAAUUGUAUGAAAUGAAUUUUUUUAUUAUAAAUUGAAUGAAAUAUUAAUUUAGAUCAAGAUUGGGUGGAAAUUCGAGGAAAUGAAAAUUACCAAAAUGUCCUUGAAUUUUGGUAUUUCUGCAAUUUAGCCCGAUAAGUUCAUGUAACUUGAAUUAUAUUCUUAAAUGCUUGAAAUGUUGUUAUUGAUGUGAAUAUGAUUUGAAUGUUCAUUGUAUGAAAAUUGAUGAAACAUUGAUAUAUUUGAUAAAAAGGGGAAGAAAUCCCGGUUGAAUGGAAGGAAAAUUCGAUGGAUCUCUGAAAAGGAAUUGACGGUAAAAAGGAUCUAGCCCGGACGGGUGAUCCUAUCCUAAUAUAGCACUCCCGAAGAAUAUGUGGAAAAUGGAUUUAGCCCGAACGGGUAAUCUGAAUUAGGUUUUGAAUUUAGCCUGGACUGGUAAUUCAGAUCCAAGCUCAUUAGAGUAAUUGUCAUUGCAGGGGAUUUAGCCUGGACUGGUAAUCCCGCUGUAAGGAUAAGGUUCGCGGGUGUGUGCUUUUUGAAAUGAAAAUGUGCGCACAUGAAUAUGAAUUAACGGACCUAGAUUUGCACACUAAAACUGUACCUCUGAAAAUCCAUCGAAUUUUUGAGAAAUUCAACGGGAUUAAAAUGGAAAAUAAUAAGGGUAAUGAAAAAACAUGGAAUUGAAUUAUUAUUGGAAAUAUAUUAUCGAAUUUAAUACCCAGUUUCGAUUGAACGCAGGAUUGAGUACAAUCGUUCUAUGCCAAAGGAUGAAUUGACGGAUAAGACCAUAACUGAGUUAUGGCAUUACAAAUGUAAAGGAUGAAUUGACGGAAAAUUACCCAAGUAAACCGAGGUUCAGCAUUUGUUGCGGACUUUCGUGUUUACUAUUUGUUUAGCUCUCAUGAGCUUAAGUUUAGCAUUCGGGCUUCUAAAAAAGAUGUACUCAUAUCCGUAAGUCGUUCUUCGAUACAGAAAGAAACGGUAAAAGACUUAUGUGGUUGAAUUGAAAGAUUUAUAGAUUAUUAUUGGUAUUGAUCUAAAAUAAAAGUAACCAUUGAUAUUUAAAUGAUAUAACGGGUAAAGUUCUGAAGUGAGAUAACAUGAGUUUGAAAUGAACUAUUACCGGUAUGUACGCGAAAUUCAUGAAAAUUAUGGUACAUGAAAUAUCGAAAUAAUGAAAUGAAUGAUAUAUACCUAUGAAGAAAUGAUAAGAGAAUGAUAUGUAUCAUGACAUGUAAAUGUAUGAUUAUCUUUAAUAUGUUGAUACAAGAAAAUUAUGCAUGAUGGGUUUAUAUGUAAUGUGUGCAAGUACAUUAACUAGUGUUGUUGCUUGAUGCUUAGGCAAGUGCUAAGCUAUUGGUUGAAUAGUAAUAUGAUUAUUUAAUGGAAGCAUUGAAUUGAUAAGUAUUUGAGGGAAAAUAUGCUAGUGUUCAUGAAAAAGUGGUAUGGUUUAAAUUAUGAAAUGACUUAUCAUGUGAUCAAUUCGGAAAAGGCUUUAGUUAAAUGCACUAGCUUGUGACUAUGAUUAAAUGAUAUGUUUAUGACUUGUGUGUCACGCAUAUGGAAUAAGUGUUGAAAUUAAAGAAAUGCAAAUGAAAAUAAAGAAAUUAUGAAGAGUUAAAGUUAUAUAAAGUCCUACUAAGCUUGGGAUAAUAUGUAAGUGAUACUGUGAAUUUAUUCACCUUGUGAGUUGAUGAAUAUAGCUUCAUGAGUACUAUGGUAUUAAUAUUGGAUUAUUCUUGAUAUGUAUAGAUUUCAUAUUUUAAAUGAACUAAUAUGAUUAAAGACUACACGAGCUUACUAAGCAUCCAUUGCUUACGUAUUUAUUUUUUUUAUUUACCUUACAGAUUAUCGAAAGCUCGAUUGGGUUGGAAGCUUGUCAGAUAUAUAUCACACUAUCCAUUGGUUCUAUCGGUAAUUUUAGAUGAUUUGAUUUUGGUUAUAAUGUCAUGUAUAAGUUAAUUUGGCCAACGUUGGCUCAUUAAUGUUUUGAUUUUGGUUGGUUUCAAAUAUGAAUGCUAGAAGAAAUGAAAUGUCUGAAAAUUAAUUUGUAAAUUUUAGUAAUCCUCUGUAACCCUAUUCUGGCGACGGAUUUGGGUUAGGGGUGUUACAACCAAUCUGUUCGAAAAUAUUACAAGUGUACAUAGACGAAAAUACUACACUUAGGACACCAGAUCCAUUAAAAUACUACACUUAGGGCACCAGAUCCAUCGGAAUAUGAUGCUUUCUAAACCCCGUACAUAAGUUUGAGAUCAUAAUCAUAGAAAAAGAAAAAGAGGUUCACCAGUAUAAUCAACUUAUUCUUUUUUUUCAGUUAAAGUAGUAUGCUUAACCUCAUUCUCCCAAUUCUAUGACAGAUUUGGGUGCAAGAAUACUUCUAGGGGGAGGAGUCACUGUGAUAGUGGAGAAAAGCUGAAAUGCAACUCGGGGGUGACAACGGUUGUUGUGAUUAAAGAAAUCAUUAAUAACUAUAACCAUUUUCGCCUCGACUUGAGUUUUAGCUUUUUCUCCACCGUCAUAGUCACUCUUUCUUGAAAGUUUUCUUACCCCCACCUUUGACAUAGAUUUCGGACGAUGAGGUUAAAGAUACUACUUUGAUGGAUUAAAAGAAUAAGUUAAUAAUAUUUGUGAGCCUCUUUUUUUUCUAUGAUUAUGAUCUCAAACUUAUGUAUGGGGUUUAUAAAGUAUCCUCUUCUGGUGGUAGGAAACUUGAACCCACAACUGCAUAACCACCGUCAACUAGGGGCGAGUUAUACUCAAACCCCAUGAUCGCAUAACCACCGUCAACUGAGAGCCCUAGUUAUACUUCUACUUGUGACCGUAUAGCCACCGUGAAUUGGGAGCCCAAGUUGAAAUGCGAUAUCUUCUAAGGUGAUGGUGCACUCUCUAUAGGGCAAAUGAAAUGUGUGGGUCUUCGAGCGCCAUCACAUUACUGUGAACUCAAACAUACUUUAAAAUUAUCACAAUUUCUCCCUAAAACAUAAAUACAAAUAAAUAUUUUUCCCCAAAUUUUUAACUAUUGAGUAUCCUCAUAUUUCAGUCAAAUUUGAGAGAUGAUCUCUUAAUUAAACUCUGUUUAUUUCUUUCAAUUGAACUCUGAUUAGACUAGAUUAUUUUAUUAUUAUUGAACCUACGAAUUUAGCCUAUAAGUAGGCUCUUUUACAACCUUAGAAAACACACCCAUUAAAUAUUAGAACUCACAACACUUCUAGAGAAAUUUGUGUUUAUGUUUUGAGGGUUCUUUGUUUCGGGUUUCGGGGUUUAAUUUUUAUCUCCAUUUUUUUGUACUAUUCGUUCUUUUUCCAUUAUAGUAAGAUUAUCUUUGCCGGUCCUUUUUUAUCCUAUUUGGAAGGGUUUUUCAACUUUAAAUUUGUGUGUUCAAUUUCUCAAUUUCUUCUACUAUUUUUAUUUGUUUGUUGCUUAAUCGGGUUAAUCCCCAAGAAGUGAUAUUAGAGCUAGUUUAAUUUUUGUAGAUUAGCCUGUUCAAAGAUUUUAGCAACAAGUUUUGACAUUGAGAAGUUCGAUAAUGUCACAAAUUUCAAUUUGUGGCAAGUUUAUGGCAAUUCUAGUUCAGACCGAUCUUAAAAAGGUCGUUAUAAAAAAGCUUUAGAAUCUAAAUUAGACAGAAUGGGAAGAGCUUGAUGAAAAGACCCUAUAUGCAAUCCAAUUGUACCUCUUGAAUAGGGUAUUGCAGGAGGUAUUGAUAGAUAAAAUCUCAUCCGCCUUAUGGAAAAGGUUAGGAACUUUUUAUGCGACUAAGUCUCUGGCUAACCAUUUAGUGUUGAAAUAACGUUUAUUUACGUUUUUCAUGAAUGAAUGUGAGAUUAUUGGAGAUCACAUUAGUCAAUUUAUUACUCUUUUGAAUAGUUUAAAAAAUGUUGAGGUUAAGAUUAACAAUAAAGAUCAGGCUAUGCUAUUAUUGUGCUAUUUACCCUCUUCAUACAAAUCUUUUAGGGAGACCCUAAUUUAUGGCAGAGACAAACUUUCGUUCGAGGAUGUAAAGGAUCAUUUGUUGAGUAAAUACAAACUCAACAAUGAGUUUAGUUCGAAUAGCAAGGCAGAUAGACAAGCUUCUAUUUUGGUAGCAUCAAAGAAGCAAGACAAAAGGUGUCGCUAUUGUAAGAAGUUAAGUUAUGUCAAAGCAGACUAUUAUAAACUGUGAAAUAAAAGGGCUGUUGAGAGUAAGAAGGAAGAUGUAGUCGGUGCUAAUUUGGUCGAUGAAAGUGGUGAUGAUUUCUUGUUAGUGUCAAAGAGCAAUAGCUCUAAGCUUACAUCCGAGUGGAUCCUAGAUUCGGGAUGUUCUUUCUACAUGUGUCCCAGCAUAGAAUGGUUCUCCAUAUAUAGGUCGGUUGAAGGUGGACAUGUGCACAUACGAAACAAUUCAUCCAGUAAAGUAAUUGGUAUUGGUACUUUUAAAAUUAGGAUGCAUGAUGAGACGAUUAGGACACUCUCAGAUGUCAGGUAUGUACCUGAUUUACGAAAGAAUCUCAUCUUAUUGAGCAUUUUUUACACAAAAGGUUGAAAAAUCAACAUUGAGUCGAGCGAUAUUAAGAUGUCUCCUAGGGCUCUCGUUUUGUUAAAAGGUAAAAGGACCGAUGGCCUUUAUAUUCUGGAAGGUUCUAUAGUGGCCAGUGAAAUCGAGCGUCCUUCAUCCAUUACAGAGUCGAAGUCAACUCGUUUGGAGCGGAGACAACUUGGUCAUAGGAGGGAAAAAGGUUUGACUGUUUCAUUGAACAGAGGUGCUCUUUUGGAUGAAUGUUUGAAAAGUUAAGGCAUUGUGUUCAUGAAAAUCAAACCUGGGUUAAUUUUAAUUUGGUAGUGCACAAGUCAAAGGCUAGAAGUCUUCCAGCUUCCAAGCACAAAUUCAACUCAAUUAAUUCUCUGCAUAGUUCAAGUUAGGCCUGUGGCGUGCUUUGGCAAAGAUUGCGUUGUGGAAAUAUGAGUCAAGGUGGAGAUUUGUUGAGUAUGUCUCAUAUUUCAGUCAAAUUUGAGAGAUAAUCUCUCAAUUAAACUCCAUUUACUUGUUUCAGUCGAACUCUGAUCAGUCUCAAUUAUUUUAUUAUUAUUUGACCUGCAAAUUUAGCCUAUAAAUACACUCCUUUACAACAUUAGAAAACACACCCAUUAAAUAUUAGAACUCACAACACUUUUGGAGAAUUUUGUGUUUAUGUUUUGAGGGUUCUUUAUUUUUGGGUUUCGAGGUUUAGUUUUUAUCUCCAUAUUUUGUACUAUUCGUUCUUUUGUCAUUAUAGUAAAAUUAUCUUUACCCGUGGUUCUUUUAUCUUCUUUGGAGGGGUUUUUCCAUGUUAAAUUUUUGUGUUUAAUUUCUUAAUUUCUUCCGCUAUUUUUAUUUGUUCAUUGCUUAAUCGGAUCGAUCCCCAACACCAACACCCAACACAAAAAAAAAUUUGGAAGGAAGAAAACGCGACCUGCUGAAUGCGUAUUCUGUUUCUCUCUCCAAAAUCGACCUAUUCCCUUAAAUUUGAGAAAAAUUACCUAAAUCCCUAAUUAAGUUUUGAAAAACGGCAUUUUCUGCUAAUUUUCCCUUCAAAAUGAUGUUUAUAAAUUUUUUAAAUUUUAUAAUAUUUAUUUUGAUGCCAUUAUUUUUUUUAGCAUUAUCAUUUAUAAUAUUAUUAAAUGAACAAGUUUUCUAGAAACAAUUCCCUCAAUCAUAAUAAUACGAACCAGUUGACACAAACAAGAGAAUCUAUAGCUUAGAAUUUUUUUUACCUUGAGUUAAUAAACAACUCCUUAAUAUUAUUAGCUCAUAAUCACCUAUAUAUAUGUAAAAAUUAAAAAUUAUGUAAACACAAGAGAACAAUUAACAUCCAUUGAGCAGAAAAAAGGAUAAAAUAUGUGAACCAAAUUCAAGGAAGGACGAAAUGAAAGUAUGUGCUCAACGAGUGAACUGAAACAAAUUGAACGAUAAAAUUAUGAUGAGCCCAAAAAUUAUUUAGUUGUUGGAUGACAUCUCUUCCAUUCUAACACCGAGUCCACUUUGUAAGACCCAAUUAUUUCCCAACCCAUAAAUAAAACCAAUAUAAAUGCAAAAAAAAUAAGUCCAUUUACAUAAAAAAAUUUCCAAAUUACAAUUACCCAAAACCCAAAACCCAAACCUAAACUAUCAACCCAAUUACCCUAGCCCGGACAGGCCCAAAAUCAACCCAACUUCCAGCCAAAGAAAGACCAGAAAACCCUAGCAUUCAACCUCAGCUGCCGCACGCAGCAUGAGGCCAAGUCCCUCCAUGCGUUCUGAGCCCCUGCCUCCACGUGCGCCUCCGUACACGCCACGUCCACCUCCUCCGUAAGUCGUACCUACAAAUAGGAUGAAAACAACGCAACAAAGAAAGAGAAAAACAUUGUAUUUUUUAUUUCAUCUGUAUUUUUUUGAAUAUUUUGCUAUAAAAAAACAAACAGAAAGCCAUUGUUUUUGUUUUACGGGGACAGACGAAAAGCAAUAGAGAAAUAAAUUUUUUUUCAAAAACCAGUAAAGAACAAAUCAUUUCAGGUGGUUUUUUGACUUCGUUUUAUUAUUAUUAUUCUUUCGUUUUCUUUGAUUUGUUUUCAUUUUAGAUGCAAAAAAUAUAAAAUAAAAAGGGUGAGAUUACCUUUGUGUGCGCCAUCUAAAUCUCUGCUUGCUCCGUCCCAAAUCAGAGCUGAAAGUGGAGGGUCUAGAGUCUAUGCGGCGGCGAGAAAAAAACACAGAAGUGGCUACUGGUUUUAGGGUUUAAAAGGCUAUUUAAAGUAGGGAAAACAACACCGUUUAGGGCUUGUGUCAAUGGCUCUAAAACGGUGCUGUAUUGAGCCAUACUCGAUGACCCGACCCAAAUGAGACUAGAUCCACGCGUUUUGGCAGGGGGAGGGAUAUUUGCGCAUCAAGCCCUUUUGCUUUUGUGCCGUAGUUCAAUCUAGUGUUUUUUUUUGUUUUGUUACUUUAAUUUUGGACAUACGAUUUUCUGCUGAUUGCAUUUCGAUCCCUAUUGGAACGCAGCAUUUUGGAAGGCAGGGAUUAAUUUCCCUUUUGACCGCUCUCUGUUAUGCGCGUGUUCAAUGGGGUUCGCAUCUUUGUAUUUAUUUCGAAUUGGCUCUCAAAUUUCAAUUUUGAUUUCAAAAUUAGUCUUUCUGUUGUUUUUGUACUGUUGCUGUUGUUAUUAUUAUUAUUAUUAUUAUAAUUAUUAUUACUCUUAUUUCUUCUUUAUAUUUUAGAUUAUGUCUUAAUUCUAGCUUAGUCUUUAAUAGCAUAAUUUUAAAUCGAAUUAGUACUUAUUUUAAUAUAUUUAUUUAUAGCCUAUUUUAAUACUUAGUUUGACAUUACUUUUAAACUUAUUAUUAAUAUAAUUUUAAGAUGUAGUAUGCUAUUAUUUUUAAAUUAUCAUUAACAUGUUUUAAAUUUAUAGCCAAGUAUUUAUUUUGAAAUAAAACCAUACAAAUUUUAAAUAAAAGUUUUUCGGGAUUUCAAAAUGUUGGAUCCUAACUCACUAGAUAUGACAUUUUGCUACCUCGAAUUAAGGAUUUUAAAAAUAAAGGCAAUAUUCGAUAUUUAGGAAUUUCGGGAAAUUGAACCCUAACUUACUGGGUUUUGAUUUUUCAUUUUACCCAAAUAACCAAAUAUCCUUCUCAAAAUGCAUGGGUUCUAAAAAUGUUGCGCCCUAACUUACUGGGUAUGACGUUUUAUUUCUUUGAAAUAAGAGUGUUUUAUUUUCAAUUUAUUCAAGUUAAAAGGAUUGUAUUUUAAAAUCUUUUCAAAAUUUCGACACUAAGACAUUAAACAAUCAAUUUGGUACCAAUUUUGGGCGUUACGAGGGUGCUAACCCUUCCUCAUGCGUAACCGACUCCUGAACCUGUUUUCUCAAAUUUCGCAAACCAAAAUUGUUUUUAAGGUGAGCUGAUCACACCCCAAUAAAAAAUCGGUGGCGACACUAAUUUUUGUUUUUAAAGUCGACAACUAACUUUUGUUUCAAAAAAGUGGUUUCGACACACUUAAGUGAAACUAUUCUUUGUUUGUUUAUUUUCUUUUUACUCUUAUAAUGAUGCGAAAACUAAAAAUUACUUUGUUGUGUAAUAAAUAGAUAUAAUAAUAAGAGAGGUUGGAAGGUUUAGGUAAAUGCAUUCUCAUGAGAUUGAUGGGUUGUAAGAUUUAGGCUAUUUUACCUAAAUAGUCUAAAAAAUAUUAUAUUUAUCAAAAUAACCCAUGUUUAAAAACAAUCACCAAAAUAACCUGAAAUAAACAGUAAAAUGAGGUUGUGGCCUGUGAAUGGCCGGAACCAACUAGUAUUUUAGACACAUGAUUGUCUGAUAAUUGUGUCAGACUUAAAAAAAUGAUUUUUUUGGUUCUGGCCUGUCAAUGGCCGGAACCAGUGUAUUUUUUUUAAAUUGUAUAAUAAUGAUAUACAAAAAUGAAAAAUAAAAAAUAAAAAAAAUUCAAGUUUUGGCCUGUCAAUGGCCGGCACCAAAAUACGAAAAAACUAUAAAAAAAAAUUUUGGUGGUGGCCUGCAAAUGGCGGGCACCACCUUUUUUGGGGGAAUUUUUUUUUUACAUAAAAAAAUUAAAUCAAUAUAAAAGCAAAAAAAAUUAAAAGUCCAUUUACAUAAAAAAAAAUAGUCCAAAUUACAAUUACCCAAAACCCAAACCUAAACUAUCAACCCAAUUACCCUAGCCCAGACAGGCCCAAAAUCAACCCAACUUUCAGCCAAAGAAAGACCAGAAAACCCUAGAAUUCAGCCUCAGCCGCCGUACGCAGCAUGGAGCCAAGUCCCUCCACGUGUGCCAAGCCCCUGCCUCCACGUGCGCCUCCGUACACGCCACGUCCACCGCUUUCGUACGCCGUACUUGCAAAUAAGAUGAAAACAACGCAGCAGAGAAAGAGAAAAACAUUGUAUUUUUUAUUUUAUCUGCAUUUUUUCAAAUAUUUGGCUAAAAAAAAAACAAAAAGCCAUUGUAUUUUUUUACGGGGACGGACGAAAAGAAAUAGAGAAAUAAAAAAAUUUUCAAAAACCAGUAAGGAACAGAUCUUUUUAGGUGGUUUUCCGACUUCGUUUUAUUAUUAUUAUUAUUAUUAUUAUUAUUAUUAUUAUUAUUGUUAUUAUUAUUAUUAUUAUUAUUAUUAUUAUUAUUAUUUCUUUCAUUUUCUUUGAUUUGUUUUCAUUUUAGAUGCGAAAAAUAUAAAAGAAAAAGGGUGAAAUUACCUUUGUGUGCGCUAUCUAAAUCUCUGCUUGCUCCGUCCCAAAUCAGAGCUGAAAGUGGAGGGUCUAGAGUCUGUGCGGCGGCGAGAAAAAACACAGAAGUGGCUACUAGUUUUAGGGUUUAAAAGGGGCUAUUUAAAGUAGGGAAAACGGCACCGUUUAGGGCCUGUGUCAAUGGCUAUAAAAUGGUGCCGUAUUGAGUCAUACUCGAUGACCCGACCCAAAUGCGACUAGAUCCGCGCGUUUUGACAGGGGAAGGGAUAUUUGCGCAUCAAGUCCUUUUGCUUUUGUGUCGUAGUUGAAUCUAGUUUUUUUUUUGUUUUGUUACUUUAAUUUUGGCCAUACAAUUUUCUGCUGAUUUCAUUUCAAUCCCUAUUGGAACGCAGCAUUUUGGAGGGCAGGGAUUAAUUUCCCUUUUGACCGCUCUCUGUUAUGCGCGUGUUCAAUGGGGUUCGCAUCUUUGUAUUUAUUUCAAUUUGGCUCUCAAAUUUCAAUUUUGAUUUCAAAAUUAGUCUUUCUGUUGUUUUUGUACUGUUGUUGUUGUUAUUAUUAUUAUUAUUAUUAUAAUUAUUAUUACUCUUAUUUCUUCUUUAUAUUUUAGAUUAUGUCUUAAUUCUAGCUUGGUCUUUAAUAGCAUAAUUUUAAAUCGAAUUAGUACUUAUUUUAAUAUAUUUAUGUAUAGCCUAUUUUAAUACUUAGUUUGACAUUACUUUUAAACUUAUUAUUAAUAUAAUUUUAAGAUGUAGUAUGCUAUUAUUUUUAAAUUAUCAUUAACAUGUUUUAAAUUUAUCAUGCAUUAUUUUUUAGUCUAUUAUAUACUUUUAUUUCCAAACUUAACAUGUUAUUAUUUGAUUCAUUAUUUAUUAAUAUAUAUUUUUUAUAAGAAUUUGAUAUAAUUUGUAUAUAUUUUAAUGUUUUGUUUUAGGUUAUAUCUUAAAACUCAUUUUUAUUUCCAUACAUUUUUAAAAGUGCUCAUUUUUCAAGAUUCUCGAGAGGAUUGUGCCCUAACUUACUGGGCUUCAAUUCUUUACAAUAAAUUUAGAUAGCCAAGAUUUAUUUUGAAAUAAAACCAUACAAAUUUUAAAUUUAUUCAAGUUAAAAGGAUUGUAUUUUAAAAUCUUUUCAAAAUUUCGACACUAAGACAUUAAACAAUCAAUUUGGUACCAAUUUUGGGCGUUACGAGGGUGCUAACCCUUCCUCAUGCGUAACCGACUCCUGAACCUGUUUUCUCAAAUUUCGCAGACCAAAAUCGUUUUUAAGGUGAGCUGAUCACACCCCAAUAAAAGAUCGGUGGCGACACUAAUUUUUGUUUUUAAAGUCGACAACUAACUUUUGUUUCAAAAAAGUGGUUUCGACACACUUAAGUGAAACUAUUCUUUGUUUGUUUAUUUUCUUUUUACUCUUAUAAUGAUGCGAAAACUAAAAAUUACUUUGUUGUGUAAUAAAUAGAUAUAAUAAUAAGAGAGGUUGGAAGGUUUAGGUAAAUGCAUUCUCAUGAGAUUGAUGGGUUGUAAGAUUUAGGCUAUUUUACCUAAAUAGUCUAAAAAUAUAUUAUAUUUAUCAAAAUAACCCAGGUUUAAAAACAAUCACCAAAAUAACCUGAAAUAAACAGUAAAAUGAGAGUGUAUCCUGUCAAUGGUCGGAACCAACUUGUAUUUUAGACCCAUGAUUGUCUGAUAAGUGGGUCGCAGUCACAAUGACGGAGCCUGCUUUCGGAUACCACCAUUGAGGGGCAUUGGAACACUUUGAUCUCGAAUCAAGCCCCGCAGGUGAGACCAUUGUUGAACAAUGCUGUGCNNNNNNNNNNNNNNNNNNNNNNNNNNNNNNNNNNNNNNNNNNNNNNNNNNNNNNNNNNNNNNNNNNNNNNNNNNNNNNNNNNNNNNNNNNNNNNNNNNNNNNNNNNNNNNNNNNNNNNNNNNNNNNNNNNNNNNNNNNNNNNNNNNNNNNNNNNNNNNNNNNNNNNNNNNNNNNNNNNNNNNNNNNNNNNUGGGAUGAAAUAGGAAGAGAAAUGAUUGAUGAAGAGGGUCAGAAAGAGUCAGAAAAGAGAUAGAAAAAAUGACAGGUAUAAGUAUAACGAAAAAGUAAUAAAAAAAAUUUGUGGUGGCCUGCCAAUGGCCAGCACCACCUUAUUGGGGGAAAGUUUUUUAAUUUUUCGUGUCAAUAACAGGUAUCAGUAUAACAAAAAAGUAAAAAAAAUUCCCCAAACAAGGUGGUGUCGGCCAUUGGCAGGCCACCACCAAAAAUUUUUUUUUUACUUUUUUCGUAUUCUGGUGCCGGCCAUUGACAAACUAAAACUUGAAAAAAAAAUUUCCGUGUACAGGAGUGCCGACCAUUGACAGGCCAGCACCCAAAAUUUUUUUUAUUUUUUUUCUUUUUUGUAUAUCAGUAUUAUACAAUUUAAAAAAAAUACACUGGUUCCGGCCAUUUACAAGCCAUAACCAAAAAAAUCAUUUUUUUAAGUCUGACACAUUUAUCAGGCAAUUAUGGGUCCAAAAUACGAGUUGGUUCCGGCCAUUGACAGGCCACAACCCCAUUUUACUGUUCAUUUCAAGUUAUUUUGGUGAUUAUUUUUAAACCUAGGUUAUUUUUGUAAAUAUAAUAUUUUUUUGGACUAUUUAGGUAAAAUAGCCACCCUUUUAAUUAAAUAAAAAUUACAUUUUUAGUCUCUUCUAAAAUUAGUAAAUCAUUUUUUAAGGACACAUAAAGUGAAAUAAAUUGAAUCUUAAAUGAGUUAAAAUGUUUUUAGCUUCUGUUUCUCAUCUUUAAAAUUUAAACUCGAAAUUUUAUUAAAUUUUAAUCUGUUCAAAUAAUUUAAUUUACGCUUUUAAACUCCUUGGUAAAAUGAAACAAAUAUAUCAUUGGUACCUCUGAAAAAUAAUAAUUACAUUAAACUCUUUCAAUACAAAAUAUUUAAUUUUAACUCUAAAGUUAUAUAUAUUUUGUCUAUUUUUAUUCAAAAUCUCUAAACCCUGAAAUCCGUUUUGAAUUCACAUUCUCUUAAAUGUUUUAAUAACAAUAAUACCAAUUAAAUUAAAACUCGAUUUGUUAACCCCAAAAUUUUAAUACAAAAUAAUUAUUGUGUUAUAUUUAUAAAUUAUUUGGCCAACGAAUUAAAACAGAACAAAGUGGAUAAAAGUAUUUUGGAGGAUCUUAUACUAUGAGUUAGAUUGCAUUUUGCUCAUUCUACUAAAAAAGGGACAAAUUAGUCUUUGUAAAUUAGACUCAAGAGCAAAUUAGUCAUUCUGUUAACAAAUUUAUCCAUUAUUGUUAAUUAAAACUGAUUCUUAUAGGUCAACGUGAGGUAUAUGGGAUACGCCACAUGUCACUAAUUGUUUAUUUUGUUAGCCAUAUCAUUUUUUAAUAGUACAAAUGGAUAAAAUUUUAGCAAAAAAAGAUCAAUUUGUUCUUUGAUAUUGUAUAUAGAAAAAACAAAAUGUAAUCCAAUUUUUAAUAUAGGGACCUCUACGAUAAUUUUACAAAAUAAAAUGACAUGUAUGUAGAAAAAUGAAUCAAAAUUUAUUCAAAUAACAUUACAAAUAUGAUUAUCACUAUCAUAGUAAAACAAUGGAUCUCAUCUCACAUAACAUCAAAUAACAAAAAGUGCAAAAUGGAAUUAAUAACCUAAUCAGCACAUCAAAACUAAGGCAAUGGCCAUGAAGAAGACAGGAGACAGAGUAGAAACAAGGGAAGAAGCUGAGUUGGUCUCAGAAGGAGGACUUGAAGUUCCAGGCGAGGUGGGCGUCGCAGCGGUACGGUUGUUCCCAUUUCUAACUUCGACGUGGAGCUUUUGCCCGCCGGAACAGUGACCGGGGACAGUACAAGUGAAGUAAAAAACUUCGGGCCUGUUAAGAGGAAUACUUGCCGGUCCGGUGCUGACGGUGUAUAUAUUAUUGGUAGUGUUGCACGCAUCGUAAGCAGUUUUCGUUACCUCUGCAACAUCAUGUAGUUGUCCGGUAGUGAAAUUGAUUACCUCUGCAACAUCAUAUAGUUGUUCUGUAGUGAAAUUGAACACUGCAAAACCACACGCAUAAAAAUAUCAAAUUUCGAAUCAACAAGCUCAAUUAACAAAGAUUUUAAAGCUAAAAAACUCACCAAGAACAUCUCCAACAACGAAGACCGAAACUCGAAAAAAAAAAUUUCCAUGUACAGGGGUGCUUUUUUUUUUUUUCUUUUUUGUAUAUAAGUAUUAUACAAUUUAAAAAAAUACACUGGUUCCGACCAUUGACAGGCACCAAAAUUUUUUUUUUUAAAUCUGACACAAUUAUCAGGCAAUCAUGGAUCCAAAAUACGAGUUGGUUCCGGCUAUUGACAGGCCACAACACCAUUUUACUGUUCAUUUUAGGUUAUUUUGGUGAUUGUUUUUAAACCUGUGUUAUUUUUGUAAAUAUAAUAUUCUUUUGGACUAUUUAUGUAAAAUAGCCUAAGAUUUAUUAUAAAUUUGGAUUAUAUUUGUUUUUUUUAUAUAUAUUGUUUGGAAUUAUUCAUAUUUCUUUUUCAACUAUUAAAUAGAAAGAUAAUAUAUUUCAACGUAUUUAAAUCUAUAUCCUUUUAUAUUGAUGAUAAUAUUGAUACUAAUUAACUUAAGAUUCAAUUGACUUUACAAUUAUAUUUUUAAAUGUAAUAAGUCAAAAUUAAAAUAUUGUUGGCUUUAAUACUAUUAUAUCAUACUGAAAUCAAAAGCUAUUUUACCAAAACAAUCCAAAAAAAAAUUUAUAUUUACAAAAAUAACUCAGGUUAAAAAACAAUCACCAAAAUAACCUGAAAUGAACAGUAAAAUGGGGUUGUGGCCUGUCAAUGGCCGGCACCACCUGGUAUUUUGGACCCAUGAUUGCCUGAUAAUUGUGUCAGACUUAAAAAAAUGAUAUAGUGAGUGGUUUGAGUUUUGAUAGUGUAAAUGGAAUAAGAAAUAAAAUUUGAGAGAGCCAUCAAAAUGAGAGUGUUUUGUAGUAUAUUAUCAAAUAAUUUUUUUUGGAGUGGAUUGUAUAUGGAGUUUUUUGUAGUGUACAACCAAAUUUCGGGUUUGAAUUAUAUACUGUCAUAUUUUAUUGGAGUUGAAUUAUAUACUGUCAAGUUCACCCUAAAGGUUAUGCUAUUAGGGGUUGGAUGAUUAUUUGCACCAUAAAUGGCUAAUCGAGUUGUCUAAUAUGCAGAUGGACAUUAUCUAUGGUGUAAUAGUGUUUAUUCCACAACUAGGUUCUGAUUGGAACCGGUUGGUAGAGUCUCCAUGCAAAGGUAUCUCAUGGGACCUCAUGGGACG
This 190675-nucleotide long non-coding RNA is filed under the name Gossypium raimondii (Peruvian cotton). RNAcentral describes it as "long non-coding RNA (GRAI_LNC004684)". The record is from RNAcentral. Lineage: Eukaryota; Viridiplantae; Streptophyta; Magnoliopsida; Malvales; Malvaceae.